This 312129-nucleotide long non-coding RNA is filed under the name Vitis vinifera (wine grape). Its description in RNAcentral is "long non-coding RNA (VVIN_LNC007054)". The record is from RNAcentral. Lineage: Eukaryota; Viridiplantae; Streptophyta; Magnoliopsida; Vitales; Vitaceae.
GCCAGCCAUGACCUGAACCGAUGCAUUUGUGUCAUUGUAUGCAGGAAAAUGAGGCAAGGAGGGAGGUGAAGAUGGAGUGUAGUAUCCCUUGUACUGUACAAUAGCUGUGGUGGUUGUGUUAUCAUAAAAAUUUUGAGCUGCUGGGGCAAUGGAAUAAGUUUUAGCCGCCAUGUAAUAGUGAUCCGGGUGUUGGUUAGCUUCUAGUAAGACAUCGAAGGUUUGGCCAGGAUAUAUUGUGAUAUAAUCUUGUGUCAAUGGUUUCAUGUAGCUACCAUCUGUUCCAACCACUGUCAUUUUAUGCUUGGCAAUUGAGAAGAAGAGAGCCUCGUGCAGGGCAGCAUUGAUUAUGCGAAGUAGAUAUGUCUUUCCAUGAUCCACCGUUAGCUUGAAUGUGUCUGCAAUUAGAAAAGGAAAGUUGUAUACUUACGACUAGAGAAAAGAAAAGGAAAAACUUUCCAUGAGGAUCCACCAAUUAUGAAGUGAUUGAUUUAUUAGGGGUGUAAAUUUGGCUCCAUAGUUCAAAAUUAUAUUUGGAUUGGCUUUUGCUCAUGUGUUAAAUCAUGGCUCUACCAUCCUCAUAGCUAUAUUCCUCUUUCUUAGCAUUAAGUUUUAAAUAUGUUGAUGUUAAUAAGAAAAAGUAAUAUGGUUAACAUACAAGAAAAUGAGAUCAGUGUACAAUUUUAAAAUGGGAAGUUAAACUUUAUACCUGAUUUUGAGCAUGGAUAUAGAUCACCGGGUUGUCCAUUUAUCAAUAAAGAAUCAGAGGCAUUGGGGUCAGCUCCAGUUGCAAGCCCUUCAUCUCGAACCGCAUUCACAUCACUCUUCCACCAUUGUCCUGCAUUUCAACAACUCCAAUAAUUUAGAUUUUGCUUUGUUGGUUAAUUCAUGAUAUGUAAAUUAACCUUUAAAAGCAACUACACUUAUACCUAAUAUGAUGGGAAUUUCUGCGUUAGGUUUGGGAAAAGGAUACUUGGUUCCAUUCUUGGGAUAGACGAUUAUAGCUCCAUGAACGGUGGCUCGAGUCCAGUCACUAUGAGCAUGCCACCAUAGAGUGCCUUCCUCAGAGGAAAGGAUGAUCUUCUGGCUAAACUUUGACCCUGGUUGAAUUGGGCAUUGUGUGAUAUACUCGGGACCAUCUGUCCAUGGAUAUCUAGGCAUGUUCACCCCAUGCCUGCAAAACGAUAACUAUACAUUAAAACUAGUACUAAUUUUUAGACUAACAAAAGAUGGCAUGUAGCAACAUAUUAUCAUAGUAACAAGAGGCAUCAACUAUAUUUCAAUGGAACUGAUGCAAAUAACCCUAAAAUAUUAUUUUAGAUUUAACUUUAUUUGCAAAGCAAUACAUUGCAGCCCCCUCUUAGAAAUAAAAGAAUGUAUGUCAUGCAAGCAUGUUGCCCACUGCUAUCUUUCUCCGAGACAUGCAUAGGACUUACCAGUGAAUGGUGAUAUUUUCUUUUCCCCUGUUAUAAACGUUGACGAUGAUCGUCUCUCCUUUCUUAGCAUAUAUAGUUGGUCCUGGAAAUUGUCCAUUUACUGUUAAGAUGUUCUUGGUGCUACAAAGCCUUGUAUAUGAAGCCUCCUUCACCUGCAACCAAUUAAAAGUUAACCAUGCAACCUCAUCCCAAAAGAAAUAUUACAUGCAUGAAUAGUUGCAUCGAUCCAUUCAUGCAAGUGUAUAACCAAUUAGAAAUUGAUAGCAUGCAUGAAGGACUCAAUGACACCAGGGUACCCGAAGACCCCAUGAGGGUCAUAACGGUGGAAAAUGAGAGCCACACUGCUCCCUAAAUAUUAUGAUCAAAAGGUGGCGUUAAGGCCAUAAUCAUAUAUAGUAUUUACCACAAAAGUAAGCCGACGAGUUGAAGCUUGGCAAUGGAUGCCACCACCAAAAAGUAGAAACACUAAAAUUUGCAAGAGGAAAACCUUCAUGAUCAGCCACAUCUUCUUUGGAAUAAAAGCCUCUUCUCUUGUCCUAAACACAACUGCUUCAAUUUUCUUACUAUUUCUAAUAAGCACGACUUAUCUUCUCUCUGACAUGAAUAGAUGAAUUCUUAAAGGUAUUUAUAGAGGCUGGAGGUGAAAGCUGAACAGCUGGUUUCCUGGGGUACAACCAUUCCUCGCCGCGUAUCAAUAUAAGAGAAGUAAUUUGAAUGUGUAUUGGUUUUGAAAGUUCUUCCAGGACCACUUCAAAGAGCAGGUUGUGUAUGAUAUCUGACCACUUACCAAAAUUUAAAUAAACCAAAUUCCUGAAGACGAGUUUCUUAGAAUCUCUUGAAUUUUCUAAUUCAAAAUACAUGAAAGAUGAUUUUCCUGGGGUACAACAAUUCCUCGCCGCGUAUCAAUAUAAGAGAAGUAAUUUGAAUGUUCUUCAGAAAGCAGGUUGUGUAUGAUCAGCUUCAAUCAGGUUGUGUAUCGUACAAGUUUGACUUUGAGAAUUGACCAAGAAAUUAAUCAAACAUAUUAUUUUAGAAUAAAUUUCAAAUACAUGUAGAAUACUUUUAAAACUUUGACCUCGCAUAUAUACAGUACCUUUAUCAAGAUUAGUCAAGAUUUUCUCUUUGUAUUUGGUAGGAAGGGAAAAGUCAACGCUGCUUUCAGAAGGAAUAUAGGAUUCCAUUAUAGGAAAGAAACAAUCAUUCAAUUAUAGGAACCGGAUCGAAAAUUCCUUGUCCGGUUGGAGGGUCAAUCCAGACAUUCAAAUCAUUCAACAUAUAAAUUAGUUUAAACGGAUAAGAGAACAUUCAGACAUUUUCAAACAUCAAAUCUCCACUUUUUAAAAAAUAAUAAUAAUAAUAAUAAAUAAUUAUAGAUUUAAAAAUAACUUUUUUCAGAACAAAUAAGAAAUAAUUCAAACUUCCUUGUUUGGUUUAUUGUACCAUAUAUAAUGAAAAAUCAUUAUAUAAAUAAAUUAUGCAAAGAUGUAUAUAUUUUAAAAUUAUUUAUAAACAGAAAAAAUGAUGAAUAAAAUUUGAGACGUGAAAAUUUGAUCAAGUUAAUUUAAAAACUUCUUUUAAUUUUUUUCACUUUUUUACUCCUAUUUUUUCACACUAUUUUUUUUCUCACAUUUCCUUUUAAACCUUUGAAAUAAAUUCCCUACUAUUUGUGGAGCUUUAAUAUAAUUUUUUUCUCCAUAUUAUACAUAUUUAUGCAAUGUUUGGUUAAACUAUUUUGAAUUUCUAUUUUUACCUUAACAAGAAACAUUUCUUGAAAAUGAAGAUUAUUUUCUCCUUAUUUUCAAAUUUGUGUUUCUCCACUUUUUUUUUUUUAAAUAAUAAUAAAUAAUUAUAGAUUUAAAAAUAACUUUUUUCAUAACAAAUACAAUAUAUAGCCGGCUUAUAAAAACUAUUAUCUAAAAAAAGGAAAAAAAGAAAAGAAAAGAAAAGUAAAAUAAGAAAUAAUUCAAACUUCCUUAUUUGGUUUAUUGUACCAUAUACAAAGAGUUUUAAAUAAUAAAUUGGAAGAUCAUCCCAAACACUUUAAAGAGUUUUAGAAAUCAAUACUAAAAUCAAUCUUGAUUUAAAACUCCUAAAUAAUUAAUUGUAAAGUUGUUUUCAAAGGAAACCCUUCUUAUCUCGAUUUCCCCUCACUAAGAUACUUCAAAAGUGGAAUAAUAGAUAAGAGUGAACUUAAAACUCAAUUAAGAAAAUUGGUCAAUAAGGAAGAUCAAGUAUAGUACAAAGUUAAAUCUUAGGAGAUAUCACAUCUUUAUAAAUAAAAAAUAAAAAAUCAAUUAGUAGGAGUUCAUUUAAUUCAAUAAUUAAAUUCAUUUUGUUCAAAAAAUUAUGCACUUUCAAUUUAAAGAUAGAAUUAAAUAAUAUACUUUACAUACUUAAAUUAUAUUAAAAAAAUUAUAAACAAACAUUUUACUCCGACUCAUUGAUAAUAACAUUGUGCCCAAAUAGUAGAACUUGCAUUAGGUGGCUAGUCUCACUUUGUGCCUUUUAGCAAUGGACAAAAUGAUUUAUAAUCAAUGAUAUACCAAAGGCUAAUAACACCCUUAUUAGCUAGAGUUACAUUAUAUCACUAUCCUCACCAAAGGUAACGCAGGUCAACAACUUCUCUCUUAAACCAAUGUAAUAAAUUAAAUGAUAAAAUUCAUUUGCAUAACAAUAAACAAAUCAUAUGAUAUUCCCAAUUUAUUUUAUAAACUAAGGAACAAAUCAUAACAUUUUUAGUAAAAUAUUAUUUGAUCCACUUUAAGGAACUUAAACAUUUUGAUAGUUUAAAAAUAGAUGAAAAAAAUUAAGAAAUUAUAAAAUGGUUUACUAUACUAUUAACCAUUACCUUGAAGAAAUCAUUCAAAAUCCUGAAAGACUUAAUCUACACCUAAUAUAAACAUAAAUAAAAAAUAAUCAUUAAAGAUUAAUUAUCUAAAUUAAUGACUUCCUAAUUUUUUUGUAAAACUUACUUUAAUUCCAAACCCUUUUCUAAAGUUCUAUUUUUUGAAUUAAAUUUUUUAUUAACCAUAUUAUUAUUAUCAUUUUCACUUCUCAUAAUUACAUUAAUGGGUUUUGUUGAAUUAUUAAUGUUAAUAUUCCUUCUUCUUUUUUUCAUGGUAGGAAGUAGGUAAUUAUUUAUUAAUUUACUACUAUUUUUACUUAUCUCCUACCCACAACCCAAAUCUUAUUAUAACUUUAUUAUUUCUUUGCCACAACCACUUUCCUCAUUUCCUCAAUUCUUCUUCCUAUUAAUCUCGUGGUUAAAGAAAGGUAAAAGAAUCUAAAAAGAAAAUCAUACAUGAAGAACUUACCUUAAAUUUCAUAAUGAAGCAAAUAAAAAAAGUUUCUUCUUUCUAACCCUUCAAACCAAACUUCUCUAUAUACCUUUCUCUUGUUUCUUUUUCCUCUCUAUUUUAUCUUUUCAAAUUUUAAUAAUGUGGAGAAAUCAAUGGAAUUUAGGGGUGAAUUAUACUUUUAUCGCUAAAAGUAACUUUUAUUGAUGGAAUUUUAGAUGUUGUCAGUGGUGCAAAUUUUUUUUAAAAAAUUUCUAACGAAUUUAAAAAUUUCAUCACUAAAAGACAUGAUGGGAAAAUUUUGGCAUCGUCAUUUUUUUGGCACAAACACUUUUCUGAUAGAAAAAACCUAUUUUCUCAGAAAAGUAUUUGUCACUAAUUAUAAUUUUUGGUGACUAAAAGUUACAACUUUUUAUAUAUAUAUAUAUUUGCUUGUAAAAUGGUUUCAUUAAGUGGUUGUAUUAUUUCUUGACAAAUUGAGUAAUUUUAUCAUUAUUAAAUUGUGAUAUUAAUAAGUAAUAUUGAUAAAUAACUAGAUGAUUUAUAUUGUGAAAUAACAUAUGUAUUUUUUGAGACUUAAUAUUUAUACUGUAAUAUUUUAUUUCUAUUAAUAAUAAUAAAAUAAUUACAGAUUCAUAAAAUGAAAUACUACAAUACAGAUUUAUUUAAAUUUAAACGUUUUGUAACGUAAUAAUAGUAUUGUUAUGAAAUAAUAAAAAGGUAAAUUAUUUAAGCAAUUAAUAUUUAUAUCGUAAUAUGUUAUAUUUUUUUUAUAUAAAUAAUAACAACAAAUAAUUCAAGACAUGUAAGAUUUGUUACUUUGAAACAAACUUUCGAAUCCUAGGUACAUCCUUAAGAAAAUUUGUUACAUUCAAUCCUUGAGCUAACGGGACACCUAUCUCUUUUCCCAUGGUCCAUUUAUUCAUUUGGAGACCUCGAAAAGUGAUUAGAGGUCAUUCCCCACCUUAAAACGAACUUUGACUCCCAUAGUACAUCCUUUACAAAAUUUGGUACAUCAUUCACAAAAAUUCGUACAUCCUUAAAAAAAUUUGGUACAUCUAAUCCUUGACCUAUUAGGACCCCUAUCUUAUUACUCAUGGUUCGUUUAUUCCUUUAGAGAUCUUUGGAAGUGAUUAGAGGUCGUUCCCUACUCCGAAACAAACUUUGGAAAUCCUUGGGAUAACGGGACACUUAUCUCCCUUCUCAGGGUCCAUUUAUUCCUUUGGAGAUCCUUAAGAAGUGAUUGAAGGUCGUUCCCCACCUCGGAAUAGACUUUGGCACCCUUGGUACAUCAUAUACAAAAUUUGGUACAUUCUUCACAAAAUUUGGUACAUCUUCAUAAAAUUUGGUACAUUCUUAAAAAAAUUUGGUACAUCUAAUUCUUGAGCAACUAAGACCUCUAUCUUAUUGCCCAUGGUCUGUUUAUUCCUUUAAGAAUCUUUGGGAAGUGAUUGGAGGUCAUUCUCCACUCUGGAACGAACUUUGGAACCCUAGGGACAUCCUUAAGAAAAUUUGGUACAUCCAAUCCUCGAGUUAUUGGGACACCUAUCUCCAUUCUCAUGGUCCAUUUAUUCAUUUGGGAACACUUAGAAAGUAAUUGGAGGUUGUUCCCUACUCUGGAAUGAAUUGUGGAACCUUGGGUACACCUUUAGAAACUUUUUGUAUUUUUAUGGUUAUGUAAUGGUUUGAUGUUGUUGAUUGAAAUGAGGUGGUUGAGUCACAAUUUAUAAUCAUCAAGGGAAAACAAAUUGUGUUUAUUCAUGACCAGAUGAAAAUGAAUAACAAAUGGAAUUAUUGUCACUUUUAAUGGUAUUAUAUUAUGAAUCAUUUGAAUAGUUUUCUUAAAACAAUUUGUCAAUUCCAAAUGGAUUAUAGCUGAAUUGAAAAAUGAAGGAAUAUAGUUGUAGAAAAGAAGGGUUGAAUUUUUGUGGGCAUUAUGGAAGAAAGAGGUCGAGCCUUAUAUGAAAAACAGAUUGUUAACACUAGGCAUAAUAGUGGACGACCUUUUCAUGUAGGGGCUGACCCUUUUUAGCUUAUAACCCUUAGUCAUGAUAUUAGUUUUAUUUGAAGUGAUUAGUAACAAAAAUAAAGGUGUUGUUCAUAGGCAAUCCCAUCGUGUUUUUAAUAUUGGUUUUGUUUUAUGUGGGUGGUAGGCAGAACAAAGGUUGACCCAUUGUUUAAUAGGUAGGCCUUUGAAUAUGGACGUUAUAACCUUAGAAUAUGGACAGUGAGGAAAAUAGUGGUCAACCCAUGUAUUCAGAGGUAGAGCCUGAACUUAUAUUACAUAUCAAAUAAGUUCCUAACAAAUAAAUAAAUAAAAGUAAAUGCAUUGUGUGAUGUUUGGUAUAGACAAUACAUUUCAAUAUUUAGCACAUUAAUGUCACACCAUAAAAUGUUAAUGAAACAAACUUGGAUUGUUCAUAAUCUGAAUGAGACGUUAAUAUAUGAUGACUAUAUAUGUGACCAUGACAAUUGUUAUAAGUAAUUAGUUUUGACAGGGUUAUUUAAAAAUAUAUAUUUAAAAAACUAAAUACCUAAUGAGGUCUAACUGUGAGAAUAAAAUAAUUUAUGCUUAUUCUAUAAAUGUUGAAAGUAUUUUUGUGAUGAAUAUAUGUAUUAUUGGAAAUAUUUACAAACAUGCCUAGUUUAUUGAUGUGUGUGUGUGUGUGUAUUAAAAAAAAAAAAGUAAAAUCAAGGAUGUUCAUCCUUUCCUCAUAAGAAUGUACAUUGGGUUCUGAAGUCCAUUUUAGGGUAGAGAACAACCUCCAAUCACUUCUCAAUGGUCUUUAAAUGAACAAACCAACCAUGGGUAAUAAGAUAGGGGUCCUGAUAGCUCAAGGAUUGGAUGUACCAAAUUUUGUGAAGAAUGUUACAAAGUUUGUAAAUGAAAUACCAAAUUUUAUAAAGAAUAUACCAAGGAUGCCAAAGUCCGUUCCGAGGUGAGGAACGACCUCCAAUCACUUCUCGAGGGUCUCCAAAGGAAUAAAUGGACCAUGUGAAGGGAGAUAGGUGUCUCAUUAGCCCAAGGAUUGGAUGUAUCAAAUUUUCUUAAGGAUGUACCUAGGAUUCCAAAGUCCGUUUUGGAAUAGGGAAGAACCUCCAAUCACUUCCCAAAGAUCUCUAAAGGAAGAAAUGGACCAUGGGUAAUCAAAUAAGGGUCCUAAUAGCUUAAGGAUUGGAUGUACCAAAUUUUUUAAAGCAUGUUCCAAGGGUGCCAAAAUCCAUUCCAAGGUUGAGAACGACCUCCAAUCACUUUCUAAGAGUCUCCAAAUGAAUCAAUGGACCAUAGGAAAGGAGAUAGGUGUCCCGUUAGCUCAAGGAUUAGAUGUAACAAAUUUUUUUAAGGAUGUACCUAAGGUUCCAAAGUUCAUUUCGAAGUAAGGAGCAACCUCCAAUUACUUCCCAAAGAUCCUUAAAGGAAUAAACGAACCAUGGCUAAUAAGAUAGGGGUCUCGAUAAUUCAAGAAUUGGAUGUACCAAAAUUUUUUUAAGGAUGUACCAAAUUCUGUGAAGGAUGUACCAAAUUUUGUAAAGGAUGUACCAAAGGUGUCAAAGUCUAUUCUGGUAAGGGGAACAACCACCAUUCACUUUUCGAGGGUCGGUCUCUAAAGGAUAAAUAGACCAUGGGAAGUGAUAUAGGUGUCCCUUUAGCUUAAAGAUUGGAUGUACCAAAUUUUCUUAAAGAUGUACCUGGGGUUUAAAAGUCCAUUUCAGAGUAGGGAUCAACCUCCAAUCACUUCCCAAAGAUCCCUAAAGGAAUAAAUAGAUCAUGGGUAAUAAGAUAGCGAUCCUUAUAGCUCAAGGCUUGGAUGUACCAAAUUUUUUUAAGGAUGUACCAAAUUUUGUAAAGGAUGUAUCAAGGGUGCCAAAGUCCAUUCUGAGGUCAGGAACAACCUCCAAUCACUUCCCGAGGUCUCCAAAUGAAUAAAUGACCUCCAUUUGUUCUAAGGUAGGAAAUGACAUAUAAUGACUUCCUAAGAGUUCCUAAGGGAACAAAUGGACCAUGGGAAGGGAGAUAAGGGUCCCAAUAGCCCAAGGAUUGGAUGUACCGAAUUUUCUUAAGGAUGUACCUAGGGUUCCAAAGUCUAUUUACAGGUGGGGAAUGGCCUCCAAUAACUUCUCAAUGGUCCUCAAAUGAUGAAAUGGCAUAAGGGUCCUAAUAGCCUGAUGAUUGGAUAUACUAAUUUUUCUUAUGGAUGUAAUUAGGGUUCCAAUGUUAGUUUCAAGGUGGGGAAUGACCUUUAAUCACUUCCUGAUGAUUAGAUAUACCAAAAUUUAUUAAAGAUGUAUCUAAGGUUCAAAAGUCUGUUUUGGGGUGAGAAAUAACCUCCAAUUACUUCCUAUUGGUCCCUCAAUGAGCAAAAUGACCUUGGGAAGAGAGAUAGGGGUAUAAUUAGCCGGAGGAUUGGAUGUACUAAAUUUAUAUAAGGAUAUAUCUAGGGUUCCAAAGUCUAUUCUAAGGUAGGGAACGACUUGCAAUCACUUUCUAAGGGUCCUCAAAAGAUCAAAUGGACCAUGGGAAUGGAUAUAUGGGUCCUGGUAGCCCAAGGAUUGGAUGUACCAAAUUUUCUUAUGGUUAUACGUAGGAUUCCAAACUCCAUUCCGAGAUGGGAAACAACCUCCAAUCCUUUCCUAAAGGUCUCCAAAAGAAUAUAUGGACCAUGAGAAGAGAGAUAGGGGUUUUGAUUUCCCUAGGAUUGGAUGUACCUAUUUUUGUUAAGGAUGUACCUAGGGUUUCAACAUUCGUUUUGGGAUAAGGAAGGACCUCCAAUCACUUAUCGAAGGUUCCCAAAGGAAUAUAUAGACCGUGAUAAAGGAGAUAGGGAUCCUUGUUCCCUUAGGAAUGGAUGCACCUAUUUUUCUUAUGGAUGUAUCUAUUUUUUUAUGAAAUUAAUAUAAAAGGUUAACUACAAUUUUUUUUUAAUGAAAAAUUAUAUUUUCUUUUAAUUAAAAAUUAAAGAUUUUAAUGAAACAAAAAAUUAGAUCCAUGAUCAAGUUAAAACCAUAAGAAAAAAAGAUAAAAGAAUCAUCACUUACUAUGAUUUUGAUAUGAUAAAUUUAAAAUAAAAAAUAUAUAUAUAUAUAAUAUAAACAAUAAAAUAGUAUUACAAAUAUAUUUUUACUUUGAUGUGUGAUAUGGUUUAUAAAAUAUAUAAAUCUUUUAUUUAGCAUUAAUAUAACAAAUCUUAUAUCAUAAACCUAUAAAUAAUAAAAUAUAUUUUUUAAAUUUAAUCCUUGAUUUAUUAAAAGUAUUACUAUAAUUAAUAUUUAAAAUCAUCAAGUAUAUUAUUUGUGGAAUAAUAUUUUCAUUUUUGGCCAUUAUAUAUUUAUGUUUUUAUAUAACUUGUUAUAUUAACUAUUUAUUAUAUAUUAUUAUUUUAAAGUUAAUAUGUCCAAAAAAUAAUUAAAAUCAAUAAAUAUGGAGAUAUUAGAGAGUUAAAAAAAUAUAAAAUUGAAGAAGUUUUAUGCGAUAAUACAAAGAAAAAAAUAGUUAUUGGUGUACUUGACAACAACAUUUAAUGUGGUAAGUGUACUUGCCCUCAACUUUUGAGGGUAAUUUUGGAACAAAUUCAAAAGCACUAUUGGAGUGCAUGAAUUGGUAUAAAAAAAAUUCCAUUUUACAUUAAAAUUGAAAUAGUAAAACCACAGUUUUAAAAACCAUAUUUUUUAAUUGGUGAUGUACCAAAGCAUGAUUAUCCCAAUUUUAAAUAAUACAAAAAUCAUAAAUUUUAAAUUUUAAUUUUAAUCUUCUUUUAAAAAUUUGUAAAUUUUAAUGUUUAAUUUUUUAAUUUUUUAAUUUAUAAAUUUUAAAUAAUAUAAAACUCAUGGCAUGUUGAAGUGCAUUAAAUGCAUUGUAGUAGCAUAUUGUAUUUUUGUAGCAUAUAUGACAUAGAUGGAAUUGUGUGGAGUGUUUUUUGGGAAAAAAAGAUGAAAAAAAAAAAAUUCUCAAACCCUCACCUAGUUAAGCACCAUUGCAAGUUUGAAAAAAAAAAACCCAAUUUUUAAAAAGAGAGAAAACCACCAUCGCAAACAAUGGCUCACCACAUUUGUACCUGAUGCCAUAUCCUCUUCAACCUUUCAUCAUUUUCACCACCAACCCAUCUACCUUCUUGAAAAGUCAUUUUCCAACUACCAAUCAUACCCACCAUUCUCCAUAACACAUUUGUAUCUAAUAAUAAUUGUGAAAAUGACCAAUUUGAUUAAGCAAAUCACUAAAGGGGGGGAGGGGGGAAUGUGGGAAGAGAUGAAUUAGGUGUUAUAUUUUUUAUUUUAUUUUUUCAAAAGCAACCAAUUAAUAACAAAAAGAAUAAGAGAUAUUAAUUAAGGCAAUAAUUAAGUAAAAGAUAAAGAGAAGAUAUAUGCAAACUCUUUUAUUGUGGUUCAAAACUCCACCUAUAUCCAUUCUUUUUAACCUCCUAAGUAAGUGAGGAUUCCACUAUCAAAGACCUUCAACCUAAGCCUUCAAGCUUUAUAUUUGGAUUCAUGGUCUUCAAUGGGCACUCACAAUCCUUUCAAAUACUUCACCCACUUGAAGUCUCUUCACUCAAAAUGAGUAAAUAAGGAAAGUUCUAAUGCUUUCUAUUAGGACAUUGAGUCUUAUUUAUAUGUUGGCAAUUUUGUUUACUUUAUGUUUCAUCAUAGAAGUCUUUUUAGAUAAUGGCUUGCUCCCCAUUGAAGAUCAAGGGUGGUUGUUCGUCCAACCAAGAAGUCAUACGUAUAUUUAAAAAGGUUUGACUUGUUGCAUAUAAGGCUUCUUUAAGGUAUAAAAGGUUUAGUAUCAUUUUUGGACUUAAAAUGUUUUAAAAUGAUUUUUUAAAAGAAGUAGGGGCUGCUCAAGUGGAAAGGACCGAUCAACCAGUUAGACUACUCAAGUGGUAAGGAUGACUCAAGUAGUCUAAGUCUACUCAAGCAAUCAUAACAGUCCUUUCGAGUUUAGACACAAAUUUUGGAUGAAUUUCACUUGAACUCUAGUUUGAAAACUUAAGUUACUGAAACUCUUUGGAUUAUAAAUACUUUCUUAAUAACCCCUUAAGGGUUAGGGAUCGAAGAUUGAAGAGAUCUUAGAGAUUAAAAACCUUUCAUUCUUAAAAAGAGGGACUCCUUGAUAGAAAGCUUAAAUUGCUAUAUAAUUCAUGAUUUCUCAUUCAAGGAUUUGAAUCUUUAAAUUGUGGGUUGAAGACCAUAAUCCCUUCGAAGUGGCAAAAAGAUCUACUAGGGAGCAACAGGAAGUUGCUACGUCACAAACGUGGAUUAAGUUGUAGGUGUUGAAGAGUAAGUCUUUAGGAUAAAGCAGCCAAGUAAAUUUGUGUAACUUGAUUUUGAAUAGUGGAUUUAGAUUGGUAGGUCUUAGACCUUGUGGGUUUUUUUCUCCAAAGUUUGUGGGGGUUUUUCACAUACAAAUCUUAUGCCUCAUUAUCUAUAUCUUUUAUAUUUGAUAUUAUGUUUGUAGGGUUUUCAUAAAAGGUGCAUAUUUGUAGACCCCUCAUUUUGUCCUCCUAACACAUCUGAUACUUUAUGUUUUCCUAAGCUUCUCUCUUACCCUAUGGUUGUCCCUUAGAGACCCAUUAAAACUCAUAUGAAUUUUUUUCCCUAAGCUACCUUUUGGGACACUUUGUUGAGGGGCUCAUUUGGACUCACAAUGUGACUUUGACAACUUCUCAAGUUAGUUUUUAGGUUAGACUUCACUUAGAUUUUUUUUCCAAGAUAGGGUCACUUAGAUCUUUUUUAUACUAGGAUCACUUGGACACUUCACUUAGGUUGGUUUUCUUGAGUUUGAUUUCUAGGUUUUAGGUUUAGGUGAGUUCUUGACUUGAUUUCAAUAUUUGAAUGCAUGGGGUGAGUAUCAAUCUUUAGUUAUGUGAGUUCAAUGCAUUGAUUUUCUUAUUAUCUAUUACAUUAAGAUUAAUAUUUGGAUUUUGAUUGCAUGCGUUAAAUUUCUUUUAUUUAUUUUUUAUUUAUUUAUUUAUUUUAGAAAAUUUAUGUGAGACUAAUGUUAUGACUUUUAAUUGCUUGAAUUGAUGCUUGAUCUUAAAUAUGCAUACAAUUGACCUUUAAUUUUUAAUUGCAUAAUUUUAAUUUGCUUUAAUUUUCAAUUUCAUAACUUUUACUAAUUUUAAACUUUAUUUUAAUUUUGCAUGAGAUUUGAAUGUAUACUUUGGAGAAGAUCCCUUAGCGUACACGACUGCCCCAAUAAUAGGAUGGAGAUCAAGAAACUUAGGAGAUUCUUUUUUAGUUCAAGUGAUACAACCUACAACCUACAUGUGAACAACAUGCACCCAUUGACCUUCUACAAAAUGCACAGUCUACACAAAAGGAGACAUUUAUGCAACAUAGAUACAGGUUUCUUUUCUAAAAAAAAGUGUAGGCUGCCAUAUGAUAGGGCUUUAAACUAUUAAAGGAAAGUUAUUCAUGAUUAUUUAUUUUUUAUUUUAAAAAAGAAACUUAUAGCACACAUAGGAUGCAAGGGGCCACUUUCUAAAAAGAAAAGGGAUUCUUUCUUUUGGAUGAGGAUGUAGCAUAAAAAGUGAGGACCACUUUGAGAAUGGAGUCCGGUUUGGAGAAGAAAAAAAAAAAAAGACCACACGGUUCCAUGGAGAGGGGAGGGCAUAGUCUACCAUUGAAGGAGAGUUGACAGCCAUGUGUUCCUUGAGAAGGGGGUUCGCUCCCCACAACACACAUUUCAUCCUAAGGAGAGGAGGAUCUUCACACGUUGUCGAUUAGGGAGAAUACAAAUGCACAUGGAGGAUCACUUAUAGCCAUGAAUAAUAGCAGCUCAUCCAUAGCCCCACACACAACCAUGCAUAUUGGAGAAGAACUAGAAAGUUGUCACUUCAAGAUUUACCAUAGGUGCACACAUCAUUUGGAGAAGGUAAGUUAGGUUUUUUUUUUUUUUUCAAUUCUUAAUUUUCAGUUUGCAAGUUAGUUUUCUUUGUAUUUGUUUUGAUUCCACUAGAUUGAAAGUGGGAAUUAUUAAUCUUAGUUAGUUUUAUUAAUCUUAGUUUUGAGUCAUCCUAUAUAGUUUAGACACUUUCAUAAGUUUAGGUUCAUUAAUAAAAUUAAUUUUAUGCUUGAAAGUUCAUGUUUUUAGUUUGCUUUGACUUAGUCUAGCUCAUUUUAAUUAGUUUAAGUACUUUUAUAAUUUUAGUUAUUCUAUGUUUGAAAGUUCAUGUUUUUAGUUUACUUUAAUUUAGUCAAACUCAUUUUAAUUAAUUUAGGUACUUCUAUAAUUUUAGUUUCUUAGCUGAAUUUAUCCCAUUUUUUUUUAGUUUUUAUUUUAAAAUCAUUAAUGUUAGUUCCUAAUCAUCCUUAUCUUAAUUUAUAUGUUUUUAAGAUCCUAGUAGUUAGUUCAUGAAUCGAUAUCUUGUUAGUUUGUCUAAUAUAAAAUGCUUUGCUUGUUGCUUUACUGAUCCUUCAUUUAAUUUGAUUGUUUUUUAGGCCCUUGGAAACUCAUGAUGAUUGGCCUCUACUCUCACCUAGUUUAGGUUGCUAUAAAUUAUCACUUUCUAAUGUUAUUUUCUCUUUUAAAAAGAAAGUCUUUUCCCAAAAUUUUAUUUAUUAAAAUGGAUUUAAAAAACUUCUUCUAUAAUCCUUAGGGUUAAAAAAAAAAAAUCAUUUUCUUAAAAACUAUACAACCAUGUUUUAAUAUAUUUACACCUUUCUUUUAUUUUCAAUAAAAAUUGUGAUUUUUAGUGAAAUAUGAAUCCAAGCUUGUGGUCCCAAACGAAUGGGACAAUUCUUGGCUUUGAUGAGUUUGUCAAUUCUCAUGCAAGGUUGGGAAUCCAUAACCUAAAUUUGUGUAUAACAAAUGAGGAUUUGGUGACUAACCCCUUCAUAAAAUUAUUUUUCAAAAACCUUUUAUUGUUAACUUGUUGGAUUUGUUGCAUCUUUGGAAUAAAAUUUUGAUUUGGAUAAUUUAUGAUAUUCCUAAAAAUUUUCUUGUGGUUGAUGAUAUUAUGAACUUCAUUAACCUCAUUUUAGAAGUUUGAUUGAAUCAAAAAUCAUAUUUUUAAUGGAAAUUAUGAAUUAAUCUUUUGGUAGGUUCAGUUUUUUCCCAAUUCUGGAUACCCAAAUUGUUUUUUGUAUUUUCAAAUUGCUAAAUGACUUUGAAAAAUUAUUUUGACUUUUCUUCCUUCAUUCUAGACUUCUUGAAAUUUAUUUUAUACACAUAAAUAUUUAAAAAAUGUUUUGAUAAUUAGGAAAAAUAUAUUUUCUUUGUUCUACCCACUGUUGGCAUCUUAGAUCUAAGCAACAGAAGCAAUACCAUUUUUUUAAAAAUUAAUAUUUUAGGGUUAAAGAACUAACCUUUAGGUUUUGAGGUUCCCAAACCUUAAAUUCCAAGUGUUGAAGACGAUCCUGAAGUUGUUAGAAGUCUUGUAAACCUAUGAUCUUUCGCCCAAUGACUUAACCUUGUUCUUGGAAAACAAUGAGAAGGAAAGGCGGGUGGAGGCUAUGACUCUCUUUCUCUUUGAAUGGUGAGAGGCAAAAGCUAUAGAAACCUUAAUCCAUAUAGGGUAUUUAUAGGGAACCUAACUAGGCUUAAGUGACUUGAGCCUAUAUGGUCGGGCUUAGGUCACUUAAUCUAUCCCAAAAUGGGUCCUAAUUGAUUAAUUAACCUAAUAGGGCUUACUAAUUAAUAAAUUAGCCCAAUCCAAAGACCUUAUUCACUUACCCUUAUGCAACCUUGAAAAAUUACCAAAACACCCUUAUGCACAAAAGUGAACCUAGAGCUAAUCUGACCCUCAUAAUGCAUUCUAACAAGGUAUAUGAGCUCAGAGUGAGGAUCACUAGGAUCCAUAUAAGUAUUGGCUCCCUCAUAAUCAAAUUUUGAAUUUGAUUCAACAUCCCACUAUAAAAAAUCAACUAAACUCCAGUAUCCUAUGUAAAUAAUAACAAGACACUAAGUGCUCAGGUUCAUGACCUAUUAUCCACUACAUGCAGACUCUCCAUGAACUGGUGUCUGUAAUUUAACAAGGUAGUAUUAUUACCUUUCAAGAUUACCUCUUAAAUCCUUGAGUUAUAGAUCCCACUUAUUAUGUGAUCAAUUGACAUACUCUUACUCUAAAGAUAAUAUGUCAAAUUCCACUAAAGGAAUUAUUAUGGCCACAUAUUUCAUGAUCAUAUUUCUUUCGAUCACCCAAAGGAACACAUUGUCUCAAUCCCAUGAGAUAUCAUGGUGCCUAUAUUGUGAAUUCCUAUUACCAUCAACCUUUAUCAAUAAUGACCCAAUCCAUAUGGAUAUAUAACCACUUUAGGGUCUCACCCAAAUGUUAAACCCUCCUAUUUAUUUUGGAAUAUACUGAAUAUCCUUUUAAGGUUAAAAGUCCAUGCAGUAUGGUAACUUGGUAAAUCAUGAUAAUCGAUAACCUUGUGUCAUGAUUGACUGUAGGCCUUGUCUAAUAUUCAUCACAUACACUAGUGCACUCACCAUAGGAAAUCCAUCCAGAUGGCCAAGACAAGUCACCCCUCCAAUUAGGAGGUGAUGCACUAGAGUCUCUACUAGAUUGCCCAAAUCCAUGAACCAGCGGUGGACAACUUAUCUACUUGCAAGGAACCCAUGACUUGUAUCUUUUGUGCAACUGCUAAUGCACCCAAGUCAUGUACAAUGUAAGAGACAUGGACUAAAUGCUCAAAUCAUUGUUAGUACACUAAAAGGAUAGCAAAGGGAUGGUUAAGUCUAACUUUGUUACAUCAUAUCUUGCUUUCAAAGGCUCAAUCCUAACAAACUCCCACUAGCCCUAAAAGCAAACUAGGCAUCAUAGAAAAAUUUUUGUUCCAUGUCUCAUCACAUCUUUAUACUAUCUCAUUAUAAAGUAACACUUCUUAUUUAUGUGUUUCCUCUUCUGGUGAUACUUCAAUUCUUUAGACCAUGCCAUUGUCCCGUUGUUAUCACAUAACAGGAUCUUAGAUGAUAUAGCCAAGGGAAAUACCAAUAAGCCAAAAGGCUUUCUUUGUUGCUAUAAAAACAACAAAAAAGAAAAACCCCACUUCGAGUGUACACAUACCUAGAGGUAGACUUAUAAGAGUCCUUAUCAGACCGAAGUCCAAUUUCCUAGUAUGAAAUGAGUACUAACUCAUCGCAAAGGAUCACAACAUAUAAUUCCUUAUUUUCCAAAGAUACUAGAGUAUAUGUUUGACAUCUGGCCAAAGCUCUAAUAAGGAAAUGGACUAAUAUCCACUCAUUAUUCAUACAACAAAGCAAAUAUCUGGUCUAUCACAUAACAUCGCAUAUUUAAGGCAAUUCAUUAUAGAGGCAUUGGAUAUCGCCUUAAUGUGAUCUCUCUCCAUAGAUGUCUAAGGUCAUUGAUCAUAAGAAAGACAAGUCUAAAACUAAAUAGUAACAAACCUUCUUAGAGUUUUGCAUCAUAUACUUGACCAAAUGCUCAUCCAUGUAGGUGACAUGGUGCAAUUCUCCUAUUCUUGUAAUCCUGAAGGAUCAUAACCCGAAGAAUAUAUUGCAUCUUCCUCUAGAUUUUCAUCCAGAAUUGAGUAGACUAUUAGUUCUUGACUGAUGACAAUAUCCCUACAUCAUAUCUAAUGAGUAGAUUUUCAUCUACCUGUAAGAUCUUUGAGCAUCACUAUGCUUUCUUGUGUCUUUUUAUACACACAAGGCUAUUUGCUAUGAAAAUGUUUGGUUGUUAUGUCUUACAAAUGAGACACACUGCAAUAGAUAGUAGUAAUAUGAUGGAUUUGAGUAUGAUCACUAUUGAAAAGGUUUUCCAUAGUUGAAACAAAUUUCAAAAUGAAUCGCAAUUCGGAGUUGAAAUGAGGGAGUUGUAGUCGAUUGAAACUAGGUUGCACAAUGAGCAUGGAAGCACAAUGAUGUUGACUUCAACUCAAAAUUGGGGCUACCUCCCAUGAGCUUUUUGAGGCAAACCACAUAUGGUUUUGAAGCUUAAGAAGUCAGAAAUCCAAUACUUCAAACGGAUUUCAAUUUGGAGUUGAAGAAACAAGGGAGAUUUGGUUGAUUGAAGCUAAGUUGCACAAAGGGCAUGUAAUUACGAGAUGGAGUUCAAGCCAAAUUAUUUUUGGUUGUUUGGGCUCAUUUUUUGGGCCUCUUUUUGGGCUCUUUUAGUGGCAAUUAGGCCCGUUGGGUUUUUCUUUUUUUACUAACCCUAUUUUUGGUUGCAGGGCUAUUUUGAUAAUUUGGAUUCUAUCCAAGUUUUAGAUACCAAUUUUGCAACAAGAUCCCUAAGGCCAUGAGAAUUAUUUAUUUAAUUUUCUUUCAUGUCUUUUAUACUUUUUUUUUUAGAUAAUUUAUUAAAUUGGAAUGUGCUAGGACUUAGGAAAUUUUUAUUUUAGGUAAAGACAAGUUGGAAAUAAAUAAGGAACCUACUUCAUUUUCAAAAUUAAACUUUUAGAGAUUUUUUUUUAAAUAAAUCUUUUUAGAUUUUAGAUCUCUAAGAAUCUUUUUAUUUUAAGGAAGAAGUUUUUUUUUUUUUUUUCAGGUUUUUUUGAAAUAAAAUUAUUUCUAUUUAGCACAAGAUUCUAAAAUAAAGAAAUAAAUUAUUUUUGGAAAAAUAUAUGAUAGAUAAUUCAUGAUUAAGAUAGCUUACCAAGAUAUUGUUUCAAAUAAAAUAAAUUAAAAUGGUAAUUUUGGAUUUUCUUAAAAGAAUAAAUUUUCAUGAGUUUUAUUUCCAUUAUUAUUUAGUUAACAAAUUGGUUGUUGUCAUUUGGAAUUUCAAAUUCCUUUUGGGACUUUUUUUUUUGGGUUAGAUAGUUUUCUAAGCUCUCUCUCUCUCUCUCUCUCUCUCUCUCUCUCCUCCCCCCCCUUCCCCCUCUCCCCUAGAGAGAAGGAGAAUGACACGUACAUUGGUCCUCCAGGCUUUUCCUCCUUGAGAGAAAGAGAAAAUCGUUUAGUUUGAAAAUGAAAGUUCAAGGAUAAGGAAUAUGAAAGAUAUCCUUAAUUGGCAUAGGAGUCCCAAUUCAAGUAAUAAAUAAAAGUUUUGGAAAUUUUCAUGAUAGAUAAUUUAUUUUAAGAUGGAUUAUUUUAAAAUUAUCUUAAAGUCUCUCUUCCAAAAUAUUAAGUGGGAGCGGGCCAUAGGCAAGAGCCCAUCUUGAUUUCCAUCCUAAAGAUGGGGUGGCCCAAGGAAUCAAGGGAUAUGGACUAUCCUUUAUGGACAAGACUAUAUAUGUUUAUAGUAAGAGUGGCCAAUCCUAAAGAUAGAACUCUUCACUUCGUAACAUUGAUGUUAAGGAUCUUGAUUACUCAUUUAACUUAGAAAUGAAGUGGUAGAAUCACCUAAAGUGGUCCCACUUGCAUGGGCUAAGGGCUCAACAUAAAGGUAUGUUGAUCAAUGCCUUAGGAUAACCUUUGGAAGUUUAAGGCAGGUUGAUUAAUUAGAGAGGGUCUCUACCUAGUAAUAAGAGUCAUAACCUGCCUAAAGUAAGCUUGAUUCUUAUGAUACUAGGUUACCUUGCAUAGAUACAUAUAGUUUGAGAGCACUACAGUUUUGCUAAAUUAAUUACCAAUUUGCCUUAAAUGCUCAAUUCCUUUUAUUAAUGCAUGGAAUUAUUAUUUUUAUUAUGGAUAUCAUGUCUUUAAUCUAUCACAUUUUAUCUUUUGUUUAAAUUGGACCUAAUUUUAAAUUAGAAAUAAUCUGGAUAUAGUAUUAGUUGCAUAGAAGCUGUUUUUGGUAGAGUUUGUUAUUUCCUUUGAACAAACCUAUCAUCAAGUAAGAGAAACAUAUCAAAGGUGGCAUAAGACGGAUCAAAAGACUAAGUCUCUCAUACUUGGGUCUUUAGAUAAUGUGUUGCAAAAGAAACACAUGUCUAUUGUCGUAGUCUAUGAUAUUCUCUUCAAAGUUGCAAAGGUUAUUUGGUGAUAAGGGCAAGUCAACUAAACAACUUGCCCUUAAGACUAUUAUGAACACUAGGAUUCAUGUUAUCUUAGAGAUCUUACUAGAUUCUUUUGGGAUGGGUAAGAAGAUUCUCAAAGAGUGGAAGGGUGUUCAUAUGGAAGUCAAGGUUCUUCAAGCUCUUCUAACACUAUCUCAAGCUACCUACAUAGAUAAGAUUUUGGUCAAGUGUGUGAUGUGGGAUUCCAAGAAAGGUUUGUUACCUUUUAAGCAUAGAAUUCCCCUUUCUCUAAAUCAGUGUGUGCUAAAACACUUGAGAAGAAUGAGUGCAUGUAGUUAAUACUUUAUGCCUCUGUAGUGGGUAGUCUUAUGUAUUUGAUGCUAUGUACUAGGCCAAAUAUUUUUUUUGCAGUGGGUAUGGUGAGUAGAUAUCAGUCUAAUCUAGUUGCAAAACAUUGGACAACAGUCAAGCAUUUACUCAAGUACCUUAGGAGAAUGAGAGAUUGUGUUUGUGCUCCAAAGUGUUGAGAUAGUUUAAAGGGUGACAUGAUGGUUGACAAGAUACCUUUUGUGAAGAACCUAGUGGAUCUCUUCACCAAGACAUUGUCAGGGAGAGUCUUUGAUGGUCACAAGGAUAACACAGGUUUCAAAUGAGUGUCUAACAUGCUUUAUAGGCAUGAUGUUUUGAGGGCUAGUGGGAGAAUGUUAGGAUAUAGCCCUUAAAAGCAUGGCAUGAUGUAAUAAAUUUGGAAUUCAUUAUUUAUUUAACGAUGUUCCAGUUUCACUUUUAUCGAUCCUUAUUCCAUGUAUUAUACUUUAUGAGCAUUCUUGCCUACAUCUUUUGCAUUGUAUGUGACUUAGGUACAUUAGGAGCUUCAUAGAAGAUCUAAGUCAUGGGUUCCUUACAAGUAGAUGACUUGUUCACAACUGGUUCAUGGGUCUAAGCAACCCAUUAGAAGGGCACCACCUCCUAAUUGGAGGGAUUAGACUAGUCUUGGCUAUCGGGAUGGUUUUUCCAUGGUGAGUGCAUUAGUGUGUAUGGUUACAUAUUGGACAAGACCUAUAGUGAGUCACGACUUAAGGCUAUCAANNNNNNNNNNNNNNNNNNNNNNNNNNNNNNNNNNNNNNNNNNNNNNNNNNNNNNNNNNNNNNNNNNNNNNNNNNNNNNNNNNNNNNNNNNNNNNNNNNNNAUAUUGGACAAGACCUAUAGUGAGUCACGACUUAAGGCUAUCAAGUAGUCAUGACCUCACCAAGCUGCUUCAUUAUGUUGUCUCUCAACCUUGAGAGAAUAUUAAGCUUGUGCUAAAGUUAGUAAUGACUUUGAUCUACGGGUAAGAACAUAAGCUGAUCAUAUAUUCCCUAUGGAUUAGGUCACUACUGAUGGAAGCCGGUAGCAAUAGGUAUUCUCAAUAGAGGCACCAUGAUAUCUUUUAGGAUCGAGACAGUGUGUCCCCUUUGGUUAUCAUAAGGAGGUGUGUUCAUGGAAACUAUGGUCAUAGUAGUUCCUUAAGUAAAACUUGACAUAAACUCUUUGAGAGUUAAGAUAUGUAAAUUGAACAUACAAUGGGAGGAUCCGUAACUUAAGGAUGGUAAAGGUCUUGAAAGGCUAAUAGAUUUCACCUAGUUAGACUAUGGACACCAGCUCAUAGGAAGACUGAACACAAUGGAUAGCAAAUCAUAGACCCAAGCACUUGGUGUCUCAUUGUUAUUUACAUAGGAUACUGGAGUUCAGUUGAUUCUCUAUAGUAGGAUGUUGAAUCAACUUUAGAAUUAGAUUCUAAGGGAGCUAGUAUUCCUAUGGGUCCCAAUGGUCCCCGCUCUGAGCUCAUUUACCUUGUUGGCAUGGGUUAUGAGGGUCAGAUUGGCUCUAGGUUCACUUUUGUGCAUAAGGACGUUUUGGUAAUUAAGUAAAGUUGUAUAGGGAUAAGUGAACAAGGUCUCUAGAUUGGGUUAAUUGUUUAAUUAGUAGGCCCUAUUGGGUUAAUUAAUCAAUUAGGACCCAUUUUGGGCUAGAUUUAGUUACCCAAGUGCAUGUGGGCUCAAGUAAGUUAAGCCCACUUAGGAACCCUAUAAAUACCCUCUAGGGGCUAGGGUUUCCAUAACUUUUUGUCUUCCAUCAUCUAGAGAGAUAGAGAGUCAUAACCUUCACCCUCUUUUCCUCUCCAUCGAAAGUGUGUGAAGAUCAAGGUUCGAGUCAUCGGGCAAAAUAUCGUAGGUUUAGAGCAGGUUGUGUAUGAUAUUUGAUUACUCACCAAAAUUUAAAUAAACCAAAUGCCUGAAGAAUUCUAAUAAUUGUGAAAAUUUCUCACAGCUCAGCUUCAAUCAGGCUGUGUACCAUAGAAGAUGAGUUUCUUAGAAUCUCUUGAAUUUUCUAAUUCAAAAUACAAGUUUGACUUUGAGAAUUGACCAAGAAAUUAAUCAAACACAGUAUUUUAGAACAAAUUUAAAAUAUAUGUAGAAUAUUUUUAAAAUUUUGACCUCGCAUAUAUACAGUACCUUUAUCAAGAUUAGUCAAUAUAUGUAGAAAAGUCAGCGCUAUAUAAUCAUAAUCCAUCAAAGAUACACUAUUUGCUACUGUGGGCGUACCGGCCAUUAGUAAUGGGCCAAAAUGUUCUCCAUGAUUAAAAAUAAAAUACAAUCAUGGCAUAAAAAUCUUGACCCUCAUUUUCAAGAGGUGACUUUCUCCAAGAAAGAAUUAUUUUCCUUUUUAUUUUCUCAUGGGGAGAAAGUUGGAGAUUCACAUUGUUUAUAUUUUUAUAAUAGUUUUAGAGUAGUUUUAAAGCUUCCAAAAAUUUCUCCCUUAUUUUUAUUUAGUAGGUUGGCUCAGUCCACUUGGUACCCAAAAACAAACCCAAUAAAUAAUUAUUUAUUGAAUUUGGUCAAUCCCAAUGUUUUCAAAACCGAAUUAGACAUUGAAUUAGAAAAAUUAUCGAUUCAUAGUUCACUGGUCAGACUAGUGACCGAACUGGUGACAUCAUAAAUACAUAAUUUAUAUUUUAUUAAAAUUAAAAAUAAUUUUAAAAUAUAUAUAUAAUUAAAAAUUAAUAAUAUUUGUAAUAUUAUUUAUUCAUUUUAUAUAAAUUUAUUAAUAUUUUAAAUUUAUUAAUAUAUGUAUAUAUAUAUAUAUAUAUAUAGAAUAUUUAAAUAUGAAAAUAUAUUGAAAAUGGGUAUAUAUAUAUAUAGGUAGUCUUUGAGUCAACAUGCAUAACAAGAUUGGACAUCAAUUAAUUCAUUUAAUAAUUAUGUUGAUUAGUUUAAUUAUACUUUUUAAAAUAUUUAACUCAUAUUUAACACAUUUUUAAUUUGAUUUUAAAUAAAUAGGUUAAUUGAGUUAUAAAUAUAUUAAUCAUAUAAAUUAACACAAGACCUAACUCAACCUAAUUAUUAAAUGGGACAAAUGAGUUAUACGAUAUGUUACUUGUUUAGUAAUUAUGUAGUAUUUUAGGUUUACGUUUUUAAUCAAAUUAUUAUUCGUGUCAAGUUUGACAUAACACACAUAUGACCCACCAACACAAAUUGUAACCCCUAAGCUUGUUCACUCAAAAAGUAAAUUUAUACUAAUAUUUAAUUACCUAGUUUAAACUAGUAGGAAUAUUUUUAAAUUAUUGCUUAGUUUUUUUAAAAUUUUUAAUAUUGACAUAUGUAUAUAGUUUCUCUAAAGACAUUUCAUUGAUGUAGAAUUCCAAAUAUAAUUUGUCUAUAUAAAGAUAUCAUAUAUUUUUAAUAAAUAUAUAUUGUAAGUUAAAUAUUAUAUUGUAUAAUAUGUUGUACUAUAUGCAUAAGUAAUACAUUACUAUUUUACAAAAUAAAAAAUACACUAUAUAAUAGUAAUAUAUUAUAUACAUAAAAAGUUUUUGUGUGUAAAGUAUCCAACCACAUUUUAAUUAAUAAUUGAUUAUUUUAUUUUUAAAUAAUCUAAUUAUGUAUUUAUUAUUUUUAAUUAUUAAUAACUAAUUUUUCAAAAGUGAUUUGUUAUUAAGAAUAAAAUCAUAAAUUAUGCCAUAAAAGUAGUAAUUGUUGUACAUACUAAUUUGUUAAGGAUUAUUAUUAUUAUUAUUAUUAUUUUACUUGCAUACAUUGUUUAAUAAAAUAUUUAUUUUAAGUUUUAAAUUCCUUACUUUAAAUUUUCAAUUUUAUUUUUAGUCUAAUUUUUAAUCUAUAAAUUCUAAUUUUUAAUUUUUAAAAUUUUAAUUCCUAAAUUUUAAAGGGGAAAUCAUGUAACCAUACAUCACCAAUAAAAUAAAUAAAUGAGAUUUUUAGAACUUUGCUUUUACCUUUUUAAUUUUAAUGUAAGAUGAGAAAAAAUAUUGCCUAUUCAUGUAUUUCAAUAGUGCUUUCAGAUUUGUUUCAUAAUUACUCUUGAAAGUAAAUGACAAAACACACAUCACUUUAAUACCACCUAUUGACAAGUACAUGAAUAAUUUAUUUUUCUUAUUUCUCUCACAUCAACUCUCUCACAUGUCUCACUUACCACUUGCCACAUUUCCACUUUUUUCUUUUUUCUUUCUUUCUUUUUUUCCCCCUCUUUUACCACCAUAAUCCUUAGUCACCUAUUAUAUUUUUCACUACUAUUUUUUUUCCUUUGAUAUUCUUUUUAAUAAGCUCAUAUAUUUUGUCAUAAAACUUCUUUAAUUUUAAUUUUUUUCACUCUCUAAUUUCUCUAUAUUUAUUUAUUACAAUUAUAAUUUUUUGGACAUAUUAUACUUAAAAUGAUAAUGUAUAAUAAAUAGUUAAUAUAACAAAUAAAAUAAAAUAUAUGUAUAAUGGAAAAAAAUGAAAAUAUUAUCCCACAAAUAAUGUACUUGAUGAUUUUAAAUAUUAAUUAUAUGAAUAUAUUUAAUAAAUUAAGGUUUAAAUUUAAAUAUUUUAUUUUAUUAUUUAGAGGUUUAUGAUAUAAGAUUUUUUUAUAUUAAUGCUAAACAAAAGAUUUAUUUAUUUUGUAAAUUCUAUCACAUGUAAAAGUAAAAAUAUCUUUAUAAUACUAUUUUAUUAUUUAUAUUAUUUUUAAAAUUUUUAUUUUAAAUUUAUCACAUCAAAAUCAGAAUAAGUUAUUGUGCUUUUAUCUCUUUUCUUAUGAUUUUAAUUUGAUUUUGGAUCUAACAUUUUGUUUGUUUAAAAUCUUUAAUUUUUAAUUAAAAUAAAAUAUAAAAGAAAAUAUAUUUUCAUAAAAAAAAUUGUGUUUAACCUUUCAUAUUAAUUUUAUAAAAAAUAAGUACAUCCAUAAGAAAAAUAGGUAAAUCCAUACCUAGGGGAAUCGAGACCCCUAUCAUCCUUGUCAUGGUCUAUAUAUUCCUUUGGGACCCUUGAUAAGUGAUUAGAGGUCCUUGCCUACCCCAGAAUGAACUUUGGAAUCCUAGGUACAUCCAUUCUUAAGAGAACCAAGACCCUUAUCUCAAUUCUCAUGGUUCAUAUAUUCCUUUAGGGAUCCUCGAGAAUGAAUUAUAGGUUGUUCUUCACCUUGGAUCAGACAUUAGAACCCAAGGUAUAUCCUAAAGAAAAUUUGGUACAUUUGAUCCUUGGGCUACCGAAACCCUUAUAUCCCUUCCCAUAGUCUAUUUGAUACUUUGGGGACUCUUGAGAAGUGAAUGGAGGUCGUUUCUAAUCUCGGAAUGGACUUUGAAACCUUAAGUACAUCCUUAAAAAAAUUUGUUACAUCAAAUUCUCAAGCUAUCGGGACCCUAUCUCCUUUCCCAAGGUCCAUUUGUUCAUUUAGGGAUCCUCGGGAAGUGAUUGGAGGCUAUUCCUCACCCCAAAAUGGACUUUUAAACCCUAAAUACAUCUUUAAGAAAAUUUGGUAUAUCUUAUCCUCUGGCUACCCCAUAUCGCUUCUUAUGGUCCAUUUGAUCAUUUAGAGACCAUUUAGAACUUCUUAUAUAAACAAAAAUAGAAUUAUAAAAUUCUUAUAAGAAAUAAAAUUUUUAUGACUUCUACAUGAAACCUUUUUUUUUUAAGUUAUAAGUUUUUUUAAAAAUAAUUAAAUAGGUAUAAAAACUUUUAUUUAACUCUUAAAAGUCAAUCCAAAUAAAAUUUAUAUAUAUAUAUAUAUAUAUAUAUAUAUAUAUUUGAAAAUCACUUUUAAAAAUCCAAAAAAUCACUUGAAAAUACUUUCCAAAACUUUUUUUAACUUACAUUUAAAAAAUAAAAAAUAAAAAAUGAUUAGUUUUUACUAGUUAUUUAAAUUUCAGGAAGCGAGAAAGAAUUUACUCUGAUGUAAAAAAAAUGAGAGAAAAGUAAUUAAAUCACUAAAAAAUAGACUUGGAGUUCCUUUGGUGUGCGGUUAGACUCAAUUUGUCCCCAUGCAAUGGAAAUGGACAAUAUUUUAUUUUUUUAUUUUUUUCCUUUUCCUUUAUGUUGGUGUAGUCUUGUGAUAUUGUUACUAAAAUAGGAGGUAAAAAUAUAAAUUAUACAUCCAUUAUUUUAAAUUUAGAAAAAAGUGCUUAUUUUAAUUUGAAAUAAAUAAAUAGAAAAAAAAACUGAUUUUAUCUCAAUUGUGUAAGACUUCAAAAAAAAUUUCUUAUUUGCAAAAUAUUUUGAGUUGUAAAAGUAAAAAUUAAACAAACCAUUUCAUGACCUUUUUCACAAGUAUCCAUUUAGAUCAUAGUCUAGUUUUAAAAUAUUUGAAUAAUCCAAUUACUCUAAACUAUAUCAUUUAUAAUUUUUUAAAUUAUUACUAUCAUACCUAACCUUGUAUGGAAUUGGAAUAAAAUAUGGAUAAGUAAAAGAUGUCAAAUGAAAGAUAAUUUCAAACUUUUCUAAUACAGCAUGAUAUUUUAUCAUGUUGAAUAAAAUUGGAAUGGACAAAAGUUGUCAAAUCAAGACUUCCAUGGCAAAUUCCACCAUUGCAUAUCUCAAAUAUUAUUCUACAACAUUAUCUUUGUAGACUUUUAACAAUCCAAGAAAUUGACAAAUUAUAUAAUAAUCCCAAACACAAUAUUCUACAACUUUACAAUAUUCUACAAUUUUUUGGAAUAAAAAAUAAAUAAUGAAAUCUACAACUUUAAAAUAUUCUACACUUUUUUUGAACAAAAAAAAAUAAAUAAUGAAAUCUUUGGCAUGUUAAUUCUUUGCAGCUUCAACAUGGUGGCAUGUCGGAUGGCGGAGGCAGCAUUUGAGCUUCUGGGUGUUUACAAUAUCUAUUGUUGUUAUUUAAAGGAAUCAUUGAAAUGAUUGCAUGAAAGAUUUAUUCCAUAGCCUAAAAUAAAUAUUGGCUUUAUAUAUAUAUAUGUGUGUGUGUGUGUGUGUGUGUGUGUGUGUGUUUGCUCAAAUGAUAGGCCGGUUUUAAGCCAUAAUAAUAAUAAUUGUAUUAUUGUAUUAUUGAAAUAAAAAGGUUAUUGUAUUAUUAUUUAUUUUUUUGAUUGAAUAGAAAAAAUCAAAAUAUUUGAUUUCUUUUUAUUCAACUAAAAGUAACUUGUUGAUAUACAAACACCCCAUCUCAGUGACUAUCAAACACGUACUCUUGUUAACANNNNNNNNNNNNNNNNNNNNNNNNNNNNNNNNNNNNNNNNNNNNNNNNNNNNNNNNNNNNNNNNNNNNNNNNNNNNNNNNNNNNNNNNNNNNNNNNNNNNUAAGCCAUAAUAAUAAUCAUUAUUUUACUUAUUAUUGAAAAAUAUAAGGUUGUUGAUAUCAACAAGUUACUUUUAGUUGAAUAGAAAAAAAAAUAUUUUAGCUUUUUUUAUUCAAUAAAAAAGCAAACAUAUCUAAAUUUAUAUAAUAAAAAUGCUUUAACUAGAAAUGAAUUUCAUAUGGACCACUAUCAAAUACCAUGCAUAGGGAGAAAUCCAGAUCCUCACUUGCUCUUUGAUUUUAAUGCAUUGAAUUUGAUGUUGCCUAAAACAAAUUAUAUUUCAUGUCCUGUAUUAUGAGUAGACAACCAUUCCUUAUGUUGGAUUUUAGAUAAAGAAUGGAUAUUGGAGAUUGGAGUUGUAAGAAAUUAGGAGAUCCUAAUUUUAAAUAUGUAACAAAGUUCUAUAAUCGCCUCAAUCCAUGUUUUAAAAAUUGUAUUUCUUUCUAAUAUUGGAGCAAACUUUUUCUUUGUUUCUUAUAAAUUUCAUUUGGGAAUGAUUUAAAAAUAAAUAAAUAAAAUCCCUUCUAAAUAUUAAAAAGUAACACUUUCUUAUAAAAAUUAAUUAGGUGGAUGGUAAGGUAAAAUUCAGGAUAACUUCAUAUUUUUUGCUUUAAUUGAAAAUUAAAAUCAAAAUUAAAGUAAUAAUUUUUAAGGGGAAAUAUUGAUAUUGUAAAACUUUUAUUAAACAUGAAAUAAUUUCUUAUAUAAACAAAAAUAGAAUUAUAAAAUUCUUAUAAGAAAUAACAUUUUUAUGACUUCUACAUGAAACCUUUUUUUUUAACUUAUAAGUUUUAAAAAAAUAAUAAUUAAAUAGGUAUAAAAACUUUGAUCUAACUCUUAAAAGUCAAUCCAAAUAAAAUUUAUAUAUAUAUACAUUUGAAAAUCACUUUUAAAAAUCCAAAAAAACACUUAAAAAUAAUUUCUAAAUAGUUUUUUUAACUUACAUUUAAAAAACAAAAAAAUUUAAAAUGAUUUGUUUUUACUAGUUAUUUAAAUUAAGGAAGCAGGAAAGGGUUUGCUCUAAUGUAAAAUAAAAAAAAAAAAAAAUGAGGGCUGAAAAGUAAUUAAAUCACUAAAAAUAGACUUGGUGUUCCUUCAGUGUGCAGUUAAACUCAAUUUGUCCCCAUGCAAUGGAAAUGGAAGAUUUUUUAUUUUUUAUUUUUUAUUUUUUUCCUUUUCCUUUAUCUUGGUGUGGUCUUGUGAUAUUGUUACUAAAAUAGGAGGUAAAAAUAUAAAUUAUAUAUCAAUUAUUUUAAAUUUAGGAAAAAAAAGUGCUUAUUUUAAUUUGAAAUAAAUAAGUAGAAAAAAACUGAUUUUAUCUCAAUUGUGAAAGACUUCAUUAAAAUUUUCUUAUUUGCAAAAUAUUUUGAGUUGUAAAAGUAAAAAUUAAACAAAUCAUUUCAUGACCUUUUUCACAACAUGAUAUUUUAUCAUGAUGAAUAAAAUUGGAAUGGUCAAAAGUUGUCAAAUCAAGACUUCCAUGGCAAAUUCCACCAUUGCAUAUUCAAAGACUAUUCUACAACAUUAUCUUUGUAGACUUUUAACAAUCCAAGAAAUUGACAAAUUAUAUAAUAAUCCCAAACACAAUAUUCUACAACUUUACAUUAUUUUUUUUAUUUUAAUACAAGAGAAAUCCUUAGUCAACAAUUUUUUUGAACAAAAAAUAAAUAAUGAAAUCUACAACUUUACAAUAUUCUACAAUUUUUUUGAACAAAAAAAUAAAUAAUGAAAUCUGAAUAAUGCAAACAAUCACUGAAAUCUUUGGCAUGUUAAUUCUUUGCAGCUUCAACAUGGUGGCAUGUCAGAUGGCGGAGGCAACAUUUGAGCUUCUGGGUGUUUACCAUUUUUCACUAUGAACGCAGUUUCCAUGCCCCAAGUCAGAUGGCGUUCUACAUGGCAGUGCAUGAACCACACCCCUGCAAUAGAGAAAACAUACCAACAUUACACCUAAUUUAUUGCAAUAUUAAGAAAAAUUAUUCCCUUGGUAUGCAGGUUGGCAGUUUCAAGGGUUUUUUUUAAUAGAGGACAUGAGUGCUUGCAACAUACCAGGGUUGGAUGCCUCGAAUCUGAUUGCAACCCAACCAUUCGUAGGAACAGAGAUGGUACUCUGAAGGGGAGGAUCCACUAGAUUAUAGCGCAAAGGGUCCCUAUUUUUAUCAAAAUUCCCAAAUCCCCAUCCAACAAGGUAGAAUCUAUAUCCAUGGAGAUGCAUGGGGUGGUGUGUCCCUGAAACCAAGUUUGUCCCUUGAAAAACAAUCUCCACUGUGGAGUUAUACUCGACCACCCUUACUUCUGUUCCAAUUUCCGGCGUUUGAUACUCCAAUGGAAGAUAAUCAGCUGUAAAAUCGAACACCAAUGGUGGAACGCUAGGAAAUUUAUCUCCAUAUACACCACUGAUGUUAUAAUAGUAAGCUUGUAGUAUGUCAAUCGUAGGGGAUUGGAAGCUUAUGUUGUUUAUACUUGCAGAGAGCCGCGUCCCAUUGGGCCCUGCACAUGAAUUAUUGGGGCAUAGGAACGAGUUUACAGAAAUAGUGUAAAUUAGUUUAGUGCUCGGGCUCAAUGGGACAUUGGAAGGAUGUUCCGCAUCUGCUAAGCUUCGAAGGCUAGCCAUGACCUGAACCGAUGCAUUUGUGUCAUUGUAUGCAGGAAAAUGAGGCAAAGAGGGAGGUGAAGAUGGAGUGUAGUAUCCUCUGUAUUGUACAAUAGCUGUGGUGGUUGUGUUAUCAUAAAAAUUUUGAGCUACCGGGGCAAUGGAAUAAGUUUUAGCCGCCAUGUAAUAGUGAUCCAGGCGUUGGUUAGCUUCUAGUAAGACAUCGAAGGUUUGGCCAGGAUAUAUUGUGAUAUAAUCUUGUGUCAAUGGUUUCGUGUAGCUACCAUCUAUUCCAACCACUGUCAUUUUAUGCUUGGCAAUUGAGAAGAAGAGAGCCUCUUGCAAAGCAGCAUUGAUUAUGCGAAGUAGAUAGGUCUUUCCAUGAUCCACCGUUAGCUUGAAUGUGCCUACAAUUAGAAAAGGAAAGUUGUAUACUUACGACUAGCGAAAAGAAAAGGAAAAACUUUCCAUGAGUAUCCACUAAUUAUGAAGUGAUUGAUUGAUUAGGGGUGUAAAUUUGGCUCCACAGUUCAAAAUUAUAUUUAGACUAGCCUUUUCAUAUGUGUUAAAUCAUGGCUCUACCAUCCUCAUAACUAUAUUCAUCUUUCUUAGCAUUAAGUUUUAAAUAUGUUGAUGUUAAUAAGAAAAAGUAAUAUGGUUAACAUACAAGAAAAUGAGAUCAGUGUACAAUUUUAAAAUGGGAAGUUAAACUUUAUACUUGAUUUUGAGCAUGGAUAUAGAUCACCGGGUUGUCCAUUUAUCAAUAAAGAAUCAGAGGCAUUGGGGUCAGCUCCGGUUGCAAGCCCUUCAUCUCGAACCGCAUUCACAUCACUCUUCCACCAUUGUCCUGCAUUUCAACAACUCCAAUAAUUUAGAUUUUGCUUUGUUGGUUAAUUCAUGAUAUGUAAAUUAACCUUUAAAAGCAACUACACUUAUACCUAAUAUGAUGGGAACUUCUGCGCUAGGUUUGGGAAAAGGAUACUUGGUUCCAUUCUUGGGAUAGACGAUUAUAGCUCCAUGAACGGUGGCUCGGGUCCAGUCACUGUGAGCAUGCCACCAUAGAGUGCCUUCCUCAGAGGAAAGGAUGAUCUUUUGGCUAAACUUUGACCCUGGUUGAAUUGGGCAUUGUGUGAUAUACUCGGGACCAUCUGUCCAUGGAUAUCUAGGCAUGCUCACCCCAUGCCUGCAAAACAAUAACUAUACGUUAAAACUAGUACUAAUUUUCAGGCUAACAAAAGAUGGCAUGUAGCAACAUAUUAUCACAGUAACAAGAGGCAUCAACUGUAUUUCAAUGGAACUGAUGCAAAUAACCCUAAGAUAUUAUUUUAAAUUCAACUUUAUUUGCAAAGCAAUACAUUGCAGCCCCCUCUUAGAAAUAAAAGAUUGUAUGUCAUGCAGGCAUGCUGCCCACUACUAUCUUUCUCCGAGACAUGCAUGGGACCUACCAGUGAAUGGUGACAUUUUCUUUUCCCCUGUUAUAAACGUCAACAAUGAUCGUCUCUCCUUUCUUAGCAUAUAUAGUUGGUCCUGGAAAUUGUCCAUUUACCGUUAAGAUGUUCUUGGUGCUACAAAGCCUUGUAUAUGAAGCCUCCUUCACCUGCAACCAAUUAAAAGUUAACCAUGCAACCUCAUCCCAAAAGAAAUAUUACAUGCAUGAAUAGUUGCAUCGAUCCAUUCAUGCAAGUGUAUAACCAAUUAGAAAUUGAUAGCAUGCAUGAACGACUCAAUGACACCAGGGUACCCGAAGAGACCCCAUGAGGGUCAUACGGUGGAAAAUGAGAGCCACACUGCUCCAUAAAUAUUAUGAUCAGAAGUGGCAUUAAGGCAUAAUCAUAUAAAGUAUUUACCACAAAAGUAAGCCGACGAGUUGAAGCUUGGCAAUGGAUGCCACCACCAAAAAGUAGAAACGCUGAAAUUUGCAAGAGGAAAACCUUCAUGAUCAGCCACAUCUUCUUUGGAAUAAAAGCCUCUUCUCUUGUCCUAAACACAACUCCUUCAAUUUUCUUACUAUUUCUAAUAAGCACGACUUAUCUUCUCUCUGACAUGAAUAGAUGAAUUCUUAAAGGUAUUUAUAGAGGCUGGAGGUGAAAGCUGAACAGCUGGUUUCUCUCCAACUUUUGCUGUAUUUCUUUAAUAUAUAAUUCAGAAUCUAUUGAAGAUGAUUUUCCUGGGGUACAACCAUUCCUCGCCGAGUAUCAAUAUAAGAGAAGUAAUUUGAAUGUGUAUUGGUUUUGAACGUUCUUCCAGGACCGCUUCAAAGAGCAGGUUGUGUAUGAUAUGAAGACGAGUUUCUUAGAAUCUCUUGAAUUUUCUAAUUCAAAAUACAAGUUUGACUUUGAGAAUUGACCAAGAAAUUAAUCAAGCACAUUAUUUUAGAAUAAAUUUAAAAUAUAUGUAGAAUACUUUUAAAACUUUGACCUCGGAUAUAUACGGUACCUUUAUCAAGAUUAGUUGGCGCUGCUUUGAGAAGGAAUAUAGGAUUCCUUCUCAAAUCAUUCAAAUCAUUCUAAUGAACCGGAUCGAAAAUUCCUUGUCCAGUUGGAGGGUCAAUCCAGACAUUCAAAUCUUUUUUUCUUUUUCUUUUUUUCUUUUUUGAAUAUUAAAAUUAGGUAAGCAAUGAAAUCAUUCAAUAUACUCAUCUAUUGUUCAUAACAUCAGCAUCUGCCAAUUGUUUAUUGUACAUUUUCAAACAUUCAGACAUUUUCAAACAUCAAAUCUCCACUUUUUUAAAAUAAUAAUAAUAAUAAUAAAUAAUUAUAGAUUUAAAAAUAACUUUUUUCAGAACAAAUAAGAAAUAAUUCAAACUUUCUUGUUUGGUUUAUUGUACCAGAUACAAAGAAAAAUCAUUAUAUAAAUAAAUGAUGCAAAGAUGUAUAUAUUUUUAAAUUAUUUAUAAACAGAAAAAAUGAUGAAUAAAAUUUAAGACGUGAAAAUUUGAUCAAGUUAAUUUAAACUUCUUUUAUUUUUUUUCACUUUUUUUCUCCUAUUUUUUCACACCAUUUUUUUCUCACAUUUCCUUUUAAACUUUUGGAAUAAAUAUUUAUUUGUGGAGCUUUAAUAUAUAUUUUUUUCUCCAUAUUAUACAUAUUUAUGCAAUAUUUGGUUAACCUAUUUUGAAUUUCUAUUUUUACCUUAACAAGAAACAUUUCUUGAAAAUGAAGAUAAUUUUCUCCUUAUUUUCAAAUUUGUGUUUCUCCACUUUUUUUUUUUUUAAAUAAUAGUAAUAAAAAAUAAUUAUAGAUUUAAAAAUAACUUUUUUCAGAACAAAUACAAUAUAUAGCCGGCUUAUAAAAACUAUUAUCUAAAAAAAGGAAAAAACAAAAAAAGGAAAAGUAAAAUAAGAAAUAAUUCAAACUUCCGUAUUUGGUUUAUUGUACCAUAUACAAAUAGUUUUAAAUAAUAAAUUCGAAGAUCAUCCCAAACACUUUAAAGAGUUUUAGAAAUCAAUACUAAAUUCAAUCUUAAUUUAAAACUCCUAAAUAAUUAAUUGUAAAGUUGUUUUCAAAGGAAACCCUUCUUAUCUUGAUUUCCCCUCACUAAGAUACUUAAAAAGUGGAAUAAUAGAUAAGAGUGAACUUAAAACUCAAUUAAGAAAAUAGGUCAAUAAGGAAGAUCAAGUAUAGUACAAAGUUAAAUCUUAGGAGAUAUCACAUCUUUAUAAAAAAAAAAAAAAAUCAAUUAGUAGUUCAUUUAAUUCAAUAAUUAAAUUCAUUUUGUUAAAAAAAUUAUGCACUUUCAAUUUAAAGAUAGAAUUAAAUAAUAUACUUUACAUACUUAAAUUAUAUUUUAAAAAUUAUAAACAAACAUUUUACUCUGACUCAUUGAUAAUAACAUUGUGCCCAAAUAGUAGAACUUGCAUUAGAUGGCUAGUCUCACAUUGUGCCUUUUAGCAAUGGACAAAAUGAUUUAUAAUCAAUGAUAUACCAAAGGCGAAUAACACCCUUAUUAGCUAGAGUUACAUUAUCACUAUCCUCACCAAAGGUAACGCAGGUCAACAACUUCUCUCUUAAACCAAUGUAAUAAAUUAAAUGAUAAAAUUCAUUUGCAUAACAAUAAACAAAUCAUAUGAUAUUCCCAAUUUAUUUUAUAAACUAAGGAACAAAUCAUAACAUUUUUAGUAAAAUAUUAUUUGAUCCACUUUAAGGAACUUAAACAUUUUGAUAGUUUAAAAGUAGAUUUUAAAAAAUAAGAAAUUAUAAAAUGGUUUACUAUACUAUUAACCCUUACCUUGAAGAAAUCAUUCAAAAUCCUGAAAGACUUAAUCUACACCUAAUAUAAAUAUAAAUAAAAAAUAAUUAUUAAAGACUAAUUAUCUAAAUUAAUGACUUUCUAAAUUUUUGUAAAACUUAUUUUAAUUCCAAACCCUUUUCUAAAGUUCUAUUUUUUUAAUUAAAUUUUUUAUUAACCAUAUUAUUAUUAUCAUUUUCACUUCCCAUAAUUACAUUAACAGAUUUUGUUGAAUUAUUGAUGUUAAUAUUCCUUUUUUUCAUGGUAGGAAGUAGGUAAUUAUUUAUUAAUUUACUACUACUUUUACUUAUCUCCUACCCACAACCCAAAUCUUAUUAUUACUUGAUUAUUUCUUUACCACAACCACUUUCCUCAUUUCCUCAAUUCUUCUUCCUAUUAAUCUUCUGGUUAAAGAAAGAUAAAAGAAUCUAAAAAGCAAAUCACGCAUGAAGAACUUGCCUUAAAUUUCAUAAUGAAGCAAAUAAAAAAAGUUUCUUCUUUCUGACCCUUCGAACCAAACUUCUCUAUAGACCUUGCUAUUAUUUCUUUUUUUCUCUCUAUUUUAUCUUUUUAGUUUUUAAUAAUGUGGAGAAAUCAAUGGAAUUUAGGGGUAAAUUAUACUUUUGUCGCUAAAAGUAACUUUUAUCGAUGAAAUUUUAGAUGUUGUCAAUGGUGCCAAUUUUUUUUAAAAAAAUUCUAAUGAAUUUGAAAAUUUCAUCACUAAAAGACAUGAUGGGAAAAUUUUGGUGUUGUCAUUUUCUUGGCACAAACACUUUUGUGAUAGAAAAAAAUUAUUUUCUCACAAAAGUAUUUGUCACUAAUUAUAAUUUUUGGUGACUAAAAGUUACAACUUUUUAUAUAUAUUUGCUUGAAAAAUGGUUUCAUUAAGUGAUUAUAUUAUUUCUUGACAAAUUGAGUAAUUUUAUCACUAAAUAAUGUUAUUAAAUUGUGAUAUUAAUAAGUAAUAUUGAUAAAUAGCUAGAUGAUUUAUAUUGUGAAAUAACAUAUGUAUUUUUUGAGACUUAAUAUUUAUACUAUAAUAUUUUAUUUAUAUAAAUAAUAAUAAAAUAAUUAAAGAUCCAUAAAAUGAAAUACUACAAUAUAGAUUUAUUUUAAUUUAAUUUUUUUGUAAUGUAAUAAUAGUAUUGUUACGAAAUAAUAAAAAGGUAAAUUAUUUGAGCAAUUAAUUUUUAUAUUGUAAUGUGUUAUUUAUAUUUUUUUAAUAUAAAUAAUAACAAGUAAUUCAAGGCGUGUAAGAUUAUAUCCUAUAAUAUAAAUUUAUUUAAAUUUCAAUAUUAUUACAUGAUGUUACCCAUUAUAAAUAAUACUAAAUGAUUUUUAUUAUAUUAGGUAAAAGUUAUCUAUACAACUCUAAAAUAGUAUUGAAUUUAAGUUAGUUAUGGAUAAGCCAUAGUCCACUAAUUUGUUCUCAUUCAAAAUCAUACCUUGUCUACUUAAGAAGUAAACUUAUACUAACUUUUAAUUACAUAGUUUAAACUAAUAGAUUUUUUUUAAAAAUAAUUGUUCAGAAUGGAAUUUAUCAAAUAAAUUGCCUAGCAUCUAUAAAGACAUUUUAUUUUCAUAAAAUUCCAAAUAUGACUUUUGUUUAUAAAGAUAUAUAUUAUUAAUAAAUAUAUGAUUGCAAGAUAAAUAUUAUAUGAUAUAAUAUAUGACGCUAUAUGCCUGACUACUAUAUUACUAUUUACAAAAUAAAACAUGUACGUAUAAAUUUUUUUUUUUUGUAAAGUAUUCAACCAUAUCUUUAUUAAUAUUUGAUUACUUUAUUUUUUAAUGAUUUCAUUAUGAAUUUAUUAUUUUAAUUAUUAAUUACUAAUGUACUAAAAGUGAUUAGUUAUUAAGAAUAAAAAUCAUAAAUUAUACCUUAAAAUACUAACUACUAUAGCUAUUAAGUUGUAAAGGAAUUUUUAUACUUGUAUACAUUUUUUAACAAUUUUUCUUUUUUUAUAAAAAAUAUAGUUAUAAAAGUAAUUGAAAUAUAUCAUAAAUUAUUAUAUGAUUUACCUUUAUAGUGUUUGAUAUUUUUGUUUGAAAUACAAUAGAAAGAGAAAGAAAAAAGAAAAUGAUGUAGAACUCUAAUCUCAUUUUGAUCAUUAUUUUAUUGAUGUUGGUUCAAGUAUUACACUUCAACAUUAUUCCAAUGUUUUCUAUUAAUCAUACUUUUCUUUUAGCUCAAUUUCAAAAUUUUCACUUUAAUCUAGAAGUCUAGAAUUAAAUUUAUGUUAGCUAUGAAUAAACUAUAGUCCUCUAAUUUGUUAUCAUUCAACAUAAGGCUUGUUUAAGGAUGAUAAAAUUUGAUACAAUUCGUCAACAAGACUUGAAUCUAACAUGCUUUUUAUGGGUUUGAUUUGAGUAUAAUUGAGUUUGAGUCAAAUUCAUGUUGACCUAUAUAACUCAUUUAAUAACUAGGUAGUCUUUGGGUCAACAUGCAUAACAAAAUUUGACAUCAAUUAAUUCAUUUAAUACAUGUGUUGAUUAGUUUAAUUAUAACUUUAAAAUAUUUAACCCAUAUUUGACACAUUUUAAAUAAAUAGGUCAAUUGAGUCAUAAACAUAUUAGUCAUAUAAAUUAACACAAGACCUAACUCAACCUGAUUAUUUAAUGAAAAGAUCUAAUUACUAAAUGAAACAAAUCAGUUACAUGACAUGUUACUUGUUUAGUAAUUAUUUAUUAUGUUAUGUUUACAUUUUUAACCAGAUUAUUAUUCGUGUCAGGUUUGACACAACAUAAAUAUGACCCAUCAACACAAAUUGCAACCCCUAAGCUAGUUCACUCAAAAAGUAAAUUUAUAUUAAUAUUUAAUUACCUAGUUUAAGCUAGUAGGAAUAUUUUUUUAAUUAUUGCUUAGUUUUUAAAAAAUUGUUAACAUUGGAAUUUAUCAAAUAAAUAGUCUAGUUUCUCUAAAGACAUUCCAUUGAUCUAGAAUUCCAAAUAUAAUUUGUGUGUAUAAAGAUAUCAUAUAUUUUUAAUAAAUAUAUAUUGUAAGUUAAAUAUUAUAUCAUAUAAUAUAUUGUACUAUAUGCAUAACUAUAUUACUAUUUUACAAAAUAAACAAUACACUAUAUAAUAGUAAUAUAUUAUAUACAUAAAAAGUUUUUUUGUAAAGUAUCCAACCACGUCUUAAUUAAUAAUUGAUUAUUUUAUUUUUAAAUAAUCUCACUAUGUAUUUAUUAUUUUUAAUUAUUAAUUACUAAUUUUUCAAAAGUGAUUUGUUUUUAAGAAUAAAAUCAUAAAUUAUGUCAUAAAAGUAGUAAUUGUUGUAGAUACUAAUUUGUUAAGGAGUGUUUUUACUUGCAUACAUUAUUUAAUAAAAUAUUUAAUUUAUGUUUUAAAUUCCUUACUUUGAUUUUUCAAUUUUAUUUUUAGACUAAUUUUUAAUCUAUAAAUUCUAAUCUUUAAUUUUUAAAAUUUUUAAUUCCUAAACCUUAAAGGGGAAAUCAUGUAACCAUAUAUCACCCAAAAAAAAUGAGAUUUUUAGAACUUUGCUUUUACCUUUUUAAUUUUAAUCGUAAGAUGAGAAAAAAUAUUGUCUAUUCAUGCACUCCAAUAGUGCUUUCAGAUUUGUUCUAAAAUUACCCUAAAAAAUAAAAGACAAAGUACACACCACUUCAAUACCACCUAUUGACAAGUACAUAAAUUAUUUAUUUAUUUUAUUUCUCUCACAUCAACUCUCUCACACAUCUCAGUUACCACUUGCCACGUUCUCACUUUUUUCCUUUUUUCUUUUCUCUUUCCUUUUUCCCUCCUCUUUUACCACCAUAAUCCUUAGCCAUCUAUUAUAUUUUUAUUGUUAUUUUUUUCUUUGAUAUUCUUUUUUAAUAUGUUCGUAUAUUUUCUCAUAAAACUUCGUUAAUUUUAAUUUUUUUCACUCUCUAAUUUCUCCAUAUUUAUUGAUUAUAAUUAUUUUUUGGACAUAUUAAACUUAAAAUGAUAAUAUAUAAUAAAUAUUUAAUAUAACAAAUUAAAUAAAAAUAUAUAUAUAAUGGACAAAAAUGAAAAUAUUAUCCCACAAAUAAUAUACUUGAUGAUUUUAAAUAUUAAUUAUAAUAAUAUAUUUGAUAAAUUAAGGUUUAAAUUUAAAUAUUUUAUUUUAUUAUUUAGAGGUUUAUGAUAUAAGAUUUUUUUAUAUUAAUGCUAAACAAAAGAUUUAUUUAUUUUGUAAAUUCUAUCACAUGUAAAAGUAAAAAUAUCUUUAUAAUACUAUUUUAUUAUUUGUAUUAUUUUUCUUUUAAUUUUUAUUUUAAAUUUAUCACAUCAAAAUCACAAUAAGUGAUGGUGCUUUUAUAUUUUUUCUUAUGAUUUUAAUUUGAUUGUGGAUCUAACUUUUUGUUUGGCUAAAAUCUUUUAUUUUUAAUUAAAAUAAAAUAUAUUUUUCAUAAAAAAAAAAAUUGUAUUUAACCUUUCAUAUUAAUUUCCUAAAAAAUAAGUACAUCCUUAAGAAAAAUAGGUAAAUCCAUGCCUAGGGGAAUUGGGACCCCAAUCAUCCUUGUCAUGGUCUAUAUAUUACUUUGGGAUCCUUGAUAAGUGAUUAGAGGUCCUUACCUACCCAAGAACGAACUUUGGAACCUUAGGUACAUCCAUUCUUAGGGGAACCAAGACCCUUAUCUCCAUUCUCAUGGCUCAUAUAUUCAUUUAGGGACCCUCGAGAAGGAAUUAUAGGUUGUUCCCCACCCUGGAACAGACAUUGGAACCUAAGAUAUAUCCUAAAGACAAUUUGGUACAUUCGAUCCUUGGGCUACUGAGACCCUUAUAUCCUUUCCCAUAGUCUAUUUGAUACUAUGAGGACUCUUGAAAAAUGAAUGGAAGUUGUUCCUCAUCUUGAAAUGGACUUUCGAACCCUAGGUAUAUCCUUAAAAAAAAUUGGUACAUCCAAUUCUUGGGCUACAAAGACCCCUAUCUCCCUUCCCAAGGUCCAUUUAUUCAUAUAGGGAUCCUCAGGAAGUGAUUAGAGGCUAUUCUUCACCCCAAAAUGGACUUUUAAACCCUAAAUACAUCUUUAAGAAAAUUUGGUAUAUCUGAUCCUCUAGCUACUGGAACCCCUAUAUCACUCAUCAUGGUUCAUUUGAUCAUUUGGGGACCCUUUAGAAGUGAUUUCAAGUCAUUCCCAAUCUCAGAAUGGACUUUGAAACCCUAGGUACAUCCUUAAGAAAAUUUGGUACAUCUAAUCAUCAAGCUACCAGGACCCCUAUCUCCAUUUCCAUGGUCCGUUUGUUCCUUUAGGAACUCUUGGGAAGUGAUUGGAUAUCGUUCCCCAACUCAGAACAGAUAAUGGAACCCUAGGUACAUCCUUAAGAAAAUUUGAAACAUCCAAUCCUUGGGCUCAUGAGACACCUAUCUCCUUUCCCAUGGUCCAUUUAUUCUUUUAGAGACCCUCAGGAAGUGAUUGGAGGUUGUUCCUCACAUUGGAAUGAAAUUUGGCACCCUUGGUACAUCAUUUACAAAAUUUAGUACAUCCUUUACAAAAUUUGGUACAUCCUUCACAAAAUUUGGUACAUCCUUAAAAAAAUUUGGUACAUCCUUAAAAAAAUUUGGUACAUCCAAUCUUUGAGCUAUCGGGACCCCUAUCUUAUUACCUAUGGUCUAUUUACUCCUUUAGGGAUCUUUGGAAAGUGAUUAAAGGUUGAUCCCUAGCUACUUCAAAACAGACUUUGGAACCCUAGGUACAUCCUUAAGAAAAUUUGUUACAUCUAAUCCUUGAGCUAAUGGGGCACCUAUCUAUCUUCCUAUGGUCCAUUUAUUCAUUUGGACACCCUUAAAAAGUGACUGGAGGUUGUUCCUUACCUCAAAAUGGACUUUGAAACCCUUAGUACAUCCUCUAAAAAUUUUGGUACAUCAUUCACAAAAUUUGGAACAUCAUUCACAAAAUUUGGUACAUCCUUAAAAAAAUUUGGUAUAUCCAAUCCUUAAGCUACCAGGACCCCUAUCUUAUUACCCAUGGUCUGUUUAUUCCUUUAGGAAUCUUUGGGAAGUGAUUGGAGGUUGUUCUCUACUCCAAAACAAACUUUGGAACCCUAGGUAUAUCCUUAAGAAAAUUUGAUACAUCCAAUCCUUGGGCUAAUGGGACACUUAUCUCCCUUCUUAAGGUCUAUAUAUUCCUUUGGAGACUCUCGGGAAGUGAUUGAAGGUCAUUCCCACCUCGAAAUAGACUUUGGCACCAUUGGUACAUCAUUUACAAAAUUUGGUACAUCCUUCACAAAAUUUGGUACAUUCUUUAUAAAAUUUGGUACAUCCUUAAAAAAAUUCAGUACAUCUAAUUCUUGAGAAAUUGAGACCCCUAUCUUAUUAUCCAUGGUCUGUUUUUUCCUUUAAAAGUCUUUGGAAAGUGAUUGGAGGUCGUUCCCUACUCUGAAAUGAACUUUGGAACCUUAAGUACAUCCUUAAGAAAAUUUGGUACAUCUAAUCCUCAAGCUAUUGGGACACCUAUCUCCAUUCUCAUGGCCCAUUUGUUCAUUUGGGGGCACUUAGGAAGUAAUUGAAGGUUGUUCCUUACUAUGAAAUGAACUGUGGAACCUUAGGUACAUCUUUAAGAAAUUUUUGUAUUUAUAUGGUUCUGUAAUGUUUUGAUGUUGUUAAUCUAAAUAAGGUGGUUGACUCAUAAUUUAUAAUCAUCAGGAGAAAAAAUAUUAUGUUUAUUCAUGACCAGAUGAAAAUGAAUAAAAAAUGGAAUUAUUGUCACUUUUAAUGGUAUUAUAUUAUGAAUCAUUUGAAUAGUUUUCUUAAAAAAAAAUAAUUGUCAAUUUCAAAUGGAUUAUAGUUGAAUUGAAAAAUGAAGGAAUAUAGUUGUAGUAAAGAAGGGUUGAAUUUGUGUGGGCAUUAUGAAAAAAAGAGGUCAACCCUUAUAUGAAAAACAGAUUGUUAAGUAGUGGGCAUAAUAGUGGACGACCUUUUCAUGUAGGGCUAACCCUUUUUAGCUUAUGACCCUUAGUCAUAAUAUUAGUCUUUUUUGAAGUGGUCAAUAGCAAAAAUAAGGGUCGACCCUUUAGUUCAUAGGCAGUCCCAUCAUGUUUUUAAAAUUGGUUUUGUUUUAUGUGGGCGGUAGGCAAAACAAAGGUUGACCCAUUGUUUAAUAGGUAGGCCUUUGAAUAUGGACGUUACAACCUUAGAACAUGGACAGUGAGGAAAAUAGUGGUCACCCCAUGUAUUCAGAGGUGGAGCCUGAACUUAUAUUAUAUAUCAAAUAAGUACCUAACAAAUAAAUAAAUAAAAGUAAAUGCAUUGUGUGAUGUUUGGUAUAGACAAUACAUGUCAAUAUUUAACACAUUAAUGUCACACCAUAAAGUGUUAAUUAAGAGGACUUGGAUUGUUCAUAAUCUAAAUGAGGCAUUAAUAUAUGAUGGCUAUAUGUGUGAUUGUGAUAAUUGUUAUAAGUAAUUAGCUUUGACAAGGUUAUUUACAAAUAUAUAUUUAAACAAUUAAAUACCUAAUGAGGUCUAAGUGUGAGAAUAAAAUAAGUUAUGCUUAUUUUGUAAAUGUUGUAAGUAUUUUUGUGAUGAAUAUAUGUAUUAUUGGAAAUAUUUAUGAGCAUGCCUAGUUUAUUGAUAUAUAUAUAUAUGUAUGUAUGUAUGUAUGUAUGUAUGUAUGUAUGUAUGUAUGUAUGUAUGUAUGUAUGUAUUAAAAAUGUAAAAUCAAGGAUUAGAUGUACCAAAUUUCAUGAAGAAUGUUCCAAAUUUUGUGAAUGAUGUACCAAAUUUUUUCAAGGAUGUACCAAGGGUGCCAAAGUCCAUUCUGAGGUGAGGAACGACCUCCAAUAACUUCUAAAGGGUCUCCAAAGGAAUAAAUGGACCAUGGGAAGGGAGAUAGGUAUCUUGUUAGCCCAAGGAUUGGAUGUAUCAAAUUUUCUUAAGAAUGUACCUAGAAUUCCAAAGUCUAUUUUGGAGUAGGGAACGAAUUCCAAUCACUUCCCAAAAAAUUCCUAAAUGAAUAAAUCAACCAUGGGUAAUAAGAUAGAGGUCCCAAUAGCUCAAGGACUGGAUGUACCAAAUUUGUAAAGGAUGUAUCAAAUUUUGUAAAGGAUGUACCAAGGGUGACAAAAUCCAUUCCAAGGUGGGGAAUGACCUCUAAUCACUUUCGAAGGGUCUCUAAAGGAAUAAAUGGACCAUAGGAAAGGAGAUAGGUGUCCCGUUAGUUCAAGGAUUGGAUGUAACAAAUUUUCUUCAGGAUGUACCUAGGGUUCCAAAGUCCAUUUUGAAGUAAGGAACAACCUCCAAUCACUUCCCAAAGAUCCCAAAAGGAAUAAAUGAACCAUGGGUAAUAAGAUAGGGGUCUUGGUAGCUCAAGGAUUGGAUGCACCAAAUUUUUUUAAGGAUGUACCGAAUUUUGUAAAGGAUAUACCAAAUUUUGUAAAAGAUGUACCAGAUUUUGUAAAUGAUGUACCAAGGGUGCCAAAGUUCGUUCCAACGUGGGGAACUACCUCCAAUAAAUUUCCGUGGGUCUCAAAAGGAAUAAAUGAACCAUGAGAAGUGAUAUAGGUGUCCCAUUAGCUCAAAGAUUAGAUGUACCUAGAGUUAAAAAUUCCAUUUUGAAGUAGGGAUCAACCUUCAAUCACUUCCCAAAGAUUCUUAAAGGAAUAAACGAAUCAUGAGUAAUAAGAUAGGAGUCCUUGUAGCUCAAGGAUUGGAUGUACCAAAAUUUGUGAAGGAUGUACCAAAUUUUGCAAAGAAUGUAUCAAGGGUACCAAAGUUGUUUUCAAGGUCGGGAACGACCUCCAAUCACUUCCCGAGGGCCUCUAAAGGAAUAAAUGGGCCAUGAGAAGGAAGAUAGGUGUCCUAUUAGCCUAAAGAUUGGAUGUACGAAAUUUUCUUAAGGAUGUACCUAGGGUUCCAAAGUCCAUUUCAAAGUAGGGAACGACCUUCAAUCACUUCCCAAAGAUCCCUAAAGGAAAUGGGUAAUAAGAUAGGGGUCUUGGUAGAUCAAGAAUUGGAUGUAUUAAAUUUUUUUAAGGAUGUACCAAAUUUUGUAAAAGAUGUACCAAAUUUUGUAAAUGACGUACCAAGGGUGCGAAAGUCCAUUCCGAGGUUGGGAACAAUCUCCAAUCAUUUCCUAAGGGUCUCCAAAGGAAUAAAUGAACCAUGAGAAGGGAGAUAGAUGCCUUAUUAGCCUAAGGAUUGGAUGUGCCAAACUUUCUUAAGGAUGUACCUAGGGUUCCAAAGUCUGUUUUGGAGUAGGGAAUGACCUCCAAUCACUUCCCAAAGAUCCCUAAAGGAAUAACAGAGGGUAAUAAGAUAGGGGUCCCGGUAGCUUAAGGAUUGAAUGUAUCAAAUUUUUUUAAGGAUGUACCAAAUUUUGUGAAGGAUGUACCAAAUUUUGUAAAGGAUGUACUAAGGGUGCCAAAGUCCAUUCCGAGGUCGAGAAAGACCUCUAAUCACUUUCCGAGGGUCUCUAAAGCAAUAAAUAGACAAUGAGAAGGGAGAUAGGUGUCCUGUUAGCCCAAAGAUAAGAUGUAUCAAAUUUUCUUAAGGAUGUACCUAAGGUUCUAAUGUUUAUUCCAGGGUGGGGAACGACCUCCAAUCAUUUCUUAAGGGCCCCCAAAGGAACAAAUGGACCAUGGGAAAGGAGAUAUAGGUCUCGAUAACCUGAUGAUUGGAUGUACCAAAUUUUCUUAACAAUGUACCUAAGGUUCCAAUGUCCGUUCCGAGGUAGGAAACAACAUCUAAUGACUUCCUAAAGGAACAAAUGAACCAUGGGAAGGGAGAUAGGGGUCCUAGUAGCCUAAGGAUUCAAUGUACCAAACUUUAUUAAGGAUGUACCUAGGGUUCCAAAGUCUAUUUAGAGGUAGAGAAUGACCUCCAAUCACUAGGGUUCCAUUAUUAGUUCCAGAGUGGGGAAUGACAUCCAAUCACUUCUCGAGAGUUCCAAAAUGAAAAAAUGGACCAUGGGAAAUGAUAUAGGGGUCCUAGUAUCUCAAUGAUUGGAUGUACCAAUUUUUCUUAUGGAUGUAAUUAAGGUUCCAAUGUUAGUUUCAAGGUAGGGAAUGGCCUCUAAUCACUUCCCAAGGAUCGGAUAUACCAAAUUUUCUUCAAGAUGUAUCUAGGGUUUAAAAGUCCAUUUUGGGGGUAAGAAAUAACCUCCAAUUACUUCCUGAUGGUCCAUAAAGGAGCAAAUGGACCUUAGGAAUAACGAUAGGGGUCUUGGUAGCCCAAGGAUUGGAUGUACCAAAUUUUCUUAAAGAUGUACCGAAUUUAUAUGAGGAUAUAUCUAGGGUUCCAAAGUCUAUUCUGAGGUGGGAAACGACUUACAAUUACUUCCUAAGGGUCUUUAAAAGAUCAAAUGGACCAUGGGAAGGGAUAUAAGGGUCCUGGUAGCUUCAGGAUCGGAUAUACCAAAUUUUCUUAAGGUUAUACCUAGGAUUCCAAACUCCAUUCCAAGAUAGAAAACAACCUCUAAUCCUUUCCUAAAGGUCUCCAAAUGAAUAUAUAGACCAUGAAAAGGAGAUAAGGGUUUUGAUUCCCUUAGGAUUGGAUGUACCUAUUUUUGUUAAGGAUGUACUUAAGGUUUCAACGUUCGUUUUGGGAUGAGGGAGGACCUCCAAUGACUUAUCGAGGGUUCCCAAAGGAAUAUAUAGACUAUGAUAAGGAAGAUAGGGAUCCUUGUUCCCCUAGGAAUGGAUGCACCUAUUUUUUCUUACGGAUGUACCUAUUUUUUAUGAAAUUAAUAUAAAAGGUUAACUACAAUUUUUUUUAAUGAAAAAAAUUUAUUUUCUUUUAUAUUUUAUUUUAAUUUAAAAUUAAAAAUUUUAAUGAAACAAAAAAUUAGAUCCAUGAUCAAGUUAAAACCAUAAGAAAAAAAAAGCAUCAUCACUUACUAUGAUUUUGAUAUGAUAAAUUUAAAAUAAAAAUAAAAAUAAUAUAAAUAAUAAAAUAGUAUUACAAAUAUAUUUUAUUUUUACAUGUGAUAUGAUUUACAAAAUAAAUAAAUAUUUUAUUUAGCAUUAAUAUAAAAAAAUCUUAUAUCAUAAAACUAUAAAUAAUAAAAUAUAAUUUUAAAAUUUAAUCCUUGAUUUAUCAAUUGAAUUACUAUAAUUAAUAUUAAAAAUCAUCAAGUAUAUUAUUUGUGGAAUAAUAUUUUCAUUUUUGUCCAUUACAUAUAUUUAUGUUUUUAUUUAAUUUUUUAUAGUAACUAUAUAUUAUUAAUAUUAUUAUUUUAAGGUUAAUUUGUCCAAAAAAUAAUUAAAAUCAAUAAAUAUGGGGAGAUUAAAGAGUGAAAAAAAUUAAAAUUGAAGAAGUUUUAUGAGAUAAUACAUUAGCAUAUUAAAAGAAAUGUCAAAUGAGAGAUAGAAAAAUAGGAUAUGGUGAUAAGAAAGAAGAAAAAAUGAUAAAAGAAAAAAGUAAAAUGUAGAAACGUGGCAAAAGGUGAGAUGUGUGAGGGAGUUUAUGUAAGAGAAAAAAAAAAGUGAUUGGUGUACUUGACAACAACAUUUAAUGUGGUAAGUGUACUUGCCCUCAACUUUUGAGGGUAAUUUUGGAACAAAUUCAUAAGCACUAUUGGACUGCAUGAAUUGGUAAUAUUUUUUUUUCCAUUUUACAUUAAAAUUGAAAAAAUAAAAACAAAGUUCUAAAAACCAUAUUUUUUUUGUUGGUGAUGUACCAAAGCAUGAUUAUCCCAAUUUUAAAUAAUACAAAAAUCAUAAAUUUUGAAAUUUUUUUUUAAUCUAAAUUUUUUUAUUUGUAAAUUUUAAUGUUUAAUUUUUUAAUUUCUAAAUUUUAAAUAAUAUAAAACUCAUGGCAUGAUGAAGCACAUUAAAUGUGUUGCAGUAGCAUGUUGUAUUUUUGUAGCAGAGAUGACAUAGAAGGAGUUGUGUGGAAUGUUGUUUGGGAAAAAAAAGAUGAAAAAAAAUCUCAGACCCUCACCUAGUCAAGCACCAUUGCAACUUUGAAAAAAAAAAACAAAAACAAAAAAACCCAUUUUAAAAAAGGAGAAAACCACCAUCGCAAACAAUGGCUUACCACAUUUGUAUCUAAUGCCAUAUCCUCUUCAACCUUUCAUCAUCUUCACCACCAACCCAUCUACCUUCUUGAAAAUUCAUUUUCCAACUACUAGUCAUACAUACCAUUCUCCAUAACACAUAUAUAUCCGAUAAUAAUUGUGAAAAAUGGCUAAUUUGAUUAAGCAAAUCACUAAAUGGGGGUAAAGAGUGGGAGGGGAUGAAUUAGGUGUUACAUUUUUAUUUUUAUUUUUUAAAAAAUAACCAAUUAAUAACAAAAAGAAUAAGAGAUAUUAAGUAAGACAAUAAUUAAGUAAAAGAUAAAGAGAAGAUAUAUGCAAACUCUUUUAUAAUGGUUUUAAAAUCCACCUAUAUCCACUCUUUUUAACCUCCCAAGCAAGGGAGGGUUCCAUUAUCAAAGGCCUUCAACCUAUGCCUUCAAGCUUUAUAUUUGGAUUCAUGGACUCCAAUGGGCACUCACAAUCUCUUCAAGUACUUCACCUAUUUGAAGUCUCUUCACUAAAAAAUGAGUAGAUAAGGAAAGUCCUAAUGCUUUUUGUUAGGACAUUUAGUUUUAUUUAUAUGUUGGCAAUUUUGUUCCAUUUUAUGUUUGAUCAUAAAGUUCUUUUUAGAUAGUGACUUGCUCAAGUGAAAAGGACCGCUCAAGUGGUCUAAGUCUGCUCAAGCAGUAAUGAUAGUCCUAUCGAGUUUAAACACAAAUUUUGGAUGAAUUUCACUUGAACUCUAGUUUGAAAACUUAAGAUACUGAAAAUUUUUGGGCUAUAAAUACCUCCUUAAUAACCCCUUAAGGGUUAGGGAUUGAAGAUUGAAAAGAUCUUAGAGAUUAGAAACCUCUCAUUCUUAAAAAGAGGCCUUGAGAGAAAGCCUAAAUUGCUAUAUCAUUCAUGAUUUCUCAUUCAAGGAUUGAAUCUUUAAAUCGUUAGUUGAAAACCUUAAUCCCUUCGAAGUGGCAAAAGAAUCUACUAAGGAGCAAUAAGAAGUUGCUACAUCAUGAAUGUGGAUCAAGUUAUAAGUGUUGAAGAGUAAGUUUUUAGGGUAAAACAGUCAGGUAAAUCUGUGUAACUUGAUUUCGAAUAGUGGAUUUGGAUUGGUAGGUCUUAGACCUUGUGUUUUUUUUUUCUCCAUAGUUUGUGCGAGGUUUUCACGUAAAAAUCUUAUGCCUAAUUGUCUAUAUCUUUUAUAUUUGAUAUUAUGUUUGUAGGGUUUUCAUAAAAGGUUCAUAUCUAUAUAUUUUUGCUUAGAUUUAAUGUGAUUAAGUUUGAUUGAUUUGUUGGGAUUGCUUUUGAGGUUGUUAGGGUUGUUAUCUUGGUAUUUAUGGUUGUUAUCCUUAUAACAAGUUAUUAUUAUCCCUAACAUCUAUCAAGAUAUCCUUUGGAUAUUAAUAAUUUAUUUAUUUUAUCCCAAAUAAUCUUUGGAUAUCAAUUAAUCAUAAAAAUCAAGUUUUACUAUUCUAAAUUUAGGGUGAACUCAUUUUUUAAUAUCGAGGAUAAACUUGAAAAUUUCUUAGAGGUAAAAAAAAUUGAUAUAACAUAUAAAUCUUUAUUUAAAUUUUUAAAUCACCCAUUCAUCCCACCUUUGGAUGUUCGUUAUUGGACUUUCAGUUGUUAUUCAAGUGAUAUUAAAGCAAUACUCAUUUUCAAUUGGUAUCGGAGUGGAAUAAAUAACCAAUUCUUUAUCCUAUUGAUUAAAAAUCCAAUUUUUAUUGAUUGGACUGUUUAAAAAUCAAAUUUUUAUUAAUCACAUAGGAUAAAAAUCAAAAUUUUAUUGAUCCUGUAAGUCUAAUAUGGAACAAUAAAAAAGUGGUGCUCCUUUGAAUAGUUACCCUAUUUUGAUGGGAAUAAUUACUCCUAUUAGAAAGCAUGAAUGAUGUUUUUCCUCAAAAUGUAAGGUGAAAGGGUGUGAAACUCAAUUGAAUAUGGUUGGGGACCACCAUUAAUCCUUGAUACUCAAGGAAGAUUAAUAGGUGAACUUAAACCUAAAAAAAAAAUGAGACAAAUCCAAUAAUCAACGUAGUGAAGCCAAUGCUAUAUUUUUAAUGGAGUUUAUCCAGAAAGGUUUUGUAGGAUAGCAAAUUGCAGAUGUGCAAAUUAAGCAUGGGAUAUUCUUCAAGUCACUCGCGAAGGUACAUCCUCUAUAAAGAUUUAUAAAUUACAAAUGCUUGCUACAAGGUUUGAAAAUAUUAUGAUGCAUGAAAAUCAAACUUUUUCUUCUUUUUAUUCUAAAUUAAGUGAUAUUGUAAUUUCUUAGUUUAACCUUGGAGAACUUAUUCCUAAUUCUAAGGUAGUUAGGAAAAUAUUGGGAUCUCUUCCAAAGAAAUUUAGAACUAAAGUAAUUGCCAUAGAGGAGAGCAAGGGCAUUGAAUCCAUGAGAUGAACUUGUAGGCUCCAUUCAGACAUAUGAGAUGACUCUACCUAGUUCCUAAAAGCCUAAAGAGUCUACUUUUAAGGCUUUUAAUGGUGAGAAAAAAAAUUAAAAUUCCAUAUGAUAUAACAAAGGAUGAAUUGGCCCAUAUGGCCAAAAUGAUUAAAAAGGUCAUAUAAUUCAAUAAAAGGUUUUACAAGAACCAAGAAUCUAGAAAAAGAAAAAGACCUAAUGAACAAUCAUCCAAUAAGAAAAGAAAAGAUUCCUCCAAAGGUAAGAAAGUUGAAUGCUUUAACAAUGGAGGUCUAGGACAUUAUGCUUAAGAUUGUCCUAGCCCCAAAGAUGCCAAAAAGUCUAUGCAAGCAACAUGAAGCAAUACUAAUUCUGAAGAGAGUGCUUCCACAACUUCUGAAGAUGCAAGGUAUGAUCCCAAUGACUUGUUAGCUUUUAUUGCUUUUAUGGAACUUGUGCAUGAUAGUGAUGAUGAUGAGUUUACUAAUGAACAAAGGACUGAAUUCUUGAGUAAUCUUGUUGUUGAGCAUGAAAGACAAAUUAAGAGUUAUAUGAAAAAUAAUGAUAUCCUUGAUGCUCAUGAUAAAAACAAAAUUGAUGUGCUUAGUGCUGAAAAGACUAAUUUGCUUGAGAAAGUUAGGUUUCUUGAAUUUGAACAUCAUUCUCUCCUUGAGAAGAAUAAUCCUCUCACUCAAGAGAAAAAAUAACAAGCCUUUUUCAUCUGUGAAUAAAUUUUUUUUACUGCAGAACUAAAAUGUUUAAUGAAAUUCUUGAUAAAUGCAAAAUCCAUGGUGAUAAAAGAGGUUUGGGGCGCAUUAAUAAAGAUGAAACUCCCUUUGAAUUCAUUAUUUUUCCAUUGAAAAUCCCAUCUUUAAAUUCCAUUACUUAGCCACUUUCCACUUUCCACUGUAAAUAUUAUAUUAAAAAAUUUUAAAAAAAAAUUAACUUAGAAUUUCUACAUAUGGCCAUUAAAAUAUUUUAUGAAAAAUAACUUACCAAAAAAAUAUUUAUGUACAUACCAUUAAAAAUUUGAUAUUAAAAAACUUUUUUUUUAUUUAAAAAAAGUAACUUACCAAGAAUAUAUUGAAAGCACUUUAAAAAAUAACUUACUAAAAUUUUAUUUACGUACAUACCACUAAAUAUUUUAUAUUAAAAACACUUUAACAAAAAUUGACUUACCAAAAAUAAAUUAAGUGCACUAAAACAAAUAAUCUAAAUGACCUAAGCCUAAAAAGUGUCUAAGUGAAAUUUAAACCUAAAAAGUGCCUAGGUGAAUUGAGCGGAAAUGGAUUUAAGUGAAACUUAACCUAAACUCAAAGAGCAACCGAGGUCAUAAUGAGGGUCUAGACGAGCUCCUCAACAAAAGCUCCCUAAAGGUGACUUGAAAGGAGUAAAUUUUAUAAGUUUCAAUGGGCCACCAAGAAAUAACUACGAAUCAAAAGAGAAGUAUAGGAAAGCACCUAAUGCCACAUGUGCUAAGAAGACAAAAUGGAAAGUCUACAAAUAUCCUUCUCCUCAUUCUCAAAAACCAUAAAGGCAGAGUCUUUAGGCUUUUGGGAACUAGGUAGGGUGAUCUCAUAUGUUUGAAUGGAGCCUACAAGUUCAUCAACUCUCAUGGAGUUGAUGUCCUUGCUCUCCUCUAUGACAAUUACUUUAGUUCUAAAUCUCUUUGGAAGAGAUCUUAAUAUUUUCCUAACUAUCUUAGAAUCUGGAAUAGUUUCUCCAAGGUUGAAUGAAUAAUUUACAAUAUCACUUAAUUCAAAAUCAAAGAAAGAAAAAGUUUGAUUUUCAUGCAUCCGAAUAUUCUUAAACGUAGUAGCAAGCAUUUGCAAUUUAGAAAUCUUUAUAGCAAAUGUACCUUCAUGAGUAACUUGAAGUAUAUCACAUGCUUCUUUUACACGUUUUCAAUUUGCAAUCCUUCGAAACUCAUCUAGACCAAUUCCAUUAAAAAUACUAAAUAAAGCCUUAGCAUUGGCUUCACUACUUUCAUUGGCAACUUUGUCCCAUUCAUGUUUAAAUUUAAGUUCUUUUGUUGAUCUUCCUUGAGCAUCAAGGAUAAAAGGUGGUCCCCAACCAUAUUCAAUUGAAUUUCAUACCCUUUCACCUUGCAUUUUAAGGAAAAACAUGAUUCUUGCUUUCCAAUAAGAAUAAUUACUUCCAUCAAAAUAGGGUGGACUGUUCAAAGGAACACCACUUUUUGACUAUUCCAUAUCAAACUUACAAGAUCAAUCAAAUUUUGAUUUUUAUCUUAUAUGAUUAAUAAAAAUUUGAUUUUUAAACAAUUUAAACAAUAAAAAUUGAAUUUUUAAUCAAAAUGAUAAAUAAUUAGUUUUUUAUCCUUCUCUAAUACCAAUUAAAAAAUGGGUACUACUUAAAUACCACUUGAAUAAUAACUGAAAGUCCAAUAAAAAACACUUUCAACGGUAGGGAACACCCACAGGAAAAGAGGGGGGGGGGGGAGAUGAAUGGGUGAUUUAAAAUUUUAAUUAAUAUUUGUAAAUGAUAACAAACUUUUUCUUACUCCAAUGGAUAUCAGGGAUAUCCCAAAUAAUUAAAUGUAUUAUACUUAAAAUCUUUAGGUAUUCAAAAAUAAGAUUUUUAACUUUUAGGGAUACCUUGCAAUUGUUUAGGGAUAAAGAUAAUAUAAUUCUUAAUAUCCAAAUAAUAAUAUCCCGAGAAAUGUUAUGGAUAAUAAUAAUUAGAUAUAAUGAUAACAACCACAACCACUAAGAUAACCACCAUAACAACCUCAAUAGCAAUCCCAACCAAUCAAACAACCUAAUCAAGUAAUAUAUGUAUGAAUAAAUAGAUAUGUACUUCUUAGGAAAACCUUGCAAGAUAUUAGGGAUAAUCAAUUUAAUCUAUUCUAGGCAAUUCAAAUAGAAUAUUAAAUAUAAAACUAUAGACAAUGAGUUACAAAUUUUUUUACAUGGAAAACUCCCACAAACUAUGGAGAUAAAAAACCACGAGAUCUAAGACCUACCAAUCUAAAUCCACUAUUCAAAGUCAAGUUGCAUAGAUUUAACUGGACGUUUUACCCGAAAGACUUACUCUACAACACCUACAACUUGAUCCAUGUCCAUGACAUAGCAACUCCAUGUUUCUCCUUAGUAAAUCCUUCAAUCUCUCUAAAGGGAUUACAAUCUUCAACUAAUAAUUCAAAGAUUCAAAUCCUUGAAUGAGAGGAUGGGAAUGGUGUGGCAAUUAGGCUUUUUUCACAAGGAGUCCCUCUAAAGAAUAACAGGUCUCUCAACAAUCUUUUAAGAUCUUUAUGAUCUUUCUAAUAUCCGAUCUCUAACCCACAAGGGGUUAUAAGAUAGGUAUUUGUAGGCAAAAGCCAUAAGAGUUUCAGUAUCCUAAAUUUUCAAAUUAAAGUUUGAGUGAAAUUCAUUCAAAAUAUAUUUUUAAACUUGAUAGGACUGACAUGACCACUUAAGCAAACUUUGACCACUUGAGCUAGCACUUUACUUGAGCGAUCCUUAUUGCUUGUAUAGGUUGACUGAUUGAGUAGGAUUAACCACUUGAGUGACCCUUUCUUUUUGAAAAAUCAUUUUGAGUUUAAAAAUGAUACCGAAUCUUUUUAUACCUCAAAUAAGCCUUGUAUCUCAUAAGCCAAAUCUUUUUAGAUGUACCUAUGACUUCUCGGUUGGAUGAAUAGAAACCCUUGAUCUUCAAUGGAGAGAAUGUCAUUAUCUAAAAAGACUUUUAUGACCAAACAUUAAUUGGAACAAAAUUUCCAACAAAUAAACAAGACUCAAUGUCUUAACAAGUCAUUCCCAAUCUUUCAAACCCAUGACUUAUUCAUUUUUCCUUUGCUUUGAUCUAUCCAUGCUUCUUAAGUUUUAAAUAUUUCUUUAGGCAUAUUUGAUCCCUUUCUAUUCUUCGGUUAAAAUUGAUUCUAGUAAUUUCUAUUUUUUUUCCUCAUGCUCAAAAUAUUGUUAGAUAUGCAACUAAGGUCCUAGCACUUAAUUUGGGCGAGUGGAUCCCUUUAUAUAGUAUAAAUCAUAUCAUAUCCUAUUAUAGGGUUAUGCAUCUUGGUUCAUUAAAGCAUUUGGGGACUAUUCCCCUUAUACAUAGCCAUUAAAGCCUAAUUAAGAAUGCUUGACGUUUGCAUCUGGAUACCUAGUUGGGUGCAUGCAGCACUAACCAUGAGUCCAUACACUUAUCACUUGAGUAAUUCUACCCAAAAUUAGUCAUCUUAUCUAGUAUAUAUCCACUACAGCUUAGGCAAAAGAGAAACUAUAAGCAUUAUUGUUAGAAUUUACAUAUCAACCCGAUAAACCAUGAUCGUGCUUUUCAUGGCCAUAAAUCUUAAACAAUAGUAAUCGAUAAACAACUUUUCAAAAGCAUCACUUGCCUUGACCUAAGCAUUUAGGACCUAGUUCUUUUUGCUCUUUCUUACUCGACCUCUUACACCAAUGAAUCAAUACGGAAGUGGACACUUUGUCAAGGGCACAUCUCAACAAUAACAUAUAUUCCUAACAAUCUAGUGAGCAUUGCCUAACACAGGCCUGCCCAACUAAUAGUUUUUUCAUGAAGAGAGAGUUGAUCUCAACCCUUUUAGUCAACCUACCAUGGAGUAGCAACAUAAACUAUCUCUUCCCAAACACCCUAGUUCAAUUAGCUUUCAACUCUCAAGUCGUAGGUAAUCCAUGCUUGUCAACCUUCAUUCAAUUAAGAUCUAACUUAACCUUUGGAGAGGCAUAGCCAAGGUUCACUUUCAAUACUCCUUAGUGCUAGUGCUAGGUGCUAUAGGCAAAGAGGUCAAUCACCACCUCUAGGAAGAGUAUUGUUAAUUCACAUCACUCAUGGACCCUAGCUCAAGAGUUUGAGAACUAGUAAUAACUAUGAAAUAACAAUGGUCAAAGUGUAAGAGAUUUAUUUUAGGGAAACAAAAAAUUAAAUAAACAUAAUAAGCUUAGCAUGAUUAAUUAUCAAUUAAUUAUAUAUUUUUUUUAAUAAAGAAGUUCCAAGUUUGAAACCAUCGUUUAUCUAUAACCCUUUCGCCUUGACAAUAUGAAACUAUAUUACAAAUUUAAAUAAUUUUUCAAUGUUUACAUGUGAGACAUUAACAUUUGUUCAGAAAUUUAAAAAAAAAAAAAAAAAAAAGGUUAUUUGGACACAUGACUCAAAAUAACUCUCAAAUUGUAAAAAUGGCCCCUCACACUUUAAUUUUGUUGAGAAAUAACUCUUUAUGGAUACUCUUACCCUUCUUCAUUUUGUUUGUUAUAAAAAUCAUUAUCUUUUCAUAACUAUCUUAUCUUUCAAAUAACUCAUUCUUGCUUUCAUUUUAGAUUUUUAUCUAAAUUAAAUAAAUACACAAUAGUCAAGUUUGAUUUACAAAAAAUCUUAACUAGAAUUAAAUUUAUUUACAAAUAAUUUAACUACUGUCAAGUUUUCCAUUUCAUCUACAAAGAACUCGAUUAUAAUGAUAUGAACUUUGUUGUUAUUAAGUUUUAUUUUUAAAAAAAAAACUUAAUUAGAGUUAAUUUAACAUCUAUUCUACAAAAAAACCUAAUUAUAAUUAAGUUCUUAAUUAGAAUAUUCAUAUGGACAUAAACAUUAAAUGAAAGGAUUAUGUGAUCUCAUCUUCACAUUUUAGAAGUUUAAAUGAAACUACAAAAACAAUUAACAAAAAAUAGUAAAAAUUACCACUAAAGGACAACCUCAAAAAAUCCUAACAAAAAUCCCACUAGAAAAAUCCCCACCAAAAAACCUUAACCAAAAUCCUAGUGGAACAUUGAAAAAAAAAAAAACAACCAAAUCCCAACAAUACAAUUGCAAAAAAUGCUAACAAAAAAUAACUACAAAAUCCCAAUAUAUAUAUAUAUAAAACAACCAUAAAAAACACUAACCAAACACACACACACAUAUAAAGGAUAAUGAAAGAUCUUGAAGAAGACCGCAAAAAACAGGAAAAUCUCAACAAAAACUAACUCCAAAUCAAAAGAAACAAAAAACCACUACAAAAAAAAUCACAAAAAAAUCCUAACUAAAAAUAAAGAAAAUGAUGAAAGAUCUUGAAGAAGAAAAAAAGAUGAGAGAAUUGUGGUCGAUUUUUAUCAUUUCUUCGAUUUGAACUACACCCCUAAAUUCACAAGGAAAGAACUUGGAAAAUUCAUUGGAAGAGUGAGAAGGAAAUGAUUGGGGAAUGAGGAAAAAAUGUCAAUUGAGAAAAAAAAAAAAGUAAUAUUAUCUUAAAUCAAUCAUUUUUUUUAGAGAAUAAAGAAGAAAGGUCAUUCUUCUGAUUUGAGAAGCAUUUGAAAUUUUUUAGCCAAAAAUCUCUUUAAAAAAUUGUAAGUAAAGUGGUGUUUUUUUGUUUGUUUUCCUUUUUUUGUUUUUGUUUUUUUUUUUUUUCAAAAUUGUUUUUUUUUUUUGAAAAAAAAAACUUUUUAAAAUUUUUUUAACUGAAUAAAAAAAGUCAAAAUAUUUAACUUUUUUUUUUUAAUGAUAAAAGUAACAUAUUGAUUUUUCUUUAUUCCUUAAUAUUCAAUAUAAAUAAAAUAUUACAAAAACAAACAACUUAAUACUUAAUUUUAUUAAGCACUAUUUAAUUUUGAAAGGUGAAAAUAUGAAAUAUUACAAUGUCAUUAAACAAAAUAAAGUCCAUUGUUUUUUUAAAAAUCAUAUCAAUGUCAUUAAACAAAAUAAAAUCAUGGAUGUUGGACUCUACCAAAGCCCAAUUGAUUUUGCAUGAAUUAAUUCUACAAAUUCCAUGAUUUGAAAUUAUAGAAUUUAAUUCAUGCUUAUUUUAAAACAAUUUAAAAAUCAAGGAAAAAAAUUGUGAAAAAUGUUUGCCGAAGAGAAAAUGGCAAUAAAUUUUAUUGGAAAUGGGAUUUUUGAGACUUAAAAAUUCUAAGAAUGAAAAAUUGUGGAAUCAAAACAAGAUCUUUUUUAAAAUAAUUUUUUAAAGACAUGCAUGCACACGGGUUUUGAAAUUGAGCAUAGGAGGGUCGCCAUGCAACUUUGAAUCAUUCAUGUGGCCCAGGGGUGCAACUGAGACCGCACUGUGAGGUUGGUGAUUGCAGCUGUCAUCCUCUCUGAAUUUCCCCUCUUGCCGACUUGACAAUCCCUCUCAUGCAGAUGGGACAUUUUCCAACAGAGAUGUUGUCAGUCCUGAAUCAGAGGCACUGUUCCUAAUAUUUUCAUGCAUCUUAAUUAAAGGUAAACCAGGAAGGGUAGAGAUGAAGGAGCGGGUCCUGCGUGCUUGGGAAUGACAUACCAAAAGGGGCCAUGCAAACCAUGCAAGAGUGGGGUCCGAGGAGUGCCAAAGUGGGACGACAUGAUUUCAGUCAUUGUGCAGGUUUGUCUGAACUGGGAUUCUAUUCGGUGUUUCACUUCUUUCCUCCAUCCUUAAUGAUCUUCAUAACAGUUGGAAAGGAGUCAGACCAGUUUUUGUUUCCUUUUACCUCUUCUGCUGAUGGAUUUUCUAGAAUGAUCUCCAAUUUCUGUGAUUUUGGACUUCGAAAAUUACCCAUGAAAUUUCUGGGGAAAAACUGAUUGGAGAGAGAGAGUCCCUUCCUGAUAACGCAUGCUGGGCAUGAUGGUUUCCAGUCCCCAGUUGAAGGCUAUCGUCUUCAAGCCUCGAGAGAUCAUAAAAGUAAGAUUGGCGAGGGCGACUCUGAAGUUAUUUACAAGAUAAAGCCUUCAUUCCAUGUGCGCCUUAACAACAGGUAGCACCAAAGAAACCAGAGUGGACCAUUCUCAACCUCGGUCGCGUCCAUCUUGUUCAACUCUAAAGGAUCAGACGACUGUUUUGACCAAGGAUAUGGUUGUAUGUCUUCUGGUCCGCUGCCUAUUUACAUCUGGCAGCACUAAGCUAACUUCAUUGGCACCUAUGUAACUGAAAGCAUAGGUCUCUAUAGGUAAGUCUACUACUUUGCAUGUGAAUAUUUGGAAUGCUAAGACAACGGCGAACUAGAAUAAUGGAGGCAAUGAAUGAGCUAUUCCCCUAGAUGGGGGCUAUACUUUCUCCCAUAAUUGCUUCUUGCUGUUGAAUAACCAUCAAGAUACUCAUCUAAUGAGCAAUUACUUCUCAGAAUUGGCUGUCGAAGGUUUUGAAUGUACUUCCAGAUCAGAUGAAACAAAUGAGGAUCCUCUUGCCAUUGGAAGACUGCUGAAAGUGAGCCGGAGCAUGAACUUUACUAAUUAGAUUCAUCAAAUUGCGCACCUUGGCCUGCCAGUGUGGACCCGUUCUGGAGCUGCUAUGAUUAUCCUGAAGUUUAUUUCUAGUAACUGGCUAUAAGACUCUGCAAAAAUUCGGUGGUUGAUGGGAAUGCAAAGAUGGGUAUUCAACGCAUGGAGUCUCGAAUAACAUUCCUUGCUGCUCAUAACUAGUUCUGAUCCAUGUAGCAGAUUCCCCAAUUGUAUGUACGCGGACAUUUCCAUCAAACGACUAUCGAAACUGAAUUGGAGAAGGAAUUGCACCAAUUGGAUUCACUUAACCGUGCAUCUUAACCUUGGCAAAACUGGAUUUGGGAAGAAGCAUUCUACAUGGAAGAUCCAAUUGCUAGGAGAAGGGGAUAAAAAAUGUCUUCUUCCAAGGUGUUGAGUUUGGACAAGUCAUGUGGAGGUUGCAUGCACACGAGAAAUAAUGGAAAUGAACUUGUGGGAGAUGAAUAGUGGGGUUGGCAGGUUGGGUAAGUGUGAAGGAUGGGGACUGGUGGUGGAAUGAAUGGAGCUGUAGGUGGUGGAUAUGGUAUUAAUUCGGUGAAUGUGAAGAAUGGGAACUAGUGAGUAUAAAGGGUGAACAUGCAUGCAUAGUUUCUACUAGUACGAAUCUGCAAAGGAGCUACAUCAUUCUUCCAGCUCCGAAUGAGACGCGCGGCGACUUUAAACAUUGCAAAGUGGCCAUGCAAGUUGAACCCACGUGUGUGCGAACCCGGGAUGGAGUGGUUGAGUGGCAAACUAAGUGGGAAUUACAAAACUAGAACUUGUCAAGUAGUUAACAACUUAACAAAUUGUUAUUUAAGUAGUUAACAGGCUGUUUGUUGUAACUAAUUAGAUGUGUUUGUUAGUAACUGAUCUUUAGAUUCUUGUAUAUAAGAAACAGAGGACUGAUCAGUGUUGUAGAGGGAUAUAGCUCAAUUUCAGUUCCGUCUUUCUGGUUUUCUCUUAAACAGAUGCUCUACACAUCUUCUUCUUCUCUUCAUAUCUCUGAGUUCUUUCUUGGUAUCAGAGCCAUCAACUAACAUCUGUAAAUCUUUUUUUCAUGGCAUCAGAAGGAUCAACAUCUUCAAUGGAUCAUCCUAAUUCCAACUUUACUCAUCAUACAAUGCCAUCAUUGAAUCAAGCAUUCACGGUAAGAAUCAAUCAAUCAAAUUAUUUACUAGGGCGAACUCAGAUGUUGAACAUCAUCAUUGCAAAUGGCAUUGAAGAGAUGAUCCAUGGAAAAAUCCCUGCUCCUUCAUGGUUUCUUGGCGAUUCAGAGAACAUAAAUCUAGAAUACAAUAUAUGGCAACGUCAGAAUCGCUUAGUAAUGUGUUGGAUCUAUUCCCUUUUAACAGAAGGAGUGAUGACACAGAUUAUCGGACUUGAUACUACAUCAGAAAUCUGGAUUGCUCUAGAGAAAAUUUUCUUAGUAGCUUCAAAGGCUCGUACCAUGCAGCUUCGCUUCCAACUGCAAACAACAAAGAAAGGAGGAUUGAGUAUGAUGGAAUAUCUACUCAAAAUCAAGUCCAUUGUAGAUAACUUGGUUGCAAUUGGAGAAAAUAUUACGAGCAAGAUCGAAUUCUCUAUUUACUUGCAGGACUAAGAGCAGAGUACAAUUCGUUUGUCAUUUCAGUUACCUUUGGGCAUGAAUCAUUAAGCCUAGAAGAAAUUCAUAGCAUGCUCUUAACUCAUGAAAAUCGAUUGGAACAACACACAACAGAAGAAACAAAUCUUAUGCAAGUAAAUAUUGCAACAAUGAACCUUCAAGGUCACAACAGAAAAAAUCAAAAGUUUGGUCAAUUCAAGACUCAAGGUAGAGGUAGUCAGAAUCCACAACAAUUUAAUCAUCAGAAUUUUGGUAGAAGCCGUGGGAGAGGUCACUAUAACAACAAUGGUGGAAAUUUUGGGCAUGGUCUAGGAAAAGGUAGCUUUAAUAACCAUUUUUACUCAUCUGGAAACUUCAAUAAUGUUUCUGGUGGCAGCAAUGGAAAACCACAGUGCCAAGUAUGUGGUAAAUAUGGUCACAUUGCGAUUAAUUGCUAUAAUAGAUUUUAUCAAAACUUAUCAAUCAACAAUGAACAAUCAGCUUGCUGUAAUGGUUUGCAACUCCGUCCAAUGUUGGAGAUGGAAGUUGGUACAUGGAUACCGGAGCUAUGCAUCACCUAACUCCAAAUCUCAACAAUUUGAAUUCACAUACUCCAUUUGCUGGUUCAGACAAAGUCGUCGUUGGAAAUGGUAUUUGUUUAAAUAUCUCAAAUAUUGGACACUCCAUUAUUUCUUCAGCUUCUCGGUCAUUAAAUCUAAGAAUAUUUUACAUGUUCCACAACUUACAACCAAUCUGAUAAGUGUGAAUAGGUUGUAUACUAACAAUAAUGUUACUGUGGAAUUCUUUACUAAUGGAUUUGUGGUGAAGGAUCAAACUUUGAAGAAGGCUCUUCUCCAAGGCAACCUUAACUAUGGCUUAUACAAUCUGUCUUCAACACCUAGUAGAAGAUAUCAAGAUCCUGAUGAUAAUAAACUUGCUGGAAGAACAAGCUUGACAACUGAGGUCCCAUGUAUGUCAUCUACAUUACAACUUCCCAAUAAGGCAGUUCUAUGGCAUUUCAGGUUAGGCCUCCUGCACAUAAAAUAGUCAAUAAAGUUUUGAGUGCUUGUAGCUUGCCCCUAGAACAUUGGACAGGUGUUUGUGAACCUUGUCAAAUGGCAAAGAGCCAUCGCUUACCUUUUACUUUGUCUGAAUCCAGAGCCUCUCAGCCUUUUGCUCUUGCACAUUCUAAUCUAUGGGGUCCUACCCCUGUUGUUGGUGCUAAUGGUGCAAGAUACUUUGUGCUCUUUGUGGAUGACCAUACAAGAUUUUCUUGGUUGUAUCUACUAGCUUCUAAAGAUCAACUAUCUCUGCCUUUUUGCAAUUUAAAGUGAUGAUUGAGACUCAAUUUGAUACUAAAGUUAGAAUGCUUCAAACUGAUUGGGGAGGAGAGUUUCAAGCCUUUACUAAUACCUUAUGUAAGUUUGGGAUUCUGCAUAGAGUAUCUUGUCCAUCCACUUCUCAACAAAAUGGUCGUGUGGAGAGAAAACAUAGGCAUGUGGUUGAAGUAGGUCUUUCCUUGCUUGCUCAUGCUUCUAUUCCACUUAAAUAUUGGCCUUUUGCCUUCCAAUCUGCUUUAUAUUUGAUUAAUAGGCUUCCUUCCUCUGUGCUGAACUUUUCUCUCCAUAUAAGACUCUUUACCAUUGUCUACCAAAUUAUUCUUUUCUUCGCGUCUAUGGUUGCACUUGUUAUCCUUUUCUCCAUCCUUUUAAUCGCCAUAAAUUUGCAUACCGAUCAGUUAAAUGCACCUUUAUUGGCUAUAGUUCUAAGCAUAAAGGAUAUCUAUGUUUGAACUUGUCCACUGGAAAAAUACAUAUAUCACGACAUGUUAUUUUUUAUGAACUAGAUUUCCCGUUUGCUAAGCCUUCUACAGUUCAACCUCCUUGUCAUGUUUCCCCCUCUCAUUGUGCCAUUCCUUUAGUAAUACCAACCACUCCAAUAUCUUCCCUCUUGCUUUCCUCAUCCAGUCCAUCUUCAGAGCUGGUUCCAAUCUCUUAUGAUAGUAUGUCAAUUUCCUCUUCAAAAGUUGCACCUAUUCCAAUAGCUCAACCGUCUUUCUCUCAUGUUCCUCCUUCUUGUCAUCCCAUGACAACGCAUGCCAAAAAUGGCAUUUUCAAACCCAAGAUAUUUCCAUCCCCUAUUAAGACUAUUUUUCAUUCACCUUGUGAACCGAAUUCCUUCAAGGAAGCUGCUAAAGUUCCUGAAUGGCAGCAAGCUAUGCACCUUGAAUUUGAAGCUCUUAUGAACAAUAAAACAUGGGUCCUAGUUCCUCCUCCGUCUAAUCAGAAUAUCAUUGGAUGUCGCUGGGUUUAUAAAUUGAAGUACAAACCUGAUGGAACUGUUGAACGCAAUAAAGCACGUUUGGUGGCUAAAGGAUUUCAUCAAACUCCUGGUUUUGAUUACUUUGAAACCUUCAGUCCCAUGGUUAAACCUACUACUAUUCGUGUGGUUCUCUCUUUGGCAUUAAGUAAAAAUUGGUCCAUCAGACAACUUGAUGUUCAUAAUGCCUUUCUUAAUGAUGAUUUAUUUGAGCAAGUUUUUAUGACACAACCCCCAGGCUUUGUGGAUCCCUCUAAGCCCAACUUUGUUUGUAAACUUACCAAGGCAUUGUAUGGUCUAAAGCAAGCUCCAUGGGCUUGGUUCACCAAACUCAGCUCCGCCUUAGUUAAAUGGGGUUUUUCCAUGUCUCAAGCAGAUACAUCAAUGUUUGUUUACUAUAACAAUUCUGCCAUGCUUGUUGUCUUGGUUUAUGUUGAUGAUAUUACUGUCACUGGCUCAAGUUCCUUGCUCAUUGAACAACUUAUGUCCUCCUUAAACUCUUGCUUUGCUUUCAAGGAUCUUGGUCCUCUUAACUUCUUUCUUGGAAUAAAGGUGUUGAAUUUUGGAUCUUCUUUGCAUUUAAGUCAAGCUAGAUAUAUCUGUCAUCUUCUUCAACGUGCUGGUUUGUCUGAAUCAAAGUCCAUGACUUCCCCAAUGGCUGCUGGCCCUGUUCUUUCCAUAGAUGAUGGUACCAGAUUAGAAGAUCCCACCUUGUACCGGAGUCUUGUGGGUGCCCUACAGUAUUGCACAAUCACUAGACCAUAUAUUGCUUAUACCGUUAAUAAGCUUUGCCAAUUUAUGCAUGCUCCAACCUCUACUCAUCUUCAAGCCGUGAAGCAUGUCCUUCGUUAUCUCAAAGGUUCAUUGUUUUAUGGGCUUUCUUUCCAACCAUCUUCUUCCCUUGAUCUUAUUGCCUAUACAGAUGCGGAUUGGGCAUCUUGCCCUAAUGAUAGAUGUAGCACCAAUGGCUACUGCAUAUUUUUUAAAGGCAAUCUGGUCUCUUGGUCAGCUUCUAAACAAAAGGUGGUUUCACGCUCUAGUACUAAAUCCGAAUAUAGGGGCUUGGAUAAGGCAACAGUUGAACUCACUUGGAUCCAGUACCUGCUUAAAGAAAUUUUUGUUCCCCUGUUUCAGUCUCCUGUUCUUUAUUGUGAAAAUCUCAGCACUACUUAUUUAGUUGCAAAUCUUGUCCUUCAUUCUCGGGCUAAACAUGUGGAAAUUGAUUAUCAUUUUGUUCGUGAGCAAGUCUUGCAAAAAAUUCUUGAUGUUCGAUUUCUCCCAUUUGAAGAUCAAGUUGCUGAUAUCUUGACCAAAGCUCUUUCAACUCAAUGUUUCCUCCAUCUCCAAAGCAAGCUCACAGUUCUUUCUCAUCCUGUGUGCUCGAGGAGGGAUGCCAAGUAGUUAACAACUUAACAAACUGUUAUUUAAGUAGUUAACAGGCUGUUUGUUGUAACUAAUUAGAUGUGUUUGUUAGUAACUGAUCUUUAGAUUCUUGUAUAUAAGAAACAGAGGACUGAUCAGUGUUGUAGUGGGAUAUAGCUCAAUUUCAGUUUCCGCCUUUCUGGUUUUCUCUCAAACAGAUGCUCUGCACAUCUUCUUCUUCUCUUCGUAUCUCUGAGUUCUUUUUGAACUCUCAUCAUAAUGUGCACCGAAGGGGCCAUACAUGUGGGCUGCAUACCCAUGGGAAAAAUUGGGAAGGUGUGCAUGGGGAGUGAAUGGUGGAAUGAGUGAUGGACAUGUUGGAUAGGUAUGAGAUUUAGGUUGCGUAGGUAUGAACGAUGAGAGAUGGGUAUGGUGACAGUGGGGUAAUCCAGUGGGUAUGAAGGUUGGAGAAAUGGUGGGUUUGCACAUAAGAAUUCUUGCAUGUUGAGGAUGAAUGAGAUGCAAUUUGCUGGAGAAAACAUCGAUUUCCAGCACACCAGAUCACCAAAAAUUACUAUCAUUCUUUUCACCAUUGAUCGCGUUUUCACCAUUGAUUAUUGCAUUUGGGUUCUCUUUACCAUCACUGAUGUCUAAAAGCUUCACAUGAUACAAGGCCCAACUCAAAAUUGCUCUCUCUCUUCGUUUUGACCAUCCAAACCUGUUUGUAGAUGAGCCAUGCCCUGUCUCUUGCAGCAGCUUUUUCUGAGCGUGGACUGCCACCACUAGAGCUGAGGUAUUCCAUUGACAACCGGAGCUACACCGCUACAUGAAUAGGAGUCAAAUGUUGCUCAUACCCUGCAUCUCGUCCCAUAUCUGACUUUCUGCAAUUCCUCUAGUCUGUCCUUGAAUAACCCACAGCUAGCAAAAUCUCCCACAAACUGUAUUAAAAGAGAGUAGACAAAUUCAUGCCACGAGCACAUAUCUAAUAUCUCGAUGCAUUCUUUAAGUAGAGGAUUCCAAGAACGAUGGGAAACAUCUUUUCCAGAAUAAUGAGAACCUGGCCAAGAAGAGUAUCGACUCUGUCAUUGGCUCGGGCCCAUGAAGAAGCUAUGAUUAGCCAACAAGACCAAGAGCAACUAAGGAAGUCAAAGGUAAAAGAAGUGUAGCUGGAAUCUGGGUGCCACCAUUCAAACUGUUGAGUAGCCAAGUGCUCUGUAACAAUGUCAUCUAAUAAGAGGACUCAUUGGACAUCUCUUCUAUGGACAAGUGGGGCAUCAACAAAUUCUGAAAGGUGUCAUUGAGUCAACUGAAACUCUCUUGAACCUCAUAAUAGAAACCUACUCAUCAAAUCAUAGUCCAUUCCCACCAUAUUGGCCGCCUUCAAAAAUAACACUGAUGAGGCCCGAAGUUGUUGAAACAUCUGAAGGCUCUUCUGACAAUUUUUUGCACAGCUUCACGAGAAAUCUUCUCAAACCAUUUCUCAAGGAUGUCUAUACAAUGAAAGGUGCUAAUUACUUGGUCAAUGUUUUAUAUUAACACACUAUUAAUCAUGACUUACAAUUUUUUCUUCGAAUUAUUGAAUUGGAGAUGAGUCAAAUGCAACUGCUUAGAUGUUAACUAUCUUUCCUCUGUCAUAAAUAAACAAAUGGUUAAUUAAGUCUUAUUCUAUUGUUAUUAAAAAAAAAAUAGAACAACAUAUGAAAAUAAAAAAGGAUUUACAUAUUAAAAGAAAUGUGCAUUCCUAUGAUUUAUAGGGAUAUUAGUGCUCAUAAUGAGGAGGCAAAGUCAACUCUCCAACAAUGAUCUCACACAUAGAUAACUCCUAGAAUUGUAAUGUUUAUGUUUAUUUUUACGGUGUAAUUAGAAGAUUAUUUAUAUAAAAGUUCUCAAUAAUAUUUCUAGCUUCAAUUGCCACAUACACCAAGUUUUACAUGGCAUCAAAGUAUGAACUAACAAGCCAAAAUAUGUUUUCUUCUUUAUUCUUUUUUUCUAUUAAAAAAUUGAACUUGAAUUCAAUAUUUAGUAAUUUCACAAGUGUUCUAAUUUCAUCUUAAUCAAACUAAAAUAUUACAAAGUUUUCUAUUUGGAAAAAUCAAGUUCUCCCUUAGUUUUAUUUGUGGCCUCAGUAUUCACCAUUAUUUUUUAAAUAAAACGAGGAAAACAAAAGUAUCCUAACCUACAAUACUAGAUAUGGGUCAAUAAUAAUGGGCUUCUCACUUUAUGGCUUCUUCAAACCAUGAAAGGAGGCAUUUUAAAGAUGAUAUUUCAUGUUGAAAUGAUAGAUGAUCGAGGUAUGAACUGCUCUUGAAGAGUAUUUGCCCCUUACCAUAGUGGAGAAUGAAAGAAACCUAGAAAAUAUAUUCAUGACCCUCAAAAAGAGGUCAUUGUCUCUUAAAGAGUAUUUAGGGGACUUCAAAACUAUAUGUGACAAUCUUGCAACAAUCAAAAAUCUUGUUUCAAAUCAAGACAAAGUUUUUCAAUUUGCUCAUGGCUUAGGACAUGACAAAGAUAUGAAAAGUUUUUAAAUUUUCAUUUAGUCUAAAAUCAAUUUGCCAUUACAACACAAUUUUAUUUACUCUGACUAUGAUGAUUUUGCUUCUUUAUUUUAAAAUAUUUACUUCAUUGUGGAGGUAUUUUCCCAAAAAAAAAAAGGUUUUCCCAUUGUUACAAGUGAUGACUUUCACACUUGCUUUAAAGAUAUAAGAUUUAGAUUUAACCAAUGUAACCUAUUUCACUUUGAGAAGCAUUUUUUAAAGAACUAUUUCAUUCAUUAUAUGAAAAAUUAUCAAAUUUGACAUAAUUUUCAUGAAUUUCAUAAAUCUAAAAUCUCAUUUAGAAAUCAAACUUAGAAGAUUCCCUAUUAAUCAAGAAAAAUAGAAAAUCUUACAUUACCUAUACAUCAAAUUCUAUAUUUACUCCAAUCUUAGAGUCUAGAGUGUCAUUAAAAUAUCUCUAGGGAUAAUAGAGAGAAGCCUCACUUUUAAAAGAACUUCAUAAAUGAAAGAUCACUCAAAAUAAAUAAAAUAGUGAAUGUAUUUUCAAUAUUUAAUCAUUGUAUAUAUAAAAGAGUUAAAAUAAAUAAAAUAAAUUUAAAGUAUAAUAUAAAAAUAAUUUAUUAUUUAAUUUUUUUUGUCUUACUCUUUUUUCUUUCCAUUUUAUUAUUUUCAGAUAUUUUAAUAAAGAAAAAAAAUGUUAAGGGUCUUUUUCAUAUUUAAUCUCAUCAUAAAAAAUAUAAAAGAAAAUUAAAUAUAUAGUUAAAAAUUUUAUAUUUUAAAUAAUUUAAUCUUUACAUAUGAGAAUAAGUGAAAUCGGUUUUAAACCAAAAAUUUAAAUUUCUUUAAUCUUUGCAUAUGAGAAAUAAGUGAAAUCGAUUUUAAGCAGUAUAUAAAAAUAAUUUAUUAACUUUAAAUUAAUUUUUUAACUUUUUAAUUUAUGUUUCCUUCUUAUUUUCUUUUUAUUUAUUUAUUUUUUAAGUUGUGUUUGGUUUUCAGAAAUUAUUAAGGAAAAAAGAAAAUAAUAAGGAAAAUGAUUUUCUUGUUUGAUUACAAUAUAGAAUAUAGCAAUAAAAAUGAAAUAUAAUUAAAAUUAAUAAAAACUUAUACAUUCUCUAAUCUAUGUAUUAAAGAAAUAAAAUAAAUAAAAUAAGUUUGGAGUAACAUAUAAAAAUAAUUUAUUGAUUUUAAAUUUAUUUUUUAUUUUCCUUUGUGUUUUUUUCUUUCUUUCUAUUUUCUUCCCCUUUCAUUUUCCCUCAAAUGUUUUUGAGCCAAACAUAGCUUUUGAGUUUUAGUAACCAAACAUAAGCAUGAUGUUAGAACUUCGAGGAAACAUGAAUACAAUUUAUAGUUAUAAUGAUACAUGUGAUCUCUCUUUCAUGAUCAAUCCAAGAAGAACUUGGAGUCCCCAUCACCUAAACCCUUAUCAACUGCUAUUUUACAUAUGAACUACUAUUUUACAUGAUCAAUCCUAAUAGUCUCAUACACUUCUUUGUUAGACUUCAGCCAGCCACAAGUAUUGGUUGAAGGAAAUAAGACAACAUUCAACAAACAAGAAUUGAUUUCUUAAUUCAUGAUACAAUGAAAGGUGCUAAUUACUUGGUCAAUGUUUUAUAUUAACACACUACUAAUCAUGACUUGGCUAAUAAAAUAGCCUUACAAUAACUAAUUGAUAAGAAAAACAGCCCACGUUUUACACUAACAAAUAACGUGGUAAAGAGUAGAGAAUAAGUCAAAGCUGGAAACUACCCUGCUUAUAAAACUACCCUGCUUAAUAGGAAUUAUUAAAAAAAAAAAAAAAAACUAAACAAUCAGAAAACUUAAAUCUUGACAAGGACAUAGUUCUGAUCAAUUAUGAGAAGAUGAAAACUUGUUGCGAAGACAGAUUCUGAUUUUGCAAGCUUGGGUAGACCAGAUGUAACCUAAUUCACUUUGAGAAGCAUUUUUUAUAGAACUAUUUCAUACAUGAAAUGAAAAAUGAUCAAAUUUGACAUAAUUUUCAUGAAUUUCAUAAAUCUAAAAUCUCAUUUAGAAAUCAAACUUAGAAGAUUCCCUAUUAAUUAAGAAAAAUAGAAAAAUCUUACAUUACCUAUACAUCAAAUUCUAUAUUUACUCCAAUCUUAGAGUCUAGAGAGUCAUUAAAAUAUCUCUAGGGAUAAUAGAGAGAAGCCUCACAUUUAAAAGAACUUCAUAAAUGAAAGAUCACUCAAAAUAUUUAGGAAAACAAUAUCAUAUCAAUUAAUCAAACUAUCAAACUAUCAAACCACAGGUAUGUUAACUAAUAAGUAAGGACAUAGUUCUGAUCAAUUAUGAGAAGAUGAAAACUUGUUGCGAAGACAGAUUCUGAUUUUGCAAGCUUGGGUAGACCAGACACAGCAUUACUGGUACAUGCUGAUGAACUAGCUGCUGAAGAUUCCCAACUCGAAAACUAUUGAUCUGUCUUGAAACCAGCCUAGGAGUGAGACACCAAGGCUAAUCUACUGGAAUGAAGCAUUGCAAUACCUUGGGCUGCCAUGGAAAUGCAAUGAAAGUUGGCUUUCUUGACAAGCUUGAUCUUGGGAUGCCAAUCAUUGCAUUACUAAGUGAUGCUUAUGGGGCCACAUCCCCGUUAUGCUUGUUGGAGACUUUAACAGCAUGCCACCAAGUACACCGUAUCAGUUUCUGGCCUCAUCUAAAAUGGAACAUCAGUCACAACAUAGAGCCUACAGAUACCAGCAGAAUGAAGAUGCAUCCAGAACAAGGCCAUUCAUGCAUACAUGGAGCAAUGAAGAAUUAAGGCCCGCCACUGGCAGCGAUGGAGUUAUCUCAUAUGGUCCUUGUCAAACUCCUAUUCUUGGCUUCUGUGUACAGCACCACUGGAAGUUUUCCCACUCCAAUAUCAGAAAGUUGAAAUAUUCUCAAGAAAUGACCUGACCUCCAGGUUGACCUUGGCUGUUGAUACUGCUUCCAUUGGACCUCUUCCUCUCUUGGGUUCAUUCAUCACUCAGAUGGGUACAAAUGACUACAGUUCAAUUCCUUAACAACUCAAAGAUCACAAAUGCGAGGGAUCAUAUGGAACUAGAUGGCCUAUAGAAAAAAGAUGGUGAAAGAGCAGAGAAGGUGGACUCAUUAACAGCUGAAGUCAAAAGGCUAAAGGAUCUUUUGUUAUUUCCACAUUAAAAUUAAGUGGGUGGCCCACUAACCUAGUAUUUAGCCAAUUAAAAGAAUACCCAAUAUCUUUAAACUGUUAUAAAGAUAUUUACCCUUGAUGGAGUGGGUAAAUUAUAAUAAUUUUAAUAUUAUUAUUUGGAAUAAAAACAGUUAUUCGAAUAACACGUUUAGAACGAUUUUUGAACGUGUAUUCUUGGCCCUCUUCUCCUAUCAAUAAGAUAUAUAUAUAGAAACCCCUUCAUGUGCGGUGAGUACUCUCUUCCAUCAAUUACAGAAAACAAUUCUGUGUAUUAAGGUUUGAUAAGGAGAAGAAGAGAUAAAGGAUUUAAGAUCUAUAAACUGAAGGGAAAUCUCUCAUGGCUGCUUGUUCUUCAAACGGUAUGUAAUCUAUUUUUAAUUAAUGUUUUUAUUAUUUUAUUAUUAGAGAUGAGUUUGAAUUCAAUGAUCUGGAAUAUCGUGUGUUAAUUUCCGUAUUAAAUAUCAACAAUUGGUAUCAGAGCAAGGUUGAAUUUAAAUAUUCAGAAUCACUGUUUUAUAAAGAUUAAAUUUUGAGAUUUAUCUUCGAUUAAUUCGUCUCACUAAAAUGAAUAAAAAAAAAAUUAAUUAAACAAAAUAAAGACCAGCCUCAACGCGUAGAAGGAAGAUUUUUAUUUUUCCUUGCAACGCUAACUGGAUCAAUGCCGAUGAGGGGCGCUGGUUUGGCGGACUGGUUUGGCGUCAGUCCGGUGGCCGUUUUCUGACGCCAUUGCCGGUGCCAUCGCGCCGUUUUCAGGCGCCAAUCCAGGCGCCAUUGUCGGAGCACCAUCUCGCCGUUUGCGCGCUGGUUGCAGGCGCCAUUGUUGGCGCCAGUCCAGGCGGCAUUACUGGCCCCAUUGAAGGCACCAUCUCGCUGUUUGCGCAUUGGUUGCAAGCGCCAUUGCUGGCGCCAUUGAAGGCGCCGUUUUUAGGCGCUAUCUUCUGGUUGCAAGUGUCGUUUCCUCGCCGUUUCAGGCGCGCUUCAAACACCAGACUAGAAGCUUCAAUAAAGGAGAAAUACAGAAUCACAACACUGGUUAGCCGAUUGUCAUCAUCACUUAUUUGAAUAUGAAACUGAAAUCCUCUUUUAAGAUGUCCAUGCAGCUUGUGCUAUUUGAACAACAAUUUCAUGAAACAAAAAAAAAAACUAUUCAAGUCAUAGCUUUAGCUUUAGGUUGAAAUUCAAAAAAAUAAAAGGUGCAUAAGACUUUAGUUUGAUAUACAAUGUAAAUUGAUUAUUGAAUCAGAUGAUUAUUAAAGAUACUAUUUCCUUGAUUUUUUAUUAUUUGAUUUGAACCUUUGUGAAAUUAUUAUUGUAUCUGAUGAAUGCAGAUUUCUUUGAUUUUAUUAUGAUUGAUUAUUGAAUUAGAUGAUUAUUAAAGAUACUAUUUCCUUGAUUUUUUAACUCAAAUAAAAGAAUUAAUUUCAUCUUGUGAAAUUUUAUCCAAAUGACAAUUUAUAAAUGUAAGGUUAACUAAUUUAGAUAGUUGCCAAAGUAACCUAAAUUAGUGAGCCUUGUAUUUAUUGAAUUGCAUAAAAGAAUAAAGGGAGACUUGUAAAAUUCUUAAUAAUUCUCUUUAUAAUUAGGAGAAUGAGACUAACCCAAAGGAGAGUCAAUUUCUACUAAUUAUUAAUUAAUGUUUUUAUUUUGUGUUGCUUAGAAAGGUAAAAUGGAUACCCAAAGGUAACAUAUAAAUGACACAAAAUAGUAAAGUGUUUUAAGCUCCCUCCAAGUGAACACUGGAUAUGUUAAAAUUUACCCAAAGGAGAAUUUUAAUGAUAUCAAUAGUUCAUUGCUAUUUAUUUUAUACUUGAGGCUUUAUUGUCAGCAUUGUUCUAUUUUGUACAGUUCCCACUUCAUUACACUCUCUUGCAUCUGGAAUGACUGUUUUUGAUGGGUCGAACUUUUCUGAAUGGUAUGAAAGGGUUCAAUUCUCACUGGGCGUAUUGGAUCUUGACCUGGCUUUAAUAACUAAUAAACCUCUUGAAGCUAUGGAUGACAGUACUCCGGAGCAAGUGGAACAAUCAAAAGCUUGGGCAAGAUCCAACAAACUCAGUCUGAUGUUUAUGAGAAUGACUAUUGCCAAUAAUAUCAAGACCUCUCUCCCUCAAACCGAGUUUACCUCGGAAUUUCUGAAAUCUGUUGAGGAGCGCUUCAAACGCGCUGAUAAGUCUCUUGUAGGCACAUUGAUGGCUGAAUUGACCACCAUGAAAUAUGAUGGUCAGAAAGGUAUUCAGCAACAUAUUUUAAACAUGACUGAAAAGGCUACAAAGCUUAAGGCACUAGGCAUGGGUAUGGAUGAGUCCUUCUUGGUACAGUUUGUCCUUAACUCACUUCCAUCAUAGUUUGCUACAUUCAAAAUCGACUAUAAUACUAACAGUGAUCAGUGGAACUUGAAUGAUCUCACCAGUAAAUGUAUAUAAGAGGAAGUGAGAUUAAGACAAGAAGGACAUAAUCUUGCUCUUGCUGUAACUCAUGGAGUCAUGAAGAAGAAAGGAAAAUUCAAAAAAGGAAAGAACUUUCCACCUAAGAAAAGCGGACCUGGGGAAGGUAGCCAGAGUCAUGAUGGAAAAUUCACGGUAAGUUGCUACUUUUAUGGCAAGAAAGGGCUUGUGAAGAAGGACUGUAACAAGAGCAAGGCUUGGUUCGAAAAGAGAGGUAUAAAUCUUUCUUUUGUAUGUUAUGAAUCCAAUCUUGCUGAAGUUCCUUCAAAUACUUGGUGGAUUGAUUCUGGAGCCACAACUCAUGUGACUAAUUUAAUGCAGGGAUUCCUUACAACCAGGAAACCAAAGGAAAGUGAAAAGUUCCUCUAUAUGGGAAACCGUCUCAAGGUUGAAGUGGUAGUUGUUGGUACCUAUCGCUUACUAUUAGAGACGGGUCAUUGGAUGGAUCUUUUAAACACUUUUUAUGUACCUUCUAUCUCUAGGAAUUUAGUUUCCUUAUCCAAAUUAGAUGCUACUGGAUAUUCUGUUUUAUGUUCUGGACAAUUAAGUUUGAUGUUAAAUUCUGUUACAGUUGGUUCUGGUAUUUUAUGUGAUGGUUUAUAUAAAAUUUCCUUGAAUCAUGAAUUUGCACAAGCUUUGAUAACCCUACAUUCAAAUUUUGGUUCAAAACGUGGCUUAAUUAAUGAAAAUUCUUCAAUCUUAUGGCACAGAAGACUAGGGCACAUCUCUAGGGAAAGAAUUGAGAGAUUAGUGAAGGAAGGAAUUUUACAAAAUCUUGACUUCACUGAUUUUCAUGUAUGCAUGGAUUGCAUAAAGGGAAAGCAAACUAAACAUACAAAGAAAGGUGCCACAAGAAGUAAUGCGCUCCUUGAGAUAAUUCAUACAGAUAUUUGUGGACCAUUCUCUGUUCCAUGUUUUACAGGAGAGAAAUAUUUUAUCACCUUUAUAGAUGAUCUAUCUCGUUAUGGUUAUGUUUAUCUAAUGCAUGAAAAGUCUCAGGCCAUUGACAUCUUCGAGAUGUUCAUAACAGAGGUCGAGAGACAAUUAGAUAAAAAGAUUAAAAUUGUGAGAUCAGAUCGAGGCGGUGAAUAUUAUGGCAGAUAUGAUGAAUCACGACAAAAUCCUGGUCCUUUUGCCAAAUUCCUUGAAAAGUGUGGCAUUCGUGCUCAGUACACAAUGCCUGGUAUGCCACAAUAGAAUGGUGUUGCUGAAUGGCGUAAUCGCACAUUAAUGGAAAUGGUUAGGAGUAUGAUGAGUUACUCUUCUGUACCUAUUUCAUUGUGGGGUGAAGCCUUAAAAACCACAAUAUAUAUCUUGAACAGAGUUCCUAGUAAGGCAGUUCCAAAAACACCUUUCGAGUUAUGGACUGGUAGGAAACCUAGCUUGAGACAUAUACAUAUAUGGGGUUGUCCAGCGGAGGCAAGAAUCUAUAACCCACAUGAGAAAAAGCUUGAUUCAAGAACGAUAUCUGGAUAUUUCAUUGGCUAUCUGGAUAAAUCGAAAGGGUACAGAUUUUAUUGUCCUAACCACAGUGUGAGAAUAGUUGAAACCGGUAAUGCCAGAUUCUUAGAGAAUGGCGAAAUCAGUGUGAGUAAUGAACCAAGAAAGGUAGAUAUUGAGGAGAUAAGAGUGGAUAUCCCACCACCUUUUUUACCUCAAGAAAUUAUUGUCCCUCAACCUGUUCAACAAGUUGAGGAAAAUGAGCAACAUAAUAGAGAUGGUUCAUUACCACCAGAAAAUAUUGCCAUUGAAAAUGUUGUAGAGCCACCACAACCGACACCUUUGAGGAGAUCUCAAAGAGAAAGGAGACAUGCCAUUACAGAUGAUUAUGUGGUGUAUCUACAGGAAUCUGAUUUUGAUAUUGGGAUAAGGAAGGAUCCGGUUUCAUUUUCACAAGCCAUGGAAAGUGAUGAUUCUAGUAAAUGGAUGGAAGCUAUGAAUGAAGAGUUGAAAUCUAUGGCCCAUAAUGGUGUCUGGGAUCUCAUCGAAUUGCCUAAUAGUUGUAAACCCGUCGGCUGUAAAUGAGUCUUUAAGACAAAGCACGACGCUAAAGGCAAUAUCGAACGAUUUAAGGCCAGACUUGUGGCCAAAGGUCUCACUCAAAAGGAAGGUAUCAAUUACAAAGAUACCUUCUCUCCAGUUUCCAAGAAAGAUUCGCUAAGAAUCAUCAUGGCACUUGUAGCUCAUUUUGAUUUAGAGUUACAUCAAAUGGAUGUGAAAACUGCAUUCUUAAAUGGGAAUUUGGAUGAAGAUAUCUACAUGGAACAACCUGAAGGGUUCACAAAGAAAGGAAAUGAACACCUAGUUUGCAAAUUAAAGAAAUCCAUUUACGGUCUUAAAACAAGCUUCCAGACAAUGGUAUAUUAAGUUCAAUAAUGCCAUUACAUCUUUCGGAUUUAAAGAGAACAUUGUUGAUCAGUGUCUAUAUCUGAAAGUUAGUGGGAACAAGUUUAUAUUUCUGAUACUGUAUGUGGAUGAUAUUUUGCUUGCUAGCAGUGAUCUUGGUUUAUUACGUGAAACCAAGGAAUAUCUCUCUAAAAACUUUCAUAUGGUUGAUAUGGGUGAGACAAACUAUGUUAUUGGCAUCGAGAUCUUUAGGGAUCGAUCUCGAGGAGUGCUAGGUUUAUCUCAGGAAGGAUAUAUUGAUCGGGUUUUAGAGAGAUUUAAUAUGCAAUCAUGUUCAUCGGGUAUUGCACCUAUAUUGAAAGGUGACAAAUUAAGUAAAAUGCAGUGCCCAAGGAAUAACAUGGAAAGGGAGCAAAUGAAGAAAAUUCCUUAUGCAUCAGCUGUGGGGAGUUUGAUGUACGCUCAAACAUGUACAAGACCGGAUAUAAGCUUUUCUGUAGCCAUGUUAGGAAGAUACCAAAGUGAUCCAGGAUUCGAACACUAGAAAGUUGCAAAGAAGGUGAUGAGGUACUUACAAGGGACAAAGGAUUAUAUGCUCACAUAUAAAAGAUCAGAACAAUUAAAGGUUGUCGGUUACUUGGAUUCUAAUUAUGGUGGUUGUCUCAAUAGCUUAAAGUCAACUUCAGGAUUUGUCUUUAUUCUAGCAAAUGGGGCAAUCUCGUGGAAGAGUGAAAAACAAUCAAUUACUGCUUCAUCCACGAUGGAGGCCGAGUUUGUUGCUUGUUUUGAAGUUCAAGUCAUGCUCUAUGGUUGUGGAAUUUUUUCUCAGGGCUUGGUGUUGUCAACUCUAUUGCUAAACCUUUGAGAAUAUAUUGUGAUAACACCGCAGUUGUUUUCUUCUCUAAGAAUGGCAAAUUUUCUAGUGGAUCGAAACACAUGGAUUUAAAGUAUUUAGUUGUUAAAGAAAGAGUCCAGAAACAACAAGUGUCAAUUGAAAAUAUUAGAACCACAUUUAUGGUUGUUGAUCCAUUAACUAAAGGAUUACCUCCAAAGGCAUAUUUGGAACAUGUUAUGAGGAUGGGCCUUUUGAGUAAUCCAUAAUAUGUAUGAUAAUGAAUGGUGGUUAUGUAAUUGACAAUUUGCGCAUUAAAAUUGUUUCUGUUUAUUCUUGUUUUCAAUUAUAGGUGACGUUUUAUUGUUUGAUAAACAAGAAUUGUCCUGACAAGACAAAUUACAGGGGUUAUUUGGCAUUAAGGACUGGGUUAGUAAGGGUUAUUGAUGUGUGGUGCAUGGAAGGAAACAUGACAUUAUGGUUAUGUGACCGCCAUGACUCGCAUUUAUGAUCUAAACUGAUUCAGUAUUAUGGUAUAUGAUUUUGGACGUGUUGGCUAAGUUUAUUGAAAUCAUGAUCACGUGUCAAAUUUAUUUUCCAGUAUAUAUUUUAUAUAUAAACUAAAUAUAUUAUAGUUUUCAUAAUCGGUUUAGUGGGCCAAGUGGGAGAAUGUUAUUUCCACAUUAAAAUUAAGUGGGUGGCCCACUAACCUAGUAUUUAGCCAAUUAAAAGAAUACCCAAUAUCUUUAAACUGUUAUAAAGAUAUUUACCCUUGAUGGAGUGGGUAAAUUAUAAUAAUUUUAAUAUUAUUAUUUGGAAUAAAAACAGUUAUUCGAAUAACACGUUUAGAACGAUUUUUGAACGUGUAUUCUUGGCCCUCUUCUCCUAUCAAUAAGAUAUAUAUAUAUAGAAACCCCUUCAUGUGCGGUGAGUGCUCUCUUCCAUCAAUUACAUAAAACAAUUCUGUGCAUUAAGGUUUGAUAAGGAGAAGAAGAGAUAAAGGAUUUAAGAUCUAUAAACUGAAGGGAAAUCUCUCAUGGCUGCGUGUUCUUCAAACGGUAUGUAAUCUAUUUUUAAUUAAUGUUUUUAUUACUUUAUUAUCAGAGAUGAGUUUGAAUUCAAUGAUCUGGAAUAUUGUGUGUUAAUUUUCGUAUUAAAUAUCAACAUCUUUGCUAUCACAGACGUAAUCAGAAGAAGAGGCCAAGCAAGCUGCCUCUAGUCUAGGUGGCACAACCCAAAUAGAUGGAAUUGGAGAUAUGCUUGAAGUGAGUUUGAAAGAGGUUAUUUAGGCACAAGCACAACAACAUGAAUUGUCGUUUAAGCUUUUGUUGAUGAUUCAAGUUGGGAUUCUGAGAAACUAGAGUUGAGUUGGAGUGCCUUGGCUGAUGAGGUAGUGCGCCAAAACCCAAUGAGCCCUCUAAAAUCAAUAUGGUCAGUUCUUUUCCAGACUACCAGCAAUCUGCAUAGGUCUCCUCAUGCAACCACCAGUGGUGCAGUCUCAGUCCUAUCCCUGGGCCUCACUCCUGCAUGGCUACCUUAAUGCACACUGUCCUCUCCCAAAUGCAUUUCUAUUGUUUCUUUGUGAUCUUACAUGUUUUUAAUCGGGUUUUCAAAUGUUUUUUCAUUCAGAUAAUCUCGGGUUUAAAAAUUAAUCCUUAAACAUUUUUAGGCAUUAAAAUCCUAAUUUUUAAUAAACACUUGCAACCAUUCUUCUCCUAGCAUGAACCUUCCUAAUUUUCUUUAAUUUUCAACAAUUUUCUCGAUUUUUAAUAAACAUGAAUAAAUUCCAUAAUUCCAAAAAUAAUGGAAUUCCUUCCAAAUUCCUGUAAUUCCUCUAUAAUCAUUAGAGUUAGAAUUUAUAGGAUUAGCUCAUGCAAAAAUAAAAUUAGGCCUUGAUGGGAGCCCAACAUCCAUGAUAUUUUCCUUCAUAAUAAUCCAAGUGAAAUGCAUCUUAGGUAUUUAUUGACUUUGAUCUGUUUGUGAAGUGUGUGUGAUUAUUUUCUAUGGUACACUAACCUUGUUUCUUUGAGACAUUUUUGUUGUUGCAUAGGUAUGCUUUCAUCUCUACCUUGUCUAUUUAUUUAUUCCUCAUUAUCAUGCAUGAUUUGUUUUAGUCCAUGACUCUUGCUCCUUGGCAUCCACCAAUUAACUAGUCAAUUACCAUACUUGCUUCAACUUGAUUAGUAGAAACCUGAUUUUAGGGCUUGGAGGAGUGCAAUGACUUAUCAUCAUAACUUCUUAAUAGAUAACUUGACCCUCGGAUCCUAACUCAGUUUUCACAAACUUGCUUUUCCCUUUUAAGAGUCACAAUUAGGGGUUUUUUUUUUUUUCUUAUUUUGUUUUCCUUUCUUAAAAAUAAUAAAAAAUAAUUGAUGACUCCAAGUCUUUUCCUAAAAAUAAAAUAUUUCACAAAUAAAAAGCGAGUCAUGCUAUCAAGUGGAAAUGCAUGUGAAAAAUGCAAGUCCACAAGAUCCUAUAAUGGGGCAUUUUUCACCACUUUGAGCUUAUUAGAUUCACAUCAUAUUCAAUUGGGGCUUCAUUAGGGACAUGAUUCUAUUCUUGAGACUAUCAAACCUCUUGUCAUUCUGGUCAUCCUUUUGAGAUUUGAUUUGGAGCAUUUCCUUUGAGACAUGGACAAAUUUAUAUUUUGAUUUCUUAGUUCAUUAUCAUUGAGUUGGAGACAUCACGAUUACCAUAGUUUCUUCAGGAGUAUUUUUACCCAAUCAGACAAGUGAGGAUGUUUAUGCUUUUUAAAUAUGUAACAAAGUUCUAUAAUUGCUUCAAUCCAUGUUUUAAAAAUUGUAUUUCUUUCUAAUAUUGGAGCAAACUUUUUCUUUCUUAUAAAUUUCAUUUGGGAAUGAUUUAAAAAUAAAUAAAUAAAACUCCUUCUAAAUAUUAAAAAGUAACACUUUCUUAUAAAAAUUAAUUAGGUGGAUGGUAAGGUCAAAUUCGGGAUAGCUUCAUAUUUUUUGCUUUAACUUAAAAUUAAAAUCAAAAUUAAAGUAAUAAUUUUUAAGGGGUAAUAUUGAUAUUGUAAGAGUUUUACUAAACAUGAAAGAACUUCUUAUAUAUAUAUAAAAUAGAAUUAUAAAAUUCUUAUAAAACAUAACAUUUUGAUGACUUGUACAUGAAAUCUUUUUUAAAAGUUAUAAGUUUUUUAAAAAUAUAUAUGAAAAUCACUUUUAAAAAUCCAAAAAAUCCCUUAAAAAUAAUUUCUAAACAUUUUUUUAACUUAGAUUUAAAAAAUAAAUGAGUAAAAAAUGAUUUGUUUUUACUAGUUAUUUAAUUUUAAGGAAGCAAUAAAGGGUUUAAUUUGAUGUAAAAUAAAAGAUAAAUAAAUAAAUAAAUAAAUAAAAUGAGGGUUGAAAAGUAAUUAAAUCACUAAAAAAUGGAAUUGGAGUUCCUUCGGUGUGGGGUUAAACUCAAUUUGUCCCAUGCAAUGGAAAUGGACGAUUUUUAUUUUUAUUUUUUUCCUUUUCCUUUAUCUUGGUGUAGUCUUGUGAUAUUGUUACUAAAAUAGUAGGUAAAAAUAUAAAUUAUGUAUCAAUUAUUUUAAAUUUAGAAAAAAAAAAUGCUUAUUUUAAUUUCAAAUAAAUAAAUAGAAAAAAAACUAAUUUUAUCUCAAUUGUGCAAGACUUUAUAAAAAAAUUCUUAUUUGCAAAAUAUUUUGAGUUGUAAAAGUAAAAUUUAAACAAAUCAUUUCAUGACCUUUUUAACAAGUAUCCAUUUAGAUCAUAGUCUAAUUUUUAAAUAUUUGAAUAAUCCAAUUACUCUAAACUAUGUCAUUUAUAAUUUUUUUUAAUUAUUAAUAUGAUACCUAAGCUUCUACAGAAUUGGAAUAAAAUAUGGAUAAGUAAAAAAUGUCAAAUAAAAGAUAAUUUCAAUCUUUUCUAAUACAACAUAAUAUUUUAUCAUGUUGAAUAAAAUUGGAAUGGGCAAAAGUUGUCAAAUCAAGACUUACAUGGAAAAUUCCACCAUUGCAUAUCUCAAUGAUUAUUCUACAACAUUAUCUUUGUAGACUUUUAAUAAUCCAAGAAAUCGACAAAUUAUAUAAUAAUCCCAAACACACAAUAUUCUACAAUUUUUUUGAAUAAAAAAUAAAUAAUGAAAUUUGAAUAAUGCAAACAUUCAAUGAAAUCUUUGGCAUGUUAAUUCUUUGCAGCUUCAACAUGCUGGCAUGUCGGAUGGCGAAGGCAGCAUUUGAGCUUCUGGGUGUUUACCAUUUUUCACUAUGAACGCAGUUUCCAUGCCCCAAGUCACAUGGCGUUCUACAUGGCAGUGCAUGAACCACACUCCUGCAAUAGAGCAAAUAUACCAACAUUACACCUAACUUAUUGCAAUAUUAAGAAAAAUUAUUUCAAGGGUUUUUUUUUAUAAUAGAGGACGUGAGUGCUUGCAACAUACCAGGGUUGGAUGCCUCAAAUCUGAUUGCAACCCAACCAUUCGUAGGAACGGAGAUGGUACUCUGAAGGGGAGGAUCCACCAGAUUAUAGCGUAAAGGGUCCCUAUUUUUAUCGAAAUUCCCAAAUCCCCAUCCAACAAGGUAGAAACUGUAUCCAUGGAGAUGCAUGGGGUGGUGUGUCCCUGCAACCAAGUUUGUCCCUUGAAAAACAAUCUCCACUGUGGAGUUAUACUCGAGCACCCUUACUUCUGUUCCGAUUUCUGGCGUCUGAUACUCUAAUGGAAGAUAAUCAGCUGUAAAAUCAAACACCAGUGGUGGAACGCUAGGAAAUUUAUCUCCAUAUACACCACUGAUGUUAUAAUAGUAAGCUUGUAGUAUGUCAAUCGUAGGGGAUUGGAAGCUUAUGUUGUUUAUACUUGCGGAGAAUCGCGUCCCAUUGGGCCCUGCACAUGAAUUAUUAGGGCAUAGGAACGAGUUUACAGAAACAGUGUAAAUUAGUUUAGUGCUCGGGCUCAAUGGGACAUUGGAAGGAUGUUCCGCAUCUACUAAGCUUCGGAGGCCAACCAUGACCUGAACCGAUGCAUUUGUGUCAUUAUAUGCAGGAAAAUGAGGCAAGGAGAGAGGUGAAGAUGAAGUGUAGUAACCUCUAUAAUGUACAAUAGCUGUGGUGGUUGUGUUAUCAUAAAAAUUUUGAGCUAUCGGGGCAAUGGAAUAAGUUUUAGCCGCCAUGUAAUAGUGAUCUGGGCGUUGGUUAGCUUCUAGUAAGACAUCGAGGUUUGGCCAGGAUAUAUUGUGAUAUAAUCUCGUGUCAAUGGUUUCGUGUAGCUACCAUAUGUUCCAACCACUGUCAUUUUAUGCUUGGCAAUGGAGAAGAAGAGAGCCUCAUGCAAGGCAGCAUUGAUUAUGCGAAGUAGAUAGGUCUUUCCAUGAUCCACUCUUAGCUUGAAUGUGCCUGCAAUUAGAAAGGAAAAGUUGUAUACUUAUGACUAGCGAAAAGAAAAAAACUUUCCAUGAGCAUCCACCAAUUAUGAAGUGAUUGAUUAAUUAAGGGUGUAAAUUUGGCUCCAUAGUUCAAAUUUAUAUUUGGACUAGCCUUUUCUUAUGUGUUAAGUCAUGGCUCUACCAUCCUCAUAGCUAUAUUCCUCUUUCUUAGCAUUAAGUUUUCAAUAUGUUUAUAUUAAUAAGAAAAAGUAAUAUGGUUAACAUACAAGAAAAUGACAUCAGUGCACAAUUUUAAAAUGGGAAGUUAAACUUUAUACCUGAUUUUGAGCAUGGAUAUAGAUCACUGGGUUGUCCAUUUAUCAAUAAAGAAUCAGAGGCAUUAGGGUCAGCUCUGGUUGCAAGCCCUUCAUCUCGAACCGCAUUCACAUCACUCUUCCACCAUUGUCCUGCAUUUCAACAACUCCAAUAAUUUAGAUUUCGCUUUGUUAGUUAAUUCAUGAUAUGGAAAUUAACCUUUAAAAGGAACUACACUUAUACCUAAUAUGAUGGGAAUUUCUGCGUUAGGUUUGGGAAAAGGAUACUUGGUUCCAUUCUUGGGAUAAACGAUUAUAGCUCCAUGAACAGUGGCUCGGGUCCAGUCAUUGUGAGCAUGCCACCAUAGAGUGCCUUCCUCGGAGGAAAGGAUGAUCUUUUGGCUAAACUUUGACCCUGGUUGAAUUGGGCAUUGUGUGAUAUACUCGGGACCAUCUGUCCAUGGAUAUCUAGGCAUGUUCACCCCAUGCUUGCAAAACAAUAACUAUACGUUAAAACUAGUACUAAUUUUCGGACUAACAAAAGAUGGCAUGUAGCAACAUAUUAUCAUAGUAACAAGAGGCAUCAACUGUAUUUCAAUGGAACUAAUGCAAAUAACCCUAAAAUAUUAUUUUAAAUUUAACUUUAUUUGCAAAGCAAUACAUUGCAGCCCCCUCUUAGAAAUAAAAGAAUGUAUGUCAUGGAGGCAUGCUGCCCACUGCUAUCUUUCUCCAAGACACGAUAGGACUUACCAGUGAAUGGUGAUAUUUUCUUUUCCCCUAUUAUAAACAUCGACGAUGAUCAUCUCUCCUUUCUUAGCAUAUAUAGUUGGUCUUGGAAAUUGUCCAUUUACUGUUAAGAUGUUCUUGGUGCUACAAAGCCUUGUAUAUGAAGCCUCCUUCACCUGCAACCAAUUAAAAGUUAACCAUGCAACCUCAUCCCAAAAGAAAUAUUACAAGCAUGAAUAGUUGCAUCGAUCCACUCAUGCAAGUGCAUAACCAAUUAGAAAUUGAAAGCAUGCAUGAACGACUCAAUGACACCAGGGUACCCGAAGACACCAUGAGGGUCAUACGGUGGAAAAUGAGAGCCAUACUGCUCCCUAAAUAUCAUGAACAAAAGAUGGCGUUAAGGCUAGAAUCAUAUAAGUAUUUACCACAAAAGUAAGCCGACGAGUUGAAGCUUGGCAAUGGAUGCCACCACCAAAAAGUAGAAACGCUAAAAUUUGCAGGAGGAAAACCUUCAUGAUCAGCCACAUCUUCUUUGGAAUAAAAGCCUCUUCUCUUGUCCUAAACACAACUCCUUCAAUUUUCUUACUAUUUCUAAUAAGCACGACUUAUCUUCUCUUUGACAUGAAUAGAUGAAUUCUUAAAGGUAUUUAUAGAGGCUGGAGAGGACCAAAACUGGAAUUGGUGAAAGCUGAACAGCCGGUUUCUCUCGAACUUUUGAUGUAUUUUUUUAAUAUAUAAUUCAUAAUCUAUUCAAGAUGAUUUUCCUGGGGUACAACAAUUCCUCGCCGCGUAUCAAUAUAAGAGAAGUAAUUCGAAUGUGUAUUGGUUUUUAAAACUUUGACCUCUCAUAUAUACAGUACCUUUAUCAAGAUUAGUCAAUAUUUUUUCUUUGUUUUUGGUAUGAAGGGAAAAGUCAGCGCUAUAUAAUCAUAAUCCAUCAAAGAUACACUAUAUGCUACCAUGGGCGUACCGGCCAUUAGUAAUGGGCCAAAAUGUUCUCCAUGAUUAAAAAUAAAAUAUAAUCAUGGCAUAAAAAUGACCCUCAUUUUCAAGAGGUGACUUUCUCCUAGAAAGAAUUAAUUUCCUUUUUAUUUUCUCAUCGGGAGAAAGUUGGAGACUCACAUUGUUUAUAUUUUUAUAAUAGUUUUAGUUUAGUUUUAAAGCUUCCAAAAACUUCUCCCUUAUUUUUAUUUAUUAGGUUGGCUCAGUCCACUUGGGUACCCAAAAACAAACCCAAUAAAUAAUUAUUUAUUGAAUUGGGUCAAUCCCAAUAUUUUCAUAACCGAAUCAGACAUUGAAUUAGAAAAAUUAUCGAUUCAUAGGUCACUGGUCAGACUAGUGACCGAACCGGUGACAUCAUACAUACAUAAUUUAUAUUUUAUUAAAAUUAAAAAUAAUUUUAAAAUAUAUAUAUAUAUAUAUAUAAUUAAAAAUUAAUAAUAUUUGCAAUAUUAUUUAUUCAUUUUUAUAUAAAUGUAUUAAUAUUGUUAAUUUAUUAAACAAAAUAUACAUAAUAUUUAAAUAUGAAAAUAUAUUAAAAUGGGUAUAUAUAUAGGUAGUCUUUGAGUCAACAUGCAUAACAAGAUUGGACAUCAAUUAAUUCAUUUAAUAAUUAUGUUGAUUAGUUUAAUUAUACUUUUUAAAAUAUUUAACUCAUAUUUGACACAUUUUAAAUUUGAUUUUAAAUAAAUAGGUUAAUUGAGUCAUAAAUAUAUUAGUCAUAUAAAUUAACACAAGACCUAACUCUACUUAAUUAUUAAAUGGGACAUAUGAGUUACACGAUAUGUUACUUGUUUAGUAAUUAUGUAGUAUUUUAGGUUUACGUUUUUAACCAGAUUAUUAUUCGUGUCGAGUUUGACACAACACAAAUAUGACCCACCAACACAAAUUGUAACCCCUAAGCUUGUUCACUCAAAAAGUAAAUUUAUACUAAUAUUUAAUUACCUAGUUUAAACUAGUAGGAAUAUUUUUAAAUUAUUGCUUAGUUUUUUUAAAAUUGUUAAUAUUGGUAUAUGUAUAUAGUUUCUCUAAAGACAUUCCAUUGAUGUAGAAUUCCAAAUAUAAUUUGUCUAUAUAAAUAUAUCAUAUAUUUUUAAUAAAUAUAUAUAUUGUAAGUUAAAUAUUAUAUUGUAUAAUAUGUUGUACUAUAUGCAUAACUACUAUAUUACUAUUUUACAAAAUAAAAAAUACACUAUAUAAUAGUAAUAUAUUAUAUACAUAAAAAGUUUUUGUGUAAAGUAUCCAACCACAUUUUAAUUAAUAAUUGAUUAUUUUAUUUUUAAAUAAUCUAAUUAUGUAUUUAUUAUUUUUAAUUAUUAAUAACUAUUUUUUCAAAAGUGAUUUGUCAUUAAAAAUAAAAUCAUAAAUUAUGUCAUAAAAGUAGUAAUUGUUGUAGAUGCUAAUUUGUUAAGGAUUAUUAUUAUUAUUUUUACUUGCAUACAUUGUUUAAUAAAAUAUUUAAUUUAAGUUUUAAAUUCCUUACUUUAAAUUUUCAAUUUUAUUUUUAGUCUAAUUUUUAAUCUAUAAGUUCUAAUUUUUAAUUUUUAAUUUUUAAUUCCUAAAUUUUAAAGGGGAAAUCAUGUAACCAUACAUCACCAAAAAAAAUAAAUGAGAUUUUUAGAACUUUGCUUUUACCUUUUUAAUUUUAAUGAAGAUGAGAAAAAAUAUUACCUAUUCAUGUACUUCAAUAGUGCUUUCAGAUUUGUUCCAUAAUUACCCUCAAAAGUAAAUGACAAAAUACACAUCACUUUAAUACCACCUAUUGACAAGUACAUGAAUAAUUUAUUUUUCUUAUUUCUCUCACAUCAACUCCCUCACAUGUCUCACUUACCACUUGCCCCAUUUCCACUUUUUUCUUUUUUCUUUCUUUCUUUUUUUCCCCUCUUUUACCACCAUAAUCCAUAGUCACCUAUUAUAUUUUUCAUUCCUAUUUUUUUUUCCUUUGAUAUUCUUUUUAAUAUGCUCAUAUAUUUUCUCAGCUCAAAAUAUAUGUUAGCUCUGCAACUAAGGUCUUAACACUUAAUUUGGAAAAGGGGGUUCCUUUAUAUAGUAUAAAUCAUAUCAUAUCCUAUUAUAAGGUUGUGCAUCUUGGUUCAUUAAAGAAUUUGGGGAGUAUUCCCUUUAGACCUAGCCAUGAAAGCCUAAGAAUGCUUGACAUUUGCAUCUGGAUGCCUAGUUGGGUGCAUGCAACACAAACCGUGAGUCCAUACACUUAUCACUUGAGUGAUUCUACCCAAACUUAGUCAACUUAUCUAGUAUCCACUACUCCUUAGGCAAAAGAGAAACUAUAAGCAUUGUUGUUAGAAUUUACAUAUCAACCUGAUAAACCAUGAUCAUGCCUUUUAAGGCCAUAAAUCUUAAACAAUAGUAAUCGAUAAACAACUUUUCAAAAUCAUCACUUGCCUUGACUUAAACAUUUAGGGCUUAGUUCCUUUUGCUCUUUCUUACUCGACCUCUUACACUAAUGACUCAAUACGGAAGUCAACUCUUUGUCAGGGGCACAUCUCAACAAUAGUAUAUAUUCCUAACAAUCUAUUGAGCAUUGUCUAACACAAACCUACCCAACUAAUAGUUCCUUCAUGAAGAGAUGGUUGACCUCAACCCUUUUAGUCAACCUACCAUGGAGUAGCAACAUAAACUAUGUCUCUUCCCACACUCUAGUUCAAUUAGCUUUCAACUCUCUCCCAACCUCCAUCUCUCAUCUCAGCCUAUAGGUAAUCCAUGUUUGUCAACCUUCAUUCAGUUAAGAUCUAACUUAAUCUUUGGAGAGGCAUAGCCAAGAUUCACUUUCAAUACCCCUUAGUGCAAGUGCUAGGUGCUAUAGGCAAAUAGAUCAAUCACCACCUCUAAGAAGAAUACUGUUAGAUCACAUCACUCAUGGACCCUAGCUCAAGAGUUUGAGCACCAGUAAUAACUAUGAAAUAACAAGGGUCAAAGUGUAAGAGAUUUAUUUUAAAGAAACAAAAAAUUAAGUAAACAUAAUAAGCUUAGCAUGAUUAAUUAUCAAUUAAUUAUAUAUAUCUAUAUAUAUAUAUAUAUAUAUAUAUAUAUAUAUAUAUAUUUAAUAAAGAAGUUCCAAGUCUGAAACCAUUGUUUAUCUAUAGCCCUUUGGCCUUGUCAAUAUGAAACUAUAUUACAAAUUUAAAUAAUUUCUCAAUGUUUACAUGUGAGACAUUAACAUUGGUUCGAAAAUUACAAAAAAAAAAAAAAAAAAAAAAAAAAAAACAAGGUUAUUUGGACACAUGACUCAAAAUAACUCUCAAAUUAUAAAAAUGGCCCCUCACACUUUAAUUUUGUCGAGAAAUAACUCUUUCUGGAUGCUUUUACCCUUCUUCAUUUUCUUUAUUAUAAAAAUCAUUAUCUUUUAGUAACUGUCUUAUCUUUCAAAUAACACAUUCUUGCUUUCAUUUUAGAUGUUUAUCUAGAUUAAAUAAAUACACAACAGUCAAGUUUGAUUUACAAAAAAAUUUAACUAGAAUUAAAUUCAUUUACAAAUAAUUUAACUAUAGUCAAGUUUUCCAUUUCACCAACAAAGAGCUUGAUUAUAAUGAUAUGAACUUUGUUGUUAUUAAGUUUUAUUUUUAAAAAAAUUUAAUUAGAGUUAAUUUAACAUUUUAUCUACCAAAAAACUUAAUUAUAAUUAAUUUCUUAAUUAAAAUAUUCAUAUGGACUUAAACAUUAAAUGAAAGGAUUAUGUAAUCUCAUCUUCACAUUUUAGAAGUUUAAAUGAAACUACAAAAACACUUAACAAAAAAUAGUAAAAAUUACCACUAAAGGACAACCUCAAAAAAUCCUAACAAAAAUUCCACUAGAAAAAUCCCGACCAAAAAUCCUAGUUGGACAUUGCAAAUAAAUAAAAAUAAAUAAAUAAAUAAAUAAAGACAACCAAAAUCCCAACAAUACAAUUGCGAAAAAUUCUAACAAAAAAUAGCUACAAAAAAAGAAUAAAAAAAAACUAUAAAAUCUCAAUAAAAAAAAUUAUAAAACAACCAUAAAAAAAUACUAACCAAACACACACACACAUAUAAAGGAUAAUGAAGGAUCUUGAAGAAGACCGCAAUAAAACAACAAAAUCUCAACAAAAACCAAAUCCAAAUAAAUAAAAAAAUGCCACUGUUUGAUUAUUGUUCACUAUUUUCAAUUUUUAAAAAUAAGGUGAAAUAAUGAACAACUUUUAGAGAACAAGUAAAAGUUGUUUCCACCAAUUUUUAAAAAUAAUAGAAAAACACACACUCUAUUAUUUAUCUUCUAUAUAGAAUUAUUAUUUCUCAAUUCUUUUUUUGCUAGACAACUUAACUCCAAAUUAAAUAAUUCUUAAAUAAUAAACUCAUUAAUACCAUAAAUUUAUUAAGAUAAUAAAUAUAAUUUUUUCUAACAUAUAAUAAAAUAAUAUAUUUUCUAUUAAAAAUAUAAUUUAUGAUUUUAUUGUCAUAUUACUAUUUAUAUUUUACUAAAAACUAUAUAUUUUUUAAUUUAUUUGUAAUUACAAAAUUAUUUUCAUUUUCAAUAACACUUCACUUAAAUUUAAUUAAAUAAAUGUUAUAUAAAUUGAAUUUAAAAUGUUUUUACAAAAUCAAAACAAAUUUAAAAAAAAAUAAAUAAAAAACAAUUUAUCCAAACAGGUCUUUUUGUUUUUUAUUUUUAAAAUCCUUUUAUAAAAACAACUUGACAAAUAUUCUUAUUUUUAUAAAACAUUUAAAAACUUUUUUUGGUUCUUUGACUUAAAAACAAUUUCUCAAAAAAAAAAAAAAACAUAAGAAAUCAUGAUCAAACAAGAAUUUUAAAAAAAAAUUAAUUGAAGUACUUAUUUAACUUGUAUUAAAAAUGAAUAUUUAUAUCAUUUUUAUCUUAUAGUAAUUUUCACUAUAAUAAUAAAAAAAAUUAUUUAUCUUUAACGUAUACAUAUUUGUAGAUUUAAUUUUUAUUUGUUAAUAAGACUUAACUUAAAUUUGAUUUCAUAUUAUUAUAAAUUAAAUUUAUAAAAUUUUUAUAAAAUAAAAGUAAGACAUUGCUUUUAAAAACAAUACACAUUCUUUCAUCCAAACAAGUUUUUUGUUUUUUGUUUUACAAAAACUAUUUUUAAAACAUCUUAUCAAACACUCUUAUUUAAAAAAAAAAGAAAAAAAUUAAACUGUUUUUUGUUCUCUAUGUGAAAAAAAAAAUUAAUCAAAAUUUUAAAAAAUAUUGCCAAACGGGCCCCUAAGUUAUCCAAAGAUAAUUUUUUUUUUUAAUAAAAUAGAUCCAAUAAAACAUUUCCAUUAAAUAAGAAAAGGGACCCAAAAUUUUCUUUUAAUAAAAAUAAGUUUUAGACAUUUUUUUAGAUAAAAUAGUUCAAAUUUUUUGUUUUAAUAAAAGAAAUAGUUCAGAAUUUUAAAAUAAAUAAAUAAAAGGUUCAAAAAUAUUUUUUUCAAAUAAAAUAAAAUAGUCCAUGCUACUUCAAAAAAAUAUUCUUUUUAAUAAAAGAAAGUUUUCUUAAUAGAAAGUUCAAAUAAAUGUUUUUAGAAGAAUCUAGAAAAAGAAUAAUAAAAAUUCAAAUAAAUAUUUUUAAUAACAAGCUAUCUAGAAAUUCAUUUGUUUAACAAAAGUUUCUAGAAAAAAUUGAUAUUUAAAUAAAAUUGUCCAAAAAGUUAAUUUUAAUAAAAUUGUCCAAAAUUGAUUUUUAAAUAUAAUUCUCUUUCCUUGAUAAGAAUGGGAUUAAAAGUAAUUUUUAUAAAUAGAGGUCCUAAAGAAUUUUUUUAAAUAAGAAUAGUAUGAGUAAACCUUUAAAUCGAACUGAGAGACCUUUUUUUUUAAUAAAUUGGAAAACUAAUCUCCCGCUAGAUGAAAUCCAAAAUUCUUUCUAAAUAUAAUUGGAAUCCUUGGGAACAAAUUUGUGAAAUUCUUUCUCUAAAUAAGUUAGUAAUAAAGAAUCUUUUUCUAGGUAAAAUAAAAUAUAUAUAUAUAUAUAUAUAUAUAUAUAUAUAUUUAAUAAAAUUGGGUUGAAAUUCCUUCUUAUAAAUUUGUAAAUAUCUUUCUUUAAGUUUGUAGAUUUUUUUUUUUCAAAUAAAUAAAGAUUGAAUCAAAACACUUUUUAAAAUAAAUAUGUAAAACUCACCCCUCUUCUUAAUAAGGUAAACAAAAAUCAUUUCUUAUAAAUCAAAUCUUUUGUAAUCAAUUGAAGCCUUGUGAAUAAAUAAAUUAAAAUCACUAAUUUGAAAUUGUUGUUAAAAUAAAUGAAUUCUUUGAAAAUUUCUGGAAAUUGUAUUAUGAUAUUUGAAAUAAUAAAAUCUUUCUAAUAAAUUAUUUUGUGCAUUUCUCAUGUAUCAUUUCCACGUAUCCUUAUAAUUUGCUUUUGCAUUAUUUCAUGUACUUGUACUAUUCUUUAUAUAUAUAUAUUCCUUUUACGUGCUUAUUAGAAACCUUUUUAAGGCUUGAAGGGGUGCUACCCUAUGGUAUCUGCCCAAUAAAUAACCUGACCUCUAGAUUUGGACUCGAUUUUUACCGACACAUCUUUUCUUUAAAAAGGAGUAACAAUAGGGCUUUAUUUCUUUUCUUUUUUCUUUUAAAAAAAAUAAAAAAUGAGUGAUGACUCCAACUUUAAAAAAUAAAAAAUAAAAAAUAGUUUUUUAUAAUAAAAACAAGUCUCACCAUCAAGUGGGAAUGCACAUGAAAAAUGACAGUUCACAAUUGUAUUUCUUAGACUUAAAAUAUAAUACAAUUACUAAAUCAACAAAUGUCGUAAGUUUUUAAAUCUUUGAUGAUACAAGAUUCAAAGUAUAAUGGAACAAAUAGUUUUCAAAAGAAAACAAAUAUUUAAAAUGGAAAAUCUAACAAUAAAGACAAUGAAACAAGGUGAUACAAUAGGAGUUAAAUAGAGAAAUCUUUAUUCCACGAAUUUAUAGUUUAUUUAGUAGAAAAAAGUUCAAAAGAAAUAUUGUAUACAUUAAUGGAUUAAGUAGAUAAAAGGGAUUUAAGUAAUUUGACAUUUAUGCUUUCGUUAGAUAACAUCAAAUAGAUAUUUGAUAUUAUUAGUUUCCAUAUUGACUUUAGAAAUCUAUCAAAUGGAAGUUAAGAUUAUCUUUCUUUGAAUGGUUAUAUAAAUUAAUAGUAUAUAGGGUAACCUAAAGGAUUUAUGACAAGAACACAAAAUUAGGGAUAGAUAUCUACAUUUAGCUAGGUUGGAUUAUAACCAAUCCAAGAAUCAAAUAGAAGUUGAUUGGUUUUAACUAAAGUAUAACAAAUUUAUUUAUUGACUCAAGCUAAUCCAACUUAAUAUUAGUUUGAUUCAAUUUAGUUAACUCAAUUUAGACCAAAAUAUUAAGUCUAUAUGUUUUUUUAUCCACGGAACCAAAAUGAUCAAAUUGUUUUAGAUAAAAAUAAUUUUUUUUUUUACAAAUAAUACAAUUAAAAAAUUUAAAAAUAAUGUGUAGGAGCAAACCAAUGGGUUAUUUUCUUAUUGGGAGUAAGUCAAUGAAUAGUAUUCUUGACAUAUUGGGUGCUUGUGACUUGAAAUUAUAUAUCAUCAUUAUUUAGUCCCACAGUACAAAGAUUUUAAAUUUUAGAUCAUGCUUACGCCAUAAGCCACUUUAAAUUUGUAAUAAAGCCACAGGAGUUAGGCUCUAGGCAUCCAACACCAAACUAUAGCCUAACAAGUUAGCUUUGGAAGAGCAUGAUUUGACUCAUAAAGUCUCAAGAUUCUCCACAACACUCCAAAAUCCAAGAAAUUAUAUUUGUUCCACUCCUCUACUACUUGGGUUUGUUUGCCAAUCCACUUUUAGUAAGUGAUCUAGGUCAAACCUUUCAUAAUCCAAAUACUUAAACUAGUUUGAUCUCUAGUUUCAUUGCACUACCAAAAUAAAGUAAUUCAAGUAGAAAAAACCAAUGGCACAUGCAAGACAAGUUUUGCUGUUGGGGAGGUUUACAAAUAGCUUGUGGAAACCUUUCCUAGAAUAAUUUGAGACAAAUGCAAAUGGGGUUCCUAUGAACUAUUAUGCAAGGCUAGUCAGGCUUAUCUAUCAAACAAUGGAAAUUGAAGAUUUGGGGACCAAAUGAAAGUAAUCAAGUUUGAAGUUGAUGGAAUUGCUUAUUAACUCAAUAUGGAGGCUUAUCUCAAGCACCUUCUCAAUACAAUGCUUCGAGUCAAUUAACUACAUGCAUGCACUAAAGACUUCCACAACAAAGAAAAUUUUGCAAGAAUAAUCUAAAGAGCUACUACAACAGAGAAUGAUCUUCUGAACAUAUGUAAUUGAUUGUGCAUUAAUUAAGAGGGCUUCUCAAGUUGGAUAAGUUGUUUAGAAUUUUUAAGAGGGAAUUUUUAAACUUCACUGAAUUGAUCUAAGAGACAUUUACCAAGUUUUAUCAUGAUAAUAAAGUAUUGAGGAGAAAAUGUACCACCAAAACCAAGUUGUAUUUGCUAAGAAUACUUACUAUAUUCUAUUAAGAAAGAAACUAUCUAGUGGUAAAGGACAAGUUGAUAGUUUUAGUUCAUGAAGUUUUCACUACCCAAGCUAACAUCAAAAUCUAUUACAAGACAAAUCCCAAUAAGGUAAGAUAAAAGGCUGCACAGAAGGGACAUCUUGCUCCUUGUUGAAAAUCUCAUUCAAUUGCAAAUCUACCACAUCAAUAAUGCUCUCUUCUAUAAUUUUCUCAUACCCAAUCCACAAUACUAUUAUUAUACUUAUUCUGCAUGCUUUUUUUUUUCUUGCCUUUCUAAGUUAUUUUUUCUUUGGUUAUAGCAACAACUUCAUUGGUGUGUUAAAUUCUCUUAUAGGUAAUUCCUCAAACAUGUAAUAUCCUCAUUGUUGCUAUUAAGUCUUGCAGUAUGAAACGAAAAAUUAAAAUUCUUGUAUUCAAAAUCAAAUGGAAGCACAUGAAUUAAAAAAAUGCAAACACAAGAGAAACACUGAAAUCCAAUUACAAAGAGUAGUAUCAAAAUUUCCAUAUCUACAAAAUUCGGGUGUUAAGAUUUCUAAAAAUGAAAAAAAAAAAAAAAGAUUCAUUGAGAAAAGACCUACAUCGAAAAAAGAUCAAGGUGUGAGGUUAAGAGAGGAAUUCAACCCAUGCCUAACAUGGAUUCAAACAUAUUGACUAGAUUUGAAGAAUGCAAUUCAUCCAUGGGAACUUGUGUAUCUAAAGAGGGUUGGUUUUUGGAGGUACUAGAAGAUGGUUGGAGUAUGGUGAUAGUUGUUGAAAGGGUUAAUGGUGGUGGGAAUCCAUAACUACUGGUGAAGAGGAAGUUAGGUGUAUUGGAGACUUGAUGAGGAAGAUAAUGUGAGCCUAAUAAAAUUUCCUCCUACUUUUCCCUUCUCUUUCUCUCUUAUAUUCCUCACUAAUUUCUAAGGAAAGUAGAAAGGAAAAUAUUACAAUAUUUUCUUUAGCAUUUUCAUUUAUAUUUUUUUCCAUCAUAUUUCUCAUGUCACCCAAACUAAGGAAAAUAACUUUCCAUAGUAUUUUUUUGGUCCUUUCCCUUGAAUUUUCUGAAAACCAAACACAAUCUUUGUAAAUAAAAAUUAAGAACUACAACAAAUUGUAUAUUCUUCCUCUUUAUUCUUCCAUUUCUACAUCUACUACUCUAUUUGACAUCAUAUUUUUACUCGCUUCUUCAAUAAGCAUUCCUCCCUUUAUACAAAGUUAUCUUCGCACCAAUUCAUAAUAUAAGAAAGAUGAAUGAACCUUGGGGCAAGGUUGGACAACCGGUGGCAACUAGUCAAGGCUUAAAGUCAACUUUUGCUUGACUUUUUUUUGGCAUGGGCAGCGACUUGUGGACCCCUCUUUAGCAUGAAAGUGGCUAGAAUAUGUUAAGCUCUCUUAUUCGAUGGUUAAUGAUGUGUGAACCAUAACAAUCAUAGGUUGGGGAAUAUAUGGUAAUCAUGCAAAUAUCUAUCUAUCUAUGUAUCUAUCUAUCUAUCUAUAUAUAUAUAUAUAUAUAUAUAUAUAUGGUAUCCAAUUAUAUAAAAAGACAUUUUUCAACAUUUGAUAUAAGUAAAAAUUAAGAGGAAAAUAUUAAAAAAAAUUAUUAAACCUAAAAACAGGGACUUAAUAAUAAAAUGAAGCAAAAAGUUAAAAUUAAAACCAAAUAUUAAAUAUGAAUAUAGUUUAAGUAUUAAAAAUAUGAUUAUUUAGGUUUAAUCAUUGGGUUUGCUAGAGUUUAUAUAUAUAUAUAUAUAUAAACUUUGUAAAUUAAAUAUCUCUUUCUAUUAUUUAAAGGAAUCACUGAAAUGAUUGCAUGAAAGAUUUAUUUCAUAGCCUAAAAUAAUGAUAUUGGCAUUAUAUAUAUAUAUAUAUAUAUAUGUUUGUGUGUGUGUGUGUUUACUUUAAUGGUAGGCUGAUUUUUAGCCAUAAUAAUAAUAACUAUAUUAUUGUAUUAUUGAAAUAAAAAGGUUGUUGUCCUCUAAAUUUGAUUUGAAAUACAGGGGUUAUUUCUAACACUAAGAUGAUGUUUAUUUUUUUGUUUGAAUAGAAAAAAUUAAAAUAUUUGAUUUUGUUUAUUUUUUAUUUAACUAAAAGUAACCUGUUGAUAUCAACCAACAUAACUAAAGUGAACUUAUUAUUAAUAGGUUUAGUUUAGUUACGUUGGUUGAUAUCGGUAGGUUAUUUUUAACUAAAUAGAAAAAAUAAAAUAUUUUAGUUUUUUCUGUUCAAUAAAAAAGCAAACACAUCUAAAAUUAGAUAAUAAAAAUACUUUGAGUAGAAAUAAAUUCAUAUGGACCACUAUCAAAUACUAUGCACAAGGAGAAAUUCAGAUCCUCACUUGCUCUUUGAAUUUAAUGCAUUGAAUUUGAUGUUGCCUAAAACAAAAUUAUAUUUCAUGUUGUAUAUUAUGAGUAGACAACCAUUCCUUAUGUUAGAUUUUAGAUAAAGAAUGGAUAUUGGAGAUUGGAGUUGUAACAAAUUAGGAGAUCUUAAUUUUAAAUAUGUAACAAAGUUCUAUAAUUACUUCAAUCCAUGUUUUAAAAAUUGUAUUUCUUUCUAAUAUUGGAGCAAACUUUUUCUUUCUUUCUUAUAAAUUUCAUUUGGGAAUGAUUUUAAAAUAAAUAAAUAAAAGCCCUUCUAAAUAUUAAAAAGUAAACCUUUCUUAUAAAAAUUAAUUAGGUAGAUGGUAAGGUCAAAUUCAGGAUAGCUUCAUAUUUUUUGCUUUAACUGAAAAUUAAAAUCAAAAUUAAAGUAAUAAUUUUUAAGGGGUAAUAUUGAUAUUGUAAAAGUUCUAUUAAACAUGAAAGAACUUCUUAUAUAAAAAAAAAAUAGAAUUAUAAAAUUCUUAUAAAAAAUUACAUUUUGAUGACUUCUACAUGAAACCUUUUUUAAAAGUUAUAAGUUUUUUUUUUUAAAAAAAUAAUUAAAUAGGUAAAAAAUCUUUUAUUUAACUCUUAAGAGUCAAUCAUAAGGAAAUUUAAAUAUAUAUGAAAAUCACUUUUAAAAAUCCAAAAAAUCCCUUCAAAAUAAUUUCUAAACAUUUUUUUAACUUACAUUUAAAAAAUAAAAAGUAAAAAAUGAUUUGUUUUUACUAGUUAUUUAAUUUUAAGGAAGCAGUAAAGGGUUUACUUUGAUGUAAAAUAAAAGAUAAAUAAAUAAAUAAAAUGAGGGUUGAAAAGUAAGUAAAUCACUAAAAAAUAGACUUGGAGUUCCUUCGGUGUGGGGUUAGAUUCAAUUUGUCCCAUGCAAUGGAAAUGGACGAUUUUUUAUUUUAUUUCCUUUUCCUUUAUCUUGGUGUAGUCUUGUGAUAUUGUUACUAAAAUAGGAGGUAAAAAUAUAAAUUAUAUAUCAAUUAUUUUAAAUUUAGAAAAAAAAAAGUGCUUAUUUUAAUUUGAAAUAAAUAAAUAGAAAAAAACUGAUUUUAUCUCAAUUGAAUAAGACUUCAUAAAAAAAUUCUUAUUUGCAAAAUAUUUUGAGUUGUAACAGUAAAAAUUAAACAAAACAUUUCAUGACCUUUUUCACAAGUAUCCAUUUAGAUCACAAUCUAAUUUUUAAAUAUUUGAAUAAUUCAAUUACUCUAAACUAUAUCAUUUAUAAUUUUUUUUAUUAUUAAUAUGAUACCUAAGCUUCUAUAGAAUUGGAAUAAAAUAUGGAUAAGUAAAAAAUGUCAAAUGAAAGAUAAUUUCAAACUUUUCUAAUACAACAUGAUAUUUUAUCAUGUUCAAUAAAAUUGGAAUGGGCAAAAGUUGUCAAAUCAAGACUUCCAUGGCAAAUUCCAUUGCAUAUCUCAAAGAUUAUUCUACAACAUUAUCUUCGUAGACUUUUAACAAUCCAAGAAAUUGAAAAAUUAUAUAAUAAUCCCAAACACAAUAUUCUACAACUUUACAAUAUUCUACAAUUUUGUUGAACAAAAAAUAAAUAAUGAAAUCUGAAUAAUGCAAACAUUCAAUGAAAUCUUUGGCAUGUUAAUUCUUUGCAGCUUCAACAUGGUGGCAUGUCGGAUGGCGGAGGCAGCAUUUGAGCUUCUGGGUGUUUACCAUUUUUCACUAUGAACGCAGUUUCCAUGCCCCAAGUCACAUGGCGUUCUACAUGGCAGUGCAUGAACCACACUCCUGCAAUAGAGAAAAUAUACCAACAUUACACCUAACUUAUUGCAAUAUUAAGAAAAAUUAUUUCAAGGGUUUUUUUUUUAAUAGAGGAUGUGAGUGCUUGCAACAUACCAGGGUUGGAUGCCUCGAAUCUGAUUGCAACCCAACCAUUCGUAGGAACGGAGAUGGUACUCUGAAGGGGAGGAUCCACCAGAUUAUAGCGCAAAGGGUCCCUAUUUUUAUCAAAAUUCCCAAAUCCCCAUCCAACAAGGUAGAAACUGUAUCCAUGGAGAUGCAUGGGGUGGUGUGUCCCUGCAACCAAGUUUGUCCCUUGAAAAACAAUCUCCACUGUGGAGUUAUACUCGAGCACCCUUACUUCUGUUCCGAUUUCUGGCGUCUGAUACUCUAAUGGAAGAUAAUCAGCUGUAAAAUCGAACACUAGUGGUGGAACGCUAGGAAAUUUAUCUCCAUAUACACCACUGAUGUUAUAAUAGUAAGCUUGUAGUAUGUCAAUUGUAGGGGAUUGGAAGCUUAUGUUGUUUAUACUUGCGGAGAAUCGCGUCCCAUUGGGCCCUGCACAUGAAUUAUUGGGGCAUAGGAACGAGUUUACAGAAACAGUGUAAAUCAGUUUAGUGCUCGGGCUCAAUGGGACAUUGGAAGGAUGUUCCGCAUCUGCUAAGCUUCGGAGGCCAGCCAUGACCUGAACCGAUGCAUUUGUGUCAUUAUAUGCAGGAAAAUGAGGCAAGGAGAGAGGUGAAGAUGGAGUGUAGUAUCCUCUGUACUGUACAAUAGCUGUGGUGGUUGUGUUAUCAUAAAAAUUUUGAGCUACCGGGGCAAUGGAAUAAGUUUUAGCCGCCAUGUAAUAGUGAUCUGGGAGUUGGUUAGCUUCUAGUAAGACGUCGAAGGUUUGGCCAGGAUAUAUUGUGAUAUAAUCUCGUGUCAAUGGUUUCGUGUAGCUACCAUCUGUUCCAACCACUGUCAUUUUAUGCUUGGCAAUGGAGAAGAAGAGAGCCUCAUGCAAGGCAGCAUUGAUUAUGCGAAGUAGAUAGGUCUUUCCAUGAUCCACUCUUAGCUUGAAUGUGCCUGCAAUUAGAAAGGAAAAGUUGUAUACUUAUGACUAGCGAAAAGAAAAAAACAUUCCAUGAGCAUCCACCAAUUAUGAAGUGAUUGAUUAAUUAAGGGUGUAAAUUUGGCUCCAUAGUUCAAAAUUAUAUUUGGACUAGCCUUUUCUUAUGUGUUAAGUCAUGGCUCUACCAUCCUCAUAGCUAUAUUCCUCUUUCUUAGCAUUAAGUUUUAAAUAUGUUUAUAUUAAUAAGAAAAAGUAAUAUGGUUAACAUACAAGAAAAUGACAUCAAUGCACAAUUUUAAAAUGGAAAGUUAAACUUUAUACCGGAUUUUGAGCAUGGAUAUAGAUCACCGGGUUGUCCAUUUAUCAAUAAAGAAUCAGAGGCAUUAGGGUCAGCUCCGGUUGCAAGCCCUUCAUCUCGAACCGCAUUCACAUCACUCUUCCACCAUUGUCCUGCAUUUCAACAACUCCAAUAAUUUAGAUUUCGCUUUGUUAGUUAAUUCAUGAUAUGUAAAUUAACCUUUAAAAGGAACUACACUUAUACCUAAUAUGAUGGGAAUUUCUGCAUUAGGUUUGGGAAAAGGAUACUUGGUUCCAUUCUUGGGAUAAACGAUUAUAGCUCCAUGAACGGUGGCUCGGGUCCAGUCACUGUGAGCAUGCCACCAUAGAGUGCCUUCCUCGGAGGAAAGGAUGAUCUUCUGGCUAAACUUUGACCCUGGUUGAAUUGGGCAUUGUGUGAUAUACUCGGGACCAUCUGUCCAUGGAUAUCUAGGCAUAUUCACCCCAUGCCUGCAAAACAAUAACUAUACGUUAAAACUAGUACUAAUUUUCGAACUAACAAAAGAUGGCAUGUAGCAACAUAUUAUCAUAGUAACAAGAGGCAUCAACUGUAUUUCAAUGGAACCAAUGCAAAUAACCCUAAAAUAUUAUUUUAAAUUUAACUUUAUUUGCAAAGCAAUACAUUGCAGCCCCCUCUUAGAAAUAAAAGAAUGUAUGUCAUGGAGGCAUGCUGCCCACUGCUAUCUUUCUCCGAGACACGAUAGGACUUACCAGUGAAUGGUGAUAUUUUCUUUUCCCCUAUUAUAAACAUCGACGAUGAUCGUCUCUCCUUUCUUAGCAUAUAUAGUUGGUCCAGGAAAUUGUCCAUUUACUGUUAAGAUGUUCUUGGUGCUACAAAGCCUUGUAUAUGAAGCCUCCUUCACCUGCAACCAAUUAAAAGUUAACCAUGCAACCUCAUCCCAAAAGAAAUAUUACAAGCAUGAAUAGUUGCAUCGAUCCACUCAUGCAAGUGUAUAACCAAUAAGAAAUUGAAAGCAUGCAUGAACGACUCAAUGACACCAGGGUACCCGAAGACACCAUGAGGGUCAUACGGUGGAAAAUGAGAGCCAUACUGCUCCCUAAAUAUCAUGAACAAAAGAUGGUGUUAAGGCUAGAAUCAUAUAAGUAUUUACCACAAAAGUAAGCCGACGAGUUGAAGCUUGGCAAUGGAUGCCACCACCAAAAAGUAGAAACGCUAAAAUUUGCAGGAGGAAAACCUUCAUGAUCAGCCACAUCUUCUUUGGAAUAAAAGCCUCUUCUCUUGUCCUAAACACAACUCCUUCAAUUUUCUUACUAUUUCUAAUAAGCACGACUUAUCUUCUCUUUGACAUGAAUAGAUGAAUUCUUAAAGGUAUUUAUAGAGGCUGGAGAGAACCAAAACUGGAAUUGGUGAAAGCUGAACAGCCGGUUUCUCUCGAACUUUUGAUGUAUUUUUUUAAUAUAUAAUUCAUAAUCUAUUCAAGAUGAUUUUCCUGGGGUACAACAAUUCCUUGCCGCGUAUCAAUAUAAGAGAAGUAAUUCGAAUGUGUAUUGGUUUUGAAUGUUCUUCCAGGACCACUUCAAAGAGCAGGUUGUGUAUGAUAUUUGAUUACUCACCAAAAUUUAAAUAAACCAAAUGCCUGAAGAAUGCUAACAAUUGUGAAAAUUUCUCACAGCUCAGCUUCAAUCAGGCUGUGUACCAUAGAAGACGAGUUUCUUAGAAUCUCUUGAAUUUUCUAAUUCAAAAUACAAGUUUGACUUUGAGAAUUGACCAAGAAAUUAAUCAAACACAGUAUUUUAGAACAAAUAUAAAAUAUAUGUAGAAUAUUUUUAAAACUUUGACCUCGCAUAUAUACAGUACCUUUAUCAAGAUUAGUCAAUAUUUUUUCUUUGUUUUUGGUAGGAAGGGAAAAGUCAGCGCUAUAAUCAUAAUCCAUCAAAGAUACACUAUAUGCUACCAUGGGCGUACCGGCCAUUAGUAAUGGGCCAAAAUGUUCCCCAUGAUUAAAAAUAAAAUAUAAUCAUGGCAUAAAAAUCUUGACCCUCAUUUUCAAGAGGUGACUUUCUCCUAGAAAGAAUUAUUUUCCUUUUUAUUUUCUCAUCGGGAGAAAGUUGGAGAUUCACAUUGUUUAUAUUUUUAUAAUAGUUUUAGUUUAGUUUUAAAGCUUCCAAAAACUUCUCCCUUAUUUUUAUUUAUUAGGUUGGCUCAGUCCACUUGGGUACCCAAAAACAAACCCAAUAAAUAAUUAUUUAUUGAAUUGGGUCAAUCCCAAUAUUUUCAUAACCGAAUCAGACAUUGAAUUAGAAAAAUUAUCGAUUCAUACGUCACUGGUCAGACUAGUGACCGAACCGAUGACAUCAUACAUACAUAAUUUAUAUUUUAUUAAAAUUAAAAAUAAUUUUAAAAUAUAUAUAUAUAUAUAUAAUUAAAAAUUAAUAAUAUUUGCAAUAUUAUUUAUUCAUUUUUAUAUAAAUGUAUUAAUAUUGUUAAUUUAUUAAACAAAAUAUACAUAAUAUUUAAAUAUGAAAAUAUAUUAAAAUGGGUAUAUAUAUAGGUAGUCUUUGAGUCAACAUGCAUAACAAGAUUGGACAUCAAUUAAUUCAUUUAAUAAUUAUGUUGAUUAGUUUAAUUAUACUUUUUAAAAUAUUUAACUCAUAUUUGACACAUUUUAAAUUUGAUUUUAGAUAAAUAGGUUAAUCGAGUCAUAAAUAUAUUAGUCAUAUAAAUUAACACAAGACCUAACUCUACUUAAUUAUUAAAUGGGACAUAUGAGUUACACGAUAUGUUACUUGUUUAGUAAUUAUGUAGUAUUUUAGGUUUACGUUUUUAACCAGAUUAUUAUUCGUGUCGAGUUUGACACAACACAAAUAUGACCCACCAACACAAAUUGUAACCCCUAAGCUUGUUCACUCAAAAAGUAAAUUUAUACUAAUAUUUAAUUACCUAGUUUAAACUAGUAGAAAUAUUUUUAAAUUAUUGCUUAGUUUUUUUAAAAUUGUUAAUAUUGGUAUAUGUAUAUAGUUUCUCUAAAGACAUUCCAUUGAUGUAGAAUUCCAAAUAUAAUUUGUCUAUAUAAAUAUAUCAUAUAUUUUUAAUAAAUAUAUAUAUUGUAAGUUAAAUAUUAUAUUGUAUAAUAUGUUGUACUAUAUGCAUAACUACUAUAUUACUAUUUUACAAAAUAAAAAAUACACUAUAUAAUAGUAAUAUAUUAUAUACAUAAAAAGUUUUUGUGUAAAGUAUCGAACCACAUUUUAAUUAAUAAUUGAUUAUUUUAUUUUCAAAUAAUCUAAUUAUGUAUUUAUUAUUUUUAAUUAUUAAUAGCUAAUUUUUCAAAAGUGAUUUGUUAUUAAGAAUAAAAUCAUAAAUUAUGCCAUAAAACUAGUAAUUGUUAUAGAUACUAAUUUGUUAAGGAUUAUUAUUAUUAUUAUUAUUUACUUGCAUACAUUGUUUAAUAAGAUAUUUAAUUUAAGUUUUAAAUUCCUUACUUUAAAUUUUCAAUCUUAUUUUUAGUCUAAUUUUUAAUCUAUAAAUUCUAAUUUUUAAUUUUAAAAUUUUUAAUUCCUAAAUUUUAAAGGGGAAAUCAUGUAACCAUACAUCACCAAUAUAUAUAUAUAUAUAUAUAUAUAUGAGAUUUUUAGAACUUUGCUUUUACCUUUUUAAUUUUAAUGUAAGAUGAGAAAAAAUAUUUCCUAUUCAUGUACUUCAAUAGUGCUUUUAGAUUUGUUCCAUAAUUAUAAAGUAAAUGACAAAAUACACAUCACUUUAAUACCACCUAUUGACAAGUACAUGAAUCAUUUAUUUUUCUUAUUUCUCUCACACGUCUCACGUACCACUUGCCACAUUUCCACUUUUUUCUUUUUUCCUUCUUUCUUUUACCACCAUAAUCCAUAGUCACCUAUUAUAUUUUUCAUUCCUAUUUUUUUUUCCUUUGAUACUCUUUUUAAUAUGCUCAUAUAAACUUCUUUAAUUUAAAUUUUUUUUCACUCUCUAAUUUCUCUAUAUUUAUUGAUUAUAAUUAUUUUUUGGACAUAUUAUACUUAAAAUGAUAAUGUAUAAUAAAUAGUUAAUAUAACAAAUAAAAUAAAAUAAAUGUAUAAUAGACAAAAAUGAAAAUAUUAUCCCACAAAUAAUGUACUUUAUGAUUUUAAAUAUUAAUUAUAUUAAUAUAUUGAAUAAAUUAAGGUUUAAAUUUAAAUAUUUUAUUUUAUUAUUUAGAGGUUUAUGAUAUAAGACUUUUUUUAUAUUAAUGCUAAACAAAAGAUUUAUUUAUUUUGUAAAUUCUAUCACAUGAAAAAGUAAAAAUAUCUUUAUAAUACUAUUUUAUUAUUUAUAUUAUUUUUUAAAUUUUUAUUUUAAAUUUAUCACAUCAAAAUCACAAUAAGUUAUUGUGCUUUUAUCUAUUUUCUUAUGAUUUUAAUUUGAUUGUGGAUCUAACAUUUUGUUUGGUUAAAAUCUUUAAUUUUUAAUUAAAAUAAAAUAUAAAAGAAAAUAUAUUUUUCAUAAAAAAAAAUUGUGUUUAACCUUUCAUAUUAAUUUCAUGAAAAAUAAGUACAUCCGUGAGAAAAAUAGGUAAAUCCAUGCCUAGGGGAAUCGAGACCCCUAUCAUCCUUGUCAUGGUCUAUAUAUUCCUUUGGAACCCUUGAUAAGUGAUUGGAGGUCCUUGCCCACCCCAGAACGAACUUUGGAAUCCUAGGUACAUCCAUUCUUAAGGGAACCAAGACCCUUAUAUCAAUUCUCAUGGUUCAUAUAUUCCUUUAGGGAUCCUCGAGAAUGAAUUAUAGGUUGUUCUUCACCUUGGAUUAGACAUUAGAACCCAAGGUAUAUCCUAAAGACAAUUUGGUACAUUCGAUCCUUGGGCUACCAAAACCCCUAUAUCCCUUCCCAUAGUCUAUUUGAUACUUUGAGGACUCUUGAGAAGUGAAUGGAGGUCAUUUCUAAUCUCAGAAUGGACUUUGGAACCUUAGGUACAUCCUUAAAAAAAUUUGUUACAUCAAAUUCUCGGGCUAUUGGGACCCCUAUCUCCUUUCCCAAGGUCAAUUUGUUCAUUUAGGGAUCCUCGAGAAGUGAUUGGAGGUUAUUCCUCACUCCAAAAUGGACUUUUAAACCCUAGAUACAUCUUUAAGAAAAUCGGGUAUAUCUUAUCCUCUAGCUACCCAAUAUCGCUUCUUAUGGUCCAUUUGAUCAUUUAGAAUUGAUUUUAAGUUGUUCCUCAUCUCAUAAUGGACUUUGGAACCCUAGGUACAUCCUUAAGAAAAUUUGGUACAUCCAAUCAUCAGACUACUAAGACCCCUAUCACCCUUCCUAUGGCCCAUUUGUUCCUUUAGGAACUCUUGGGAAGUGAUUGGAUGUCAUUUUCCACCUUAGAAUAAACAUUGGAACCCUAGGUACAUCCUUAAGAAAUUUUGAAACAUCUAAUCCUUGGGACACCUAUCUCCCUUCCCAUGGUCCAUUUAUUCUUUUUAGAGACCCUCGGGAAGUGAUUGGAGGUCGUUCCCCACAUUGGAAUGGACUUUGGCACCCUUGGUACAUCAUUUACAAAAUUUAGUACAUCAUUUACAAAAUUUGGUACAUCAGUCACAAAAAUUGGUACAUCCUUAAAAAAAUUUGGUACAUCUAAUCCUUGAGCUAUUGGGACCCCUAUCUUAUUACCCAUGGUUCGUUUAUUCCUUUAGGGAUCUUUGGGAAGUGAUUAGAGGUUGAUCCUGAGCUACUUCGAAAUGGACUUUGGAACCCUAGGUACAUCCUUAAGAAAAUUUGUUAUAUCCGAUCCUUGAGCUAACAGGACACCUAUUAUAGACCCCUCAUUUUGACCAUGACACACAUAGGUUACCAUCUAAUAAAUCAUUGUAAUUCAUCGACUUGUAAUCUUUGAUUCUUUCUCAAAGCUUCUUGGAGGAUAAUUUAUAGAAAUUUUGAUGUGAUCACAUAAACCUUUGAAUUUGUAGCUUAAGGCCUUCUGAUUGUUCUAACUUACCAUUAACAGUAAUUUAAAACAAAAUUAUUGAAUCCUUAUUUUUAAAAUAUAAAGCAAAAUAAAUUACUUCUUUGAAUAAUAAAAAUAACUAAAAAGAUGUAUAUAAUAAAAUUUGGUAACAAAUUAAAAGUAGAUUUUAAUACAAACAACUUAACAUGAUUCAAUUUUUUUUAUUAAGCAUUAUUUUUCAAAUUAUAAAGGCCAAUAUAUGAGUAAUAUUCUUUCUCUUUUUGUUUCAUAAACCAUAAUUUAAAAUAAAGUUUUUACUAUUGUCAUUAAAUAUACAUUUUGAAACAUAAAAUACGAUAUCUCUUUAAAUAUUUAUUUAAUUUCGAAUGUGCCAAAAAUCCCCUUUUUCCAUCAAUUCUAACUACAACAACUGCCAUUCAAAAAUCCCAUGCCUAUGCUAGCCACAUAUUCACAAGUCGGACUUUUUUAACUUUUGCGGCAAUUUUAAAAAAUAAUUAUUAAAAAAUGGUAGUUGUGAACAUAUUGAUAGAUAUACAUCAGUUUUGGCUACGUGGAAGGUGUCUUUUGAAGAGACACCUUUCACAAUUUUUAAAAUCAUGAAAGAAUUGAAUUUAAGCUAAAGGUGUCUCUUGAAGAGACACCUUCUACAAUUCCAAAAAAUUGGAUUUAUAUUAAAGAUGUCUCUUGAAAAGACACUUUCCACAUGGCAAAAAAUCCAAUAUGCAUUAAAGGUGUCUCUUGCAAAGACACUUUCCACGUGGCAAAAAAUCCAAUAUGCAUUAAAGGUGUCUCUUAAAGAGACACCUUCCACAAUUUGACAAAUUUGAAUGUCUCAUGAAUUUGAUUUUGAAGUUAAAGAUGUCUCUUAAAGAGACACCUUCUACAAUUCCUAAAACUUUUAAUCUAUACAAAAUGUGUCAAAGGUGAAGGUGUCCCGUCAAGAGACACAUUCUAGAAUUCCAAAAAAUUAGAUUUAUACUAAAGGUUUCUCUUGAAAAGACACUUUCCACAAUUCCAAAAAAUCCAAUAUUUAUUAAAAAUUGUAGAAAUGAUUUUAAAGUUAAAGAUGUCUCUCUUCAAUGUAUGAAAAUUGUGGAAAGUGUCUCUUUAAGAGACACUAAAGAGACACUUUCAGUAUAAACUCAAUUUUUUUAAAAAUAAUGGAAGGUGUCUCUUCAAGAGACACCUAUAAUUCAAUUUUUGGGAAUUGUGAAAGGUGUCUCUUGGCACCUUCCACAAUUUUAAAAAUAUUGGAUUUAUACUGAAAGUGUCUGUUCAAAAGACACUUUCUACAAUUUCCAUUCAAAUAGUGAAAAAUUUCGAAUUUAUGUUGAAGGUGUCUCUUGAAGAGGCACCUUCCAUAAUUACCAAAAAAAUGGAAUUAUAUUCGGACGCCUUUCAUAAUUUUUAAAAAAUUGGGUUUAUACUGAAAAUGUCUCUUGAAGAGACACUUUCCACAAUUUUUUAGUGGAAAAUUUCAAAUUUUGAAAAGGGACAUUCUAUAAUUCCCAAAAAAUAGAAUUAUACUAAAGGUGUCUCUCCAAGAGACACCUUCCAUAAUUUGAAAAAAAAAAAAAGGGUUUAUACGGAAAGUCUCUUCAAGAGACACUUUCCACAAAAUAUAUAUAUAUAUAUAUAUAUAUAUAUAUAUAUAUAUAUAUAUAUAUAUAUAUAUAUAUAGGGUUUAAAUAACAAAUUAAUUAUAACUAUUUUAUAAUUAAAUGAAAAAUUUUCAUUUAAUUGAUUAGUAAAAAUAUAUCAUAAUUUUAUUCAUAGUGUUUUUAAUAUUAUUAAAAUAUUAAAAAUUUAUACAUUUAUCAUCAUUUAUUUUAUAAUAUAUCAUAAUUUUAACAUUAAAUAGAUUUUAAAAUUAAACAUGUUAUAAUCACAUAUCACAAUAUUAUCAUCAAAUAAUAUUUUAUAUUAUUUAAUAAUCAAUGUAUACUUAUCAAAUUUAUUUAUGAACUUUCCAAAAUAAACUAUGAAGCAAAUGUUCUUAAUUGAAAUGAGUGUUACUGGUGAACCCGUGAAUGUUUUAUUUUUUAUUUUUUAUUUUUUUAGAACUAGGAAAAUUGGAUGAAGACUAUGUCAAAGAAGCUUAUAUCUUCAGCCAGGUCUCCCCCAUAUUUGUUCAAGUCUAUCUAUCUCAACAUGAGGUGAAUCCAAGUCUGUGUUUCGAAUCAAAUAUCAAUUCAUGAUUCUUGCAUGCUGUCGUAAUAAAAAAUUUUGUAAGUAAUAUAAAAAAAGUGAGGAAGGAGGUUCAAUGUUGUAACUAUCACUACUUUAUAAUCAAAUUGUAAAUUUGGAGUGCUAAAGAAAGCAGCCGGGUUGUAAGUAUUUGGUUUUUCGUCUUCUAUGAACUAGUGCCUGCAUUAUGGCUAAAUUUCUGAAAAGCCAGUUUAUUACUACCUGCUUGUUUCUCUACCUUAAGAUUCUCUCAUUCUCUCUUCUAUUAUCAUUUCAAGCAGCAGAUAGUGACCACUGUCUAGGCUUUUGUGUAGAAACAAAAAGGCUCUGAUCCAUCAUUCAUGCAAGUGACCUUCAGUGAUGUUAUUCUCUUGUGUGGUCUUCUCAGCGAUGGCCCCAUAUCUCUUAAAUAUCCUUUUUGUCUCUAGUUUACCAUUAACCCUGUUUUGAUCUUCACUCUUCAUUGCCAAAACCGUGCUUGAACCUCACCUGGACGAACUUCACUAUUAGACAAGAAUUGAAUUUGAGGCAACACGAACCAUCCAUGUCGAUGAGAAUAUGAAAUUUGGUAUCAAGUGAAGUGGACAAAAUUCAAAAACAAAAACAAAAAUAAUCAAUGAAUUUUAAUUUUUUUUGCAACCCCCGUUUGAUUCCCAAGAAAAUCCAUCCCCCAUUCGAUUUCCGGGAAAAUUCAUCCUCAUUUGAUUUCCGAGAAAAUCCAUGCAAAACCCCCCAAAGAAAACAAAAAAAAAUGCUUUUUUUUUUUGCUCCCUGUGCUUUCUGGAUCUGUUCUAGGGGUCUCUUUCCUUUUGUGCCAUUGGAUUUAAAUUUCACGAACCCUAAAUCCACGAUUUUUGAGCUAGGCUAAAAAACACAACCUUUCCCCGCAAAUCAUGAUCAGAUUACCAAAUAGCAUCUUAUGUUUUUUUAUAAAAAAAAAUUGGACGGAUUUUGUAUCCUGUGCGCGGGCUGGACUGGUUCGGAUACAGUUGAAAGUCCCAGAGUAUGGUUGGGCCACGAGAAGGUGUUCCACUCUCUCAAUUUCCUGGUGAAUAGGGUUAGAUCACUAGUUUUUUAUGUUCCGUAGAAAUGUGCAGCGCCUGCAUCCAGAGAUUAUCCAACAUGUCUUACUUGAUAUGCCAAGUCUUACUUUCUUCACGACCUAUGCGCUUUUGGCAUUGUUCUGGGUAGAAAUAUACUAUCAGGCACGUGCUGUAUCUACUGAUGUACUGAGACCAAGUUUCUACAGAAUUAAUGCAGUGGUUUAUGCCAUUCAGAUUGCUAUGUGCACCUUGGAUUCGAAACUAACCGGUUAAAAACUGAAACCCCUGCAUGUGAGAGAGCAUCACCACAGGCCACGCGAGGGAGCUCGUCAGUCACGUUUUCCAACUGCCAUGCAUUCGGUGAAGCGAUUUUUUGAAGGGAAGUCUCCAGGAGAAGAAUCUUUUUCUGUUGCGGGAGGAGAAUUGACAUAGUCUCUUUUUCUGGGCGUUUUUUUGGAGGAGAGUUCAAAGAUCUUCUUUCUGUAGAAAAUCAUCACAUAAACCGAUUCAAAGAAUUCAGAAGGCUUCUCAUUAGAGCCAAGGUUCACCAUUCUAGAUCUUCAUGAACAUCUCCUUCAUAGUGGCAUUGGCACCCCGAUCCCUGUACGAAUACACAAUCAGCCUGGAAACCUCUUCUCCAUUCUCUGAAUUGCCUCUUCAUCGUUACGGACUGACGCAUUUUGUUGAUCAUCGAUGUCACCUGUGAACUGGAUCACACACAUGAAGAGAUAUCUAAACAUCUCAAUGGUAGGAACCUCCAUGAUUGAUUGAUCUCCAUCAUCUUCGUGAUCGUGCACAGUUCUGAAAGAAGAGACGAGAAUCUCUUCAUCGUCUUCACUCUCUAUGCUUAUAUCUCGAAGGUUAUCCCGGUUUCUAUGGGCAUCGAAUCUCCAUAGAUGAACUCGGAUUCUGCAUUGACCUGAAUCUCGAGCAUGCAUUAUUUCAUGGACGGAUAGAAGAAAAAGAAGAGACUUCCAUAUUGUGCUGCCAAACUUGGUGUUUUUCUUCAUUUAUUCUUCACCACAACAGUUGGACAUAAAGGUUAGUCUCAAUGAAUCUUUACCAUUUGAAUUGGUUUAUUAAUGAUUUUUAAGUUAUUCAUUGAUAAGGUUAAAGGACAAUGGAUGAAAUUGGUUUGUCGAUUUUGAAACUCAUGGCUGUUUGUGAUGUGUCGGUUACUAUGUGAAUUAAAAAUAAAGAAGGAUAAAUGCAAUGAUGGAAUAAUGCAGAAUUGGUUGAUGCCUUGUUAAUAUGUACUAUACUUUUUUUCUAUAUGUUUAGUGUUGUCAUUUUAGUUCUAAGUAAAAUAUUUUUUAAUUACAUUAGUAGCAAUGAUGGAGAAGUGAUAUAGUUGUGUUAAUGGAAUUGUAUGGCUGAAAAUGCUGUGUGAUCCAUGAAAUUUAUGUGGCUAGGAAAAUUAGAGAAGGAAUAGAGGCUGGCUAUGAUUACUUGUUGAAGUUUUAAAGGAAAUAUCUAGAUAUAUGUUAUGGAAUAAUGACAGUUGUAGUGAAUAAUGCACAAUUGGUUAUGGGAUAAUGUUGAUGAUGCUUGUUGAUUUUUUAAUAAAAGCUAUGUAUAAAAAGUGGAUGUAUAUCCAGCCAUAAGUGUUUUUAGUGGCUCUUGAUGAUAAGUAAUGGUGCCUUGUUCAUAUGUACUAUAUAUAUUUUUUUUCUAUAUGUUUAGUGUCGUCAUUUUAGUUCUAAGUAAAAUAUUCGAUUCCUUAAUUCUAAUAUUUAUUGCCAAUAUUUUCACUUUAUUCAUUUCUUCCCACUUCAUGAUUGAUUUUUUUGAAUACAUGUUAGUUUAGGUUGGGUAUGGACAAUUUGGGCCACACGAGUGUUUAUAGAAUUUGAUAUUUAGGAAACUAAAUGAUUAAAUGUGGAUUACUUGAUGAAUUAUGAUUGAGAUUCAGCUAUUUUUUUCUUUUCUUUUUUUCUUCAAAAUUUCUUUUCAUCUAAAUAAACCAUUGGAUAAUCACAUGACAAUUGACUUUGAAUAAACUCUCUUGAUUUUGAUUCAUGGAAAUUUGAUUUAUCUUAAUUUUCUUAAAUAAUUCACACAUAUACACUUACAAUUUUUUUGGUAAUCCAAAUUUAAAAAUAUAUAUGAAUUAUUUUUCCUUUUGAAAAUUUUUUUUAUACCUCAUUCAUAACAGAAUUAAUCUUAGUCUCUUUUAUAAUGAAUUGUUUUUAUAUUUAAAAUCUAUCUUACUCUCUUUUAAGUAUGAAAUUUCAAUUUCUAAAAAGAAUAAUGCUGCCCAUUUUUAUUCGGUAUGGAACUUUGAAAUGUUUUAAAAAUGAAUUUUGGUUUUAAAUGUACGCGAAUUAAAAUUCAUAGUUCCAACUAAUGGAUUCUUUAUGAACUAAUUCAUGUAGAUAAAAAUGGGAUUUAAUAAAUCCCUACAUACAAAAAAAUUUCAAAAAUAAAGUUUUCUAUUGACACUAUUGACAGCCCAGUGCAUAUUUGAACUUGUAAAUUAUAAUCUGACCAUUUAUAGACUCCUUAAAAUUUUUAUAAUUAUUCCAUGAUAUUCUAACUCUUUGAAAUUAAUUUUAGAAUUUUAUUUUGGUAAAAAAUAAUUUCCCAAUUAGAAGAUAUAAAUCAAUCUUUCAGAAGGUUCAGCUUUCACUUUGUUUUUGAUACUUAGUUUUUUUUUGUAAAAUUAAAUUACUAAAAGAUCUCUUUAAAUUCAUUGAAUAUUUUUCGCUUAAUCUAGACCUCCUAAGUUUAAUUUUUGACACAUAAAAUAUUAAUAUAUAAUUACUAAAAAGGGAGAUAUAAUUUUUUUUCUUGAACCUAUUGCACCUGUGCUCUGCUGGAGCUGAAUGAAGUUUACUUAUUGUUAAACAUAUUAUGAAUGUAAUAUUGCCUUGUGAUUAUUUUUCAUUCAAAAUAGACAUGUUAGGCUAGUUUUACGAAUUUUUAUUUUUAUUUUUUAUGAUUUUAGGACAUCUCCAAAUUAAUUUAAAAAAAAUCAAUUGUUGAAUACUUUAACAAAAUGCCCUGUUCUAAACCUACUAUUAGCAUUAUGAAAUCUGGUAUUAAAUGAGAGCUAGUUGAUUAAUUUGAUCACUUGGAUGAUAAACUAGACGUAUAGAAGAUAUUCUCUAAAAAUUUUCAUGAUGAAAUUUAACUUCAAGAUAUUUGUUUUAGAUUUAUUUUGUAGAAACCCCUGGUUUCAACCAUUUGCUAUUUUUUUUUUUUUGCAAAGAAACCCUCUUGUGAAUACAUUUGACAUUGGUUAUAUAUAAGUUUAGUUUUUGAUUCCUUUUUGAAUUCAUUGCUAUUAUUUGUGAAUUAGUCUCAUUUCUAUGAAAGCACUUUAAAACGCUUGUUAUGAAAUAUGUGACUACUUAGAAUACAAUGUGAUGCUAUUGCUUGUUAUUUAAAUUUUGUGUUUUCUAGAAGCGCUUGGAAUGCAAAUUAGGUAUGCUUUUCUUUAUUAAAUUGGUGAAUUAUGUUGAUGUGUUUAGUUAGUUCAUAGUGUAUAUGAAUUAAUCAACUAAUCCUCAUAAUUAUCUCAACUUAGUAGAGAUCUAGUUUUUUAGGACUUAGAGGGGUGUUGCGGUUCUUUUCCGUACCUUUCCAAUAAAUAAUCUGACUCCUGGACCCAACUUGGUUUUCACAUACCCGUCUUUUCUUUUAGGAGUCACAUUUAGGGUUUUUUUUUCUUAUUUUGUUUGUCUUAAAAAAAAACCAAAGUAAGUGGCGACUCCUUUAUUUAUAAAAUUAAUUUUUCACAAACAAAAAGUGAGCCUUGCCAUCGAGUGGGAACGCAUGUGAAAAUACGGGAUCACAAAGUGGCAACUCCACUAGGGAUCUUAGAGGGUCAAAGCUUGAACUUAAGUUAAAGUAAAUUUGACGUUUAAUUGCUUGAUUAAUGAAUACCCUUUCUUUGCGCCUUUGUGUGAUUGUGUGAUUAAUGGCACAUUGAAGAUUUUUUGAUGCUGUAAAUAUCUAUGAUAGAUGCAUGUUAGAUGAUGAUGUUUAUUUAUGAUUGCUUCUCUUGUCUAUUAUGUUUUUCUUAACAUGAUUGAUUGUAUUCUUAUCACAUGCCUAUUAUCCCUUAGCAUGAUGGUUGAUCUAGUUGUAUGUUUUAUUAGAUUAUUAUGUCUUUGUUUAAUUUGAAUAUAGUGAUGGAUGAUUUAUACAUGUAUUGCAUGAUUGAUUGUUGCAUGACUACUCUUCUCUUAUGUGAUUGCUUGUUGCAUGUUCAUGUAGACGCACUUGUAUCCCCUUAACUCCAAUUCUCUAAUUUUGGUCGGCUUUGUUUCCCUUGAUCUUGUAUUAUAUAUGGGUGUGGACCCACAUUUUUCACGCGCACCCCCACUUGAUCAACGAGACUCGCUUUUAUUUGGUGAAAAAUUUAAUUUUGGAAAAGUUAGAGUCGCCACUUAUUUUAUUUUAUUUUAAAGGGAAAAUAAAACAAGAAAUAAAACCCUAAAAAAUGACUCCAUAGUUUUUGAAAAAACACGUGUCUUUGAAAAACCUGAGUCUAGGUCCGGGGAUCAGGUUACUAAUUGGGAAGGUACUUCUAGAAUGUAGCACCCCUUUAAGCUCUACAAAGCUCUCUACUAACCAAGUUGAGGGAAAUGUGGAAUUAACUAGUUGAUCAUGGAUACCUAGGUAGGCUAAGGUGAUUUCAAAAUUAGCAUGCCAAAAAAGAAAAACCAAUCAUACUCAUAAAGGAGAUUUAGGGUGCAUACCUAGACUCCUUCUUAAGCGCUAUCACAAGACAUCAAAAUUAGUUUGGAAAUAUAGCACACAUGUGUUUUAUCCAAGAAAAUCAAGCAUACAUCUAAGCACCUAAGGAUCACAUCAAGCAUAAAUAAGACUCACAACAACAUGCAUGUUCAUAAAAUUUUGAAAAGUAAGUGAUAGAGAGCAUACCUAGAUAGCAUGCAUAAUUUAUAAGAUUCCUCCAAAAAUGCUAGAGUGAUUAAGACAAGUAUGAAUUAUAUAACAUAUUCAUUAUGUCUAAUACACGGUACCAAAGCCAAAAUUGAGCCAAGGUAAGUCAAAUGACUCCAAAAAUAAAUAACGAAUUCAAGCAAUGUACAAGAUCAUCAGCAUGUAAUUAGAAUAGGGAGCAUCAAAAAAACAAUUUCUAAAAAAUGGAUUAGAGUAGAAUUUAAUUACAAAAAAUUUCACAAAACAACUCCUACACAUCUAGAUCAACAUACCGAAGGCCAAACUCUCAUUCAAAGGAUAGAUUGUAGCAAAGACACCUAAAGGUUCUACAAAUUCCAGAUUAGAUAAGAAAAACUGACAUGUGUAAAUGAAUUUUUUAAAAAUAAUAAAUAAUCACAUAAAAUCAUACAAAAAAUCACACACAUAGUUCAAAGUGUCUAUAUCACAAAAAAAUGAAUCUAGGGUCGGAUAGUACUCAAAAAUAUUUUUAAAGCACUCAAGCUAAUCAGAUGUCCAGAAUUCAGCAUGUGCAAUAGGUACGACUUUGAAAAAUCAUAUCUCCCUUAAAGAAGCAUAUAUUUUAAUAGUUUAUAUCUCUAAGAUCAAAUUCAAGAAGCUUAUAAUUAACGAAAAAUAUCAAAUUAAAUUUAGACAGUCGUCCAUUAUUUUAUUUUUGCAUUAUCCAAAACUGGGUGAAAACAGAGCCCUCCUAAAUUUUCAGUUAUAUUUUCUGUUCUGGAAUUGUUUUCUAACUCAAACGAAACUUUAAAUUCAAGUUCAAGGAGUGAGGAAAGUCAUACAAGCUUUGAAUUUUUUUUUAAAAUAUUCUAAAAUUGCUAUAAUGAAUUUAACUCUAAAAGGUCAAUGGUUGAAUGAAAACUGGCAGCAAGGAAAAAAAAAAGUUUUUGAAAAUUUUUGCAACACUAGAAUUUUCCUCUCAAAAUGGCUGAUGCGUUAGGAGAAUGUCCUCCAUAAGGUAUAAAAUUCAGAUUUACAAAAUCAACACUAAACUCACGAUGGGUAGCUGGAAUUUUGAUGUUAUCAAAGGAUUGAAGAGGAAUUUUAGUGGGUACCAUGAAGUACUCCCUAUCCUAGACAGCAAAGAGGAUGAUGGUUCCAAUAAGAAGAAGUCAGGUAUAUGCAGCCAAAAGGUAAUUAGGAAUAGGGAGCACGUGUCUUUUGAAGAGUCAGAGAUUACCAUCCAUAUUGUGGAGAUGAAUGAAUAACAAGUCAAAUCACAGUAGUAUUCUUGAAAUCCGUUUGAUUUCAAAGAUGAAUGUAUGUUCUUAUUGUAGCCAUGCAUUCUCAAUCACUUCUGCAUAUAUUUUGCAUGUAUUGACAAAUUCAAGGCUCGUGGGACCCUUCACGUCUAUGAACAUAUUCAACCGUGGGCGAAUUAUAACUCUUCUUCGGAAACACCCAUCAUCACACUUCCGGCCAAGUCUCUUGAUGCUGUGUGGUCUCAAGAUUCCCCCUCUAAAAAUCUGUUGAAUCUGCUUCAUUGGCGCGUGUGUGGGCUGUACAAAGGAGUUUCUAGAGAUACAUAGAAAAAAUGCGGAAGUGGCUGCUGCCUCCUCCCAUAUGGCUGCGUCAUGGCUGCCUCAUGCGAACAUGGUGGCCUUAUUGUGUCACUCACUUAAGGUGGCCUUGUGAGCUACUAUCAAUGGAGGAAAGAAGGUGACUAUGAGGCAUCAACCCUCCUCGUGCAGUCCAUGCGGCUGCCACUUAACAACAGAAAAAUCUGCUUAGAGAACUCCUUCACCAAAAUCUGCUGAAUCUGCUCCCGAAAAUCCCCAGAUAGCCUCACCAAAACCAGAACCUGUGUGGACCUUCCUUCUCAAAAAAAAAUGGUGCCUCUCUCUCAAUCUUCUAUCCCCCACAAAAGACCACCAGCCUGUGUCUCCCAUUCCAAUCAACUGAAAGAAACCCAAGCUUUUAAAACCCACCCGACUGUUUUCUUCCCGUAUUCAUCCAAUGAACCAGCAGUUUCAGAACACAUUUGCUGACCCCUGAACUCGCAUUCCUCACCUUCUCAAAGUGCAACCUGCUGCCAAAAGAGGAGUGUUGAAGCUUCACUAACUUCACAGCCUCUUAAACUUGCAAUUGCUCCCAACAGGAUGGCACUUGGUGUUGUAUAUUGCAACAAAAGCAUAAACCGAUACAUUUGAUCUCUGGAACCAAAAAAAUUCAUCUUAUCAUCUAAAAGAAUGAUUCCAAUUCCAAUCGAAGUACCAAAAGCCUUGCAACACUAAUUCCAAUUACAGUCCGAAUUCCAAGUUUAGAUUCAUAUGGACCCUCAACGAGCAUUCCUCCAAGGAUAAGCAACACGAAUGGAAUUGUUGCCCCAGCCAAGAUUGAUAAGUUGUCUGUGAUAAAUGAAAGUGGAGCAUCAUAGUCAAAAACAAAAGAUUUGAGCUGAGGAAACAUCCCAAUAAUAAUGGCUAACAGAGAAGCAACUGUAGGAGGUUGAAGUAUGUGCUGAAUUGGUGUUUGUUCAGCAACGAUCCUAAUUCUCCUAACCACCUUCGGCUCCACCAAACACCUAAUGGACUCGGGACUGUUUGGACCUCCCUCCUCCACUAAACCAACAUCAGGAAAAGUACUUGGUGAAAUGCUAGAGAUUCUGGUAAAGACCCUUGCAAUAAAGGGUGUCUUACAAUGCUCGCUUUCUUUAUCUUCCAUUCCUGGCCAUUUAGCUUCAACAAGCAGCGGCCUACUUAAAUCGUUAGCAGUGACCACCUCCUUAACCUCAUUCCCUUCGUCAACAAUUUCAUAAUACUCAAGGGGUGGUUCCAUCAUGUGGUAUGCAAGUGUGUAAACAAGAAUUACAGCAACCCACUGAGCAAAAGAAACAUAAAACACACCAGAGGUAUGACAAUCAGGACCAAAUGGGUUCUUCGCACUGUGGCAUAUUGACCCAACAAUGGCAAGCGGGAGAUUACCCGUGUUCCCAAAUGCAGUCAUGAUGAUGGUAAACCAAAAGAAUUCGGGUGGUGGCUGGCAUAUUAUUGCCACCAAGUACCUCAAAAUGCAACCGACAGCAGUACUGAUAAUGACGUUUACGGGUAUGAACCACCAGAGGACAAAAUUCUUGCCAGUAAUGGAUUGUCCCAAUUGGGUGAAGAUUAAGCAUAGUAGGAAUAGGACAAAAACAAGCUUGCUGAGAAGCCUGAAAGUAGCUUUUGACAUAACUUGGAGUUUUGGAUGGGCGAGAAUUAGGCCUAUGACAGUGAGUGAGAGCAGUUUCAUCAAAGGCACAACUGCUGAUAGCCAAUUUUCUCCACCAGAUUUCACAUUCCCAUCUGAUAGAUCCCAGAAGGAAUCCAUUUUUUUCCCUCUGUCUAAGAGGAAAAAUCCCAAAAGGAAACUUCCAAUGAAUUUGACGAGCUAAGCAAAAAAUCCGAGAAAUCCCUAGAAUUAACACUAUAUUCCAACAACUAAAUUUCAGACUCCAAUACCACAGACGAGAGUCCAGGAACACCCAGAAAAGGCCGGAUCCGGAGUGAUGGAUGAAAAGGAUUGGUCCACUGAGUGAUUGAUUUUCGGGUGGAUAGUUAGCGAUUCAUCGCCUCACCACGGGGUUCAUCUUUGACGAUGACUGACUAAUUGAUAUUGGUUGGUACAUCUAUCAGCACUUGACUCUCUUAUUUCACUGUCUUUUAAACCUUUAGAUGAGAAUAGAGUGGCAGUAGAGGCAUGUGGGUGCGCGAGAGUGGCGGGUAGCCGAAGGUGGUGGCAAACGAAGUGGUGUGUGGUUGCACCUCCUCUUCCAGUUUUGGUGCUGCCAACCGUGCCCUCUACUGAAAGAAAACCCCACUUUUCCAAAAGCCCUAUAUAUAGGAAGAUCACACAAAGACAGAUUUGCAUCAAAAGCUACGGAGGGCCUGGAUUGAAUUUUUUAGCAGCCAGCAGAAGAGCAUUUAGCAAAGCAUCUUUAGCUCCUAACUGCAAGUAAUAUCCUUCAUUUUGGAUCUUCCGCUUAAGAAUCUGGGCAGCGAAGAACUCGACUUCGAAAUCAGAAAGAAAGGAAUGAUGAUGACGAUGAUGAUCGGAAGUGAGGAUGGAGGUGACGACAUCCCAAGAAAGGUUAGUAUGCUGGAACUGGACGAGCCACUGAUUAGCAGCUACGCGGUUGCAGGACUGAGAGUCAUGAUUGAGGGCGUGAACAGCCUAGGCGGCCUUAAUUUGCAACUCCAUCUACGUCUCUCUUCUAAAUAAGCAACGGACGAAAGAGAACCAUAGAAAAUGAACGAGGAGAGACCGAUGCCUGUAAUUCCCCUUAUUUCCUACAGGCUCCUUAGAUCAGACGGUUGCUGCCUCAGAUCUGUUGCACUGAGUCUUAGAUAUGUGCGUGGGUUUCAAAUGUCUUAUGGAGUGCAUGAAGUGAGGGGGAUGAGUAGCGGAGUAGUGUAAUUCUUGGAGAAGAAAUCAAUCUGACACUGGCAAAACCACUUAGAGACAUGUUUGCUAGAAUGGAAAAGUCAACCCUCGAAAGUGUUUUUCUGGUGGCACGCCUGUUAAUAUAGAAACCACCCAUUCUUGAUCAAUGAAGGAGCGAAUCAGAUUGAUCCACACAAACCCCAAGGCAAACUAAACUUCAUGGAUUUUCCCUUCUCAGAUUCUUCAGAGGCGAGUUGUGCGCUGGUUAUGGGUCCAGAAACUGCAAGCAAUCCAUGAAGAAUCCAAAAUCAACAGCAUCAUGACCUUUAACGGCCACUCCAAUCAUCCAAACGAAUAUCAAUAAUUGCAAAUGGAAUAAAAUUUGAAAGGAACAUGGAUGUAAAAUGAAGAACUUGUCUUAGGAAGAUGCAGGCUGACGAAUAUCCCCUUAAGAAUCCCAGUGAGGUCCUCCCCCUGCUCCUCACUCUUCUUGCAACAACUCUCCUUCUGGACGUCCUCCUUUCCUUCCUAAAAGAUCAGCCAACCCUCUUAUCUUCAUUUUUCAGCCUGUGCUCUCCUCCCAACCCUCUAUUGCAGGCACAUACAUCUCCUUUUUCAGAAUAGCCAGUCCAACCUCCCUUCCAAACUCUCCAUGAUAUCUUCCUAAAGAGCGCCUCCUCAUCCAAAAACAAUCUCAAAGUUUCCAAAGAGAUUCUUAAACCUUCCAAAACCAAAAAUCCCUUUCGUGCAUGAAUAUCCCCAAAAAUUGCUCUUUGUCUGCAAUUGUGGACUUUCACUUGUCUUCCUUUCUAAAAAAAAACCUCAAACUCCGAUCUCUUUCCCCAAGCUGUGUCUAUCUUCAAUUGCUUCCUUAUCUCUUAGAGCCACCUUUCCUUAAACUCUCCCAAAACUUCCACACCUAUCUUCCAUACAUUUCCUACAAAAUUUCAAAGUUAAUAGAUUAAAUAAAAUAAUAAUAAUAAAAUAAUAAUAAUGAUAAAAAUGAGUAAAAGUAUUAAUAAUAAUAAUAAUAAUAAUAGUAAUAAAAUGACAAUAAAAAAAAUUAAACCAAAUUAUUAAAUUAAAAUAAAUAAGUAAGGAUAAGUAUUACAGAAAAGUGACAAAAUAAUAGGAAAAUAAAAUCGAGGAGGUAAUAGACAAGAUAAUAAAUAAAAUAAACAAAAAUAUAAUAAAAAGUCAAGUCAUGUGAUUUUACAAAAACGAGCCAUGCAAAUCAUGCAAGCCAUAUAAAAAAUGCAAUCUAUACCAACCAUGCAAACAUGCAAAAAUUACCUGAAAGGUGACCUAAGUGGGCCUAAGGUGUUGCCUAAUGGGCCAAGUGUAUCUAAAUGGGCCUAAGGUGCCUAAGUGGGCCUAAAGUGGUGCCUAAUGGGCCAAGUGUACCUAAAUGGGCCUAAAGUGCCUAAGUGGUGCCUAAUGGUCAAGUGUAUCUAAACGGGCCUAUGGUGCCUAAAUGGACCUAAAGUGGUGCCUACUGGGUCAAGUGUACCUAAAUGGGCCUAGGGAGCCUAAGUGGGCCUAAAGUGGUGCCUAAUGGGCCAAGUGUAUCUAAAUGGGCCUAGGAUGCCUAAGUGGGCCUAAAGUGCCUAAGUGAGCCUAAGGUGAUGCCUAAUGGAUCAAGUGUGCCUAAAUGGGCCUAAGGUGCCUAAGUGGGACUAAGGUGCCUAAGUGGGCCUAUGGUGCCUACGUGAGCUUAAGGUGCUUAAGUGGGCCUAAGGUACCUAAGUGGGCCUAUGGUGCAUAAGUGGGCCUAUGGUGCCUAAGUGAGCUUAAGGUGCCUAAGUGGGGUUAAGGUGCCUAAGUGGGCCUAUGGUGCAUAAGUGGGCCUAUGGUGCCUAAGUGAGCCUAAGGUACCUAAGUGAGCCUAAGGUGAUGCCUAAUGGGCCAAGUGUGUCUAAGUGGGCCUAUGGUGCAUAAGUGGGCCUAAGGUGCCUAAAUGAUCCCAAGUCUAAAUAGGGUUGCCAAGAGUCACAAUGGGGUUAGGUAAAUCCCUCAACCAAAGUCCCCAAGGUGGCUUAGAAAAGAUAGGCUACACGAGUAGUAAUGAGCCACCAAGGAAUUGUUGUAAAGUAUCAAACAAAUACCUAAUAGGACAUGUUCUAGGAGGACAAAAUGGAGGGUUUACAAUGGGACUUGUUAAUUCAUGUAUGCUUUCGAUCAAGCUAGAGACUAGGAGUAGAGUCUAGUAACGGGUUAUAUUAAUGUUUGGGUGCACUAUGGAGAUAGGCAUGUUAAUGCCAAUAGUAGUCCUAUCAUUGAAGACCUAUAUGACACAAAACUAGAUUGAAUGGAUACUCGUGUGGCCAGUUUGUUCCCUUUAUUGUUUUAGUCACAUAGGUUUUUCGGAAGCACCCACAUUAUUCUAAAUGUACACUUAGAUUAACCCUAAAUGUUGAGAAAUGUAAAAGCUUUACCUAUAGGAAACCCCAUGGGAUGUGAGGAAGUGCAUGUGUGGAGGUGAUGACCACCUUGCAUGGAAGCACCUUAUCUCUUAGGAGGCGUGCAAAAGGUUACAUACCAUCAGAGCAUACGAUCACCUUUGCUAGGGAUUCCCUUAACCCACCUACUUAAUUUUUUUAGGGCCACCUUCUUACCAAGUGGGUGGAGAAAACUUCUUAUACGAGAUUGACAUUAGCCAGAGUUGUUAGCUUCAUCAUAUCACACAUCAUUUGUCGUUAUGGAGUCCCACAUGAGUUGAUAUCUGACAAAGGAAUGCACUUCAGGGCAGAGGUUGAUGUUUUAUUACAAAGAUAUGACAUUUAGCAUCAUAAGUCGUUUGCGUAUAGACUGUAGACUAACGGGGUAGUAAAGGCCACAAAUAAGAAUAUUAAGAGGCUUUUGUAGAGAAUAGUUGACACUUCUCGAAACUGUUCAGAGAAGCUACUUUUGGAAUUAUGGGCUUAUCACACUUCUUGUCACACCUUUAUAGGAGCCACACCCUAUUCUCUAGUGUAUGUUAUAGAGGCAGUGCUACCAGUUGAGAUAGAGAUGAGAUUUUUGAGAGUAGCAUUUGAGCAAGAGAUAUCUGAGGUAGAUUGGACUUAAGCACAUUUUGAUCAACUUAGUCUUCUUGAUGAGAGGAGAUUGAGAGCAAUAGAACACACCUGCUUAUCAGAGGAAGAUGCCCCGUGCUUUUAGAAAUCGGAUCAAGCCUAGACCAAUACUGAGAGGAGAUUUGGUUUUGAGAGUUCUUAGAGGCUCGGUUGGAGACCCUAGAGGGAAGUUCAGACCGACUUGGAGUGGACCAUAUGUCAUUAGAGAGUUAACCCCAAAGGAUGCAACAUGGUUGAUGGAUCUAGAUGGAAACUAAUUCUCAGAGCCGAGCAAUGUAGAUUAGUUAAAGAAGUAUUAUGUUCGAGACUAUGGUUGCAGGAUGAGUGGCUUAUACCCUAUCACCUUUUGGAUAUUUAAACCAUUGCUAGCCCUUUGAGCCUCCCAUGAUCACUAUAGCCUAUUCUUUUUUAUAGCCUUGUUUACUUUUUAUACUUGGGACCCUCUAAUGUACAUAUGCUUUAUUUAGGAAUUUCACGAGUCUUGGACCUAUUGAUAUACUCUUUCCAUUUGUUUUGUCAUUAUCAUGAUACCCUAUUUUAUUCUCACUUCCAUUGUUUUUGUUCUUUGUUAUGCCUUUUUGAUACUAUUUGAUUUAUCUUGUUUCUUCUCAUACAUUGAGUGAUGAUCUUUCACAUUUCAUUAUAUGCAGAUCAGUCAUAUCACCACUUACAUUCCAUCUCGUAGACAUUAAUACAAAGGUCUUUGGUUGAGAUGGUCAUUUCAUUAGGGAGAGCUCGUCAUUUUUUGGAUCACUAUUUAAGAGUAUAUUCAUACCAUUGUAAAUAUAUAUGUGCAUGAGAUGUAUUACUCCAUUGAGCAUGUAUGAGAUAUUUGAGAGUUUAUUAUGUGGAGUUCAUUGGUUGAUGAGAUUGCAUGAGAGUUUGUGAUCCUCAAAUUUAUCUUGUAUAUGUUCCGAGUAUGAGAGAUGGGUGACUCCUUCCUAAAGACUCUAAAUCAUUAUCUCCUUCCAUCACUUUAGUCACCGCUGAUUUGAUCGCUUUCUAUGUUUUGUCUUGAGUAGAUCGAAGCUCUUCUGAUUCCUUUUGAUCUUAUCUGUUCUUUAUAUUCUUCAUCAUUCACCAUACAUUCAUCGUUCUUCAUUCAUAUCUAUCCUCAUUCCAUGAUUGAUAUUCUCUUCACAUUAUCUCUCUUUGUAGCUUGAUACUCACUUCUAUUCCUUUUCUCUAUCAUCGUUGAUUUUGCUGAGACCUUUUAUGUCCCACCCAUGCUCACAUCGGAUAUCUUUAGGUUCAUAGCUUAUGAGAUUAUUUAUGCAUAUUAUGUUUUGUACAUGAGGGUCUGAGUUUGAUCAUUGGGUAUUUGAGCCUAGUUUCCUUUCAUUUUUUUACCCUAUUACCCUAGCCUACAUUUUGUCUUGUGUCUUAAGACCACUUUGAGGCCAUGGGUUCGAAUAUUAGCUUUAACAACCUCUACUUGGGCAAGCGUUUCAGAUUUGGUUGAUGUGUAGGCAUUAUCAUAAUCUUUCUUUUGGGGAAUGUUUCUUCAAUGUUUGGAGUUAAUUCAUGAUGGAUGUAGAGGAUUGCUUGAUUUUAUGGUGGAUGAGAGAUGUUUUCUGACUUCCCAUUCUGUUAUAUUUCAAAUGUCAUACUGCAUGGGGCAUAUCCUUUUUACGUCAAGAUUGCUAGUCUAACAUUGGUUUUCACUUUGUUUCAUGAUGAUGGUUGUUGAUUUUGACUAUUUGAUUUCUUUACGAUCUUUAUUGGAGUUACAUCUCGAGUCAUUGGGUGAGACUUACACUUUCUGAUAUCCUCGCUAUUUUCGAUGGAAUUACCCUAGUGAGGUAUGCUUCUAUCCAGGCUUUUAGUGGAUUAGUUCAACUUCAUUAUCAUAUCCCUUGGUGGAGUUCCAUCUCGAGUCAUUGGGAUGAGCUUACACUUUUUUAUAUCCUCACUUUUUUUAUGGAGUUACCUUGAUGAGAUGUGCUUUCAUCCAUACACACAGUUGACUAGUUCAGUAUGGCUAUUUCUGAUCAUCAGUGGAGCCUGUUUGACCUAAGAUGAUUGGUUGAUGCACAUAUAUGUUCUGAGUCAUUUGAUAAUUUCAUCCAUAGAAAGAGAUGUGAUGAGUUGAUAUCAUUUGGUUAUCCUUAUGAUUUUGCAUUAGUUGCCAUACUAGGACAUAAUCCCCUUUCUUUUGUUGAGAUAAGAUCAUAGGGGAUCAUUACCUUUGAGCUUGGAUAUUUUCCAUGGAUCGGAGAUUCUUAGUGAAGUUGAUUCGUGCCCAAUUGGUGUCUCAGCUAAUUCGUAUCCAGCUGGUGCUCCUUGAUUGAGGGAGUAAUCAACAAAAUUUAUAACCUAUUACACCAUCUACUAGGGUAGCAAAGACAACGCUACUAUAGCAUAGUGGCUCUAGGAUUGUUCACUGGGAUGGGUUUUCACUUCACAAAUGAUAUUAAUUCAAAGUUGAAUUGGUGCCUUUUCAUUUCAAGGUUAGCUUUAAAAGAAAACAUAAACUUGAGUUGGAAAAUGUUUGGUUUUAAACUAACCACAAAUAGUAACUGAUUUUACUUACAAAGAAAAGUGUUUCUUGGAGUUUCAGAUCACUAGGCUCAGAUUCCUCAUACAAAAAGGGAGUUCCAGUCACUUGUUUCUUUUCCUCGCAUUAGAGAAUUAACAUAUAGUUAAUUCUCUAACCGGUGUUGUACAGAUGCUUCCCAUUAAUGGGUUCAAACACUAAAUCCCUCUCACUGAUGCACCUUGCAAUGGCUCAUACCUCUCACCUAGCAUUUACCAUUCAAGGUGAUCUUUAACCUUGGAUUACCCGUCAAAAGCUCGCAAGAGAUAACUAAUGGAUGUCUCCUUGGAGUCCAAAAGCUUACCAAGUGUUGGCUAUUCUAGAAAAUCCUACCUUCAAACCACCUCCCAAAAGCUCGCAAGAGAUAAACUAGUGAAUCUCCAUGGACGGAGAUCACUUGCCUUACCAAGUGUUGGCUCAGGUGAAUUGAAGACGUUUUAAGUUAACUAAAAAGAUAAAAACCAUUAACGGGUCACACUUUCUCUUCAUUAAAAACUAAAACAAAAAAACUUCCAAUUUAUGCAUGUGGAAACUUACCCGGCUUUCCUCACUCCAAGAGACAAAGAGCCUAGCCUCUCAUCCUCUGAGGAAAAAUCCUCAGAGUUUGGUUGGCUAGAAAUAAAAAGAAAUGAAAAUGAAAGAGAAGGAAAAACAGAGCAAGGCUCUGUAUAUUCUAUAUAUUUAUCUAUAUAUAUCUUUUACAGUGGAUGCAAGGGAAUAUAUAUAGAGACGUUUUUCCAACCUUCCUAACUAAGAAAUCUUAUGGUUGGUGGAUUACAAGGAGAAUAAUAGAAAUUUAUACAAAAAUAUCUGAAGAAAAAUAUCCAAAAAUGUCGGUCGCAAAUAUCUGGAAGCACGCGGGAGAAUUUCACAGGCGCACAAAAUGGCUGCGAAAUUUCGCAGACGACCAAGAUGGCUGCGAAAUCAUUUCGCAGCCAAAGGCUGAUUUCGCAGCCCUGCGAAAUUGGCCUUCAGCUUGGAGUGAUCUGCUUCCAAUGGCUGUAACUCCUUUAUUUCAACUCCGAAUCGCACACUGUUUGAAGCAUUGGAUUGUUGACUUCCUGAGCUUCGAAAUGACAUAUAGCAUGCAUAAAUUGAACUUCAGGAAGUGCUGCAAAAGUGGCUGACAUGACUGUCAUCAAGAAUGCUUCAUGGCAGAUUUCUCUUUGCUUCCCCUCCUUGCAUUCCGGAUUUGCUUAUGGCAAAGGACUUCAAAGCUUCAGUUCUUCAUGUUUCUGAGCUUUCCAUUGCUUUUCCAUGGAUUCCAAAGAACUCUCCUCAAUCUUGGAUUGCUUUGGUGAUCAAAAGCUAUCAAAACACCAAAACUUAACACAAUUUGAUUAGAAUUGAUUGCAAGGGUCCUUAACAUGCCAAUUGAGUUAAAAGGUAAUAACUACUACUCAAAAGUGUUUAAAAGAGUUAAUUACAAGCUAUCAAAUAGCACUUUUUGAGUAGUAAUCAGAAGUAUUUUGAGACAACAUUAGUUUUGAUGGAGCAUCUUUUUUGAGAUUAUGACAGUUUUCGCCAUCAUGAUUCCUUAGCAAAGUGUUUAUAAGAUGGAUUGGUUCAAUUAUUCUACAUUCCAGUUCCUAUGAUUAGUUGAUGCACAUAUAUCUUCUAAGUCAUUUGAUCAUUUCAUCCUUAGAGAAAGAUGUGAUAAGUUGGUAUCAUUUGGUUAUCCCCAUGAUUUUGCAUUAGUUGUCAUACUAGGGCAUAUUCUUUUUUCUUUUGUUGAGAUGAGAUCACAGGAGAGCAUUACAUUUGAGCUUGGAUAUUUUCAUGGAUCAAAGAUUCUUAAUGGAGUAUUUUGAUAUAACAUUAGUUUUGAUAGAGUAUUUUUUGGGGGGAUUAUGAUAGUUUUCGCCAUCAUGAUUCCUUAGUGGAGUGUUUUUGAGAUGGAUUGGUUUGAUUGUUCUACAUUCUAGUUCCUUAGUGAACCAUUUUUGAGAUAGAUCAAUUGGUUGUUUUUGAGUUGGAGAUAGUCUUUAGCAGAGUUAUCUCCCUGAGUGACCGAUUGGCCAUAUUGAUUUUUUUAUUGAUGAGCUAAUGGCAUUUUGGUCCCUUAGAGUAUUUUUAGAUGAUCUAUCCUUAGAGUAUUCUUGAUGUUAUGGUAUUGCCAUACUAGUAGUACAUAAACCUUGCAUAUUGGGGCAUAUUUCCCCCAUGUUGAGAUUAUUGAGAUCAUUACUUGUUCAGCUUUCAAAGCAGAGGCAUUCAGUGUCAUCUUUCAAAGCAUAAAUCAUGUGAUUGAUCACGAGUUUGUGUAUCGCAUCCUCCUUUACCAUCAAUUCAUCAGCUUUUAGAGUAGAGGCAUUCAAUGUCAUCCUUCAAAGUAUAGAUCAUGUGAUUGAUUAGGGGUUUGUGUAUCACAUUCUUCUUCAUGGUCGAUUCAUCAUCUUUUAGAGUAGAGGCAUUCAGUGUCAUCCUUCAGAGUACAGAUCACGUGAUUGAUUAUGGGUUUGUGUAUCACAGUCUCCUUCAUGGCCGAUUCAUCAGCUUUCAAAGUAGAGGCAUUCAGUGUCGUCCUUUAGAGUAUAGAUCAUGUGAUUGAUCUGUUUUUUUUUUUACUUACAUUUAAAAAACAAAAAAUUAAAAAUGAUUUGUUUUUACUAGUUAUUUAUAUUUAAGGAAGUAGGAAAGGUUUACUCCAAUGCUAAAAAUAAAUAAAAAUAAAAUAAAAUAAAAAUUGAGGGUUGAAAAGUAAUUAAUCACUAAAAAAUAGACUUGGAGUUCCUUUGGUGUGCGAUUAGACUCAAUUUGUCCCCAUGCAAUGGAAAUGGACGAUUUUUUAUUUUUUAUUUUUAUUUCCUUUUCCUUUAUCUUGGUGUAGUCUUGUGAUAUUGUUACUAAAAUAGGAGGUAAAAAUAUAAAUUAUAUAUCAAUUAUUUUAAAUUUAGAAAAAAAUGCUUAUUUUAAUUUGAAAUAAAUAAAUAUAAAAGAAAUGAUUUUCUCUCAAUUGUGUAAGACUUCACAAAAAUUUUCUUAUUUGCAAAAUAUUUUGAGUUGUAAAAGUAAAAAUUAAAGAAAUCAUUUCAUGGUCUUUUUCACAAGUAUCCAUUUAGAUCAUAGUCUAAUUUUAAAAUAUUUGAAAAAUCCAAUUACUCUAAACUAUAUCAUUUAUAAUUUUUUAAAUUAUUAAUAUGAUACCUAACCUUGUAUGGAAUUGGAAUAAAAUAUGGAUAAGUAAAAAAUGUCAAAUGAAAGAUAAUUUCAAACUUUUCUAAUACAGCUUCUCCCUUAAACUAAUAUAAUAAAUUAAAUGAUAAAAUUGAUUUGCAUAACAAUAAACAAAUCAUAUGAUAUUCCCAAUUUAUUUUAUAAACUAAGGAACAAAUCAUAACAUUUUUAGUAAAAUAUUAUUUGAUUCACUUUAAGGAAUUUAAACAUUUUAAUAGUUUUAAAAUAGAUGAAAAACAAAUAAUAAAUUAUAAAAUGGUUUACUAUACUAUUAACCCUUACCUUGAAGAAAUCGUUCAAAAUCCCAAAAGACUUAAUCUACAUCUAAUAUAAAUAUAAAUAAAAAAUAAUUAUUAAAGACUAAUUAUCUAAAUCAACGACUUCCUAAAUUUUUUGUAAAACUUAUUUUAAUUCCAAACCCUUUUCUAAAAUUCUAUUUUUUUUUAAUUAAUUUUUUUAUUAACCAUAUUAUUAUUAUUAUCAUUUUCACUUCCCAUAAUUAAUCAUAGGACAUAGGACAAUUGAUAAUUGUUAUUACAUAAAUCCUAACUCUAGAGCACCUCUUUUGUGUAGUAAGGCUAAGCUUGAUUCUACUAAGCUCUAGCAUAGAAGACUAGGUCACAUAAACUAUAGGGAUCUUGUGGACUUAGUGAAUAUUGAAAAAGUUAGAGGUAUCCUUAAACUUAGUGGCAAACCUAAACCCAUUUUUGGUGAAUGCAUGAAAGGAAAAAAAAACUAAGGGUUUACACAAAAAGGUUAAGGAGAUAAGGACCACUAGACCUUUAAAUCUUCUUCACAUGGAUCUUAUGGGUCCAAUGCGAAUUGAAAGUAAAGGUGGCCAGAUAUAUGUCCUUAUGGUAGUAGAUGAUUUUCCAAGAUACUUUGUGAGUUUUCUUAGGGAGAAAUCAGAGGCCAUACAACAUUUGAAGUUUUUAUUUAAUAGAAUACAAGUGGAAAUAGGUCAUCCAAUUGUAAGAAUUAGGAGUGAUAGGGGGAGAGAGUUUGACAAUGUUGAAGUUAACCUCUUUUUUUAUUCUAAAGGAAUUAAACAUGAAUAUUCAACACCUAGAACUCCUCAGCCAAAUAAAGUAGUUGAAAGAAGGAAUAAAGUGCUACAAGAAAUGACAAGAGUGAAGAUUCACAUACAGAAUACCCCUAAAAAAAAUAUGGGUAUUGCUUUAAUACCCCUUAAAUAACUGAAAGUCUAAUAGGGAACACCCAGAAGGGGAAAGGGAAUGAGGGAGAGGGGGGGUAUGAAUGGGUGAUUUAAAAAAUUCAACCAAUAUUUGUGAAUUAUAAUCAAUUUUUCUUAUCCUAAGAUGUCAUAAGGAUAACCUAGAUAUUCAAAAAGGAUUCCAUCCUAAUAAAAAAAAAACUGAUUUUUAUGAUUAAUUGAUAUCCAAAGAUUAACAAUAUAUGUUGAAGAAUGUUAUGGAUAAUAAUAACCACAAGAAUAACCAACCUAACAAACUCAACAACCAAUUAACCAAUCAAUCCAAUAUAUUCAAUAUCUUCAACUAGAAUGUUUGUAGGAAAAAAUAUAAACUUUUUAGAAUAACCUUGGAAGAUAUUAGGUUAAAACAAAUUAACCUAUUCUAGGCAAUUAAAAUGUGAUAUCAAAUAUAAAGAGAUAGACAAUGAGACACAAGAUUUUUAUGUGGAAAAUCCUCACAAACUAUGGAGAUAAAAAACCACGAGGUCUAAGACCUAUUAAUCGAAAUCCACUAUUUGAAAUCAAGUCAGACAAAUUUACCUAACCAUUUUACCCUAAAGACUUACUCUCCAAUACUUACAACUUGAUCCACAUCUACAAUGUAGCAAAUACUUGUUGCUCCCUAGUAGAUCCUUUGGUCCCUUUGAAGGGAUUACAAUCUUCAACCAACAAUUCAAAAAAUCGAAUCCUUGAAUGAUAGAAUGAGAAUGUUGUGGCAAUGAGACUUUUCUUACCAAAGAGUACCUUUAAAGAAUGAGAGGUCUCUAACAAUUCGAUCUCUACGAUCUCUAAUCUCUUAGCUUGAAUCUCUAACCCUCAAAGGGUUACAAAGGAGGUAUUUAUAUGUAAAAACCAUAAGGAUUUCGGUAUCUCAAGUUUCGAAAUUAGAAUUAGAUUGAAAUUCAUUCAAAAUACUUUUCUAAACUUGGUAAGACUAUCAUGACCACUAGAGCAUGCUUGUGUCGCUUGAGCGGGAUUAAUCACUUGAGCGGUCUUACUUUUUUAAAAAUAUUUUAAGCUAAAAAAUGAUAUUGAUCCUUUUAUACCUCAACUGAGCCUUUAUAUGCCACAAGUUAAAACCUUUUUAGAUGUACCUAUGACUUCCCAAUUGGACGAAUAACAACCCUUAAUCUUCAAUGGAGGGCAUCUUACUAUCUAAAAAGACUUCUAUGGCCAAACACAAAUUGACAUAAAAUUGCCAACAUAUAAGCAAGACUCAAUGCCCUAACAAUCUCUCCAUUUUGAAAUUUUGUGAUGAAACAUUGUUACAUAAACCCACCCAUACUCUCAUAAUGGAGUUUACAUAACACACAUUGACACUCAAAAAUAAACUAAAGGAAUAUUUUGCAAUGCUUUGUAGUACUUAUCUUCUAACCUUGUAACCUACACAAAAAACUAUACCAAAGACAAAACAGUGUGUGUUAUAAGAUAUGAUCAAGAAAGAAAAAUAGGAUAGUUGGAGAUUUUGCUUGAUGAAUUGUGUAAGCACGAAAAAGGAACAAAUUCCUAUAGUGACACCAAGGUACAAAGCAAAGAUCAAAAGGAAUUUGAAUGUAUGCAAAUCAACCAAACACAAUAGAAGCUAGAUAAGACCUAGUAAUUUAAUAGAAAAGUGCAAGGGACGUUCACCAACCAUAACAUAAGCAAUAAAGGCCCUAGGAAAAAGCUUCUAUGACUGAGAUUUGUUCUAAAGAGAUAGUCAAUCUAACAAUCGUAAUUUGCAAGAAACAUUCGUGUUAGGAAUCUUUCUUAAACUCUAAAGUCAUGUUUCCUAAGGUUGAUUUGGUUUACUUCAAUGCCUCAUUUUUAGUUUCCUCAAAUAUUUCAAAUAAUUCCCCUUAAUUCAGAAUUCAAAAACUACCUUUAAAUUCAGGAGUUUCUAUUUUCACCUUUUUUUUUAGCUCCUCUUUUUUAGGUGAAUCAAAUAUUCAAUGCUUUCUUUUUAUCUUAAUUUAAGUGAGUUAAAUAUGCAUUAUCCCCUUAUUUUUGUCACAAAAAAUGACAAAGCAAUAGAAAUAUAAAUACAAGAAGGCACAUAAAAGAGAAAGACAAAUAUGAGUGACAUAUAUAUAUUAAAAAUAUUAUUUUUGAUACAUAAGAUAAUCAAAGAAUAAACAUCCAGAUCAAUAAAGAUAUAAAUAAAAAAACUCAAUAACUAAACAUCAGAAAAAGGUAGAGAAGGAAAGAAGCUUGAACUCUCUAAGUAUGGAUCCAAGAAAUAAUGUAGGUUAACUGACCCUGGAUCUCAUGGAGUUGAACGUCCUAUGAGUCUAAACUUUGAAGCACUAUAGAUGAGGGAUCCAUUUUCUAAGAAGUUAGGGGUGCGGAAGACGAUGUGCCAUGAGAGGCUUUAGAUGAUCUAGCACAUCCUUAACUGGAGUGAGUCCUCAAUGCAAUAAUAAGAAUGGGUGCAUCCAGCUUCAAAGUUUGAAUCUCAUCCUUCUCAGCAAGUGCCUCUUAAGCAGCUUAUUGAUUUGGUGCAACAGCCUAGGAGCCAUUUGGAACUAGAGGACCCAAGGGACCAUACACGUGACCGUAGUGUUUGCCCCAAGAGCUCUCAUCCAACAAGGCAUGAGCAACCUAUACCCUCUAUGUAGUAGCAAUCUCAAAACUAAUAUGCUAUAAUAAUCUAGAGUUGAGGAGUAUGAAAAUAAGUGCACCACGACGGAAGAAGAAGUCUCGAUAAGGGGUGAUGGUAUCGAUGGUCACUUGACCAAUGUCGAAUUGCUGUCCAAAUAGAAUGGCAUGGAUGAGACAAGCAGUCGAUUGACAAAUUUAGGUGCAAUGGGAAGAAUGGUAGAAAGAAUAUGUCAAGAAAGUAGCAAAAAUCCAAACUAGCUCGGAGAAGCCAGCCAGAGGAAUAUAAGAAGAAGGCUCUCAAGGAGCACCAUAUAACGAAACGAGAAUAAAAAAACAAGCUCUCUAAGAGUGGGAGAUUGAAUCUCUAGAAGAAAAUAAAGAAGACAUGCAUCAAGUAUAGGCAUGUUGAGUACAUGCCUGAUUGACAAUGAGGUGAUCUGGAAUGGAUGACAAAACAUGGUCACUCAAAAGAAGCAACUAUGAGAAGUGGUAUGCAUGUUUGUAUAGAACAUGCGAACUAGAAGAGGAUAAUANNNNNNNNNNNNNNNNNNNNNNNNNNNNNNNNNNNNNNNNNNNNNNNNNNNNNNNNNNNNNNNNNNNNNNNNNNNNNNNNNNNNNNNNNNNNNNNNNNNNUAACUAGUAGGAAUACAAAAAAACACAAAAAAUAAGAAAUAUAUUGAAAAAUCUAAGCAGCUAUAAAUGUCCUAAACAAUGCGAAGAACAAUAUUAUGAAGUUGAAAAUGCGAAAAACAAAGAAAAUUGAUCUCAAAAUACAAAGAAACAAAGUCUUAAAGCGCUUGAGAGAAUAGAAAAAUGAUUGAAAUUACAAAAGGCACACUAGAUGGGUUUUUAUACUCAGGCGUACCACUAGAUGUAGAUUAGUGCUCAAGCAGGAUGCUCGAUCGAUACACUAAUAGAUGUAACUACGAGUGCUUGAGCAAUAAAGACGUUGGAAGUGGCUUGAGUGCUUGAGGACACUAAAUGUAGCACUCAAGCCACUAGAGCCAAAUAAAAAAAAUAAAAUAAAAAAUCUAGCAAGGGAUAGAAUACUCAACUAACUAACAUAUAAACAAGGAUUGACACCAAUUGAAACAAAUUUUGACAAUAAAGAGUAGAUAAUUAAGUUCAUAAACUUUCAACAUUAGCUCAAUCAGUAAUAGAUGAAGUAUGUUACUUUAGAUAGUAUAUGUCAAUCCAUUAAGAAUGAAAUUUCAAGAUCAACCAUUAGAUUUAAUCCUAAUCACAUAUUCAAAAACCCAAUACAUAACCAUCAAUGUAUAAGAGAGUCAACAUAGAAACAUAAGUAUUGAUUUUCAAGGAAAUACAACUUCCUAUUUAGUUCAAUAUUUUGAAAUUAAUUACUUCGAAUGGAUCCAACCACCACUUUGGUCAAAUUAAAGAACACAUUCAGUCAAUUUGAACUAAGAUUUUCAGAUUUCUAUUUAACAUGACCUCGUUGAUCUACAUACAAUGCAACUUGACUCCCCUUUAAUAUGAUAUCAUAUUUCUAUUCUUUACUUUUUAUUUUUCUAUUUAAAAGUGGAGGCAUUAUACAUCAUGAUCAAUUGAUUUUUUAUUUUUUUUCAUUCAUAGUUGUCUUUGUGUCCACUUUGGGGGUGUUUCCAAAUGUUGCAAGUGAGUAGUAUACGUUUAAGAGCAUGAAUCUUGCUAAGAGUUAUAUUUAACCAAAGAUUCAAUAUUUUAUACUCAUGUACCUUGGGAAACAAAAAAAAUGAUUUUAGUCAAACAAGGUAUGUGGAUAAUAAGAUUUGAGCAUGACAACAGAUCCUUUCAAAGUAAUCAAAGUCUACUUUAUGAGUUCAACUUAAGAAGUCUCCCCCUUGAUCAAGUAUAAGAUGUAACCAAUAUUGAAUUUUUCAUAUACAAUGACAUUUAAUUAUCAGGAAUCAAAUGCAUCAAUAGUUAUUAACAAUUAUCUAUGAUUCUAUCCAGAUCAAAUCUUGUAGAUAUAUAUAUAUUUCUUUAAAUCACAAACUUGAAACAUUACGAAUCAUGGUAAUAUUUCAAGUAACUAAAAAAAAUAAUAUGCCUAAAAAAAAAGGCCAAAGAAAACAAAAAGAUAUAAACACUAAGCUCAACACUUUUGAAGCCUAAACCUAUGAUGAUCAAUCAAUUAGCCAUAUGCCCAAGGAUUUCCUUAGGUACUCAAACCUAAGAGAAUCCAAGUGUUUGGUAAGAAUGUCUGCUAAUUAAAGUUCAAAAAGGAUAAACUCUAAAUAAGCAACCUUUUCUUCAACAAGAUCCUUAAUGAAAUGAUGAAGAAUUUCAAUAUGAUUACUACAGGAAUGAAGAACAAGAUCCUUUGAGAUAUUUAUAGCACUAGAGUUGUCAUAAUGCAUGUUCAUGGUUCUUUGUUUAAUUCCAUAGUCUUUAAGCAUUUGCUUAUCCACAGGAGUUGCAUACAACAACUUCUAACAACAAUAUACUUAGCUUCGACAAUAGAUAAAGAUAUAAAAUUUUGUUUCUUACUAAGGCAAGCCACAAGACAAUCUCCAAUAAAAGAUGUGUUUUUUCUAUCAUCAACGUUUCCAGCCCACUCAACAUCAAAAUAUCUAGCAAUUACAAGAGAAGAGUCAUAGGGAUACCACAAACCAUAAUUGAGAGUUCCAUUUAUAUAACGAAUAAUUCUUUUAAUAGACAUUAGGUGUGACUGUUUAGGGUUUGCUUGAUAUCUAGCACAAGCUCCAACACUAAAAGAUAUGUCAAGACGACUCGUAGUGAGGUAAAGUAAGCUUCCUAUUAUACUUCUAUAAAGAUUUUGCUCAACAUCUUUUCCAGAUGCAUCCUUGUUAAGCUUAGUGGUAGUGCUUAUUAAUGUCUUAUAGUGUUUAGAAGAUUCUAGAUCGAAUUUAUUAACAACUUUCCUAGCAUACUUAGAUAGAGAAAGAAAGAUUCCAUCUUUGAAUUGCCUAAUCUGCAAUCCUAGGAAGAAAAUUAAUUCACCUACUAUGUUCAACUUGAAUUCAAUCUUCAUCUCUUCUGCAAAACUAAGGGCAAGUUCACUAUAGGUAACUCAAAAAACUAUAUCAUCAACAUAAAAUAUAAGCUACUAACAACUCAUCAUUGGACCUAUCUAUAAACAAGGUUCUAUCAACUCCCCUUCUUUCAUACUUUUUCUCUAAAAGAUAGGUUAUGAGUCUCUCAUACCAUGCUCUAGGAGGUUUCUUUAACCAAUAAACAUAAUUGAGGAAUUUAGGAUCCUCAAAACCCUUAGGUUGCUCAACAUAGGCUUCUUCACUCAAAAUUUCAUUGAGAAAAGCACUCUUGACAUCCAUUUGGUAUAGCUUUAUCCUCAAGGAGCAUGCUAUUGCCCAAAGUAUCUUAAUUGAGUCUAAUCUAGCUAAGGGUGCAAAUGUCUCUUCAUAUGCAAUCCCUUCUAUUUGUGAAUAUCCUUUGGCAACUAGUCUUACUUUGUUUCUCACAAUGACCCCAUUUUCAUCUUGUUUGUUCCUGGGUUGAAAUUUGAUUAUCAAUUAUAUUCUGAUCAUACCCAGUAUCAUUUAUAACUACAUUAGAAGAUUCCUGGAUGACUUGUGAAUUUUGAUUAUAAACCCUAUAAACUUUACUCAUAGUCGAAUAACCUAGGAAGUACCUAAAUUAGAUUUAACAUCAAACUUUCCAAGGUUCUUCCCAUUCUUAAGAAUGUAGCAUUCACUUCCAAAAGUCCUAAAUUAUGAAGGUUAGGCUUUCUCCCAAUCUAUAAUUCAUAAGAUGCCUUUUUUGUUCCUGGUCUAAGAAAAAUCCUAUUAGUAUAACAAGCAAUAUUAAUUGUUUCUACCCAAAAUUGCAUAGAGGUAUUAUUCAUGUGAAUCAUCACCUUACUCAUCUCUUGUAGUACUUUGUUCUUUCUUUCAACUACUCCAUUCUAUUAAGGAGUUCUAAGGGUUGAAAACUCAUGUUUAAUUCCUUUUGACUCACAAAAAAGGUCAACGCCCACAUUGUCAAGCUCUUUCCCUCUAUCACUCUUAAUCGUUACAAUUGAAUGACCAAUUUACACUUGUACUCUAUUAAAUAAAGACUUUAAAUGUUUUAUGGCCUUAGAUGUCUCCCUAAGAAAACUCACAAAGGAGUAUCUUGACAAAAUUAUCUACUACCAUAAGGACAUAUCUCUUGUUGCCUUUACUUUUAGUUUGCAUUGGACUCAUAAGAUCCAUGUGAAGAAGAUCUAAAGGUUUAGUAGUCCUUAUCUCCUUAACCUUUUUAUGUGAGCUCUUAAUUUUUUUUCCUUUCAUGCACUCAUCACAAAUGGGUUUAGGUUCACCACUAAGUCUAGGGAUAUCUCUAACUCUUUCAGUAUUCACUAAGUGCACAAGAUCCCUAUAGUUUAUGUGACCUAGUCUUUUAUGCCAAAGCUUAGUAGAAUCAGGCUUAGCCCUACUGUACAUAAGAGGUGUUCUAAAGAUAGAAUUUGUGGCAUAACAAUUAUCAAGUGUUCUAUGUCCUAUGAUGACUACCUUUCCCUUUUUAUUAAUUACCUUGUAUAAGUCUUGGUGAAAAUUCAGUUUAUGGUCUUUUUCGCACAUUUGACUAAUACUUAUGAGAUUUUCUUUAAGCCCUUCAACAUAAAGAACUUCAUCUAAUUUGGGCCAACCAAGGGUAACUAUACCACCCCUGUCUUUCACUUUAGCUAGGUUUCCAUUUCCAAAAGCAACAGAUCCCACCAUCAAAGUUUUCUAGAGAAAUGAAAGAGGAUUAUCUCCUAUCAUGUAUCUAGGGCACCCACCAUCAAGGUACCAUUUAAUAGAAGAUUUAGCUUUAAGAGAAUUUAACACAACUUGACAUUUGAACUUAUCCUUUCUCAACCAAACUUGCUUAGUUCUAGGUGGUAACUUGGAGGAACUAGAUUGAUUUCUAGGUUUUUGAUUGGUUUUAUUUCUUUUCCCAUUAUUCAAAAUGUUAUUUUUAAGGGAAUUAAAAUCAUUCAUAAGUCUAUUCAUUUGAGUUUCAAACAUUUUGAGAAACCUAGAGUAGCAUCUAGAUUGAGAGUGUCCAGUUUUCUUAAAUUGUGUGCAUAGUGAUGUAUUUUUAAGAGAUUCUACUUGGUUAAGGGUAUCAUCCUUACCUUUAACAAACACAGUUUUUCCACUAGAUGCCUUUAUCAAGUAUUUCAUUAAGCACUUUAGUUCCAGGGUGAAAAUUUUCAUUCAUAGAUGAAGAAGACUUAUUAUUCUUGAUCUGUUGAGUGGGGACAUUAUUCUUCUCAAGGAGAGAAUGAUGCUCAGAUUUAAGAAAUCUAAUUUUCUCAAGUAAAUUAGAAUUUUCAGCAUUAAGCACAUCAAUCUUAUUUUUAUUUGCAUCAAGAAUUUCAUGAUUUGUCAUAUAACUCUUAAUUAAUCUUUCAUGCUCAAUAAAAAGAUUGUCAAAAAAUUUAGCCCUUUGUUUAUUAGUAAACUCAUCAUCAUUAAUAUCACUAUCACUAUCACAAUAAGAAUUAUUCUCAUGCUCUAUAGAUGCAACAAAAGCUAACAUGUCAUUGGGAUCGUACCUUGCAUCUUCAAAAGUUGUAGAAGCAUUGUCUUCAAAAUAUGAAUCACUCCAUAUUACUUGCAUAAACAUUUUAAUAUUUUUGGAGCUAAGACACUCUUAAGAGUAGUGUCCCACGCCUCCAUAGUUAAAGAAUUCAACUUUCUUGUCUUUGAAAGAACCUUUUCCUUUCUCAUUGGAUGUUUGUUCAUUUGGUCCUUUUCUUUUUCCCAAUUCUUGGUUCUUGUAGAACAUUUUGUUGAAUCUCAUAGCCCUUUUAAUUCUUUUGGGCAUAUGUGCCAAUUCAUCAUGAGUUAUAUCUUUUGGCAUUUCAAUAUCUUUUUCCUCAUUCUCAAAAACCUUAAAGGCAGAGUCUUUAGGAUUAUGGGAAUUUGGUAGGUUCAUUUCAUAUGUUUGAAUGGAGCCUACAAGUUCAUCAACUCUUAUGGAAUCACUGUCCUUGCUUUCCUCUAUGACAAUUACUUUGGGUCUAAAUCUCCCUGGAAGAGAUCUCAAUAUUUUUCUAACUACCUUAGAAUUAGGAAUAGGUUCUCCAAUAUUAAAUAAAGAAUUUAGAAUAUUACUCAAUUCAAAAUAAAAGAAAGAUAAAGUUUUAAAAUGGGUAUUUAUGGAGUUCACCGGCUGUACAUAUGAGGUGGUGAUUAAAUAAUUCAAUGAAAAUAUGGUUUUGUGUAUGAUGUUUGGUGGAAGAAUGUUUUAGUGGGAUUGAAGUUUUUAGUGGCCAUGUUGUAAUUUUAUUUUUUUUUUGGAAAGUUCAAUGGGGAUUUAAGGGGUGGGAAUUGGAAAGAGAUCUACAUGCUACAACAAAAGAGAUAUCCACGUUGCUAUAUAAGGAUCUCGACACCGUAUGCGCAAGGAGAAGGCGGUAUGUUCAGCAGCACCUAAAAAAAUCAGAUUUGGUUGCCUCUUUAGCGCACUAAGAGUUGAUUUUUUGAGAAAUGCAUUCGGGAGGGUAUCAACGACACGGGAUAAGUUCCAAUUUUUAAAUACGAUUUAGUUUAGUUUUAAUCUUUUUUUUUUAUUUUAAAUUUGGAUGUGUUUAUGAUUUUAAUUCAUUUGUUUGAUUAAUUCUGUUAAAUAAAGUUCAUUUUUUGUAAUUCCAAUUUAGUUUAGUUUUAAUUUAUUUUUAAAUUUAGAUACAUUUGAAAUUUUGAUUCUUAAGAUUAAUUAAUCCUAUUAGAUAUCAUGUUUUUAAUUCCGAUUUUGUUUGGUUACAAUUUAUUCUCUUAAUUUAAGUGCGUUUGUGAUGUUAAUUCAUUAAUUUAAAUAAUCUUGUUAUAUAAAGUUUGUAUUUUUAAGUCUCAAUUAAUUUAGUUUUAUUCUAUCUUUAGUUUAAAUGUGUUCGUGAUUUUAAUUUAUUAGUUUAAAUAAUCUUGUUGUAUAAAGUUUAUAUUUUUAAUUCUCAAUUAGAUUAGUUUUAACCUAUCUUUUAGUUUAAAUAUGUUUGUGGUUUGAAUUCAUUAAUUUGAAUAAUCUUGUUAGAUAAAGUUUUUUUUUUUUUAAUUUUGAAUUAGUUUAGUUUUAAACUAUCUUUUAGUUUAAGAAUGUUUGUGGUUUUAAUUCAUUAGUUUAAAUAAUCCCAUUGGAUAAAGUUUAUGUUUUUAAUUUCGAUUUAGUUUAGUUAUAAUUUAUUUUUUUUUAGUUUAGAUAUGUUUGUGAUUGCAAUUCAAUAGUUUAAUUAAUUCUAUUAAAUAAAUUUCAUGUUUUUAAUUACAAUUUAGUUUAGUUUUAAUUUGUUCUCUGGAUAGGUCUUAGACCUCGUGGCUUUUCAUAUCUCCAUAGUUUGUGGGGGCUUUCCACAUAAAAAUCUUGUGCCUCAUUGUCUACCUCAUUAUAUUGGUUAAUUUGUUUUAACCUAAUAUCUUGUAAGGCUAUUCUAAAAGGUUUAUAAUUUAGAUUUAUUGCUACAUAUAUUCUAGUUAAAGAUGUUGAAUAAAUUGGAUUGAUUGAUUAAUUGGUUAUUGAGUUUGUUGAAUUGGUUAUCUUGUGAUGGUUAUAUCUCUAACUUGUGGAUUAUUAUUAAGUUUGUUAGGUUGGUUAUUCUUGUAGUUAUUAUUGUCUCUAGCAUUUUUCAAUAUAUAUUGUUAAGAUGAAAUCCUUUUCGAAUAUCCAGGUUAUCCUUAUAAUAUAUUGAGAUAAGAAAAAGUAAUUAUAAUUCAUAAAUAUUGAUUUAAUUUUUUAAAUCAUCUAUCCACCCCACCAUCCCCUCUAGGGGUUCUUAUUGGACUUUUGGUUAUUUAAGGGGUAUAUAGAGCAAUACUCAUAUUUUUUCAAUUGGUAUGGAAGAGGGAUAAAAAAAACUGAUUCUUUAUCCUAUUGAUUAAAAAAUCAAUUUUUAUUAUUUAUCUUUAUAGUAUAAAAGCCUUUGUUGUAACUUUUUUACCCCUAUUUUCUUUGAAUAUUUACCGAACUACCCACACCAACUUUUUGAUGGGAUGGAUGGACGAUGAUGCCCUACACACACCUUGCUAUGUUGGUGCAUGAUAAGGGCACUUCCGGAAAUCUAGGAUUUCGUGGUGCCCACAUGGAUUUGGAGACUUGUCUUGCAAAGUUUUGAGAAUCACCGGGUCUCUGCAGCCUACUACUACUUCUGCUGCUACGUCAUCUUCAUUGAAGGAUCUGAAUAAGAAGAUCCGUCAGCCCUAUACCAUCACCAAGUCCAGAGAGGGUUGGAUUGAGCAAGAGCACGAUAAGUUUCUCGAAGCUUUACAAUGGUGUGUCACUCUCAAUUACUUGAUUUUGGAGUUUUGUUUUGUAGAUGAGAACAUUCAGCGGGAAUUGGAGAAUUGUGUGUGUGUUUUAUUUCUUCAUUUCGAGGAAAGAUUGGGAAAAAUGUUCAAUAGAGUCAAGUCAAUUGAUCAAUUGAGUGAGGUGGGUUUAUUGUUUUUUAGGACUUGUUUCUCUUUUCUUUCGUUUCUUUCUAUUUUCUCGCACUUUCUCCACAACCAAAUGAGGAAUUGAGGUUGGUAAUUCCGUUAAAUAUCAAAAAUUGAACAUUAUCUUAAUUGGUUAAUAUUUUUAUUUCCGUUUUUCCUAAUAAGGCUUCAAUUUUUGUCAUUUCACUUUGGUUUCCCUUUCUUUGCUUUUCUUUUUUUUUUUUUUCCUUUUUAAUAGAUGAUUUUAGUUUAUUUUAUGAUAAAUUACGAUUUUCAGUUGCAUUAGAUUGUAGAUUUAUUUAAUUUAACAUCUAAUUUUAGUAAUUUCCAUGGAUCCCCAAGUCUAAUCAUAAUUCCUCAAGAAAUAAUUGAUUAUUGGGGGAUUCUAGGUGAGACUGAACUAAAAUUUGAGGAUUUUUUUAGUUAGAGUUUUGUUUAUUUAGCUUUGUUAUGAAAUGGCUUUCUGUUUCAUUUCAUACGGUAGGAAAAUCAUGCAUUCUGAUUUUUUUUUUCUUUUGUGAUUUUUUUACAUAGGUUGAUUGAGAUUGGAAGAGGAUUGAAGCAUUUGUUGGGUCCAAAACAAUUAUCUUAGGAUAAAUUUGUAUCUUUUUAAAAUAUUGUAAAUUUGUUUAACUUGCCAAAAGAGCUACGUUUGGACUUUUUUUUCAAGCUAAAUUUGAAAGAGGAGUGAAAAGAAAGAGAAAUGAUGGAAAUUAGCUACAAGACAUUCCUUUUUUAAGUUAUUCAUCAUUUUCCUCUUCUUUCCGAAUCCAAAUCCUUGCCUUAGUAAGGUUGAACUGAAUUUGAUUUAGAAUUUCAUUUAUGUGAAAUGGUUUUGCUUUUGGUUUUAGAUUUUUUUUUUUUAAACACAAAUUUCUAUUUAUCAAAUUAAAUAAUAAAAAAUAUUAACAAAUUUAUAUUUAAAAGAGAAAAAAAUAUAAAUAUACCUUUUAAAGAUAUUCUUUAAAAUAGAGAAUAUAUGUGAUUUUCUAUGUAAUCCUUUUUUUUUCAUUUUUUUAAUAAUUUUUUAUUUAUAUAGAAUUAUAGAUAAAAAUAUAUUGAUUUCAAAUGCAAAUAAUUAUUUAAAUUUAAAUUUUAAGUUUUCAUUUGUAAAUUUAAAACUUAGAUAUUUUCUAAUUAUGCAUGUCAUUAAAUUGGGAUCUAUCUUUGGCUUGGUGUUUAUAAAUGCCUCUACUUUUAUAUAUAACUUUAAUAUAUAUAUUAGAAAAUUAUGAUUGAAGAGUAAUUUCUUUUUCUUUUAAUUUGAUCAAAAUUAGAAAUCUCAUCUAAAUAGGAUCAUUAUUUUAGUUUUUAAAAAAGUUUGAAAAUAUUGUUUCUAAUAAAUUUUGGUUAAAUAGAAUUAAUAAUUUUUUUAUUUCUUGAAUUUAAAAAAAAAUAUUUUCAAAUAAAUAAUAAUAUAUGUUUGUUUAUUACUAAUCUUAACAUUUUAGGAAAUUUAAAGCCAUAUACACUAUCUCAAAAAAUAAUAAUGUAUAUUUAUUUAUUAUAAUAAAAAAUAAUUAAUCACUUUUGAUUUGAUAUCUAGAUUUUUUUUAUUAUAUAAUAAAUAUAUGCAUAGAAUUAUCAUGAUUCUAUAAUAUAUUUUUAAAUACAAAUAUCUAAAAAAUACUUAAAAGUUUGACAAUUUUAUUUUAAUUAAAUUAAUUUUUAUAAUUUUUAUUAAAUAAUUUAAAAUUUAUAUAUAAUAUCAACUUUAUUACCUAUCUUGUCCACGUGCCUUGCAUGUGGAUCAAACCUAGUAUUCUUUAAAAAAACAAAUUUUUAUUAAUCAUAUAAGAUAAAAAUCAAAUUUUUAUCGAAACAAUCAAAAAGUGGUGCUCCUUUGAAUGGUCUACCCUAUUUUGAUGGAAAUAAUUACUUCCAUUGGAAAGAACAAAUGAUGGUUUUCGUCAAAAUGCAAGACAAAAUAAUUACUUAGUUGAACAUGGUUAGGGACCACCAUUAAUCCUUGAUGCUAAAGGAAGAUCGGAGAACUUAAACCUAAACAUGAAUGGGACAAAGCUAAUAAUGAAGGUAGUGAAGCUAAAGCUAGGGCUUCAUUUAGUAUUUUUAAUGGAGUUUAUCCAAAUGAGUUUCAUAGAAUAGCAAAUUGUAAACAUGGGAUAUUCUUCAAGUCACUCAUUGAAAAUCCCAUCUCUAAAUUCCAUUACUUGGCCACUUUUUACACAGCAAGAAAGAUAAAAGAUGACGCUUCUUUAAUGCGUCAUCUUUUGGCUUGUCAUUGUAUGUGUUAGCUAACAAUGACGCUUUUAGUAAGCGUCAUCUUUCAUAAAUGCUUUCAAUGACAUUUAAUAAAGCAUCAUCUUUGAAUAAUAUUAAUGACACUUAUAAAAAAUGUCAUCUUUGAACAUUUACUAGUGAAAUAAUUUUUACAAAGAGCUUCAUCUAUAAUAUAUUUUAUAAAUGACACUUUUAAAAACGCCAUCUUUGAUUAAUGUUUAUUACAACAAUGGGUUUCCUAUAUAAUUAAAUAAAAGAAAAAAACAAGCCCCAAAAUUAAAUUAAAUUUUAUAAUUAAAAUACCAUCAAAUAUUGAUAUACAAUAAUUUCUAAUUUUCAACAAAAGAACAAAUAUUAGGGCAACAACUAUUAAGAUCUAAAUUCUACAAAAACAUAGUUCAAUCUCCUAAUCACUUUAUUGAUAUAAUCUUCAUGAUUUCCGGUAUCACUUCCUUUACACAUAAUGGCUUAUCUUCUUUUGUCAAAUCAAUUUCCUUUGCAACUUGUAAACAAAUAUUGGAAAAAUAGAAAACCUCUAAAUUAUAUAUGCAACCAAUAAAUACAAUUGAAACAAUGACUUCCACAAAAACACACAAGUUAGGAAAAAAUAGUUAGAGGUUAUCACUUGAGGAUAAGAUGUCCUUCCCUAAUUGAGUGAAGAAACUCUAUAACAAAAUAAUGCUUCAUAAUUGAAAACGAACUCUUCAAGAGUAAUAUAUUUCUAAUUAUGAUAUAACAUUAAAAAGUUAAAAUAACAGGCCAUAAUGAAACUUUAUACAAAUUACAAUAACAAAAUAUAACACUAAUUUAUCCCUUAAAAAGGUUUUCUAAAAUUAGAGGGAGUUUGCCAUAAUGAAACUUUUAAAAUAUGGGGUGUAUAGGAAAGUAAAUAAUCUGAAGCUCACAAUGGAAAUGUCAACACCCAUAUAUUGAUCUGUUUAGCAAACCUUUAUACAGACGUUUACAAACCUAUCUAAGGAAUUUGUACAGCUAAGGAAAUAUCAUGUACAACGGUUACAGAUUUGCUUUACUAAAAAUAAAACAAUUACAUCAAUUUCAGGCCAUGAUACUCGGCUUGAUGAUUGCUGCAAAUCACUUCCAGAUUUGUUGUUGGGGCUUGAUGAUUGCUGCAAAUCACUUCUAGAUUUAAAUCUUAUUCUUGUCUUGUGUCACUUUCCUUAAUACGCCCUCGCAAAAUUGAGCUUCCAUCGGCAAGACCAAUUUUGGCUCUUAGACAUUUUGUGCAUUCCUGGGACAGUGGCUUAGUUAGUAGAUCAGCCAAUUGAUCUUGAGUAUGAACAUAACUCACUUUAAGUGCACCUUUCUGAACUUGAUCACGCACAAAAUGAAGAUCAAUUUGAAUAUGUUUCAUUCUUGAAUGUUGGACCGGAUUGAAGCUGAGAUGAGUUGCUCCAAGAUUAUCACAUAGAAGAGAAGGUGGCAGCUUUAAUGAAAAACCCAAUUCUUGAAGAAGGGCAAGUAACCACAUUGUUUCUGAUGCACCAUUGGCCAGCGCUCGAUAUUUUGCUUCUGUGGUGGAACGAGCAACAACUCGUUGUUUUUUUGAACUCCAUGAGAUGGGAUUGCAACCCAGAAAUGUAAUGUAAGCUGAUGUGGAUGUUCGAUCAUCAAUGUUUUCAGCCCAAUCUGCAUCAGUGUAGGUUAUUAAGCAUGGUGCUGCAGCUGACUUGAGGUGAAGACCGUGAAAGAUUGUCUUCUUGAGAUAUCGAAGAAGUCUCUUAGUGGUAGUCCAAUGAGUGAUUGUUGGCUUGUGCAUAAAUUGAGAGAGCUUAUUAACAGCACAAGAAAUGUCGGGCCGAGUAAGAGAAAGGUAUUGUAAGCUGCCAAUAACACGCCUAUACUCUGUGCUGUUUACAGCAUUCGUGACAUCUACCAAGUGAAGGGAUUGAGUUGUUGACAGCGGGGUAAAGACAUCCUUUGCACCAGCCAUGUGUGUAUUCUCCAAGAUGUCACGAACAUACUUAUGUUGGGAGAGAAAUACACCUGCAGUAGUCGGUAUAACUUCCUGUCCAAGGAAGUAAUGAAGGGAACCCAUAUCUUUCAAGGAAAAUUGGUCACCAAGUUUGGUAACAACAUGAGCUACACACUUCUUGUCAUUACCUGUAAUGACUAAAUCAUCAACAUAAACAAGGAAAUAGCAGACCAUGGAAUCAUGGCGAUAAAUAAAAAGAGAGGAAUCAACUUUAGAAUUUUGGAACCCGAGUGCUAGAAGAGCAGUUUUUAAUGCUGAAUACCAGGCCUUUGGGGCUUGUUUGAGAUCAUAAAUUGCUUUCCUGAGCCGACACACAUAAUCAGGUAGAGACAAAUCUUUGAAACCCGGAGGUUGCAUCAUGUACACAGUUUCAGUCAGAUUUCCAUGUAAAAAAGCAUUGUUUACGUCCAUUUGUUUCAAAGGCCACCCAUUCAUGAUUGCAAUGCUCAACAAUGUCCUUAUGGUGGCUGGUUUAACCACAGGACUAAAGGUUUCAUUAUAAUCAACACUAGGUUGCUGAUUAUAGCCCUUGGCAACAAGCCGGGCUUUAAAUUUAUCAACCGAGCCAUCUGCUUUCCUUUUGACUCUAAACACCCACUUACAACCCACUGGAUGACAAUUGAUGGGGGGAGGAAUUAAAUCCCAUGUACCAUGUCGCAUGAGAGCAGUCAAUUCACUAGACAUGGGUUCAUGCCAUUCAGGGUGAGAUACAGCUUAAGUCGCGCAUGUUGGUUCUAGAGGUAAUGGAAGAUAGUGCUUAGACAUAAUGUGUAAUUGCUUAGGUUUAAAGAUGUUGUUCAUAGAUCUAGUAGUCAUGGAAUGGGUUCGGUGGGAAGUGGGUUUAGUGUGUACAAGAGAUUGUGAAUCAAGAAUUAAAUUAGAUGCAAGUGAAUUUGAAAGAGAAGCAUGCGGAACAGUCAUAUGUAUACCAACAUCUAAGUUCAGAUUCAUAUCACAGGUAUUGUCAUGUGAUUCAUAAUGAAAAGAAGGAGAGAUAGAGGGGGAUAUACCUAGAGGUGGUGCAGGAAUGGCAGCUGCAGGUUCCGAGCUCAGUGGUGGCUGUGAGGAGCGAUCGGGACGAGAUGGAGGAGCAAGAAUGGAAGGAGGAGGGGAAGGAAAUUAGGGCACGGGUUCUGCUGAAGGAAAAGGUGAGGAGCAGAGGAAAAUAAGUGGGUUUCGGCAGAUGGCCCGUGCUUGGUUUUUGAAAGGAAUGGGCUCUGCAAUUCAUCAAAAGUCACAUGCCAUGAGAUAUACAACCGAUUCGUUAAUGGAUCCAUACAUUUAUAGGCAUUUUGUGUUUGGGAAUAGCCGAGAAAAAUGCAAGGGAUUGAUUUUGGUUGUAAUUUAUGGGUAUUGUAUGGCCUUGUGAGAGGGUAACAUAAACAACCAAAUUUUCUCAAUUUGAGAUAAUUUGGUCGUUGACCAAAAAGAACCUCAAAUGGAGACUUGUGUUUAAGAAGAGGGGUUGGUUGGCGAUUUAUGAGAUAAGUGGCUAUUUGAAAGGCAUGGGGCCAAUAAGAAAGAGAUAAAAAAGCAUCGUGAAGCAAGGUGAUACCCGUUUCGACAAGAUGACGGUGACGUCUUUUGGAAACACCAUUUUGUUGGGGGGUAUGGAGGGCGGUGGUGUAGUGGCUUAUGCCAUGAUCGGACAAAUAUUUUUUUAAACUCAAAAAUUCGCCACCAUUGUCUAAGUACAAGCUUUUUAUGGAACACUUGAAUCUUGUUUCAACAAGUAAUUUAAACUGUGGAAAGACUGUAGAAACAAGAGAUUUUGUGGACAUUGGAUAAAACCAUAUAUAUUUGGUGUAAUGAUCCACAAAAAUAAGAUAAUAACGUUCACCAUUUAAACCGGUAAUGUGCACAGGACCCCAAACAUCACUGUAAAUAAUUUCAAGGGGAGAAUGACUUUGAAAACUUGUAGAGCCAAAUGGUUGUUGAUGUACUUUAUUGAUUGAACAUGAAGGACAUGACAAUGGUAAUUUAUUUGUUGUCAGAGGAAGAGAAAAAAGAUUAACAAGAUUUUGAACAACUUUAAUCGAUGGGUAUCCAAGACGCUUGUGCCAUCCAUCGAUUGAAGUCCGUUCAUGCACAUAAGCAACCAUUUUGGGAGUAGAAGGAGCCACCAUGGAGUUGGGAAAAAUGUAGACGCCAUUCUCACACGUACCUCUUAGUAGUAUCGCCCCCGUGGAUCGUGCCUUCACAAGGAAAAAAAAAGGUGAAAUUAAAGAAAAACAUCAUUUUGCUUGGUGAAAUGAUGAACUGAAAUGAGAUUUUUGUGAAUAUUGGGAACGCAUAAAGUAUCAUGUAAAUGAAAUAUUUUUUUGGGUGUGGGUAAUGCUAAAGAACCAAUAUGCGUAACCGCUAAACAUGUACCAUCACCAAGAAGGACUUCAUCAGUGCCAUCAUACUCAGAGUGAAUUGAUAAAUUUUUUAUAUUUCUCGUGAUAUUGUGAGAGGCUGCAGAGUCAAUUAACCAUUUAUUUUCUUGACCAUCAGAAGUUCCUGCACAAUUAACAGUCAUUUCAGAAGAAUUUAAUUGAGGGCAGGCCUUGGCCGUGUGGCCCAUUUGAUCAUAGUACUGGCAUUUGGGCUGAUAGCGUCUCUUAUUAGAGUUGAAUUGGCCCUGAUUGUUGGAACGACGUGGGUCACGAGAUGGGCCAUUUGAGCUGGAAAACCAAUAAUGGCCUUGUGAACGGGGAGACCCAUUUCCCUUGUGAGAAGCUUUCUGUUGCUGAGAUGCAGAAAAGCCAGAGCGUCGGCUUGUGAAAUUUCCAGUGGCCACGAGCUGCUGGGUAGCAGCCUCCAUCCUAUGCAGGUAAUUUUCAUGCCUUAUAAGGAGGUCAUGAAGCUCCUCAAAGGCAAGGGAUUUUUCUCUUGCCCGAAUAGGGGCAGCAAUCUCACGAAAUUCGGGUCCUAACCCGUUGAGGACAUAGAGAGUGAUGUCGUCGUCGGAGAUUGGGUGGUCGAUGAGUGCAAUCUCAUCAACCAGGCCUUUAACAACAUGAAGGUACUCCAGAAUUGGGCGGUUUCCACGCUGAAUCAAGGUGAGUUCUUCCUUGAGUUGCAUGGCCCUUGUACGUGAUUUACUUACAUACAUGGUGGAUAAUUUUUUCCAGGCAUCAUAGGAGGUUUUUGCUGUGGCAAUAAGAGAGGUAAUGGUUGGGGAAGUAGAGGCAAGGAUGGCACUAAGAAUUAAUUUAUCUUGCCUAACCCAGUGGUGUUUCUUGGCUAUAGAUGGUGGGGUGCCAUCAGAGGGAGGGCAACGGGAUUCACUAGUAAUGUAGUCCAUUAGAUCAUAGCCAAUUAGGAGAGCCUUAAACUGAGCUCUCCAUUGGGGAAAAGAGGAAGGUGUGAGUUUCUCAUUGAUCUGAGCUGUGAUGUUAAAAACAACAAGGGGGAUUUCGAAGGUAGGCUGUGUUGGGGAAGACAUUAGGAUCAAAUUCUCGUUGGAGAGAUGCUCUGAUACCAUAUAGGAAAGUAAAUAAUCUGAAGCUCACAAUGGAAAUGUCAACACACAUAUAUUGAUCUGUUUAGCAAACCUUUAUACAGACGUAUACAAACCUAUCUAAGGAAUUUGUACAACAAAGGAAAUAUCAUGUACAACGGUUACAGAUUUGCUUUACUAAAAAUAAAACAAUUACAUCAAUUUCAGGCCAUGAUACUCGGCUUGAUGAUUGCUGCAAAUCACUUCCAGAUUUGUUGUUGGGGCUUGAUGAUUGCUGCAAAUCACUUCCAGAUUUAAAUCUUAUUCUUGUCUUGUGUCACUUUCCUUAAUAGGGUGAACCAAUUUAUUAGCUCAUUGAUCUCCUUCAUCGCGAUUGCAUCAUCCAACGGUUCUUGAUUUGGAUAGUAAAUUAAAUUUACCCAUAAUAACAAUUUUCCUUGUCAAAUUAUAUUUUUCUUACACUUUGCAUAUUUAUAAAUAAGUGAUGUUAAUGUUUCCAAUUCAACUUUCUCAAUCAUAUAAAUAUAAAUUUUUUUUCUUGUUAAAUAAAUUGUAAAUAAAAAGGAUAUUAAGAAAUUAUUUCAAAAUUAAAAUGAAAAAUAUUUUUCCUUCAAUUGAUUCUAAUGAACAAAACUUAAAAAUCAUGUAUUCAUUUUGUAGAAGUGAAUUACAAUCACCGAGUGUCAUAGAAGAUUAAUAUGAUGAUGCCAAUAAAUAAAAUCAAGAAUUGGUAUACAAGUUAGUACAAUUAAAAGAUCUUAAAAAGAGUUUUGAUAAUUUAUUUUAUGACAACAAAGUAAAUAAAUGAUAUAAAAUAUACUUUAUCUCUUUUGGGCUGAGCUCGUGGUGCGCAUGAUGGGAGUGUUAGAACUGUGAAUCUAACAACAUGAAUUCUGAAAGGCCUCAGAACAUAGAUAGGGAUUGUAAAAAGUAAUAAAUUUUUUUUGGGACUUUGAAUCAUAAGGUACAAAGCAUGAAUCAUUUAUUUGAUGGUCAGCAUUAUCCUAUUUUCAACUAAGUGAUCUGCCUCUCUAAUCUAUUACUCUAAUUUCUGUGAUUCAUCAUAUUAAUUUUAUGUAGUGUUAUAGCCCAAAUGAAGUUUGAAUAUUCUACUAGUCAAAUAAAGUUAAAGUGUUAUAGCCCAAAUGAAGUUUGAAUAUUCUACUAGCCAAAUAAAGUUAAUCUUGCUAGUGAAAAAUAAUUAGAAUUCAUUGUCUUCUAUUUAAUAAAAAACUUAUUAUACAUUAAUUUAUAUAUAUAUAUAUAUAUAUAUAUAUAUAUAUAUAUAUAUAUAUAUAUAUAUUAUUUCACUGUUAUUAAAAACUAAUAAAAAUAUGACAUUUAAAAAACAAUACAUUGUCUAAAUAAAAUAAAGAAAAAUAAUUACUUAAUUCAUUAUUAAUUUAUUGGAGAAUCGAUUUUAUUACCUAUUGAAACUAAUUAUAAUAUUUAAUAGUAAAUUUUUUUAAAAUACUAUACUUAUAGAGGUAUUAUUAAAUUUUCUACCAUAUAAAAAUAAUUAUAUAUUAUCCAUAAUAAAAACAAAGCUGAGUAUUUUCUUUUUUAAUUUUGUUAUAGAAAAUAGCAAUCCAAAAUUAAGAAUCUAUUAAUAUUAAAAAGUCAAACUUUAUAUAUAAGUUAACCACUAACAAUCCAAUUUAAUAGUUAAGACCCAAAAACGUUUGAAAUUAAGAAAACUAAAUAUUCUAUAAUUGUUUUUUUAGGGAAGAAUCAUUCACAAAAUCACUGCUUUCCAAUUGGAGGACUCCACUUCAAACCACAAACAGAGAUGAAGCUCCCAUUAUCCCAAUUCACCAAAGCCCUAACAUAUCGCUCACCACUCUCUUUCUCUUUGAAAUUGGAACAAAGCCAAACCUGUACAUACCCAAAUAAACAUUAAACUAAAUUAAAAAUUCAAAGCCCCAAACUCAAUUUUGAAACAAUUUUUUUUUGCAUAUUUGUAGCUAAUUCAUCCACUUUCCCUACAACCAAACACUAUAAAUGAAAAACCACUUACUUCAAUCUAAAGAGACCAAUGAAACCUAAGAUUUUGAAACAACAGAAUCUUUACUUCUCCCUUUACUUCACUUUCUCUUAUCUCGUUGUGGACCUGCAUUUUUCACAUGCGUCCCCACUCGAUUGGCGAGACUUGUUUUUAUUUUAUGAAAAAUUUAGCUUUUGGAAAAAAUUCGGAGUCGCCACUUAUUUUAUUUUAUUUUAAAAGGGAAAAUAAAACAAAAAAGAAAACCUUAAAAAAUGACUCCAUAGUUUUUGGAAAAGCAUGUCUUUGAAAAACCUGAGUCUAGGUCUAGGGAUCAGGUUACCUAUUGGGAAGGUACCUCUAAAAGGUAGCACCCCUCUAAGCCUUACAAAGGUCUCUACUGACUAAGUUGGGGGAAAUGUAGCAAUUAAUUGAUUUAAUUGAGGGUACCUAGGUAGGCUAGGGUGAUUUCAAAAAGUAGCAUGCCAAACAAGAUCAAAUCACAAUAAAGAAGAUUUUGGAUGCAUACCCAAACCACUUCUCAAGCGCUAUCAUAAAACAUCAGAGUUAGUAUAGCGAAUCAAGCAUACAUCUAAGCACCUAAGGAUCAUAUCAAGCAUAAAUAAGGCUCACAACAACAUGCAUGUUCAAGGAAUCCCGGAAAGUAGUGAUAGAGAGCAUACCUGAAUAUCAUGCAUAAUUUAUAAGAUUCCUCCAAAAAUGUUAGAAUGGUUAGAACAAGUAUGAAUUAUAUAACAUAUUCAUAAUGUCUAAUACACAGUACCAAAGUCAAAAUUGAGCUAAGGUAAGUCAAAUGACUCCAAAAAUAAAUAACUAAUUCAAGCAAUGUACAAGAUCAUCAACAUGCAAUUAGAAAAGGGAGCAUAAAAAAAACAAUUUCUAAAAAAUGAUUUAGAGUGGAAUUUAAUUAUGAAAAUUUUCAAGAAACAACUCCUAUCCAUCUAGAUCAACAUACCGAAGGCCAAACUCUCAUUCAAAGGACAGAUUGCAGCAAAGACACCUAAAGGUUCUACAAAGUCCAGAUUAGAGAAGAAAAAAUAACAUGUAUAAAUGAAUUUUUGAAAAACAAUAAAUGAUCACAUAAAAUCAUAAAUAAAAAAAAAAAAAAAACCACCCACAUAUUCAAAGUGUCUAUAUCACAUAAAAAAUGAAUCCAAGGUCGGAUAGUACUCAAAAAUAUUUUUAAAACAUUCAAGCUAAUCAGAUGUCCAGAAUUCAGCAUGUGCAAUAGGUACGAUUUUGAAAAAUCAUAUCUCCCUCAAAAAAGAAUAUUUUUUAAUAGUUUAUGUGUCUAAGAUAAAUUUCAAGAACCCUAAAAUUAACGAAAAAUAGAGAAUCAAAUUUUAAAAGUCAUCUAUUAUUUUAUUUUUUCAAAAAGAUCUCGGGUGUCCAGAACUAGGUGAAAACAGAGCCCCCCAUUCCCCCCUCCCCUAAAGAUAAGUUUAUAUCUUCUAUUCCAGAAUGGUUUUCUAACUCAAAAAAAAAAAAAUUUAACUCAAGUUCAAGAAGUGAGGAAAAUCAUACAAGUUUUGAAUUUUUCUUUAAGAGCAUUUUGAAAUUGCUAUAAUGAAUUUUAACACUAAAUGGUUAGUGGUUGAGUGGAAACUGGCAGCAAGGAAGAGUUUUGAAGAGUUUUCUUAUGUAGGGGUUUCACCAAUUCCCCAAUUGAUAUACACAAAUCUAGCCCAAAAUUAUCCCAUUUAUUUGAAUUUAUUUGCAUAGCAAUACAUUGUAGCCCCCUCUUAGAAAUAAAAGAAUGUAUGUCAUGCGGGCAUGCUACCAACCGCUAUCUUUCUCUGAGACAUGCAUGGGACCUACCAAUGAAUGGUGAUAUUUUCUUUUCCCUUGUUAUAAAUGUUAAUAAUGAUCGUCUCUCCUUUUGUAUUAAAAUAACAAGAAUAAUGUAAAGUUGUAAAAUAUUGUGUCUAGGAUUAUUAUAUAAUUUGUCAAUUUCUUGGAUUGUUAAAAGUCUACAAAGAUAAUGUUGUAGAAUAAUCUUUGAGAUAUGCAAUGGUGGAAUUUGCCAUGGAAGUCUUCAUUUGACAACUUUUGACCAUUCCAAUUUUAUUCAACAUGAUAAAAUAUCAUGUUGUGAAAAAGGUCAUGAAAUGAUUUGUUUAAUUUUUACUUUUACAACUCAAAAUAUUUUGCAAAUAAGAAAAUUUUAAUGAAGUCUUUAACAAUUAAGAUAAAAUCAGUUUUUUUUCUACUUAUUUAUUUCAAAUUAAAAUAAGCACUUUUUUCCUAAAUUUAAAAUAAUUGAUAAUAAUUUAUAUUUUUACCUCCUAUUUUAGUAAUAAUAUCACAAGACUACACCAGAUAAAGGAAAAGGAAAAAACAAAUAAAAGAUAAAAAAUAAAAAAUUUUCCAUUUCCAUUGCAUGGGGACAAAUUGAGUCUAACCGCACACUGAAGGAACUCCAAUUCUAUUUUUAGUGAUUUAAUUACUUUUUAAACCCUCAUUUUUUUUUUUUUUUUUUUUUUUACAUUAGACCAAACCCUUUCCUGCUUCCUUAAUUUAAAUAACUAGUAAAAACAAAUCAUAUUUAAUUUUUUGUUUUUUAAAUGUAACUUAAAAAAAAUAUUUGGAAAUUAUUUUUAAGUGAUUUUUUGGAUUUUUAAAAGUGAUUUUCAAAUAUAUAUAUAAAUUUAAUUUGGAUUGACUUUUAAGAGUUAAAUAAAAGUUUUUAUACCUAUUUAUUUAUUUUUUUAAAAAAAACUUGUAACUUUAAAAAAAAAAAAAGUUUCAUGUAGAAUUCAUAAAAAUGUUAUUUCUUAUAAGAAUUUUAUAAUUCCAUUUUUUUUAUAUAAGAAGUUCUUUCAUGUUUAAUAAAACUUUUACAAUAUCAAUAUUUCCCCUUUAAAAUUAUUACUUUAGUUUUUAUUUUAAUUUUCAGUUAAAGCAAAAAUUAUGAAGCUAUCCCGAAUUUGACCUUACCAUCCACCUAAUUAAUUUUUGUAAGAAAGAGUUACUUUUUAAUAUUUAGAAGGGCUUUUAUUUAUUUAUUUUUAAAUCAUUCCCAAAUGAAAUUUAUAAGAAACAAAUAAAAAGUUUGCUCCAAUAUUAGAAAAAAAUUGUUGACUAAGGAUUCCUCUUGUAUUAAAAUAACAAGAAUAAUGUAAAGUUAUAGAAUAUUGUGUCUGGGAUUAUUAUAUAGUUUUUCAAUUUCUUGGAUUGUUAAAUGUCUACAAAUAUAAUGUUGUAGAAUAAUCUUUGCGAUAUGCAAUGGUGGAAUUUGCCAUGGAAGUCUUGAUUUGACAACUUUUUCCCAUUCCAAUUUUAUUCAAUAUGAUAAAAUAUCAUGUUGCAUUAGAAAAGUUUGAAAUUAUCUUUCAUUUGACAUUUUUUACUUAUCCACAUUUUAUUCCAAUUCCAUACAAGGUUAGGUAUCAUAGCAAUAAUUAAAAAAAUUAUAAAUGAUAUAGUUUAGAUUAAUUGGAUUUUUUAAAUAUUUUAAAAUUAGACUAUGAUGUAAAUGGAUACUUGUGAAAAAGGUCAUGAAAUGAUUUGUUUAACUUUUACUUUUACAACUCAAAAUAUUUUGCAAAUAAGAAAAUAUUUUUGAAGUCUUACACAAUUGACAUAAAAUCAGUUUUUUUUUCUAUUUAUUUAUUUCAAAUUAAAAUAAGCACUUUUUUCUAAAUUUAAAAUAAUCGAUAUAUAAUUUAUAUUUUUACCUCCUAUUUUAGUAAUAAUAUCACAAGACUACACUAACAUAAAGGAAAAGGAAAAAAAAUAAAUAACUAAAAUAUCUUUAUAGACUUUUAACAAUCCAAGAAAUUGACAAAUUAUAUAAUAAUCCCAGACACAAUAUUCUACAACCUUACAUUAUUCUUGUUAUUUUAAUACAAGAGGAAUACUUAGUCAACGUUUUUUUUAAACAAAGAGCUGAAUAAUGCAAACAUUCAAUGAAAUCUUUGGCAUGUUAAUUCUUUGUAGCUUCAACAUGGUGGCAUGUCAGAUGGCGAAGGCAGCACUUGAGCUUCUGGGUGUUUACCAUUUUUCACUAUGAACGCAGUGUCCAUGCCCCAAGUCUGAUGGCGUUCUACAUGGCAGUGCAUGAACCACACUCCUGCAACAGAGAAAAUAUACCAACAUUACACCUAACUUAUUGCAAUAUUAAGAAAAAUUAUUUCCUUGUAUGCAGGUUGGCAGUUUCAAGGGUUUUUAAAAAAAAAUAAAAAAUUCACAUGAGUGCUUGCAACAUACCAGGGUUGGAUGCCUCGAAUCUGAUUGCAGCCCAACCUUUCGUAGGAACGGAGAUGGUACUCUGAAGGGGAGGAUCCACCAGAUUGUAGUGCAAUGGGUCCUUAUCUUUAUCGAAAUUCCCAAAUCCCCAUCCAACAACAUAGAAACUGUAUCCAUGGAGAUGCAUGGGGUGGUGUGUCCCUGCAAUCAAGUUUGUCCCUUGAAAAACAAUCUCCACUGUGGAGUUAUACUCAAGCACCCUUACUUCUGUUCCGUUUUUUGGCGUUUGAUACUCUAAGGGAAUAAUAUCAGUGGUAAAAUCGAACACCAGUUCUGGAACACUAGGAAAUUUAUCUCCAUAUACACCACUAAUGUUAUAAUAGUAAGCUUGCAAUAUGUCAAUUGUAGGGAAUUGGAAGCUUAUGUUGUUUAUACUUGCGAAGAACCGCGUCCCAUUAGGCCCUGCACAUGAAUUAUUGGGGCAUAGGUACGAGUUCAUACCAACCGUGUAAAUUAGUUUAGUGCUCGGGCUCAAUGGGACAUUGCAAGGAUGUUCCGCAUCUGCUAAGCUUCGGAGGCCGGCCAUGACCUGAACCGAUGCAUUUGUGUCAUUGUAUGUAGGCAAAUAAGGCAAGGAGAGAGGUGAAGAUGGAGUGUAGUAUCCCCUGUACUGUAUAAUAGCUGUGGUGGUUGUGUUGUCAAAAAAAUUACGAGCUGCCGGGGCAAUGGAAUAAGUUUUAGCUGCCAUGUAAUAGUGAUCCAGGUGUUGGUUAGCUUCUAGUAAGACAUCGUAGGUUUGGCCAGGAUAUAUUGUGAUAUAAUCUCGUGUCAAUGGUUUUGUGUAGCUACCAUCUGUUCCAACCACUGUCAUUUUAUGCUUGGCAAUGGAGAAGAAGAGAGCCUCGUGCAAGGCAGCAUUGAUUAUGCGAAGUAGAUAGGUCUUUCCAUGAUCCACCGUUAGCUUGAAUGUGUCUGCAAUUAGAAAGGGAAAUUUUUAUACUUAUGACUAGUGAAAAGAAAAAGAAAAAUUUCCAUGAGGAUCCACUAAUUAUGAAGUGAUUAGGGGUGUAAAUUUGGCUCCAUAGUUCAAAAUUAUAUUCGGACUAGCCUUUUCUUAUGUGUUAAAUCAUGGCUCUACCAUCCUUAUAGGUAUAUUCCUCUUUUUUAGCAUUAAGCUUUAAAUAUGUUGAUGUUAAUAAGAAAAAGUAAUAUGGUCAACAUACAAGAAAAUGAAAUCGUGUACAAUUUUAAAAUGGGAAGUUAAACUUAAUUUGUACCUGAUUUUGAGCAUGGAAAAAGAUCACCAGGUUGUCCAUUUAUCAAUAAAGAAUCAGAGGCAUUGGGGUCAGCUCCAGUUGCAAGCGCUUCAUCUCGAACCACAUUCACAUCACUCUUCCACCAUUGUCCUGCAUUUCAACAACUCCAAUAAUUUUAGACUUUGAUUUGUUGGUUAAUUCGUGAUAUGUAAAUUAACCUUUAAAAGUAACAACACUUAUACCUAAUAUGAUGGGAACUUCUGCAUUAGGUUUGGGAAAAGGAUACUUGGUUCCAUUCUUGGGAUAGAUGAUUAUAGCUCCAUGAACGGUGGCUCGGGUCCAAUCACUGUGAGCAUGCCACCAUAGAGUGCCUUCCUCAAAGGAAAGGAUGAUCUUUUGGCUAAACUUUGACCUUGGUUGAAUUAGGCAUUGUGUGAUAUACUCGGGACCAUCUGUCCAUGGAUAUCUAGGCAUGCUCACCCCAUGCCUGCAAAACAAUAACUAUACGUUAAAACUAGUACUAAUUUUUGGACUAACAAAAGAUGGCAUGCAACAACAUAUUGUCAUAGUAACAAGAGGCAUCAACUGUAUUUCAAUGGAAUUGAAGCAAAUAACCAUAAAGUAUUGUUUAAAUUUGACUUUAUUUGCAAAGCAAUAUAUUGCAGCCCCCUCUUCGAAAUAAAAAAAUGUAUGUCAUGUAGGCAUGCUGCCGAUUGCUAUCGUUUUUUGGAGAUACGCACAAGACCUACCAGUGAAUGGUGAUGUUUUCUUUUCCUUUGUUAUAAAUGUCGACAAUGAUCGUCUCUCCUUUCUUAGCAUAUAUAGUUGGUCCCGGAAAUUGUCCAUUUACUGUUAAGAUGUUCUUGGGACUACAAAGCCUUGUAUAUGAAGCUUCCUUCACCUGCAACCAAUUAAAAGUUAACCAUGCAACCUCAUCCCUAAAGACAUAUUACAUGCAUGAAUAGUUGCAUCGAUCCACUCAUGCAAGUGUAUAACCAAUUAGAAAUUGAUAGCAUACAUGAAUGACUCAAUGACACAGGUACCCGAGACCCUAUGGGGGUCAUAUGGUGGAAAAUGAGAGUAAUACUAGUCCCUAAAUAUUAUGAUCAUAAGGUAGCGUUAAGGCUAGAAUCAUAUAUAGUAUUUACCACAAAAGUAAGCCGACGGGUUGAAGCUUGGCAAUAGAUGCCACCACCAAAAAGUAGAAACGCUAAAAUGUGCAAGAGGAAAACCUUCAUGAUCAGCCACAUCUUCUUUGGAAGAAAAGCUUCUCUUGUCCUAAACACAACUCCUUCAAUUUUCUUACUAUUUCUAAUAGCACGACUUAUCUGCUCUUUGACAUGAAUAGAUGAAUUCUUAAAGGUAUUUAUAGAGGCUGGAGAGAACCAAAAAUAGAAUUGGUGAAAGCUGAACAGCAACUUUUAUGGCUGCUGUCACCUUCUGUGGGAACCCAACAGCCGGUUUCUCCCGAACUUUUGCUGUAUUUCUUUAAUAUAUUCAAGACGAUUCUCCUGGGGUUCAACAAGUCCUCGCCACGUAUCAAUAUAAGAUAAAGUAAUUUGAAUGUGUAUUAGUUUUGAAUGUUCUUCCAGGACCACUUCAAUGUGCAGGACCAGUUCAAUGAGCAGGACCACUCUAAUUAUGAUAUUUGAUCACUUACCAAAAUAAACCAAAUGCAUGAAGAAUGCUAACAAUUGUGAAAAUCAAUUUCUUGCAACUCAGCUUCAAUCAGGUUGCGUAUCGUGGAAUACAAGUUUGACUUUGAGAAUUGACCGAGAAAUAAAUUUAAAAUAUAUGUAGAAUACUUUUAAAACUUUGACCUCGCGUACAGUACCUUUAUCAAGAUUGGGCCUGGGAAGUGUUCUUGAGAUUUCAUGAAUACUUUUAAAAGUCUUCAUUAACUCUCCAGCCAUGAUGUUCAGAUUUUCUCUUUGUAUUUGGUAGGAAGGGAAAGGUCAGCGCUGCUUUCAGAAGGAAUAUAGGAUUCCAUUAUAGGAAAGAAACAAUCCAUAUGUUUAGAUUUCCAAAUUUGUGUGUUAAAAGGUUAGAGAGGAAUAUAGCCAUAUAUUUUUAUUCACGAUUUGAGAUGAAAAAAUUAUCAAUGAAAUGAUCAAUCUGUUUUAGAAGGUAACUCGAAAUGUUUCAUUUUUUUUCUUUCAUAUAUAAUAACGAACAAUCACCAGCAAGUCCAUGUAUUUGUCAUGUGACAUGAAUUUCAAUCCCACCACCUUUCAUAAUUAAAAUGCAAAAAAGACCCUCACAAAUAAUGUAAUUGCCUAUCCUCACUCUGCCUUAUCAUGGGCCCUUGAACUCGAGAGUUCACCUACUUGGAAUUAUAACCAUCUCUUCUUUCUUUCUUUCUUUCUUUUUUAAUUAUUAUUUUUGUCUCUUUUAAAUCUUUAUUAUGUUAGAAUUAUUCCUCUUUAAUUGAAUUUGUUAAUUGUAAACUUUGUUAUCAAAACACUAUGAGGAUAUAAUGACGAUGGGCCUACUUACAAGUUUUUCAAAGUUUACAUCUUAUUUUAUAAAAUUUAAAUUUAUUUAAUUUAUUUUUCAAUUAUGUUUAAAAUUAGUAAGAUCGAAAGCUUAUUAAAUUGGAAUUUUUUUCGGCCUAUAUGUGACCCAUUUUGUAUAAUAUAUGCUUGCAAAAGUUAAAUAAAAUCAUAAUUAAAGCAUGACAACCGUAUUUUGACCAUGCAGGACAAUAUUUUAUUUUCCACUUGCACUUGCAUGUAGACAAACGUGUACGUUAACAUCUUUUAAAGAAAAAAAUAAAAAAUUGUAACGGGUUGACCCGUUUUAAAUCAUAUAUGAAUCUAUUUUGAAAAAAAAAUCAAAAUUAAAUAAUUUAUAAAGAUUGGACCUGGAAGUGUUCUUGAGAUUUCAUGGUUCCUUCUAGGAAGAAGGAAUAGCACCAGAAUCCAUGGUAGUGGUAAAAAUCUUCAUUAACUCUCCAGCCAUGAUGUUUGCAUUUGGUAGGAAGGGAAAAGUCAGCGCUGCUUUCAGAAGGAAUAUAGGAUUCCAUUAUAGGAAAGAAUGUUUAGAUUUCCAAAUUUGUGUGUUAAAAGGUUAGAAACAGGAUCCAUUCUUAUAGAGUAACUGUAUCAGGUUUAUUUUAAUCAUAUGUUCAUUUCCUUUUUAAAUUUCUAAAGUACAAACCUAUACCCAUGCUUUCAUCUCCAUUCAAAUAUUUACCACUUUUUUUUACCUAUUUCUUAUCUUGCUGUAGACCCUCAAUUUUGUUCCUUUAGCACAUGUCUUUAAAUUCAUUUUCAAUGCUCCACAGUAGUUCCUUGGUGGCCCAGUACUACUCACCACUUACCUUUUUCUGAGUCACCUUGGAGACUUUGGUUGAGGGAUUAUUUGAUCCCUUAUUGUGACCCUUGGCAGCCCUAAUUUAGACUUAAGCUUUUCUUGUUUUUUUAGGAUAGCCUUUAGAUACACUUGGCCCAUUAGGCACCACCCUAGGUCCACUUAGACGCCCUAGGCCCAUUUAGGCACACUAGGCCUAUUAAGACUUUUUUUUUAGCGUGACUUAUAUGACCUGCGUGUUUGCAUGGCUCGUAGGGCCCAUUUUUUUGUUAAUUUGUUUAUUUUUAUUUUAUUUUAUUUUAUUUUUAUUAUUAUUUUUUAUUUUUAGUUUUAGUUUUAUGAUUAUCAUUCACUUCUUAUUGGUUAUCUUCCUCUUUAUAUUAUUUUCCUUAACUUAUUUAUUUAUUUAUUAUUUUUACUAUUUUCUAAUUUAUUUACUUAUUUAUCUAUUCAUGCAAUUAUUUAACUUCUAAAAUUUCAUGUUUUUGCAAGGAAACUUACCAUGGGAGUUUAAGGAAAGUGGGACUCUCCUUGGAAGGUUUUGGAGGGGGGAAGAUUUAAAAAAAGGAAAAUGAGAAAAGGAAGUAGGAUUUUCCUUUUCAGCAAGAAGGUUUUUUUUGGAAAAAGUGGGACUAAAAGCACGCAUUCGGAGGAUUUUUCUAGGAGGAGCAGCACGUAUUGGAGUCGGGAUAGGGAAAAGAAAGAAAGGAAAAAGGAGAAAAAGAGAGAUCUUGAAAAAAAAAGCGCAGAAAGAGAGGGAGAUUGGAGGCAAGACUGCCCAGGUACAUUUCUGGUUACUUUUGGUGUUCUUAUUCAUACUCGAUUCCUCCAUUUGAUGAUUUCUGAAUAUUCAAUAUAUUAUUGGUUGGUGUGGACGGAAAGGGCCACAAAUUGCUGUGUUGAAAUUAGAUCUUUGUCUGUUUGAUAUGUUCAUCAUUCUGUUAAUGUCAUCGAUCUCGCCUGAAAAUAAAUUGCAUACAUGUCCAUCUUCAGAAUGGAUGGUAGAAAUCACGUCCUGUUUUUAUUCAAAUCUUAUUCUGAAAUCACUCCCCUGUUCUAAGCUAAUGGAUUGAAAUGCGAAAUUGUGACUUUUGUUGAUCAUCUUUCCUCUCUUUCUAUACGUUUUUGUUGUCUUCUUCUAUUUUUGGUCCAUACCUCAACAAGCUCUAUUCCUGGCCGUCAAGAUUUGUUCUCUGCUUCGGAGUUAAAAAUUAAAAAUCAUGGGAAAAGGGGCACUCUGCUUUUUCUGCAUUCGAAUAAGCAUAAUGUGGUGCUCGAAAUCAUGGACUUCUCUAAGCCUUCUGGUACUGUCGUUGUGAUCCUAAAAUCUAAAAGUCAAAUACAACUUGGGCCAUUCACCUUCAGUAACAGCUCUAAUCAGUUCUACAGAGGAGCGUGUGAUUCUGAAAGCAAGGAAAAAGUUGACAGCGUUGGUUCAAAAAUUUUAGGGAUUAUGGAAAGAGAUGAGAAAUAAUGAGGAGAUGCGAUUGGGGUUGAGAUUCUGGAUCUUUAAGGAAAAAUGUCAUGGGGAAUGGAAGCUGGCAAUGUUCUUACACUAUUUCUACGGCUUCAGCCAUUGGUAGCUGUCAUGGGUUAGGAUCUAGUGGCGGGCAAAAUAGCAGAAAGAAAGAAAUUGAUGCAGCUUCUGUUGAUAAGUGAGUCCCAAAUGCUCCGGUUGGAAGAAUGUUCUCUAUAUGUUAAUUGAUCAGAUGAGUCAGUCAUGGAAUUCAAAAUCCUCAUUGCUGCUGUCUGGAAGAAAAACUAUGGCAAUUAGAGAAGACAAUCAGUUCGACCCUUUUGUUGAAGAUUUUGUUUUGGAAAGACUUCCUGUUCAAAUUUCUCUGCGGAUAUUGUUCGAUGUAGUCCCUAACAUUAGAUUUCAAAAUGUUAUUGAACUGAUAAGUGUGCAGUCAGUUGCUUCUAAUCUAGCAUUCUUGAAGAGAAUAUGCAUGGUGAUGUUUUUAUGAUGCUUUAAAUCAGAAUCCCAAGAGAUCAAAGUGGAAGGGAUCGGAUUGAAGGAAUUUCAACAACCGCUGACUUCUUGAAGCCCAGCUUGACUGUGCCCAGUCCGUACAAGAAGUCUGACUUAUCUUAUCUGGUUGGUUCAUCUGGAGAUUAAAGUUUGAACAGCUUUGGGACAAUGUUGCGUUUCUAGAGAACCCGCAUGCUAGGCAGAAUUCGGUUGAUGAUGUUCUACAUAAUAAGCAACAGGGGAAUGGUUUGGACAGAAGCAAUUUUCUUUCUAAAAAGUUCAGUUGCUACUUCACAAAGUAAGUUGCAAGUGCUGGCGAGCAAAUGUCUCGCUGCCUGAUAUACUGAGAUGAUAUUGUUCCUAAAGAUGCGAAUGCAGCUGUGGCCAUCUAUCCAGCAGUUUGUUUGCAGCAAGGACUCGAAUGAACUAUGGUUCUGGUGCCAAAGUAUACUAGAAGUUGCAGAGAAGUUAUGUGGAUCUUUGCUUGUUCAUCAUCCUGAAGCACUCCUGAUGAAUACGUAUUCAGGCAACUGGAAACGUGCUUAUAUGGCUUUGUAGCAUCUUGUUGAAUGUCUUACUUCUACUCAUGCUCCCAAGCAAAGAGCCACCUGCCAGGCCAAGAUGGAAUCUGUCCUUCAAUCUGAUUCUGUUCAACACUGAAAGAGAUGAUUGAUUAAGGCAGGAUUGCACUAGAAACUCCAUCUCAAGAACCUUCAAACAACCACUUCAAAAAGGGCAGUAAAGCAGACACCAAAAUCCAUAGAAGCUUUUAUGAGGCCGCACUUCCUAUUGAUGAUUUAGUCGACCGGACUACUGAGGUCCUCAACUCUUUUAAGACUUGGUGCAGUGAUUGAUUACUACCAAAAAGUGCUAUUUUGUAGACCUAAUAAUAAUGGUUUUAAGCACCUUUGAGUAGUAAUCAUAUUCAUUUAACCCAAUUAAUUCAUUAAGGUCCUUAGUAAUUGGUUUUAACCAUUUUGUGGCAAGUUUACAUGUUUUUAUCAGCUUAUGAACCAAUUCAAGCAUGCCAAUUGAUGGAGGAGCUAUUUGGGCGAGUUAAGCAAGGAUUUUGGAUGAUUACAGGCUUGAAUUUCAAGUGGAAACACGAGCACAAGCAAUGGAGAAGAGGAAAACAGAGUGAAGAAAACAGCUGCAGUCUUCUUUCGCACUUUUGAAGUACUUCCCGAAGUCCAUUUUCUACAUGCUAUAUACCAUUUCAAAGCUCAGGAAGUCAAGAAUCCAACACUUCAAACCGUGUAUGAUUUAGAGCUAAAAUGAGGAAGAUAUGGCCUUCGGAAGACAACUGCAUCAUGCCAAAUGACCAAUUUCGCAAGGUGAAUUUUACCUUGCGAAAAUUUCGCAAGGAGAUUUUCCUCAUGGUGCGAAAUUUGGCCAUUUCGCACCAUGAAGAAAUACCUUGCGAAAAUUUCGCAAGGAGGAUUUAGGCACCUUGCGAAAUUCCUUUGAAUCCUCUGUUUCUCCACGCACGCACCACCGACUUCCCAGAUAUUUUUAGCUUGAUAUUUUCUCGUGUAAAUUCCUGUUGUAACCUUGUAUUCAGCCGACAUAAGGCUUUAUCUUGUAAUUUUGCUAUAUAUAGAGGUGCACAACACCUCCAAAAAAUGGGAUUGGAUGGGGGAUGAUUGGGGGAUCGAUCCUCUGUACAUUAACUGAGAAAUAUAUAAAGCUCUGUUUUUCUCUCUUCUCCUGUUCUUCCCCAUUUCUAUUUUCUUAGUAGCCAAACAGCCUCUGAGGGCUUUUCCUCAGAGGAUGAUUGGCUAAAACUUUUAGUUUCUCAAAGUAUGGAUGUUAUGUGAUGGCUUGGAUGCAAUCCCAUGGAAAUUUCUCGCACCUGGAAGGUAAGGUAGUCGUUUUUCAUUAAUGGUUCAUUAAUGCAAAGUUUGGUUUUUAUUUCCUUUGGACAACUUCCAACGGCCAAUACUUAAUAAGCUUUUGGAUUUCUAUCCAUUAGUUAUCUCCUACGAGCUAUUGGAAGGUGAGGUUUUCAAUUCCAAGUUUUGCAUUAAUCCGUUAGAACCAAUUUCAAUGGCCAUUGAAAGGUGAGUUUAUCACCUGGAAUGACUUUGAGUUGCUAAUAUUUGGUAAGCUUUUGGCUUUAGACCAUUAGUUAUCUCUUACGAGCCAUUCAAAGGAAGUCUAAGGUGAAUAACCAUUGAUGAAAUUCACUACCAUCUGUUUUGCCAUUUUAAAGGAUUAAAACUUGAUUUGCUAAAUCCAUACCGGUUCAGGAAGCAAGCAUCACCAUAGUUGCAACCCCAACGCGAGGAGCCUAUCCUGAUAUUUCCAAUUUGCAUAAGAGCCAGAGCAUAGCUAUCCUAUCUUUGAGAAACUUGUUUUUACACCCUUUCAUUUUAGUCUUUAAUAUUAGCUUAGAUUAGUUUAAAUCUUUCUAAAACAUUUACAUCUUCUUUUAAAGCUAACAUCCAUAAGAAAAUCACCUAUUUUCCUAAUUUGAAUAUCACUUGUGUUUGCGAAAACCCUUCCCAGUGAACGAUCCUAGAACCACUAUGCUAUAGUAGCUUGGCUACUUUAGUAAUAGUAUUUAAGGUAUAAAUUUUGUUGAUACGCCUUUAAAGCUAAGCUACCAUGAGUCGCAUCAGUGAUGUACAUGGGGGUGUUGACUGAGCAGCUUGCAUUCCAUACAGAUGCUACAGUUGGGGAUUUUCUUAACUCUACCUUCGGCAAUGCAACUUGUAAAAAACCUGGAUCAGACUAACAGCCUUGUACGUAAAAAAGAGAUCAUCUCUAAAACCAUGGAUGGGUUUAUGGAUUAACGACAGCUCUGGUAUCAAUUCUGGAGGUCCUGUUACAACUUCUUUACAAAAUUCUUCAUUUGGUAAGAUGAAUUCAGAAGUGUUCUAAGAGAAUCAGUCAGAAUCCAGGCGCAAAUAAAGAAGAAUGAGUUAUUCUGCUUUUUCUUUAGAAAUUGAAUCAAAUACUGGGUCGGAGCUUAAGGUGAAACUGCAGAAAGAGCAUCUCAGGCAGGAGGUUAUCAUGAACUUGUAUGGCUAUUCUAAAGGAAGAACUAAGACCAAUCUCGCUGAAACUAGUGGUAGUUCCCCAGAUCAUGCAAGUGAUGAUAAUCUUAAUGGGCAGCAAGCUUUGGAACAUGGGGAAAUAGAAGGAGUUGAAUCAACUCAAAGCAGAGCUUGUUUCUCUGAAGUUUGACAAUGGCUGGUUCCAGUAAUUCUGCACUAAAGCUGGGUCAAAGACUUGCAUCCUGUGGUGAAUCCGUUUCACUUGCUUCUUAAAGCAAAAACCACAAUUUGAAGACUCUGCAAUUUGGUUAGAAAAUUAGAUCCCUUCAGAGUCAACUUGCCAUCCAAAUUUUAAAGGUUCAGAAUUUCUAGUUAUUUGAGAAUUUAGUGGCCUCUAAAAUACCAGAAACCACAGAAGAGUCUAAACCAACUGCUGGAAUGGCACUUCCACACAUUUCAGUAAGGCCAUUUGCCUGCUACUUCAUCUCGGAAAACUGCUGGGUGUGGAAUUAAGAAUUCUGACCUUCCAGAUUUAAAAUGCUAGAAGUACAGAAAAUACCCAGCUUUGCAAACUGUGUUGUUUCCCACCUACGACACUUGCUUUAGACACUACCUUAGGCCUCCACGUGAUUCCAGAUCUGCAUCAUAAAAGGACAUUGUGGUGGAUUUCUCACUUAUGCUUCAUAGUUCAGCGCAAAGAUCUGAAAAGGCCUGACGAAGAUGAACUUCCCAUGAAUUACCAAAAAAUAGACUUGACUCAAGGAUAAGAAGAGAGGUGAAAGAGAAACGGUGGCUAAAGAGGCAGUCCAGAUCAGUCAUGGACCAGAAAGUGGGAUGUUUCUGAUGAGGUUUACCUUGGAGUUGCCAAACCGAGUUCUGCAGCAUUUCAUUCUGUCACAGUCAAUGAGGGACAGUCUGGAAUUCAUGAAACUGUCCCCAAUAGCUCAGUCUCAAAACAUUCCUCUCAUUGAAUUUCUAACUCUUCCAAUAACUGUCAGUGGUGAGGGUGAUGGGUCGACUACCGAGGCUACAGAGAAUGAGCUGAAUACUGUCAGGUCUUUCACGGAUCAUAAUUAUGAAAAUGAUACCAAAAAUGCAAGAUUAGUGCCCGAGCCUGCUGAGAAUCUGAUCUAGGAAAUUGCAGUUCUGAGGCUGGAAGUGUCCGUCCGGGACAAUAUCUCCUUUCAUUGCAGCUGAGAAGCAGAGAUGCUGCAGGAGAAUUCUACAGGCUUCGAGUUGUGGAUGGGGUCAUCUUUGAGCCACUCAGGGGUGCACAUGCAGAUCUGUCUUGAACUCUUUCCAGUGUAUAGAAGCAUUGUCUGUUAUAGAUAAUUUUCUGAAGCUGAAAUAUAAAGACUGUAAAAAUUCCAAAGCUCUCAAUAAGGCCGCCCCUGUGAAUCUUGCAUAUCAUGCCUAUGGUACACCUUGGUCAAUCAUUGUACUGUGUUAACAACCAGAAUUCGGAUUUCCAAUGCGCCUGAAGAGAGAAGGAUAUGGUUCUAUGAAGCACAAAAAAUUUGAUUUCUAUGUGUCAUUUAUUCUUUUGAGCAAGAGUUACAUCCAAGGAAGAUAGAAAAACUACAGAUGAAAUAGAACCUCUAGAUUGCAGAGUGGUUAUCAAACUCCAGGAUUCUGCAGUAGCAGAGCUCUUUGGGCAGUCUCCUCAGCCUUUCAUCAACUUCAAUUGCAGCAACAAUUUCCUCAUGCACAGAAAAACUUGUCAGACUAAAAUGCUUGGAAAAAGACUUGAAAUUUUGAUUUGGGCACCAAAGAGAGCAAAGCGUAGUUAAGGAUCCAGCAUCAGCAAUGCAAUUCCAGUCUCAAGUGCACUCGCAGGCUCUUCUCCGUCUGGUCACCUCGGUGCACACCUCCUCCUCUGUUUGCUUCUUUGAUUGGGAAUUCAUUGUUUUAAAUUGAAUUUUCAAAUCCUUUUUCAACUAAACAUUUCCAGCUUUGAAAAAUCCAUCUUUAAAUCCCUUCUAGAUAAUAAAACCCAGAUUUUAGUAAAUUUGCUGUCAUUUUCCUUUUGACAUGCAUUUUCACUAUUUUCUUUAAUUUUCAACCAUUUUCUUGAUUUUCUCGAUUUUCAACAAGCAUGAACAAACUUCAUGAUUCCAAACAAUGGAAUUCAUUGAAUCGACUCAUGCAAAAUCAACUAGGGCUUUGGUGGGGGCCCGACAUUCAUGAUACCUUCUUCAAUAUUGUUUGCUUGAUAUGUUGAUUUUUUUUAUUCUUCUUGAUGAUAUACAUGAAUUUGUUUCGUAUUUAUUGUUGAGAUGCUCUUGAUUCCCAUAGAGGAGUACUAGCUUGCUAUCUAGGUACGCUCUCUUCUCAUCUAUUUUUUAGAACUCUAUAGACUUGUAUGCCAUUGAUGACCAUAUCCAUAUUUGACGUGAUUCUUGGAUGACUUGAUAUAUGCCUGACUUACUUGAAUAAAACAAAUGUUGUGUGCUACAUUUCUACACUAACUCUGAUGUUUUAUGAUAGCGCUUGAGAAGCGGUUCAGGUACGCACCCUAACUCUCCUUUAUUGUGAUUUGAUCUUGUUUAGCAUGCAACUUUUUUUGAAAUCACCUAGCCUACUUAGGUAUCCAUGAUCAACCAUUUAAUUGCCAUGCUUCCCUUAACUUAGUUAGUAGAGACCUCUUUAGGGCUUAGAGGGGUGCUACCUCCUAGAGGUACCUUCCCAAUAAGUAACCUGAUCCCCGAACCUAGACUCAGGUUUCUCAAAGACAUGCUUUUUCCAAAACUAUGGAGUCACUUUUUAGGGUUUUUCUUUCUUGUUUUAUUUUCCCUUUAAAAUAAAAAUAAAAUAGGUGGCGACUCCAACUUUUUUUAAAAUUAAUUUUUCACAAAUAAAAAGCAAGUCUCGCCGAUCGAGUGGGGACGCACGUGAAAAAUGCGGGUCCACACUUGCAUUUAUAGUUGUAUACAUUUUUUUAACAAUUUUUCUUAUAUCAUAAAUUAUUAUAUGAUUUACCUUUAUAGUGUUUUAUUGUGUUUGAUAUUUUUGUUUGAAAUACAAUAGAAAGAUAAAGAAAAAAGAAAAGGAUGUAGAAUUAUUGAUUAGUUUAACUAUAAUUUUUAAAAUAUUUAACUCAUAUUUGACACAUUUUAAAUUUGAUUUUAAAUAAAUAGGUUAAUUGAGUCAUAAACAUAUUAGUCAUAUAAAUUAAUACAAGACCUAACCCAACCUGAUUAUUAAAUGACAAAACCUAAUUAUAAAAUGGGACAAAUGAGUUACACGACAUGUUACUUGUUUAGUAAUUAUGUAGUAUUUUAGGUUUACAUUUUUAACCAGAUUAUUAUUCCUAUCGGGUUUGACAGAACACACAUAUGACCCACCAACACAAACUAUAACCCCUAAGCUUGUUCACUCAAAAAGUAAAUUUAUACUAAUAUUUAAUUACCUAAUUUAAGCUAGUAGGAAUAUUUUUUAAUUAUUGCUUAGUUUUUUUAAAAUUGUUAAUAUUGGUAAAUGUAUAUAGUUUCUAUAAAGACAUUCCACUGAUCUAGAAUUCCAAAUAUAAUUUGUCAGUAUAAAGAUAUUAUAUAUUUUUAAUAAAUAUAUAUUGUAAGUUAAAUGUUAUAUCGUAUAAUAUAUUGGUACUAUAUGCAUAACUACUAUAUUACUAUUUUACAAAAUAAAAAAUACCCUAUAUAAUAGUAAUAUAUUAUAUACAUAAAAAGUUUUUGUGUAAAGUAUCCAACCACAUCUUAAUUAAUAAUUGAUUAAUUUAUUUUAAAAUAAUCUCACUAUGUAUUUAUUAUUUUUAAUUAUUAAUAGCUAAUUUUUCAAAAGUGAUUUGUUAUUAAGAAUAAAAUCAUAAAUUAUGCCAUAAAAGUAGUAAUUGUUGUAGAUACUAAUUUGUUAAGGAUUUUUUUUUUUUUACUUGCAUACAUUGUUUAAUAAAAUAUUUAAUUUAAGCUUUAAAUUCCUUACUUUAAAUUUUCAAUUUUAUUUUUAGUCUAAUUUUUAAUCUAUAAAUUCUAAUUUUUAAUUUUUUAAUUUUUAAUUCCUAAAUUUUUAAGGGGAAAUCAUGUAACCAUACAUCACCCAAAAAAAAUGAGAUUUUUAGAACUUUGCUUUUACCUUUUUAAUUUUAAUGUAAGAUGAGAAAAACUUGCCUAUUCAUGCACUCCAAUAGUGCUUUCAGAUUUGUUUCACAAUUACUUUCAAAAGUAAAUGACAAAAUACACAUCAAUUUAAUACCACAUAUUGAUAAGUACAUGAAACAUUUAUUUUUCUUAUUUAUCUCACAUCAACUCUCUCACACAUCUCAUUUACCACUUGCCACAUUCCCUUCUUUUUUUUUUCUUUUUUUCUUUCCUUUUUUUCCCCCUCUUUUACUACCAUAAUCCUUAGUCACCUAUUACAUUUUUCAUUGUUAUUUUUCUUUUUUUCCUUUGAUAUUUUUUUUUAAUAUGUUCAUAUAUUUUCUCAUAAAACUUCCUCAAUUUUAAUUUUUUUUUUCACUCUCUAAUUUCUCCAUAUUUAUUGAUUAUAAUUAUUUUUUGGACAUAUUAAACUUAAAAUGAUAAUAUAUAAUAAAUAAUUAAUAUAAAAAAUUAAAUAAAAUAUAUGUAUAAUGGAAAAAAAAUAAAAAUAUUGUCCCACAAAUAAUAUACUUGAUGAUUUUAAAUAUUAAUUGUAUUAAUAUAUUUGAUAAAUUAAGGUUUAAAUUUAAAUAUUUUAUUUUAUUAUUUAGAGGUUUAUGAUAUAAGAUUUUUUUAUAUUAAUGUUAAACAAAAGAUUCAUUUAUUUUGUAAAUGCUAUCACAUGUAAACGUAAAAAUGUCUUUAUAAUACUAUUUUAUUAUUUAUAUAUAUUUUAAAAAAAUUUAUUUUAAAUUUAUCACAUCAAAAUCACAAUAAGCUAUUGUGCUUUUAUCUAUUUUCUUAUGAUUUUAAUUUGAUUGUGGAUUUAACUUUUUGUUUGGUUAAAAUCUUUAAUUUUUAAUUUUAAAAAAUAUAUAUUUUUCAUAAAUAAAAAAAAUUGUAUUUAACCUUUUAUAUUAAUUUCAUAAAAAAUAAAUACAUCUAUAAGAAAAUUAGGUAAAUCCAUGUGUAGGGGAAUCAGGACCCCUAUCAUCCUUGUCAUGGUCUAUAUAUUCAUUUGGGACCCUUGAUAAGUGAUUGGAGUUCCUUGCCCACCUCAUAACAAACUUUGAAACCCUAAAUACAUCCAUUCUUAAGGGAACCAAGACCCUUAUCUCAAUUCUCAUGGUUCAUAUAUUCCUUUAAGGAUCAUUGAGAAUGAAUUAUAAGUUGUUCUUCACCCUGGAUCGGACAUUGGAACCCAAGGUAUAUCCUAAAGACAAUUUGGCACAUUCGAUCCUUGGGCUAUCGAGACCCCUAUAUCCCUUCCCAUAGUCUAUUUGAUACUUUGGGGACUCUUGAGAAGUGAAUGGAGGUCGUUUCUCAUCUCGGAAUGGACUUUGGAACUCUAAGUACAUCUUUAAAAAAAAUUGGUACAUCCAAUUUUCGGGUUAUUGGGACCCCUAUCUCAUUUCCCAAGGUCCAUUUGUUCAAUUAGGGAUCCUUGGGAAGUGAUUGGAGGUUAUUCCUCACCCUAAAAUGGACUUUUGAACCCUAAAUACAUCUUUAAGAAAUUUUGGUAUAUAUGAUCCUCUGGCUACCCCAUAUCACUUCUUAUGGUCCAUUUGAUCAUUUAGGGAUCAUUUAGAAGUGAUUUCAAAUUGUUCCUAAUCUCGGAAUGGACUUUGGAACCCUAGGUACAUCCUUAAGAAAAUUUGAAACAUCCAAUCAUUGGGCUAUCGGAACCCUUAUCACCCUUCCCAUGGUCCGUUUGUUCCUUUACAAACUCUUGGGAAAUGAUUGGAUGUCGUUCCCCACCUUGGAACAGACAUUGGAACCCUAGGUACAUCCUUAAGAAAAUUUGAAACAUCUAAUCCUUGAGUUAAUGUGACACGUAUCUCCCUUCCCAUGGUCCAUUUAUUCCUUUUAGAGACUCUCAGGAAGUGAUUGGAGGUCGUUCCUCACAUUGGAACGAACUUUGGUACCCUUGGUACAUCAUUUACAAAAUUUGGUACAUUUUUUACAAAAUUUGGCACAUCCUUUAUAAAAUUUAAUACAUUCUUUACAAAAUUUGGUACAUCCUUAAAAAAAGUUGGUACAUCUAAUCCUUGAGCUAUCGGGACCCCUAUCUUAUUACCCAUGGUCCGUUUAUUCCUUUAGGGAACUUUGAGAAGUGAUUAGAGGUCAAUAUCUAGGUACUUCGAAAUGAACUUUGUAACCCUAGUUACAUCCUUAAGAAAAUUUGUUACAUCCAAUCCUUGAGCUAAUGUGACACCUAUUGUAGACCCCUCAUUUUGCCCAUGACACAUAUAGGUUACUAUCCAAAUAAAUCAUUGUAAUUUAUCAACUGGUAAUCUUUGAUUCUUUCUCGGAAGCUUCUUAGAGGAUAAAUUAUGGAAAUUUUGAUGUGAUCACAUAAACCUUUGAAUCUGUAGCUUAAGGCCUUCUUAUUGUUCUAACUUACCAUUAACCGUAAUUUAAAACAAAAUUAUUGAAUCCUUAUUUUAAAAUAUAAAGUAAAAUAAAGUACUUCUUUGAAUAAUAAAAAUAACUAAAAAGAUGUAUAUAAUAAAAUUUGGUGACAAAUUAAAAGUAGAUUUUAAUACAAACAACUUAACAUGAUUCGAUUUUUUUAUUAAGCAUUAUUUUACGAGUAAUAUUCUUUAUCUUUUUGUUUCAUAAACCAUAAUUUAAAUUAAAGUUGUUACUAUUGUCAUUAAAUAUACAUUUUGAAACAUAAAAUACGAUAUCUCUUUAAAUAUUUAUUUAAUUUUGAAUGUGCCAAAAAUCACCUUUUUCCAUCGAUUCCAACUAAGCAACUGCCAUUCAAAAAUCCCAUGCCUAUACUAGCCAGAUAUUCACAAGCCUUUCACGUAAUAUUAAACCCAUAAUUCCAGCAUCCACCACCAGCCAUCACCAGCCGUCCUUUCUCACAUUCUGUAACCCAUCCAUUUGGCUGCCUAAAAGCAUACCUAGGCCCAUACUUCAACCCCUGCAACCAGCCAUGCUGACGACACUCUGCACCAGCCGUCCAUUCUCCUCUGUUGCAGCUCAGUUUUAGCUGCCCAAGACCCAACUCCUUCACCCAUCAAUCCGUCCUAUCCCCCAUGCUAUAGCCAUACCUUUUAGCUGCCCGUGAUGCACCUUAGUACAGGUCCUGUUAAGCCGCCUCAUCCCCUGCAACAGCUCCAUUCAUAAAUUAUACCUUAAAACAGUAACUACUAUAGCUACUGACUUGUAAAGGAUUUUUUAAGCUUGCAUACAUUUUUUAACAAUUUUUUUUUAUAAAAAAUAUAGUUAUAAAGGCAAUUGAAAUAUAUCAUAAAUUAUUAUAUGAUUUACCUUUAUAGUGUUUUAUUGUGUUCGAUAUUUUUGUUUGAAAUCAAUGUUUUCAGAACCGGACCGGUGAUCGAACCGGAAAAAUUACCGGUUCACGGUUCACCGGUCGGACCGGCGGUCGAACCGCUAUUGAACCGGUGAUGUAAUAAAUAUAUAAUUUAUAUAUUAUAUAAAAUUAAAAAUAAUUAUAAAAAUUAAAAAUAUAUAAAAUUAUAAAUUUUAAUAAUGUUUGAUUUUUAUAUUUGGUAUAUUAUAUUAAAUGAUAAAGUUUAAUAUUUUAAAUUUUAUUAAAUAGAAAGAUGUAAUAUUUAAGAAUGAAGAUAUAUUUAAAAUGAAAAAAAUUAUAUAUUUAAUUUUAUCUUUUUGUCUUUGUAUUUUAUUGUUUUAAAAUUAUUCUAUUAAUUAAUUUAUAUUAUUUUUUAUAAUUGUUAUAAAAAUAAACAGGAAUUUAAAUAUUUAUAUUUCUUUAAAGAUUUUAUAUGAUAAAAAUUUAAAAUAAAAACAUUAAUGUUAAGUCUUAUUUUAUAUAUAUAUAUUUUAACAACAUUGCAAUGAUAUGAAUAGCUCACGCGUCCAGCCCUCAUGCUGCCAUGCAUCCGCGUCCAGCCCUCAUGCUGCCAUGCAUCCAGCCUUUGAGGCCAGCCCUCAUGCUGCCAUGCAUCCAGCCUUUGAGGCAGUCCUAUUCCAGUCCCACAUCGGAAGCACAUGAAUUCCAUGUGCUUCAAGUGCUCUAUAAAUACCUUGCAAGUUGCAACAGGCAAACCAAGCUAAACAAGCCAACAAAGUGGGCUUGAAAAGCAUGGCCCAAGGGACAUGUUAAUGAGUUAAUGAUUCAUUUGUUUGGGCCCAGUUGUUUAAACCAACUAUGGGCUUAUAAUUAAUUUGAGUUUCAAAAGUUAUGGAUGUGGAAUGGGCUCAAUGGAUAAUGGGCCUUUCAAUUUUAAACAAAUUUUUGAAGAAUUUUAAAAAGAAGGCUUGGCCGGUUCGUGAAAAAUCGGACGGUUUGUACGGUUCGGCAGUCCGACCGGUGGUUUGAACGGUUCAAUGCCGGUUCGACCAUAAAACGGUUCUUUGAGACGGACCGAACCGAAAAGUUGACCUGUCGGCGGUUCGACCGGUCGGACCGGCCGGUUCGGUCCGGUUUUUAAAACAUUGUUUGAAAUACAAUAGAAAGAUAAAGAAAAAAAGAAAAGGAUAUAGAAUUAUUGAUGUUGGUUCAAGUAUUAUACUUUAGCAUUGUUCCAAUGUUUUCUAUUAAUCAUACUUUUAUUUUAGCAUUGUUCCAAAAGUCUAGAAUUAAAUUUAUAUUAGCUAUGAAUAAACCAUAGUCCUCUAAUUUGUUAUUAUUCAACAUCAGGCUUGUUUAAGGAUGAUAAAAUUUGAUACACUUUUUCAACAAGACUUGAAUCUACCAUGCUUUUUAUGGGUUUGAGUUGAGUAUAAUUGAGUUUGAGUUAAAUUCAUGUUGACCUAUAAAACUCAUCUAAUAACUAGGUAGUCUUUGAGUCAACACGCAUAACAAAAUUGGACAUCAAUUAAUUCAUUUAAUAAUUAUGUUGAUUAGUUUAAUUAUACUUUUUAAAAUAUUUAACUCAUAUUUGACACAUUUUAAAUUUGAUUUUAAAUAAAUAGGUUAAUUGAGUCAUAAAUAUAUUAGUCAUAUAAAUUAACACAAGACCUAACUCAACCUAAUUAUUAAAUGGGACAAAUGAGUUACACGAUAUGUUACCUGUUUAAUAAUUAUGUAGUAUUUUAGGUUUACAUUUUUAACCAGAUUAUUAUUCGUGUCGGGUUUGACACAACACAAAUAUGACCCACCAACACAAAUUGUAACCCCUAAGCUUAUUCACUAAAAAAGUAAAUUUAUACUAAUAUUUAAUUACCUAGUUUAAACUAGUAGGAAUAUUUUAAAAUUAUUGCUUAGUGUUUUAAAAAUUGUUAAUAUUGGUAUAUGUAUAUAGUUUGUCUAAAGACAUUCCAUUGAUCUAGAAUUCCAAAUAUAAUUUGUCUGUAUAAAGAUAUCAUAUAUUUUUAAUAAAUAUAUAUUGUAAGUUAAAUAUUAUAUUGUACAAUAUGUUGUACUAUAUGCAUAACUACUAUAUUACUAUUUUACAAAAUAAAAAAUACACUAUAUAAUAGUAAUAUAUUAUAUACAUAAAAAGUUUUUGUGUAAAGUACCCAACAAUAUUUUAAUUAAUAAAUAAUUAUUUUAUUUUUAAAUAAUCUAAUUAUGUAUUUAUUAUUUUUAAUUAUUAAUAACUAAUUUUUCAAAAGUGAUUUGUUUUUAAGAAUAAAAUCAUAAAUUAUGCCAUAAAAGUAGUAUUUGUUGUAGAUACUGAUUUGUUAAGGAUUAUUAUUAUUUUUUACUUGCAUACAUUGUUUAAUAUAAUAUUUAAUUUAAGUUUUAAAUUCCUUACUUUAAAUUUUCAAUUUUAUUUUUAGUCUAAUUUUUAAUUUACAAAUUCUAAUUUUUAAUUCCUAAAUUUUAAAGGGGAAAUCAUGUAACCAUACAUCACCAAAAAAAAUAAAAAUAAAAACUGAGAUUUUUAGAACUUUGCUUUUACCUUUAUAAUUUUAAUGUAAGAUGAGAAAAAAUAUUACCUAUUCAUGUACUUCAAUAGUGCUUUCAUUUUGUUCCACAAUUACCCUCAAAAGUAAAUGACAAAAUACACAUCACUUUAAUACCACCUAUUGAUAAGUACAUGAAUCAUUUAUUUUUCUUAUUUCUCUCACAUCAACUCUCUCACACGUCUCACUUACCACUUGCCACAUUUCCACUUUUUUCUUUUUUCUUUCUUUCUUUUUUUUUUUCCCCAUCUUUUACCACCAUAAUCCAUAGUCACCUAUUAUAUUUUUCUUUGUAAUUUUUUUUCCUUUGAUGUUCUUUUUAAUAUGCUCAUAUAUUUUCUCAUCAAACUUCUUUAAUUUUAAUUUUCUUCACUCUCUAAUUUCUCUAUAUUUAUUGAUUAUAAUUAUUUUUUGGACAUAUUAUACUUAAAAUGAUAAUGUAUAAUAAAUGGUUAAUAUAACAAAUUAAAUCAAAUAUAUGUAUAAUGGACAAAAAUAAAAAUAUUAUCCCACAAAUAAUGUACUUGAUGAUUUUAAAUAUUAAUAUAUUUAAUAAAUUAAGGUUUAAAUUUAAAUAUUUUAUUUUAUUAUUUAGAGGUUUAUGAUAAAAGAUUUUUUUUAUAUUAAUGGUAAACAAAAGAUUUAUUUAUUUUGUAAAUUCUAUAACAUAUAAAAGUAAAAAUAUCUUUAUAAUACUAUUUUAUUAUUUUUAUUAUUUAAAAAAAAAUUAUUUUAAAUAUAUCACAUCAAACUCACAAUAAGUUAUUGUACUUUUAUAUAUUUUCUUAUGAUUUUAAUUUUAUUAUGGAUCUAACCUUUUGUUUGGUUAAAAUCUUUAAUUUUUAAUUAAAAUAAAAUAUAAAAGAAAAUAUAUUUUUCAUAAAAAAAAAAAAACCAUAUUUAACUUUUCAUAUUAAUUUCAUAAAAAAUAAGUACAUUCAUAAGAAAAAUAGGUAAAUCCAUGCCUAGGGGAAUCAAGACCCUUAUCAUUCUUAUCAUGGUUUAUAUAUUCCUUUGGGACCCUUGAUAAGUGAUUGGAGGUCCUCGCCCACCCCAUAAUCAACUUUGGAACCCUAGGUACAUCCAUUCUUAAGGAAACCAAGACCCUUAUCUCAAUUCUCAUGGUUCAUAUAUUCCUUUAGGGAUCCUUGAGAAUGAAUUAUAGGUUGUUCUUCACCUUAGAUCGGACAUUAAAACCACCCAAGGUAUAUCUUAAAGACAAUUUGGUACAUUCGAUCCUUGGGCUACCAAAACCGCUAUAUCCCUUCCCAUAAUCUAUUUGAUACUUUGGGGACUCUUGAGAAGUGAAUGGGGUCGUUUCUAAUCUCGGAAUGGACUUUGGAACCUUAGGUAUAUCCUUAAAAAAAAUUGUUACAUCAAAUUUUCGAGCUAUCGGGACCCCUAUCUCCUUUCCCAGGGUCCAUUUGUUCAUUUAGGGAUCCUUGAGAAGUGAUUGGAGGCUAUUCCUCACCCCAAAAUGGACUUUUAAACACUAGGUACAUCUUUAAGAAAAUUUGGUAUAUCUUAUCCUCUGGUUACCCCAUAUCGCUUCUUAUGGUCCAUUUGAUCAUUUAAAGACCAUUUAGAAGUGAUUUCAAAGUCGUUCCUCAUCUCAUAAUGGACUUUGGAACCCUAGGUACAUCCUUAAGAAAAUUUGGUAUAUCCAAUCAUCGGGCUACUAGGACCCCUAUCACCCUUCCCAUGGUCCGUUUGUUCCUUUAGGAACUCUUGGGAAGUGAUUGGAUGUCAUUUGCCACCUUGGAAUAAACAUUGGAACCCUAGGUACAUCCUUAAGAAAUUUUGAAACAUAUAAUCCUUGGGUUAACGGGACACCUAUCUCCCUUCCCAUGGUCCAUUUAUUCCUUUUAGAGACCAUCGGGAAGUGAUUGGAGGUCGUUCCCCACAUUGGAACGGAUUUUGGCACCCUUGGUACAUCAUUUACAAAAUUUAGUACAUCAUUUACAAAAUUUGGUACAUCAUUCACAAAAUUUGGUACAUCCUUAAAAAAAUUUGAUACAUCUAAUCCUUGAGCUAUUGGGACCCCUAUCUUAUUACCCAUGGUUCUUUAUUCCUUUAGGGAUCUUUGGGAAGUGAUUAGAGGUCGAUCCCUAGCUACUUUGAAAUGGACUUUGGAACCUUAGGUAUAUCCUUAAGAAAAUUUGUUACAUCCGAUCCUUGAGCUAACGGGACACCUAUUGUAGACCCCUCAUUUUGCCCAUGACACAUAUAGGUUACCAUCCAAAUAAAUCAUUGUAAUUCAUCAACUUGUAAUCUUUGAUUCUUUCUCAGAAGCUCUUGGAGGAUAAAUUAUAUAAAUUCUGAUGUGAUCACAUAAACCUUUGAAUCUGUAGCUUAAGGCCUUUGAUUGUUCUAACUUACCAUUAACCGUAAUUUAAAACAAAAUUAUUGAACCCUUAUUUUAAAAUAUAAAGCAAAAUAAAUUACUUCUUUGAAUAAUAAAAAUAACUAAAAAGAUGUAUAUAAUAAAAUUUGGUGACAAAUUAAAAGUAGAUUUUAAUGCAAACAACUUAACAUGAUUCGAUUUUUUUAUUAACCAUUAUUUUCCGAAUUAUAAAGGCCAAUAUAUGAGUAAUAUUCUUUCUCUUUUUGUUUCAUAAACCAUAAUUUAAAUUGAAGUUUUUACUAUUGUCAUUAAAUAUACAUUUUGAAACAUAAAAUACGAUAUCUCUUUAAAUAUUUAUUUAAUUUUGAAUGUGCCAAAAAACCCCUUUUUCCAUCAAUUCCAACUACAGCAACUGCCAUUCAAAAAUCCCAUGCCUAUGCUAGCCACAUAUUCACAAGCCUUUCACGUAAUAUUAAACCCAUAAUUCUAGCAUCUUAGCUGCACCACCAGCCACCAUCCAGCCGUCUUUUAUUGCUUUUCCCUUACCAAGAUCACUUUCACCCAGCCAUAACCAGCCGUUCUUUCUCACAUGCUGUAAUCCAUCCAUUUGGCUGCCUAAAAGCAUACCUAAACCCAUACUUCAACCCCUGCAACCAGCCAUGCCAAGACACCCCACCAGCCGUCCCUUCUCCUCUGUUGCAGCUCAGUUUUAGCUGCCCAAGACCCAACUCCUUCACCCAUCAAUCCGCCCAAGAUCACUAGUUUUUUAUGUUCCACAGAAAUGUGCAGCGCCUGCAUCCAGAGAUUAUCCAACAUGUCUUACUUGAUAUGCCAAGUCUUACUUUCUUCACGACCUAUGCUCUUUUGGCAUUGUUCUGGGCAGAAAUAUACUACCAGGCACGAGCUGUAUCUACUGAUGGACUGAGACCAAGUUUCUACAGAAUUAAUGCAGUGGUUUAUGCCAUUCAGAUUGCUAUGUGCACCUUGGAUUCGAAACUAACCGGUUAAAAACUGGAACCCCUGCAUGCGAGAGAGCAUCACCACAUGCCACGCGAGGGAGUCGUCAGUCACGUUUUCCAACUGCCAUGCAUUCGGUGAAGCGAUUUUUUGAAGGGAAGUCUUCAGGAGAAGAAUCUUUUUCUGUUGCGGGAGGAUGGACAUCACACCAGAAAGAAUAACGGUGGCCGUUUUAGAGACUUCGGAGGUUGAGAGAGGGGAGGAGAACUGACAUAGUGAGUCUCUUUUUCUGGGCGUUUUCUUGGAGGAGAGUUUAAAGAUCUUUUUUCUGUAGAAAAUCAUCACAUAAACCGAUUCAAAGAAUUCAGAAAGCUUCUCGUUAGAGCCAAGGUUCACCAUUUUGCACAGUGCCGUGGUGUUCUCUUGAAGCUUUUCGAUAUGUGCGACCAACAUUUUGAGAUAUUUUUCUUUAGAUAUUUAAUGUCUAAAUCCCCAAACUCUCCUUAUAACCCACCUAUCAUAGGAUUCCUUAGUCUUUAAGUAAGAACAAAGGGUGAAUAACCUCUUAUAUAUAGUUUGUAAUUUCCUUUACAUGCUAGAGAUCUCGGGAGCUUGUUCUCAGAGACAACCUUUUGUAAUAGUAAGAAAUAUAUUUUACAGAGCACUUGCUCUGCUUUUCCUAUAUAUUUUUGUUUUCUCGUUAUUUUUCUUUCUAGCCAACCAAACUCUGAGGAUUUUUUCUCAGAGGAUGAGAGGCUAGGCUCUUCGUCUCUUGGAGUGAAGAAAGCUGGGUAAGUUUCCUUAUGCAUAAAUUGGAAGUUUUGUUGUUUUAGUUUUUAAUGAAAAGAAAGUGUGACCCGUUAAUGGUUUUUAUCUUUUUAGUUAACUUAAAACGCCUUUAAAUCACUUCAGCCAACACUUGGUAAGGCAAGUGAUCUCCAUCCAUUGAGAUGCACUAGUUUAUCUCUUGCGAGCCUUUGGGAGGUGGUUUGAAGGUAGGAUUUUCUAGAAUAGCCAACACUUGGUAAGCUUUUGGACUCUAAGCAGACAUCCAUUAGUUAUCUCUUGCGAGCUUUUGACGGGUAAUCCAAGGUUAAAGAUCACCUUGAAUGGCAAAUGCUAGGUGAGAGGCACGAGCCAUUGCAAGAUGCAUCAGUGAGAGGGAUUUAGUGUUUGAACCCAUUAAUGGGAACCAUCUGUACCACACCGGUUCGGGAAAUAACUAUAUGUUAAAUCCCCAAUGCGAGGAAAAAAAACAAGUGACCGGAACUCCCUUUUUGUAUAAGGAACCUGAGCCUAGUGAUCUAAACUCCAAGAAACACUUUUCUUUGUAAUUAAAAUCAGUUAUUAUUUUUGGUUAGCUUAAAACCAACCUUUUCCACUAAAGAUUAUGUUUUCUUUUAAAGCUAACCUUGAAAUGAAAAAGCACCAAUUCAGCUUUGAAUUGAUAUCAAUUGUGGAGUGAAAACCCAUCCCAGUGAACGAUCCUAGAGCCACUAUGCUAUAGUAGCUUUGUCUUUGCUACCCUAGUUCAUGGUGUAAUAGGUUAUAAAUUUUGUUGAUUACUCCCUGAGGACCACAAUCAAGGAACACCAGCUGGACACGAAUCAAAUGGCACCACUGUCAAGGACCAUUGAGAGGACAUGAAUCAGCUGAGACACCAAUUGGGAACGAAUUAAUUCAACACAAGAAGAGGUACAAAUGGUGGGCGCUCACAAUCAUCUCACCAUCGACCACAGUGCCAGCUUUGUGGUAAGUUUGGCCACACCGUGGUUCGCUGCUGCCACAGGUUUGAUAUUAACUUCUAAGGCUUCAACCUUAAUAUGGACACUGUUCAAACCAAUAAACCAAAUGCCAAGAAUCAAGUGCAAGCUAUGAUGGCAUCUCUUUCCACUAUAUCUGAUGAGGCAUGGUUUUUUGACAUUGGUGCUACACAUCACCUAUCACAAAGUGUUAAUCCACUCUCAGAUGUACAACCAUACAUGGGUAAUGACAAGGUGAUUGUUGGGAAUGGUAAGCACCUUCGUAUUUUACAUACAUACACUACAUUCUUUCCUUCCUCUUCUAAAAUCUUUCAACUGAGACAAGUACUUCACGUUCCUGAUAUUGCUACUAAUCUCAUUAGUGUCUCACAGUUUUGUGCCGAUAAUAAUACUUUCUUUGAGUUUCAUCCUCGAUUCUUUUUUGUCAAGGAUCAGGUCACCAAGAAGAUACUUCUUCAAGGAAGUCUUGAACAUGGCUUAUAUAGAUUCCCUGCCAGAUUUGUGCCUUCCCCUACAGCUUUUGUUUCUUCCAGUUAUGACAGGUCUUCCAAUAUUUCUUUAACAACCAUAACUACACUUUGGCAUUCUCGGCUUGGACACCCUACUGAUAAUAUCUUGAAACACAUUCUUACUUCUUGUAAUAUUUCACAUCAAUGCCAUAAAAACAAUGUAUGUUGUGCUUGUCAAUUUGCAAAAAGUCAUAAAUUGCCUUUCAAUGUGUCUGUUUCUAGAGCUUCUCAUCCUUUUGCUUUACUUCAUGCUGAUCUUUGGGGCCCUACUUCCAUUCCGUCCACAACUGGUGCACGCUACUUCAUUUUGUUUGUUGAUGAUUUCUCUCAUUUUUCUUGGAUUUAUCCAUUGCACAGCAAAGAUCAAGCAUUAUCUAUAUUCAUAAAGUUCAAAAGUCUAGUUGAAAAUCAGUUUAAUUCUCGGAUACAAUGUUUACGGUCUGAUAAUGGUGGCGAAUUUAAAGCCUUCUCUUCAUAUCUUGCUACGCAUGGUAUUAAAAGUCAGUUUUCUUGUCCAUACAUACCUGAACAAAAUGGUCGAGCGGAGCGCAAAUUAUGACAUAUAAUUGAAACUGGUCUUGCUCUAUUAGCCACUGCAUCCUUACCUUUCAAGUUUUGGCUAUAUGCAUUUCAUACAACUAUUUUCCUUAUAAAUCGGCUACCUACUAAGGUUCUCAAUUAUCAAUCUCCCUUUCAAAUUCUUUUUGGCAAAUCACCAAAUUAUCACAUCUUUAAAAUUUUUGGUUGUUUAUGCUACCCUUAUAUUCGACCAUACAACAAAAAUAAACUCUCCUAUCUCUCUAGUCAAUGCAUUUUCCUUGGCUAUAGUUCCAAUCACAAAGGCUAUACGUGUCUUGACCCAUUGUCAGGCCGUCUCUAUGUUGUGUUUCAUGAAACGGUGUUCCCAUUUCAGUCUACUCUGGAUCAAUCCUCAUCUGUAGUUACUAUCCCCACUCUAGCCCUUCUUCCUUUCUCAUCUCCUCCCAUGUCCUCACUACCUUCCCAUACAACUCCUUCCACCUCAAGCCCAUCGUUAACUAAUAUGCCUUCCUCCACUACUUCUUUACCAGACUUGAUACAAGUUCCUUUUGUUGACAUCUCCACUUCUAAACCUCACCCUACUAAUCAGCAUCCCAUGGUCACACGUGCAAAGAAUGGCAUCAGCAAGAAGAAGGUCUACUUCUCAUCUCACAUCUCUGAACCUACUACAUUCACACAGGCUGUUAAAGAUUCAAAUUGGGUUCUUGCCAUGGAAAAAGAGUUUUCUGCUCUCCAAAGAAACAACACAUGGCAUCUAGUUCCACCACCCUCCAAUGGCAAUAUAAUUGGUUGUAAAUGGGUCUACAAACUCAAAUAUAAACCCGAUGGAACAGUUGAUCGCUAUAAGGCCCGGUUAGUUGCACAAGGAUUUACUCAAACUCUAGGUCUCGAUUAUUUUGAGACUUUUAGUCCAAUUGUCAAGGCUUCUACUAUCCGCAUUAUACUUGUAGUUGCACUCUCAUUUAACUGGUCAGUUCACCAACUUGAUGUUCAGAAUGCCUUUCUCCAUGGAACUCUUGAAGAGCAUGUGUUUAUGCAUCAACCCCCGGGCUUUAUCAAUUCUCAAUUUCCUUCUCAUGUUUGCAAGCUUAACAAGGCUUUAUAUGGCCUUAAGCAGGCCCCUCGGGCAUGGUAUACCAAACUCAGCACUUCACUUCUUGGCUGGGGAUUUCAAGCUUCUCGAGCUGACAGCUCGAUGUUUAUUCAUCAUUCAACACAUGAUGUCCUUAUUUUACUCAUUUAUGUAGACGACAUACUAGUAACUGGCAGCAAUUCAGCUCAGGUUUCGUCAUUUAUUACUCGACUCAAUUCUUCUUUUGCUCUUCGUGACCUGGGCUAUGUCAAUUAUUUUUUGGGCAUUAAAGUAGUUCGUUCUGGUAUUAUGUUUCAUCUCAGUCAGCACAAGUACACACAAGACCUCUUAUCUCGCACAGCCAUGUUAGAAUCCAAACCUGCUACUACUCCGGGAUUGUUAGGACAAACAUUAUCUCAUCUUAAUGGUGAACCUCUCUUGGAUACCACCUUAUAUCGCAGCAUGGUUGGUGUGCUUUAGUAUCUUACCCUUACCAGACCGGACAUUUCUUUUGCUGUUAAUAAAGCUUGUCAAUUCAUGGCUACACCCACUACUACUCAUUGGCUUGCUGUGAAAUGGAUUUUGCGAUAUCUCAAAGGCACUUUAUCCUAUGACAUUCAGAUGCAAUAGUCCACCUCGUUGGAUAUUCAUGGAUAUACUGGUGCCGAUUGGGCAUCUUGUCCAGAUGACAGAAGAAGCACCGGUGGCUAUGGCAUCUUCCUUGGUCCGAAUUUAGUGUCAUGGUCUUCCAACAAACAGAAGGUUGUGUCUCGCAGCAGUGCAGAAUCUGAGUAUCGUGCUCUUGCGUCUGCUACUUCAGAGAUUAUUUGGAUUCAAUAUGUUCUACAAGAACUUUGUCUCUCUUCCUUCUCUCCACCUCUACUUUGGUGUGAUAAUAAAAGUGCAGCUCACUUGGCUGCAAAUCCCGUGUUCCAUGCUAGGACCAAACACAUUGAAAUGGAUCUUCACUUUAUACGGGAUCAUGUUCUUCGUAAACAGCUCGUCAUUCAGUAUCUUCCUUCCGCUGAACAGGUUGCUGACAUUUUCACUAAACAUAUUUCAAGCUCCCAGUUCCUUAGUUUUAGAACGAAGCUUUCUGUUGUUCCCUCCCCUGUGAGCUUGCGGGGGGAUGAUAGACGAUACCUAGCUGAUCAACAAGAAAGUAACUGUCCGGGGUCAGCUGCAACAAACCUAGAUCAGGUGCAACAAACUAAAGUUAGCUGCAACAAACAGAAGCCGAUUAAGAACGUCUCGAAGAAGGAAGUUAGUUAGUUAGGUUGUUGUAGAUAUAAAUAUAAGAAAACGUCAGUGUAAAAACAUGGAUCACCUUUUCUAAUAGACAAUGAGAAAUAUUAGUUUUUCUAAAACCCAGUUUCUAAAACUUUCAAAGGUUACCAUCCAAAUAAAUCAUUGUAAUUCAUCGACUUGUAAUAUUCGAUUCUUUAUCAUAAGCUUCUUGGAGGAUAAAUUAUAAAAAUUUUGAUGUGAUCACAUAAACCUUUGAAUUUGUAGCUUAAGGCCUUCUGAUUGUUCUAACUUACCAUUAAUCGUAAUUUAAAACAAAAUUAUUGAAUCCUUAUUUUAAAAUAUAAAGCAAAAUAAAUUACUUCUUUGAAUAAAAAUAACUAAAAAGAUGUAUGUAAUAAAAUUUGGUGACAAAUUAAAAGUAUAUUUUAAUACAAACAACUUAACAUGAUUCGAUUUUUUUAUUAAGCAUUAUUUUCCGAAUUAUAAAGNNNNNNNNNNNNNNNNNNNNNNNNNNNNNNNNNNNNNNNNNNNNNNNNNNNNNNNNNNNNNNNNNNNNNNNNNNNNNNNNNNNNNNNNNNNNNNNNNNNNNNNNNNNNNNNNNNNNNNNNNNNNNNNNNNNNNNNNNNNNNNNNNNNNNNNNNNNNNNNNNNNNNNNNNNNNNNNNNNNNNNNNNNNNNNNNNNNNNNNNNNNNNNNNNNNNNNNNNNNNNNNNNNNNNNNNNNNNNNNNNNNNNNNNNNNNNNNNNNNNNNNNNNNNNNNNNNNNNNNNNNNNNNNNNNNNNNNNNNNNNNNNNNNNNNNNNNNNNNNNNNNNNNNNNNNNNNNNNNNNNNNNNNNNNNNNNNNNNNNNNNNNNNNNNNNNNNNNNNNNNNNNNNNNNNNNNNNNNNNNNNNNNNNNNNNNNNNNNNNNNNNNNNNNNNNNNNNNNNNNNNNNNNNNNNNNNNNNNNNNNNNNNNNNNNNNNNNNNNNNNNNNNNNNNNNNNNNNNNNNNNNNNNNNNNNNNNNNNNNNNNNNNNNNNNNNNNNNNNNNNNNNNNNNNNNNNNNNNNNNNNNNNNNNNNNNNNNNNNNNNNNNNNNNNNNNNNNNNNNNNNNNNNNNNNNNNNNNNNNNNNNNNNNNNNNNNNNNNNNNNNNNNNNNNNNNNNNNNNNNNNNNNNNNNNNNNNNNNNNNNNNNNNNNNNNNNNNNNNNNNNNNNNNNNNNNNNNNNNNNNNNNNNNNNNNNNNNNNNNNNNNNNNNNNNNNNNNNNNNNNNNNNNNNNNNNNNNNNNNNNNNNNNNNNNNNNNNNNNNNNNNNNNNNNNNNNNNNNNNNNNNNNNNNNNNNNNNNNNNNNNNNNNNNNNNNNNNNNNNNNNNNNNNNNNNNNNNNNNNNNNNNNNNNNNNNNNNNNNNNNNNNNNNNNNNNNNNNNNNNNNNNNNNNNNNNNNNNNNNNNNNNNNNNNNNNNNNNNNNNNNNNNNNNNNNNNNNNNNNNNNNNNNNNNNNNNNNNNNNNNNNNNNNNNNNNNNNNNNNNNNNNNNNNNNNNNNNNNNNNNNNNNNNNNNNNNNNNNNNNNNNNNNNNNNNNNNNNNNNNNNNNNNNNNNNNNNNNNNNNNNNNNNNNNNNNNNNNNNNNNNNNNNNNNNNNNNNNNNNNNNNNNNNNNNNNNNNNNNNNNNNNNNNNNNNNNNNNNNNNNNNNNNNNNNNNNNNNNNNNNNNNNNNNNNNNNNNNNNNNNNNNNNNNNNNNNNNNNNNNNNNNNNNNNNNNNNNNNNNNNNNNNNNNNNNNNNNNNNNNNNNNNNNNNNNNNNNNNNNNNNNNNNNNNNNNNNNNNNNNNNNNNNNNNNNNNNNNNNNNNNNNNNNNNNNNNNNNNNNNNNNNNNNNNNNNNNNNNNNNNNNNNNNNNNNNNNNNNNNNNNNNNNNNNNNNNNNNNNNNNNNNNNNNNNNNNNNNNNNNNNNNNNNNNNNNNNNNNNNNNNNNNNNNNNNNNNNNNNNNNNNNNNNNNNNNNNNNNNNNNNNNNNNNNNNNNNNNNNNNNNNNNNNNNNNNNNNNNNNNNNNNNNNNNNNNNNNNNNNNNNNNNNNNNNNNNNNNNNNNNNNNNNNNNNNNNNNNNNNNNNNNNNNNNNNNNNNNNNNNNNNNNNNNNNNNNNNNNNNNNNNNNNNNNNNNNNNNNNNNNNNNNNNNNNNNNNNNNNNNNNNNNNNNNNNNNNNNNNNNNNNNNNNNNNNNNNNNNNNNNNNNNNNNNNNNNNNNNNNNNNNNNNNNNNNNNNNNNNNNNNNNNNNNNNNNNNNNNNNNNNNNNNNNNNNNNNNNNNNNNNNNNNNNNNNNNNNNNNNNNNNNNNNNNNNNNNNNNNNNNNNNNNNNNNNNNNNNNNNNNNNNNNNNNNNNNNNNNNNNNNNNNNNNNNNNNNNNNNNNNNNNNNNNNNNNNNNNNNNNNNNNNNNNNNNNNNNNNNNNNNNNNNNNNNNNNNNNNNNNNNNNNNNNNNNNNNNNNNNNNNNNNNNNNNNNNNNNNNNNNNNNNNNNNNNNNNNNNNNNNNNNNNNNNNNNNNNNNNNNNNNNNNNNNNNNNNNNNNNNNNNNNNNNNNNNNNNNNNNNNNNNNNNNNNNNNNNNNNNNNNNNNNNNNNNNNNNNNNNNNNNNNNNNNNNNNNNNNNNNNNNNNNNNNNNNNNNNNNNNNNNNNNNNNNNNNNNNNNNNNNNNNNNNNNNNNNNNNNNNNNNNNNNNNNNNNNNNNNNNNNNNNNNNNNNNNNNNNNNNNNNNNNNNNNNNNNNNNNNNNNNNNNNNNNNNNNNNNNNNNNNNNNNNNNNNNNNNNNNNNNNNNNNNNNNNNNNNNNNNNNNNNNNNNNNNNNNNNNNNNNNNNNNNNNNNNNNNNNNNNNNNNNNNNNNNNNNNNNNNNNNNNNNNNNNNNNNNNNNNNNNNNNNNNNNNNNNNNNNNNNNNNNNNNNNNNNNNNNNNNNNNNNNNNNNNNNNNNNNNNNNNNNNNNNNNNNNNNNNNNNNNNNNNNNNNNNNNNNNNNNNNNNNNNNNNNNNNNNNNNNNNNNNNNNNNNNNNNNNNNNNNNNNNNNNNNNNNNNNNNNNNNNNNNNNNNNNNNNNNNNNNNNNNNNNNNNNNNNNNNNNNNNNNNNNNNNNNNNNNNNNNNNNNNNNNNNNNNNNNNNNNNNNNNNNNNNNNNNNNNNNNNNNNNNNNNNNNNNNNNNNNNNNNNNNNNNNNNNNNNNNNNNNNNNNNNNNNNNNNNNNNNNNNNNNNNNNNNNNNNNNNNNNNNNNNNNNNNNNNNNNNNNNNNNNNNNNNNNNNNNNNNNNNNNNNNNNNNNNNNNNNNNNNNNNNNNNNNNNNNNNNNNNNNNNNNACAUGUUAGUUUAGGUUGGGUAUGGACAAUUUGGGCCAUGCAUGAGUGUUGUUAGAAUUUGAUAUUUAGGAAACUAAAUGAUUAAAUGUGGAUUACUUGAUGAAUUAUGAUUGAGAUUGAGUUAUUUUUUUCUUUUCUUUUUUUCUUCAAAAUUUCUUUUCAUCUAAAGAAGCCAUUGGAUAAUCACAUGACAAUUGACUUUGAAUAAACUCUCUUGAUUUUGAUUCAUGGAAAUUUGAUUUAUCUUAAUUUUCUUAAAUAAUUCACACAUAUACACUUACAAUUUUUUUGGUAAUCCAAUUUUAAAAAUAUAUAUGAAUUGUUUUUCCUUUUGAAAAUUGUUUUUAUACCUCAUUCAUAACAAAAUUAAUCUUAAUCUCUUUUAUAAUGAAUAGUUUUUAUAUUUAAAACCUAUCUUAGUCUCUUUUAAGUAUGAAAUUUCAAAUUCUAAAAAGAAUAAUGUUGCCCAUUUUGGUUCGGUAUGCAACUUUGAAAGGUUUUAAAAAUGAAUUUUGGUUUUAAAUACAUGUGAAUUAAAAUUCAUAUUUCCAACUAAUGGAUUCUUUAUGAACUAAUUCAUGUACAUUAAAAUGGGACUUAAUAAAUCCCUACAUACAAAAAAUUUUCAAAAAUAAAGUUUUCUAUUGACACUAUUGACAACCCAUUGCAUAUUUGAAUUUGUAAAUUAUAAUUUGUCCAUUUAGAGACUCCUUAAAAUUUUUAUAAUUAUUCCAUGAUAUUCUAAACUCUUUGAACUUAAUUUAAGAAUUUUAUUUUAGUCAAAACUAAUUUCCUAAUUAGAAGAUAUAAAUCAAUCUUUUAGAAGGUUCAACUUUCAUUUUGUUUUUGACACUUAGUCUUAUUUUGCAAAAUUAAAUUACUAAACGAUUUCUUUAAAUUCAUUGAAUAUUUUUUUCUUAAUCUAAACCUCCUAAAUUUAAUUUUUGACACAUAAAAUAUUAAGAAAUAAUUACUAAAAAGGGAGAUAUAAUUUUUCUUCUUGAACCUACUGCACCUAUGCUCUCCUAGAGCUGAAAGAAUUUUACUUAUUUUUAAAUAUAUCAUGAUUUUAAUAUUGCUUUGUAAUUAUUUUUCAUUCAAAAUAGACAUGUGAGGCUAGUUGUACAUAUAUAUAUAUAUAUAUAUAUAUAUAUAUAUAUGUGUAUUUAUUUUAUUUUAGGACAUCUCCAAGUUAAGUAAAAAAAAUCAAUUGUUGAAUACUUUAACAAAAUGCCCUGUUGUGAACCUACUAAUAUCAUUAUUAAAUAAGAGCUAGUUGAUUAAUUUGAUCACUUGGAUGAUAAACUAGACAUAUAAAAUAUAUUCUCUAAAAAAUUUCAUGAUGAAAUUUAACUUCUAGAUAUUUGUUUUAGAUUUAUUUUGUAGAAUCCCCUUUUUGAUUUUUCACAAACAAAAAGUGAGUCUUGUCAUCGAGUGAGAACACAUAUGAAAAUAUGGGAUCACAAAGUGGUGACUCCACAGGGGAUCUUAGAGGGUCAAAGCUUGAACUUAAGUUAAAGUAAAUGUGAGGUUUAAUUGGUCGAUUUAUGGAUACCCCUUCUUUGUGCCUUUGUAUGAUUGUGUGAUUAAUGACACAUUGAAGAUUUUUUUAUGCUGUAAAUAUAUAUGAUAGAUGCAUGUUAGAUGAUGUUGUUUAUUUAUGAUUGUUUCUCUUGUCUAUUAUGUUUUUCUUAACAUGAUUGAUUGUAUUCUUAUCACAUGCCUAUUAUACCUUAGCAUGAUGGCUGAUCUAGUUGUAUGUCUUGUUAGAUUAUCAUGUCUUUGUUUAAUUUGAAUAUGGUGAUGGAUGAUUUAUACUUGUAUUGCAUGAUUGAUUGUUGCAUGACAACUCUUAUCUUGUAUGAUUGCUUGUUGUAUGUUCAUGUGGGACACACUUGUAUCCCCUUAACUCUGAUUCUCUAAUUUUGGUCGAUUUUGUUUCCCUUGAUCUUGUAUUAUAUACAAGACUAGUUAAUUCAAGUCUGCUUUUGACCAAGCUAGAGACUAAGAGUAGGGUUCAAUAAUGGGUUAUAUUGAUGUUUGGGAGCGUUAUGGAGAUGGGCAUGUUAAUGCUGAUAGGAGUUCGAUCAUUGAAGACCUCUAUAGCAUAAAACUAGAUUGAAUGGAUACUCGUGUGGCCAAUUUGUUCCCUUUACUAUUUUAGUCGCAUAGGUUUUUUGAAUGCACCCACAUUAUUCUAAAUGUACACUUAGAUUAACCUUAAAUGUUGAGAAAUAUAAAAUCUUUACCUAUAGGAAACUGCUUGGGAUAUGAGGAAAUGCAUGUGUGGAGGUGAUGACCAUCUUACAUGGAAGCACCUCGUCUCUUACGAGGCGUGCAAAGGGUUGCGCAUCAUCGGAGGGUACGAUCACCUUUGCUAGGGAUCCCUUUAACUCACUUUCUUAAUUUUUUUUAGGGCCACCUUGUCCUUAUAGGUUAAACUUAGACCUUUUUAUUAAGAAUUCUAAAUCCUGUAUGUGGGCGCAUCUGAGGGCCUUCAAAAGUCACUAUAAUCACAUUAGAGAUCCAAUACUUCCUCCACUUAGCUUCUUUUUAGGAGUAAUAAGAGACUUGUAAGAGUUUGAGUUAUAAUAAUAUACUUGGAAAUGUCAUGCUUGGUUAUGGUUCCUUAGUGCAAUAUAUGUAUUCCUUUUGCAUUGUGCCUUAUCCAGUCUUUGUACACCUUGUAGGAGUAGUCAUCCCUCCCAGUCUAGGUUCAUCGACGUGGGUUAGAGUCAAUGGUAGACUUGUUCGCAUAAGAGAUUAGAGAGAUAUGGACUAUAGCUAGUUACAGUUGAUCAGUUUUCCUCGGCUACGGUUUCUAUCCAAGAGGUUAUUGUGAGCCUCAAACAGAGGAUGGAUAGACAGUAGAUUCGAUAGACACCUAUUUAGGAGGAUCCUCAGUUUGACCCAGUGCCACCACUACCUCCCUCUAUUAGUCAAUUAGACCCAUCACCUGCACCAUUUAUUCUUCAUAGUCAGACUGAGGUUGCACCACCUCCUAUCAACAUGCCUACCCCUACUUCAGAUGAUACCCAUGCUCGCAUGGAUAGGCUUGAGCAAAGGCUAAGACAGAUGAGAGCUUCAGAUGGAGGGAUUACGUGGGAUGACUUUGAUGGAUCGCCAAUGGCCAGCUUAUUGGCUAAGUUCAGGAUGCCAAAUAUUGAGAGAUAUAUGGGCAUAGGUUGUCCCCGUAUUCAUUUGGGACUUUACAAUACUAUUAUGAGGGCUCACGAGUUGGAUGAAAGCCAAAUGAUUAAGCUCUUCCCUAUGUCUUUGAGUGGCAUUACCCAGAGGUGGUUUUCUUCAUUAGAUGCUCCGUGUCGUAGGACUUGGGACGACUUGGCUUAGGAGUUCUUGAGAUAGUUUACCUUUAACACUAUUAUUGAUAUCUCUAGGAGGGAAUUGGAGGCUCUGAGACAGAGGCUAAACGAGUCAGUGACUUCGGUUAUCUCUCAUUGGAGGGAGAAGAUAGCAUUGAUUAUUGAUCAUUCUUUAGAGAGAGAUCAUAUUUGCAUGAUUAUGAGGAGCUUACAACUUAGGUUUGCUAAGCAUUUGAUGGGGUUUACACAUGCAGAUUUUAGAUCUUUAGUUCAGGCUCUUUAUGAUGUUGAGGAGGGUAUUUCACAAGAUGGCCAGAGUCUUGCCCUACUAAUCUUAAGAGAAAGAAGUCAUUAGGAGGUCAGUGUUCAAAUGUGUGUGCUAUAUCUAUCUUUAGGUCGAGGCCGCCUAGAUAUCAAUUAGUCAUUUCCAUAAAAUUUCAAGGCUCAUUCUCUUUACACACCAUACCCUCAAUACUAAUAGAGGUUGUCGAUUCCUCCACAAGCUUAUGAUCAGACUUAUCUAUAUUCCAUUCUCUCUUAGCCUUACCAUGCUGCUCAGGCUAUUGAUACACCUGUUGCAUACUCCAAGUCUUGAGCAUCUCAAACCCCGGUUACUUACGCUUUUAGACUAUAGAGGUAGUUUUCCUAGUUGGGGAUGCCAUUGAGUCAACCCUUCAAGAAGCUUGCUGAUGUCGGAUUAUUAGCAGCACUAGCUCACACCCAAUACCUUUGUCGAUUCUCUCGAACUAUAGAUUGGAUCUUCAUUGGCUACACCAUCAAAUUCUAAGGCAAGACACAAAUAGGUGCACGACUUUGACACAUGCCAUACAGGAUUUGAUAAAUCAGGGUUCAGUGAACUUGGGAAGCCAAGUGUCACCACAAACCCACUACCGACUCAUUCCACUCAUCUAAUACCACCACCGAUCAGAGGUGUCCACUUUAUUGAUCUUGAUCAAGAUGACUUUAUUCACAUGAUGAGUUAGGAGGAUCAUGCACCAGAGCCUAUAGUAUUACAUGUGAGAUCAAAGGUUGAUGGGGUCACUUUGUGUACAUUGUCUAUCAUACUAUAGACCCUCAAUUUUGUCAUCCUAGCACAUGUCCUAUUAGGCACUUGUUCGAUACUUUACAACAAUUCCCUAGAAGCAGUUCACCAGUAGGUAUGAGGUUGGCGAAGAAGUGGGGAGAGGACAUUUUGGGUAUACUUGUUCUGCUUGGUUCAAGAAACCAAUGCCGAAGGGAAAAGAAGAAUUCACAGCCACGCAUUCGCCAUUAGAAGAGAAGGGGAAUAUGAGUAGGGGUCCACCAGACAAUGUUCUUUGGGUUGGCACGUUUCUUUUAUUAAGUCAAUUGAAAUAGAAAGUGCCAUUGGAAGUUUAGAAAGUGGGAUCUCUUUUAAGGCUAGAAAUACAUCUCCAAAAAGGAAAUAAAAAUUUCCCAUAGGAGUGGGCUGCCAUAUAAAUAAGACAAAAGGAACAGAAAAAAAGGAUGGAUUUUUUGGGGAGAGAUCCAGACAUAAAGCAGAGUUCUUCCAAAGAGGAUAGGCAUGGGAUACUUUUUGGGUUUUUAGAGAGAACACACGGAAUUUUGGAGGAGAGCGAGGGACUUCGGACGGAGAUCGGGCUGUCACUUUGAUCAUCAAGAGAGUAUUUUUUCAGACACAACACAGGUUAGUUUUCGUUUUCAAUAGAGCAUUCUCUUUAGUUUAGAUUUUAGUUCGUUAGUUUAAGUAAUUUUCAUGGUAAAUUCUUUUGAACGUCAAUUCGUACAAUUUUUUUCAUUUCAUUUUUUUUAUUUUUCUUAAAUUAGAUGUCUUUUUUUUUUUUUUUUGUGAUUGCAAUUCAUUAGUUCCAUGCUAGUUCAUCUUAAUUUAUAUGAUAGUUUAAUUAAAGUUUGUGUUUUUAAUUCCAAUUAGUUUAAUUUUAAUUUGUUUUUAGUUUAAAUGCAUUUGUUAAUCUUAAUUCUCUAGUUUAAAUAAUCAUAUUGAAUAAAGUUUGUGUUUUUAAUUCUAAUUAGUUUAAUUUUAAUUUGUUUUUAGUUUAAAUGCAUUUGUUAAUCUUAAUUCUUUAGUUUAAAUAAUCAUAUUGAAUAAAGUUUGUGUUUUUAAUUCCAAUUAGUUUGAUUUUAAUUUGUUUUUAGUUUAAAUGCAUUUGUUAAUCUUAAUUUUCUAGUUUAAAUAAUCAUAUUGAAUAAAGUUUGUGUUUUUAAUUCCAAUUAGUUUAAUUUUAAUUUGUUUUUAGUUUAAAUGCAUUUGUUAAUCUUAAUUCUCUAGUUUAAAUGAUAAUAUUGAAUAAAGUUUGUGUUAUUAAUUCCAAUUAGUUUAAUUUUAAUUUUUUUUAGUUUAAAUGCAUUUGUUAAUCUUAAUUCCCUAGUUUAAAUAAUCAUAUUGAAUAAAGUUUGUGUUUUUAAUUCCAAUUAGUUUGAUUUUAAUUUGUUUUUAGUCUAAAUGCAUUUGUUAAUCUUAAUCCUUUAGUUUAAAUAAUCAUAUUGAAUAAAGUUUGUGUCUUUAAUUCCAAUUAGUUUGAUUUUAAUUUAUUUUUAGUUUAAAUGCAUUAGUUGAUCUUAAUUCUUUAGUUUAAAUAAUCACAUGAAAUAAAGUUUGUGUUUUUAAUUCAAAUUGGUUUAAUCUUAAUUUAUUUUAUAAUUGGAAUGAGUUCAUGAUUUUAAUUCAAUUGUUUGAUUAAUCCUGUUAGAUAAAUUCCAUGUUUUUAAUUUCGACUUUAGUUUAGUUUUAAUUAGCUGAUUUAUUUAUUUGUUUUAGUUUAAAUGUAUUUGUAUGUUCAAUUUGAUAAUAUAGCCAAUCUUUUAGACGAUGUUGAUGUUUUUAAUUCUAAUUUAAUCUAGUAUUAAUUAUUUUUUAGUUUGAAUGUGUUUGUGCAUUUUUUAUUUUAAUCCAUUUAUAUCCAAUUUCGUAGUUGAUUAUAAUUUUAGUUAAUUAAUUUAGUUAAUCAUGUAUUAUUGUUUUCAUUUUCCAAGUAUGACAAUUUUAAUUUUAAUAUAUCAACAUUCAAUUUUAGUGUUUUUAGAGUUUUAGUUAAUUAAUCUAGUCAAUCACAUGUUAUUAUUUUCAUAUUUUGAGUAUGGCACAUUUCGGGUUUUGAUCUAUUAAUAUUUAGUUUGAGUUUUUAGGAGUUUUUGGAUAGUCAAUCUAGUUAAUUGCAUGUUAUGUUUUCAUAUUUUUAAGAUUGCUAAACUUUGGUUUUUGAUUUAUCAUAUUUCGUUAGAAUGUUAAUUUAUUUUUAUUGAUCCCAUGUUAUUAUCUCUAUAGGUUUAGUUUGUUGGUUUUAAUCCUUGAUUGGUCUGUACCUUAAUUCAUGUGCUUCUCAAAAUCAAUAUGUUAGUCUUGAAUAAUAUUUUGAUAGCUUGCUUGAUUUAGAAGUCAUUAGUUUGAUGCCUUAGUGAUUGUUGGUUAGACCCCUUUUUUUUGUAAGGCCAUUGGAAACUCAUGAAAGUUGGCCCUGUUCUCACCACUUUAGUUUGCUCGGAUUGUCCAAAAUUUCACUUUGUGAAUUCGUUUUCUUAUAUUUUGCUCGGUUUUUUAUUUCUUAUGUUUUGUUAUUUUCACAUUAAUUCCCUUUAUUUUAAAAUCAAAUGUUUUUCUCAAAAGAUAUCUUUGAAAAUUUUAUUUUAAAAAAAAUCAUUUAGAGUCUUUAGAAUCAAAAUUUUUUUUUCCUAAAAAUAAUAUGCAACCAUAUCUUGAUCAGUUCACAUCCUUCUCAAUUCUUAAUGAAAAUUUUGGUUUUGAACAAAACACGAAUCAAUGCUUGUGGUCCCAAAUAAAUAGGACAAUUCUAGGAUAAAUUCGUGUAUAUCGAUUGGGGAAUUGGUGAAACCCCCACAUAAGAAAAUCUUUUCAAAUCUUAUUUUUUCUACCACCCUUGUUAUUUAUUGUAAUCAUAUUUACAUUUUUCUUUUUUUUUUUUAGGAAUUAUAUAAUACUUGAUUAUUUCGUAUACUCUGAUCGUUUUGCUAUGCUAAUUAGAUAUGCAUGUUAGGAUUUCUUAUUUUAUUAUUUAUUGCCUAACCCCCCAUGUCCUGAGGAAGCGUAUUAUGAGUUAUCAAUGCUAUCCAGGUACGCCCCUUAUCUCCUACCUUCUAAAUUCUGUAAAUAUGAUUGUCAUUAUGAACUAUGCAUAUGUUUGAUAGUACUUGGGUGUCUUGAUAUUUGUUACAUUGUUCGAUUAUUUAUGAUAAAGUGCAUGCUGGGUCAUAUACUAUUUAAACUAACCUUUGAUGUUUUGUGAUAAUGUUUGAGAAGUGGUCCAGGUACGCACCCUAAAUCUCCUUUAUGAUUUGUGAUUGACUUUCUUGUUAGGCAUGCUAUUUUUUUUAAAUCACCCAACCUACUUAAGUAUUUAUAAUUAACCAAUUAAUUGCCACAUUUCCUACAACUUAGUUAGUAGAGACCUUUAUAUGGCUUAGAGGAGUGCUACUUCCUAGAGAUACCUUCCCAAUAAGUAACCUGAUCCCCGAACCCAAACUCGGGUUUUUCAAAGAUAUGCUUUUUCCAAAAAUUAUGAAGUCACUUUUUAAGUUUUUCUUUCUUAUUUUAUUUUCCCUUUAAAAUAAAAAUAAAAUAAGUGGCGACUCCAACUUUAAAAAAAAUAAAUAAUUUUUCACUAAAUAAAAGCGAGUCUUGCCGAUUGAGUGGGGACACAUGUGAGAAAUGCGGGUCCACACAUACCUUUUAGUUUGAUCCCAAAUAGACCUCCAUUCCAAUUUAUCCUAGUUCAUGACUUAGUUGUUGGCCACGAUGCUAUGGUUUUCUUUGUUUUGAUGCCUUAGGAUACUAAUGAGAUUAUUGAUCUAGAUGUCCAUAUAGUCACUUGUGGUGAGAGAGUGACUUAGCCUCCAUUAGAAGAGACUAGACCAUUUAAGGGCAUAGGAUCUAGAGAUGUCGUGAUACAAGAGCAUGAUGAGAUGAUGAGGUAGUUACAGAGUACACAGACUCGCAUCUCUAUCUAGAGUUUGCUAGCUUCUUCUACUACUCAUAGAGAUGCAUUGAUUAGGACUCUGAGUCAAACCAGAGUUGAGUUUGUUAUAUCUCUAAACAGUUUGAUUCACAUGUUGAUUACUAAUAGAGCUACAUGCAUUGUAUCAUUGUAUUCUCUGUUAAUGACUUACCCUUGGAGGCCUAGAUCAUACCCUACCUUUAUAUAUCAUUAUUGGUUGCUCAGGGCACCGAGUUCCAUCUAUCUUAUUGGACAAUGGCUUCACCCUAAAUGUGUCUAUUGGCUACUACUGUGGCACUUGGGUUUGGCUUGUCAAAUUUUAGGCUAUCUACGCAAUUUGUUAGAGCUUAUGAUAGCACACAGAUGGAGGUCCUUAACACAUUGACACUUGAGCUAUAGAUUGGUCCAAUUGUAUUCUUCACAAUAUUUCAGGUUUUGAGGAUACCUACAUCCUUUAACUUGUUAUUGGGCAAACCCUGGAUUCAUCGAGCUAGCACCAUACCAUCUUCCCUUCAUCAGAAGGUGAAGUUCAUACAUGAGGACAGAGUCAUUACCAUAUAGUCUAAUGGAGAUAUUUCUUCAUUCUCUGAGCCAGUUUUAUAAAUCAACCAUAGUGAGGAUGACUUAUUUUUUAUUGGUUUCACAUUUGAUGAGGUUCAUAUUGUGACUAUUAAAAAGUCUCACAAAGAUCAUGUACCUUUGCCUUUUGAUUGCCAUAGUGGCACCAUUUUUUUGAGUAUGAUGAGAGACAUGUUUUAUCUUCCUGGUUUGGGAUUGGGAUAACAACAACAUGGCAUCAGUGAGUUUAUAACUACUAUGAGUCAUGAUACACCCUUCGGUUUAGGAUAUACACUUAUAGAGGCAGACUAUCAAUACAUAGCAUAUCUACACAGACAGAGGCUUAGAGCCCGGUUACUUCACAUACCAUUUGAUUACCCACUCUAAUCAUGCAUGAUGGCUAUGACAUAUUAUUUUGUGAGCGCUUUUGAGAUGACUUUGACAUUGGAGAGUAUUAUUGGUAAAUCUGAUGGUGAUCAACAAAUUAAGGAACUUUUUCAGUAGUUUCAGUUGACAGAUAUAUUUCUUAGUACUUUCACCUCAGUAAUGGUGGCUCAUCCAUCUCUAGAUCAUGGCAACAUGAUGUCACUUUGUUUUCAUAAGGAGAUAGGUAGCCAGGAGCCAUUACUUCAACAUCUAGACAUAUCUGAUGAAGUUGACUUACCAAAUGACUACCAGGAUGAGAUAGCUAUGAUGAGUUUGAGCUAGACAUUUGAUACCAUUCAACUAGAUUCUUCUACUCCAACUGCCACAUCCAAGGCCUCUACCAUCGAGAUAUUCAACAUUGUCCAGACUAGACCCAUUUUAGAUUUAUUUGAUGUUGAUGUUUCUCUUAUAGAUGAUAUACUUGAGGGCACUAUUAGCCCGAUGGUGGUAGUGUCCAACUUUGUGGACUUAUUCCAUUCUUUUGAUGUAUUUUCGAGUUUUGUUUCAUGUGUUGAUGAAGUAUUUACUGAUUUUUCAUAUAUGGACAUAAGCAUUUUUUAAUAUUUGCCUACUUCUCAUGAGGAUGUUACCGUACAUGCACUUUGCUCUAUUUUAGCUCUUGAUUCCAUUCCCAUAGAUUAAAGGGUCUCACCUACUAUAGGAGACACUAGGUUGAUUUUGGCACACCAGAUCAGCCCAGAGAAUUGAAGAUUGGAUUGAGUUUGUCCACAUAUGAGAGAAAUUGACUUGUGCAGCUACUUAGGACAUACUUAGAUGUCUUUGCAUGGUCCUAAGGACAUGCCUUCUAUUGUUCAACACCGAUUACAACUUUUGCCACAUGUUAGACUAGUUAAGCAGAAGUUGAGGCAAUUACAUUCUCAGUGGAGUCUGAAGGUAAAAGAGGAGAUCCAAAAGCAGUUCAGUGUUAGAUUUAUAUUAGUAGUAGAGUAUCUUGAGUGGUUGACCAAUGUCAUCCUCGUUCCUAAUAAGGACAACAAAGUCAGAGUUUGUGUGAACUUUAGAGAUUUCAACAAGGACAAUGCUAAGAAUGACUUUCCCUUAUCUCACAUUCAUAUGUUGGUCAAUAGCAUAGUUAGUCAUUCAUUGUUAUCCUUCAUGGAUGGGUUUUCAAGGUAUAACCAGAUCUUGAUGGCUCUAGAGAACAUGGAGAAGACCGUUUUCAUCAUUGAGUGGGGCAUGUACUCUUAUAGGGUGAUGUCAUUUGGGUUGAAGAACAUAGGGGCUACAUAUCAGAGAAUGGAAACUAUUUUUUUCCAUGACAUGAGCACCAGGAUGUUCAGGUUUAUAUAGAUGACAUGAUAGUGAAAUCAUAGGAUAGAGCAGAUCAUUUAGUAGCCUUGGAGAGAUUCUUUGAGAGGAUCAGACAAUUCAGAUUAAGACUAAAUCCUAAGAAAUGCACCUUUGGAGUGACUUCUAGGAAAUUAUUGGGAUAUAUGGUUAGUGAGAGAGGCAUAAAGGCAGACACAAAGAAAAUUAGAGCCAUUCUUGAGAUGCCUACAUUGAGGACCGAAAAAAAGAUUGGGAGAUUUCUUGGCAGGCUACAAUGCAUUAGUAGAUUCAUAGUUAGAUUGACAAACAUAUGUGAGUCCAUCUUCCGACUCUUAAGAAAGAACCACCCUACUAUUUGGGAUGAUCAUUGUCAAUGUGCCUUUGAGAGGAUUAGAGAGUAUUUGUUGUACUCUCCAAUUUUUGAACCCUCUACUCUAGGUCGACCUUCCUUUUGUAUUUGUUUGUCUUAGAGAUAGCUUUGGGAUGCAUAUUAACUCAGCUCGAUGAUCUAGUCAAAGAGCGAGCCAUUUAUUAUUUAAGUAAGAGGAUGCUAGAGUAUGAGAUGAGAUACAUUUUGAUGGAGCGCUUCUGCUUAGCAUUGGUAUGGGCUACCAUGAGACUAAGACAUUACAUGACAUAGUAUUCAACACACUUGAUAUCUCGAUUGGAUCACUUGAGAUAUUUUUUUGAUAGGCUUACUUUACCUAGUAGAUUGAUGAGAUGGCUAGUACUCAUGAUUGAGUUUGAUACUCAAUAUGUUACUCAAAAGUCUAUCAAAGGGAGUGUUUUUGUAGGUCACCUGGCUUCAUUACUAGUUUCAGAUAGUGGAGUUAUAGAUGAUGAUUUCCUUGAUGAAGGGAUUGUUAUUGUGACUAGACUACCAGGUUGGGGUAUGUACUUUAAUGGUACAGCCAACCCUUUUGGAUAGGGGAUAAGAGUAUUUUUUAUAUCCCCUUAUGGUGAUCAUAUUCCGAGAUCUGUUGUUUUGACAUUCCCAAAUCAAUAUCCUACCAUGAACAAUAUAGUCAAGUACAAGGCUUGCAUAUUAGGAUUGGAGACAGCUUUAGAGUUGGGUAUUAGACAAAUGGAAAUAUAUAGGGACUCCAACUUGAUACUGAGACAAAUUUAGGGCACCUAGAAGACUAGGGAUGUGAAGCUCAGACAUUAUCAUGCUUACUUAAAGCUACUGGUCAGGAGGUUCAAGGAUUUAAGAUACACCCAUAUGCCAAGAGCAUAAAACUAGUUUGUUGAUGCCUUAGCUACCCUAACUUCUAUGAUUGACAUUCUUAUUUAUGUUGUUAUUUGUCCAUUGGUGAUAGAGUCGAGGAUUGUGCCAGCAUAUUGUUAUUUGAUUGAUGAUGUAGAGAUUCAUGAUGACUUUACUUGGUAUUAUGACAUUUAUUAGUUUCUCAUUUUCGACACAUACCCUAAGGUUGCCACAACUAAGAAUAAGAGAGCUUUGAGACAGUAGACCACCAGAUUUGUGAUAUGUGAUGAGACAUUGUACAGACGAUUAGCUAAUGGCAUGUUACUGUUAUGUCUAGACCGUACCUCUAUCGAUAGAGUGAUGAGAGAGGUUCAUGUGAGAGUUUGUGGAUGACACAUGGGAGGACAUAUAAGAUCAUGAGGAUUGGAUACUUUUGGUUGACCAUGAAGACAGAUUGCUACCAAUUCAUUCAGAGAUGUCUAGGGCGUCAGAUGCACAGUGAUCUUAUUUAUACUCGACCUUUAAAGUUACAUGCAUUGACCUAAUCGUGACAUGUAGACCCUUCAUUUUGUUCUACUAGCACAUGUCCUAUUACAUGUCUAUUUGAUACUUUAUAAUAAUUCUCUAGUGACCCAUUAGUCACCACCUUAGGCCCACUUUGGCACCCUAGGCGCAUUUAGAUGCACUUGGCCCAUUAGGUACACUCCUAGGUCACUUGACACAUUUCUAAUCACCCUACAUCACUAUUGUCCCACUGGCAGCUGCGACGACUCCCCUUUUUGGACAGCAUGGGCAGCGUACAUUUGGCCACCUUUGUCAGGACCACCCUAGCCCCGGGGUAGGUUUUUUAUCAUGUGAACCUCGUCGGCGAUGGCAUUUCGCCACCCCCACCGCACCAUGCAGUAGCCACAUUUUUUUUGUUUAUUUCUUCUUUUAAUGUUAAAGUUUAUUUAUUUAUUUAUUUCUCAAAUAACUCUUUAAAAUUCCAUUUUUUCAAAUACUAUUCUCAAAUAGUUUUCCAAAGUUUCCAAGAUUCCAAAAUUUCAAUUUAAUUUUUUAAGAUACCAUUUCCAAGUAAUUUCCAAAAUUCCAAAAAAAAAAAGAACAAAAUUUAGUUUUAAAAAAAUACCAUCUUCAAAUAAAUUUUCCAAAAUUCCAAAAUUUCAAUUUUUAAAAUACUAUCUUUAAAUAAAUUUUCCAAAAUUCUAAAAUUUGAAUUUUUAAAAUACUAUCUUCAAAUAAAUUUCCCUAAAUUCCAAAAUUCUUUUUUUUUUAAAAAAAAAAAUACCAUUUUCAAAUAAAUUUCCCAAUUUUCCAAAUAUUCCAAUUUUCGAAAUUUAAUUUUUUGAAAUAAUUUCUCAAAUUUUCAACUUUCGAAAAUUCUAAUUUAAAAAAAAUACCAUCUUCAAAUAAAUUUUCCAAAGAUUCCAAUUUAAAAAAUUUAAUUUUCCAAAAUAAUUUCUCAAAAUUCCAAAAUUCCAAAAUUCCAUUAUUUUAAUAAAAUUUAAUUUUCAAAAUUCCAAUUUUCCAAAAUUUCAAAUUUUAAAUUUAAUUUUUUAGAAAUCCAUUUUCAAAAUAAUUUUCUAAAAUUUCAAUUUCAAAUUUAUUUUUUUCAAGAUUCCAUUCUCAAAAUAAUUUUCCAAAAUUCUAAUAUUCAAGUUUAAUUUUCUAAAAUUUCAUCCUUGAAUAAUUCUUCAGAAUUCCAAUUUUUGAAACUUGAAUUUUCACACAAUUUUUUAAAACUCUAGUUUUAUUUCAAAUGAUUUUAAUCCCUCUCCAGUUUUCAAAUUUUUUUUUUUUAAUUCUAAUACUUUUCAUCCUUCAUUUAAGGUUUUAAGUCACUAAAAAUCCCAUUUUUAAAUAAAGUUGUUGCUUUUCCUUUCACUUUCUCAAAUUUUCUUUGAUUCUUAAAUUAAUUUUCUACUUUCCUUGAUUUUUAAUAAGCAUGAAGGUAAUUUUCAUAAUUCCAAAAUAAUAGAAUUUGUGAGAUUAAUUCAUGCAAAAUAAAUUGGGCUUUGGUGGGGGCCCAACAUUUAUAACAUUUCUUUCGAAAAUAAGUAAUCGAUUUUGUUUGAUUUUGAUUUGGUUUUGUGUGAGAUUUUUUUUUGCGUUUGUCACUGCACACUAACCUUGUGUUCAUGACAACACUUUAUUACUUGCUACCAAGGUAUGCUCUUAUCCUCACUUUGUUUAUUAUUUUGUUAUCAUGACUUGUUUUCAAACUAUGAUCAUUUUGGUAUCCAAUGAUUUCCUAGUUAAUUUUCAUGCUUGCUUCACCUUAUUUAAUAGAGACUCAUUUUUAGGGGCUUAAAGGGGUGCUACGAACCCAGUUUUGGUUUUUCACAUACCGUCUUUUCCAAAUGAGGAGUCACACUUAGGGUUUUCUUUCUUAUUUUGUUUUCCCUUAAAAAAAAUUUUAAAAAUAAGUGGCGACUCCAAGUCUUUUAUAAAAAUCAUGUUUUUCACCAAAUAAUAGAAAAAGGAGUCUCGUUAAUCGAGUAGGAACGCAUCAUUGAAAAAUGCGGGGUCUAUAAAUUAGUGACUUUGUUAGGGAUCGAACCCAGAAUCUCUGGUUUCAUAGAAGAUCAAGCUUGAUAAGUUGAGGCAAAUGUGGUGUUUGAUUAGGUGAUUGAUAGAUACCUUCUCUUUGUGCUUUUCUAUGAUCAAGUGUUCAUUGCACACUAAGAGUUUAAUGUGAUGAUUUCCCAUGCUUAACUAUCAUAUUCAUUUGGGACAUUAAUGUGCUAAUAACAUUGAUUGAUUCUCUUUGUUGUCAUUAGUCUAUUGGUUUUGCUCUUGCCAUGAUUAUCCUACUCACUUUGACAUGUAUGCUCACUUUGUUGUAUCUCUUGUUUGUCUUAGUGUUAACUCUUUUACUUGUAUAUUAUCUUGAUCAUCUUUAAGCAUGCUAUAUUUGUCACUAUUCGUCUUAAUUGUCAUAUUCUCGUUUAGCUUGUGUGUAGACAUGGAUGAUAUAUCUACGCUUUGCUUGAUUUUUUGUUGCAUGACUACUCUUCUCCUGUGUGUUUGCAUGUUGCUUGUCUGUGUGGGUCGCACAUCUACCCCCUUACCUCCAACCCUCUGGUUUCGGUCAUUUCCUUCAUCUCAGUUCUUACUUUUGCAAGUGUGAGGCCUUGUGUGUGCUUGUUUCUUUGAUCGAGCUAAAGGUUAGGAGUAGGGUCUAGUGACGGGCUAUAUCGAUGUUUAGGAGCAUUCUAGAGGAGGCCGAAACAUUGAUGCUGAUUGGAGUCUGAUCUUUAAAGAUCUGUAUAGCCCAAAGCUAGGUUUUAUGGAUAUUUGUGUGACCAGUGUGUUUCUUUUUUUGUUUUAGCUUUAUAGGAUUUUGGGAUGCACCUACACCACUCAAUGUGCACUUUAGUUGACUGUUGAAUGCUGAGAGUUGUGAGAGCUUUCACUCUAGGAAACCCCCUAGGAUGUCGAGGUAGUGCAUGUGUGGAGGUGAUGACCACUUUGCAUGGAAGUGUCUCAUCUCUUUGGAGGCGUGCAGAUGGUUGUGUACCACCGGAGGCUAUGAUCGCUUCUACUAGGGAUCCUUUAACCCACCUUGUUUUUUUUUUGUUUUUUUUUAUUUUUUUAUUUUUAGAGCCAUCUUGUCCUCAUAGGCUAAUAUUAGGCCAUAUUAGGACUCCCUUCCUACACAUGGGUGCAUUUGUGGGCCUUCAAAGUUGGGUUAGUAGCAAUAGGUUUAGUUACUUUCGUAGUAGUCUCUUUUAUAUUUGCUUAGAAUUGGAUAUCAGUUUGAGUACUUCCAGGUUACCUUCCUGCAUAGUUAAUAGACAUUCCUUGUAGAGUUUCCCUUACACCAUAUCUUAUCUAGUGUUUCCACUAUUCCAAGAGUAUUGAUACGUUCGAUCUGGGUUCAGCUUCUUAGAUCAAAAUUAGAGGUAGAUUGAUCAGAGUGUCAAACUAGUCAGAUAAGACAAAUAUAGAUUCAUAGGUGGUUACAAUUGAUUAGUUCGUUGUUGCUAUGGCUUCGAUCCAAUAGGCCAUAACUAGUCUUUAGGUUAGAGGAUGGAUGGGCAACAGACCCAACAGGUUCCAAUUCAGGAGAGUGUGUUGUAUGAUCCCACUAUUCCGCCACCUCUCCUACCUUGUUAGGCAACUCCACAAGACACUCAGAUAUCACCACCUUUCCCCACUUGGUCAAACACUUCCACAACCUACACCAUUUAUUUUGCAGAGUCAGAUUGAGGUUGACCCAUUACCUGCCAUGGUGGUUGUUCUGACCUUAGAGGAUGCCCAUGCACACAUGGAUAGGCUUGAGUAGAGGAUGAGACAGUUGAGAGUAUUAGAUGGAGGGAUGGUAUGGGAUGAUUUUGAUGGACUACCAAUGGCCAGUUUACCUGCCUAAUUCAAGAUGCUAGAGAUCGAGCGAUACACGGGGAUUGGAUGCCUCUACAUUCAUUUGAGACUAUAUAGUAUUAUGAUGAGGGUUGACCAUUUGGAUAAGGCUCAGAUGAUUAUGCUAUUCCCUAUGUCCUUAAGUGGGGUGACCCAAUGUUGGUUUGCUUCUUUGGACGUGUCACGCCAUCGAACAUGGGAUGAUUUAGCCCAAGAGUUCCUACGAUAGUUUGCAUUUAACACUAUCAUAGAUGUCUCAUAGAGGGAGUUUGAGGCCUUUAGGCAAAGGCCCAAUGAGACAAUCACAUCAUUCAUUUCCCGUUGGAGGGAGAAGAUUGCCUAGAUCAUUGAUAGGCCAUCUGAGAGGGAUCAAAUCAGCAUGAUUAUAAGGACUUUUCAACCUCGAUUUGUUAGACAUUUGAUGAGGUUCCCACAUGUGGACUUUGGAUCUUUGGUGCAGGCAUUAUAUGGUAUCGAGGAGGGCAUUACUAGAGGAUUGUGGCUUGAGUCUUCUUCUUCAAACUCGAAGGGGAAGAAACUAGCUAUUGGAUAGAGAUCAGGAGACAUCAAUGCCAUCAGUGUUUGGACAGAAAUUGGGAGACAUCAGUGCCACCAGUGUUGCUAAACCGAGGUCCCCUAUAUAUUAUCAGACAGUUGGGUAGACUUCGGGAGUUUAUUAUCCAUCAUCAUCCUAGGUGCAGUAUAGGCCACCUUUUCCUUUUAGACCUAUGUCUCCCACAUAUUUACACCUAACUCCACAACCAGUUUAUGCUACUUAGACCACAUAGAGGCUGCCUUCUCAUUAUCCCCAGCAUAGGGCUCCAUCUGCAUAGAGACAGAUGCGACAGUUUUCCUAGUUGGGUAUGCCUUUGAGUAGAGCUUUCUAGAAGCUCCUAUAGGGAGGAUUAUUGAUUGCAUUAGCAUUGAGACCACCACUUCAGCCUAUGUCACCUUAGUUCAGGUUAGACCUUCAUUGUGCUUACCAUCAGGGUCUAAGACAUGACACUGAUUACUACUCUGCUCUGAGACAUGUUAUUUAGGACUUGAUAGAUCAGGGUCUGGUUAACUUGGGGCAACCAAGUGUGACUAAAAACCCUUUACUUGCUCACACCACACAUUCAGUGCCUCCACCUACUGGUGGUAUUCAUCACAUGCAUUUUGUUCAAGAUGACGUCAUGCACAUGCUGAGUUGGGAUGAUGGAUUGCCUAAAAUGAUUGUUCCAAAUGAUGGCUAUGAGAUUGUAGGAGUUACAUCAAAUUUUUCGAUCCCUAUACCAUUCAAUUUGGUCCUAGAUAUAACAACAUUACAAUUGAUUCCUUCUACACCAUCAAAUGUCGGGCAUGAGGACACGUUUACCUCGUUUAUUCUAUGGCCAAAGGAUAUUGAUGUACAUGUUAUGACUCGUAGUGGGAGGAUAGCUCAAGCUACACCUCCAAUUACUAGAACAUUUGAUGGUACAGACUCUCGCAAGGAGGUUAGAAGGGAAGAUGAUGAAAUCUUGAGACAACUGUAGAGCACCCAGGCUCGGAUAUCCAUUUCGAGUUUGUUGGCCACUUCUAGUACCCAUAGAGAUGCACUUAUUCGAGUUUUGAGUCAGAUACAUGUUGAGAUCUCUACUACUCCAAAGGGAUUGAUUCAUAUGAUGACAGCCGAUAGGACCACUUGUAUUGUGUUUUCUAUUGAUGAUCUACCACCAGCGAGUUUUGGUCAUACUCGCCAUCUCCAUAUUACAGUUGUUUGUUUAGGCCAUAGAGUCUCAUAUGUCAUUUUGGACAAUGGCUCGGCUCUGAAAGUCUACUCCUUAUCUACUGCCAUUGCUCUUAGUUAUGCACCCUUAGACUUUGGUCUCUCUACUCGGACAGUCAAAGUGUAUGAUAGCACUAAAAGGGAGGUCAUGGGCACUUUGGAGAUUGAGUUAUUGAUAGGUCCAACCACAUUUCCUACUUUGUUCUAGGUUUUGAGGAUUCCUACAUCCUUUAACCUACUAUUGGGCCGACCUUGGAUUCAUAGAGCUAGAACCAUUCCAUCUUCCCUUCAUAAAAAAGUGAAGUUUAUCCAUGAUGGGCAGGUUAUUACAAUAUAGUCUACCAGGAACAUGAUUUCAUCAUCUAAGGCAGUAUUGCAGAUUAGUCAUAGUGAUGGUGAUAUUUUUCUCGCAUGAUUCACAUUUGAUGAGGUAUAAACCCUUGAGAUUCAGGAUUUUUGUAAAGAUUUCGUGGCCAUGUCAUUUGACCAAUAUAGUAGUAUCCUUGUUCUUGAUAUGAUGAGAUAUAUGUCUUUUCUACAUGGUUUUGGGUUAGAACAACGCCAACAUGGAUCUAGUGAGUUUGUGACUACAGUUGAUCGUGAUACUCCUUUCAGUCUUGGUUUUGUUCCUACAAAGGUUGAUUACAGAUACAUGGCAAUUUUGCACAAGGAAAGACUUAGAGCUUGAUUGCUCCACAUGCCAUUUGACUAUCCUAUUUUUCCAUACAGGAUGAGCUUAGCAGAUUAUUUCAUGAGGGCACCAGAAGACGUUGCAUGGUUGAUGGAUCUAGAUAGAAACCAAUUCUCGGAGCCAACCAAUGUAGAUCAGCUGAAGAAGUAUUAUGUUUGAGACCAUGGUUUUAGGAUGGGUGACCAUCAUUUCAGUUAGCCACAUACCUUGUUAUCCCCUUUUGACAUACAGACCGUUGCUAGCCUAUUGAGCCUCGCAUGUGCAUCAGAGUCUUUAUUUCUUCUUAUCUUGCUUACACUUCUACACUGAAAUAUAGGCCCUUUAGUGUAUGCAUGCUUCAUUUAGGAGUUUCAUGAGCCUUGGGCCUAUGGGCGCAUCUUUCUCUCAUUAUUUUUCCUACCAUCACACUAUUGCAUUUCCUCAUAUCUAAUUGGUUCUAUUUUUCAUCUCUAUUUUGUCGCAUUUUCUACUUGUUCUGCUUCAUCUUUUCUCCACCUUGAGUAGUGAUCCUUCUCAGUUCAUUACAUGGAGGAUAGUCACAUCAUUUCCACUAUCUAUCUCACAAACACUGAUUUAGAGAUCCUUAGUUUGAGAAGGUCAUCUCAUUAAAGAGAGCUUAUGUUACUUUAGCACUUGAGAGUGUGUCUAUCCAUUAUUGAUAUCAUCUUUGGGGCUUAUUUUGUUCAUGUUCAAGGGAUGUGCAUUUGUAUAUAUGUAAAAAAAAUGAAAAAAAAAAAUUGAAAGGAGAAAAAAAAUUAAAAUAAGCACAUGUGUGUAUGUGCAUAGUAUUCUCCAUCAUUGAGCAUACAUAUUGAUAUCCGAUGGUCAUUUUAUCGAGUAUGUUUGUUGGUGAAAGUUUGUAUGUGAGCUUUCCAAGAUCAUUUUUUAUUUGUAUUCACUUCGUCACAUAUUUUCUUUGAGAGUGAGAUGAAUGACCUUCUCAUAGGGCUCUGGGUCAUUGUCUUUUCCAUUAUUAUAUUCAUUGUUGAUGUGACUUAACUUCAUGUUUGAUUUGGGUUGAUCAUCACUUUUUUUUUUUGCAUAUUCAUUGUUUCGCUAUCAUCCUCAUCAUUGCUUUUGAUUCAUCACCUUUGCUUCACCCACUUUUUUUUUCUUACACUGACCUAUUCCAAGUUUGAUAUUCCCCUUUGCAUCAUUCUGGCACAUCUCAUUAUCAAUUUGAUUUGCUUCAUUGUCUCAUUAUUGAUAUUUUAUUCACAUUGGGCACCCUCAGGUCCAUGACUCACAAACUCUUCUAUACAUGUUGCAUUUUAUACACGAGGACAUGGGUUUUUGAUCAUUGAGUAUUUGGGCUUAGUUUCCUUUCAUUUCUAUUACCCUAUCACCCUAGCCUAUGUUAUGUCCCGUGUCUUAAGAUCAUCCUGAGGCCAUGGGAUCAGAUGUCGUCUUCGACAGCCCCUACUUAGACAAGUGUUUGAGAUUUGGUUGAUCUUUAGAUACCAUCAUGCUUUUUCUUCUGGGAGAUGCCUCUAUGAUGUUUGGACCUGAUUCAAUUAUGGAUAUAAAUGAUUGGGAUUGGACAUUUGAUGAUGGAUGAUCCGAUGUUCUCUGAUUUUUUUGAUCUACCAUACAUAUGAUGUCGUACUAGGGCAUAUUUUCAUUUUAGUUGAGAUUUAUAGAUCUUCAUGGAGUUGCAUGAUCAUCUCCACUUACGAGAUGAAGCACUGUUUGUUAUCUUAUCAUGAUUUCCUAGUGGAGCCUUUUUUGGGCCAUUCAAUCAGGCCCACACUUUUUGAUAUUUAGAUGCCAUCAUGCUUCUUCUUUUGGGAGAUGCCUCUAUGAUGUUUGGACCCGAUUCAAUUGUGGAUAUGGAUGACUGGGAUUGCACAUUUGAUGAUGGAUGAUCCAACAUUGUCUGAUUUUUUUUAUCUACCAUACAUCUGAUGCCAUACUGGGGCAUAUUUUCCUUUUGGUUUAGAUUUAUAGAUCUUCAUGGAGUUGCAUGAUCAUCUCCACUUACGAAAUACACAUUGAGACAAUGACCUAUUUGUUAUCUUAUCAUGAUCCCCUAAUGGAGCCUCUUUUGGGCCAUUCAAUCAAGCACACACUAUUUGAUAUUUAGAUGUCCUCAUGCUUCUUCUUCCGAGAGAUGCCUCUGUGAUAUUUGGACCCCAUUCAGUUUUGGAUAUGGAUGACUAGGAUUGCACAUUUGAUGAUGGAUGAUCCAAUGUUGUCUGAUUUUUUUUCGAUCUACCAUACAUCUAAUGCCAUACUAGGGCAUAUUUCCAUUUCGGUUGAGAUUUAUAGAUCUUUAUAGAGUUGAAUGGUCAUUUCCACUUAUGAGAUACACACCAAGACGAUGACCUAUUUGUUAUCUUAUCAUGAUCCCCUGGUGGAGCCUCUUUUAAGCCAUUUAGUCAAGCUCACACUUUUUGAUAUUUAGAUGUCCUCAUGCUUCUCGUUUUGAGACACGCCUUUUGAUAUGUCGAUCUGAUUCAGCUAUGGACAUGGAAUACUAGGAUUACACACUUGGUGAUGGAUGAUUUGGUGCCAUCUGAUUUUUCAACCUACCACACAUCUGAUGCUAUACUGGGGCAUAUUUCCAUUUUGGUUGAGAUUUGUAGAUCUCCAUUGAUUUGCAUGAUCAUCCAUAUUUAAGAGAUACAUGUCAAGUUGUGGUUGGUUUUUAUUUUACGAUGAUUCCCUAGUGGAGCCUUUCUUGAGUCAUUUAGUCAGGCUCAUACUUUCUAAUAUUGUCGUGAUUCUUUGAUGGAGUUAUCUCAGGCGCAUAGACUCCCAUAUCAUCAUUUCAGUGAAGUACAUGUUAGAUUUAUUAUAUAUCCCCAUUGAGUUAUUCUCAAGUCAUCAGGACAGACCAGAUGUACUAGUUGCUAUACAAAGCUGUUACCAUUUUCUUUAUUCAGUUGAGGGAUAUUUAUUCGUAUUACUGGUCACAAUAUCGAUGAUUUAUGCCGAGAUGAGCCUUUAAAGGAGCCUGACCUUUGGGUUUUGACUAUCUCAUUACCUAUGACUCUUUAGUAGAUCGUUAUGCUGCGAUUGUGACAGUUGCCCUAGUGGACCAUUUUUCUUGAGACCCGCCAAUGGAUCGUUCCUUUGAGAUGACGACAGAUUCCUCCAGUAGGGUAUCUUGAGUUAGAGGCAUCUGGAUUAUUAUGACACUUUGUUAGGCCUCGUGAUUUAGUCAAAUGGGUUGUGAGACUUUAUUUUAUAGUUGAUUUGACCAUUCCGACUUGUCAGUAGAGCAUCUUUUGAGACUCAUGGAGUCUCUUUUAGACCCUUUUAGUGGGUUGAGAUUUGCAACAACAUGCCACACUAGGGCAUAUUUCCCCUCAUCAUUCAUUUUAAGCUUGGCGUUCAGAGCCACCAUCUCUUCUAGUUUUAGGCAUUCAGAGCCACCAACUUGGUUUUCAUAAACCCGUCUUUUCUUUCAAGAGUCACAUUUAGGGUUUUUUUUUCUUAUCUUGUUUCCCUUAAAAAAAAAGAGUAAGAGAUGACUCCUUUAUUUAUAAAAUUAAUUUUUCACAAACAAAAAGCGAGUCUUGCCAUCGAGUGGUAACAUAUGUGAAAAAAUGGGAUCACACCUAUCUCUCUUUCCAUAGUUUAUUUAUUCAUUUGGAGACCCUUGGAAAGUGAUUGGAGGUCGUUCCCUGAUUCUUUAAGCUUGACUUCCCCAGCCGGAUCUUUUAAUCAAAAACAUUUAUAAAACCUAUGACCUUAUACUGGCGUAGCAAAGCUACUGUAGUAUAGCAGUUCUAGGGUCGAACUCAGGGAUGGGUUUUCACUCUACCAAUGAUAGACUCUAAAUUAGAAAUUGAUUCUGAUGAUUUCCUUUAGCACAAACUUGAAAUUUAAAAGAAAUUAAAAUUGUUUUGAAAGUGGUGAUUUAAACUAAACUCACAUAGAACUAAGUAAAAAGUGGAAGAAAGAAAGUCUCUCGGAGAUAAAGGUUGCUAGGUUCAAGUUCCAGAUGCAAAGUGGAAAAUUCCGGAUUUUUCUCCUCGCAUUGGGGAUUUAACCUAUAGUUAUUUCCCGAACCGGUAUAGGUUUGACAAUGAAGUUUUAAUCCAUAAAAAAUCAUUAGAGAUGGUAGUCAAGGUCCAUUAAUGACUUAAGACACUAUGGACUAUCACCUUGAAUCACUUUCCACUGGCUCGUACAUGAUAACUAAUGGACUGAUAUGGAUCUAGCAAUAAGCAUCCACAGAGACCUUAAGCUUACCAUGUAUUGGCCAGUCAAAGUGAUCCUAAGGGACUUAAGGCAAAAACCUUGGCUUUAAAAGCCAUUUAUGGACUCCAACUACCUGAAUUCAAUGCACGAAAACUUUCCACCUUUUAAUCUGGACUUUUCACCUAGCUUCCUUCACUCCAAGAAACUAAAUGUUUAGCCUCUCAUCCUCUGGGAAAACAUCCUCAGAGGGUGUUUGGCUUGCAAGAAAAUAGAAAAUAGAAGAGAAAAGAAAGUAAAAGAGAUCUCUGUAUUUCACUAAGUAACAAAUUUACAAUAGUUGGUCUCCUGGAGAAAGCUCCCCGACGAAGAUAUAUAUUCAGUGAUUACAAGAGAAUUUAUAUAGGAAGGUAGUUUUACCCUUCCUUGGAUACUUCCUAGCUAAGGAAUUACAUGGUUGGUUGAAUACAAGGAGAAAAUGGAAAUUUAAACACAAAAAUAUCAGAAGAAAAAGAGUCGGCAAAAAUAUCCAAUUUUCGCACGCUGAGUUCCAAUUUCGCAUGUUGGUUUGAGGUGUGCGAAAAUUUCGCACAGUGGACUGAGGAUUUCGCACCUUAAACAGUGGUGUGCGAAAUUGUUCCUCAGCUUGAUGCAGUUGUCUUCCGAAGUCCAUAUCUUCCUCAUUUCAGCUCCAAAUCAUAUAUGGUUUGAACCGUUGGAUUCUUGACUUUCUGAGCUUCGAAAUGGUAUAUAGAAUGCAGAAAAUGGACAUCGGGAAGUGCUCCAAAAGUGCACUAAAAGACUGCAGCUGUGUCCCCUGUUUUCAUCCCCUGUUUUCUUCUUCUCCAUUGUUUCUCCCUUGUAAACUUUGAACGAUUAAGGCAAAGGAUUAUGAGGCUCCAUAGCUUGAUUUCUUCAUAAAUUUAAGCUUUCAAAAGCUUUGCCCUGAACUAUAAAUAGCUCUCCCUCAUUCUUAAAUUGCUUUGGUGAGCAUAAAGCUAUCAAAAAGCACCAAAACUUAACACAAUUGUUAGAAACGAUUGCAAGGGCUCCUAACAUGCUAAUUGGGUUAAAAGGUAAUAAUUACUACUCAAUGGUGUUUAAAAGAGCUAAUUACAAGCUAUAAAAUAGCAUGUUUUGAGUAGUAAUCACUCCCCCCAACCGACAUAUUGCUAGUCCCUUAGCAAUUAAGGAGAGGAAAACUAAGCAAACGUAAUAAUAUAUAUAAAAGAGGUCAUGCAAUUCAUUCCAAAAAAUAAUUGAGUGGCAUGACUGAUAUCAAAACACAUCUCACAUGGUGAACUAAAGAUAUGAAGAUUCAAAAUGCAAUAGGAGUUGUCCAAGCUAAAAACUUAAACAAAAAGUACAAAGAGUGGAGAUUAUGCAAUUAAGUAUCAAAAGAAUCUCUACUCUCAAGGUUCCAAAUCAAACUCUUCCAUAAUAAGCUAAGUGUUAAUGAAAUUAGCUUCCGGAUAUAGUAUAUACAACUAUCCUCACCCUCCAACCUAAGCUUUUCUCGGAUAUUGGUAACAUUAACCAACUCUUAAUAGGUUAAGAACGCACCUUCUUAUUCGCAAUUCUUUUUACUUACUAAACUUAACCAAUUCACCCAUGUAGCAAGCAGAGGAUCGAUGACUCCCAACCAAUUAAGGUUUAGGGCAUCGGGUUUUAAAGGCUUUCGCCACCCCUUCGGAUCAUACUUAGGUUUCAAGGAAAGAAUAGAAGCUUAUUCUCUUUUUCUUUUUCUAAGACUCAUUGGUCUUUUUCUAAGACUCAUUGGUCUUUAUGAGGUGUCCCAACACUAUUUAAAAAGAGGUUAAGUAAUAAACCAAGUCAAAAUUUUCCUAAGCUUAGAAAGUGAGAAAGUUUUACAUUUUAUAUCCGGGAUCUAAUGUGCACAGUGUGUGUAAAGCUCGAAAUGGAAGAAGAAAGUUCAAAAUCAAAGAGGCUUCAAUAGAUUAUCAACUUUGAAAGCAUAAAACAAACUCUAAGACUUAAAUAAUUAAGUUAAAACUCGACUUAUCCUAUUUUAUUUUUGAGAAAUUAUCUUUAACAACCAGAGAGAAUGAUUCAAAAAACUUUAAAAAAUUUUAAAAUUUAAGCAAAAAUUAACUAAAAUACCAAAAUAACUUAAUAUUGACAACAAAACUUCCUUUCUCAAUUCUCCCCCCCCAACCAAGUUGAACAUUGUCCCCAAUGUUUCAAAAGCGAUUAAAAAUAAAGGGAGGAAGUGGUACCUCCUGAGUGAGAGAAAGUCUGAGUGUAAAGGAGGUAUGCAGUACCUUAAACCACAUGUUCCAAGGACAAAAGAGUAAUGAGAAAAGGGAAUAUAAUAAAAAAGGAUAUAUAUAUAUUACUUGAAAAAGAAAUAUACAAUGUAUGAUUUCAAGUACUAUUUCCAAUCCCAAUUUAUAACACAUGCAAAAGAUGGGAUUUACAAGUCUAAAAUAAAAAGUAAAACAUAAAAAGAUCAGAUAUGAGUGGGGUCAUGUGAUGGCUCUGCUCUGAUCUCCUCCUCUGGUAUAGGCUGCUCAGCUGGCAAGCUCUCCUCAUCUGGCACUAGAGGCUCGGAUGGUGCAGACCUAUCAUGCCCAAGAGGGGUCUGCAUACUCAGAUGUUGCUGAAUCUGAUGAAGGAUCGUGGUAUGCUGGGCCUGAGUAGCGAUGAUCUGAUCCUGGUGUGCCCGAAUAGUGGCCAUCUGGUGGAUAAUAGAAUCCUGAGCAGUGCUCAGUGUCCGCAAUGAACGCUCUAAGCCUCUGAAUUCUGUAAGAGAAAUGGUGACAGUGGGCUCAGAUGGAGGAGGAGGUGCUGGGGUAGCNNNNNNNNNNNNNNNNNNNNNNNNNNNNNNNNNNNNNNNNNNNNNNNNNNNNNNNNNNNNNNNNNNNNNNNNNNNNNNNNNNNNNNNNNNNNNNNNNNNNAAGGAGCUUCCCCCUCAGAUGGGGGAAUGGCCGGGGUCUGAACGGGAGGUGAAGGUGCAGCUCCAUGGCGGCUCGCUGUGGCGAGGUGUCGGUGAGGAUGGGGAGGCGGAAAGGCCUCCUCUGGUCUUCGCCAUGGCCGAAAUGAAGGGGAGAUGGGUGUUCGGGAUUCCAGAGGUUUUUCAGAUGGUGCUUAGGAGAGUCCUUUGAGCUUCUGGACUUCAGGGGUUUAUAUAGGAAUGAGGUUUAAGGGGUUUCUGAUCUUUUAAAAUUUUCCAAGGCAACCGAAAAGUCGUUUUUGGACGUUAGGCACAAUUUCAGGGGUAAAAUUUUAAUUUAAAAGUCGGUUUUAAAUUUUUAGAAGUUAAAAUUUUACCGUGCGAAAUUUUCGCACCUUGGCCUGCAAAUUUCGCACAUUGGAAUUGGGUGUGCGAAAAUGGCACCCUUUUUACUGAUGAUUUCGCACGUUAAAAGGAGGUGUGCGAAAUUUUCGCACCUUGAAUAGUGGUGUGCGAAAUUUUCGCACACUAUUUCGCACAGUGCGAAAAUCAGCUUGAGGUGUGCGAAAUUGGCACACGUGUGCCAGGAGAGGAUUUCGCACAGUGCGAAAAUUUUCGCACCUUCCACAGUGGUGUGCAAAAUUGGAUUUUAGGAAAUUCGCACCUUGAAAAGGGAUUUCGCACCUUGAAAUUGAUUUCGCACCUUGAGGUAGGGGUGUGCGAAAAUGGCUUCUUUUGGCCCAAGGAUUUCACACCUUGGUUUUGGGGUGUGCGAAAUUUUCGCACCUUGAAAUCAGGUGUGCGAAAAUUUUGGCACCUUGAAAUUGGGUGCUCUGCUUCCUUGGUUUUACUCCCAUGUUCUGCUUUUGAAGAGCUCUCCUCACCUUUCAUGAUUUUUUCUGAAAUUUAUCAUGAAAAUUGACUUGAAUUAAGACAAAAUAAACUAAGAUUAAAGAAAAAUUAAAAUAUAAAGAAAUAAAAAUACUAAUAUAACUAUAAAACUAUAACAAAAAAUUCAUGGACUUCUUUAGCCCAUGAUACCCUGCUUUUCCUCAAAGUUGUGGUGGUUCAAGGAGGUUGAUCUCCUCCUUGUCUGUAUUGUAAGGCUCUAUAAAUGGCUUGAGACGAUGGCCAUUGACUUUGAAGGUUUGAUUGCCUGUGGGAUUGAAUAUUUCCACCACUCCGUUGGGAUGCACUUCAUGAAUUAUGAAAGGACCCGUCCACCUGGAUUUCAAUUUUCCCGGAAAAAGAUGAAGCUUAGAGUCAUAAAGCAAAACUUUUUGUCCUUUGGUAAAAUUCUUCUGAUUUACCAACUGAUCAUGCCAUUUUUUCAAUCUUGCUUUGGCAAUUUUUGAAUUGAGGUAUGCAUCAUUCCUCAAUUCCUCUAAUUCAUUCAAAUCUAAACAUCUCUUUAACCCGGCUCUUGACAAAUCCAUGUUGAGCUUUUUGAUUGCCCACCAUGCUUUAUACUCAAUUUCCACUGGAAGGUGACACGCUUUGCCAUAAACAAGGCGAUAGGGAGACAUUCCUAGAAUGGUCUUGUAAGCGGUCCUAUAAGCCCAUAAGGAAUCCAGGAGCUUGAUAGACCAAUCCUUCCUAUUCACAUUGACCACCUUCAUCAAUAUAUUCUUGAUCUCACGGUUGGCUAACUCAACUUGGCCACUAGUUUGAGGGUGAUAAGGUGUAGCUACCUUGUGCUUAACCCCAUAUUUGGCUAGAAGAGUCUCAAAAGGUUUAUUGCAAAAGUGGGUUCCCCCGUCACUUAUAAUGGCCUUUGGCACUCUAAAUCUUGCAAAGAUGUUGUCCUUGAGGAAUUUAAGUACCACCUUAUGAUCAUUGCUCCUACAUGGGAUUGCUUCUACCCACUUAGAGACAUAAUCCACUCCUACCAAGAUGUAGGAAUGUCCAAAUGACAUUGGAAAUGGUCCCAUAAAGUCUAUACCCCAGACAUCAAAGAUAUCCACUAUUAAGAUGGGGUUCAAGGGCAUCAUAUUUCGGCGUGUUAGCUUACCAAGCCUUUGACACCGAUCACAUGCCUUACACAUAGUAUGGGCAUCCUUGAAAAGAGAGGGCCACCAGAAGCCUGAUUGGAUCACUUUCAUAGCUGUUUUCUGGGAGGCAAAAUGGCCUCCACAUGCAUUAUCAUGGCAAUGGGAAAGAAUUCCCGAUUGCUCUUGCUCAGGAACACAUUUCCUUAUAAUUUGAUCUGCACAAUAUUUGAAAAGAAAAGGUUCCUCCCAAUAAUAGGCAUGGAUCUUAGCCAAGAAAUGCCUCUUGUCUUGAGCACUCCACUCACUUGGUACUUCUCCAGUAACCAAAAAGUUUGCAAUGUGAGAAUACCAUGGAGCUACAUCUACUGACAUGAGAGACUCCUCAGGGAAGUCAUCAUUGAUAGGUAGACCAUGUGAGUCAUGUGCUAUCACUAGUCUGGACAAGUGGUCAGCUACCACAUUUUCUACCCCCUUUUUAUCCCUGAUUUGGAGAUUGAAUUCUUGGAGCAAAAGAAUCCAUCUUAUCAAUCUUGCCUUGGCAUCCUGCUUGGUUAGCAAGUACUUCAAAGCAGAAUGGUCAGUGAACACUACUAUAGAGGACCCUACCAAAUAAGCACGAAACUUAUCCAAGGCAAAAACUACAACCAACAACUCCUUCUCAGUAGUUGUGUAGUUCUUUUGAGCCUCAUUCAAAGUUCUGCUUGCAUAAUAGAUCACAUAGGGCUUUCCAUCUUCUCUUUGCCCUAAAACAGCCCCCAUAGCAAGAUCACUUGAAUCACACAUUACCUCGAAAGGUAAUUUCCAAUUUGGGGCUCUCACUAUUGGUGCAGUUGUGAGGAAUUGCUUCAAUUCCUCAAAACUUCUCUGACACUUCUCAUCCCACACAAACUUGGCAUCCUUUACCAAAAGCUCACACAGGGGUUUUGAGAUUUUUGAGAAAUCCUUAAUAAACCUCCUGUAGAAUCCUGCAUGUCCAAGGAAUUGCCUAAUUCCUUUAACAUUUGUGGGAGGUGGCAACUUAACAAUAAGUUCCACCUUUGCCUUAUCUACCUCAAUGCCAUUUUUGGAGAUGAUAUGUCCUAAGACAAUUCCUUUUUGUACCAUAAAAUGGCACUUCUCCCAAUUUAGCACUAGGUCUUUCUCAAUACAUCUAUGGAGAACAGCUUCUAAAUGCAUCAAACACUCCUCAUAAGAACUUCCAUAUACAGUGAUAUCAUCCAUGAAAACUUCCAUGAUACGUUCAACCAUAUCACUGAAGAUGCUUAGCAUGCAUCUUUGGAAAGUUGCAGGAGCAUUACAUAGACCAAAGGGCAUUCUCCUAUAUGCAAAAGUACCAAAGGGACAAGUGAAGGUUGUUUUCUCUUGAUCUUCCAAAUCAAUUUCUAUUUGGAAGUACCCUGAAUAACCAUCUAGAAAACAAUAGAAAGGAUGUCCUGAGACUCUCUCAAGGACUUGGUCCAUGAAAGGCAGUGCAAAAUGGUCCUUCCUAGUUACUGAAUUCAACCUCCUAUAGUCUAUACACACCCUCCAUCCUGAAGUAGGACGUGUAGAGACUUCUUCCCCUUUCUCAUUCUGGAUCACAGUGAUUCCAGAUUUCUUUGGGACUACUUGGGUGGGACUCACCCACAAGCUGUCUGAAAUGGGAUAGAUGAUCCCAGCUUGAAGUAGCUUCAAAACUUCAUUCCUCACCACCUCUUGCAUGUGAGGAUUCAGUCUCCUUUGGGGUUGCCUCACUGGUUUUGCAUCAUCCUCCAUAUAAAUAUGAUGGGUGCAAACCAAAGGGCUAAUCCCUUUCAAAUCAGAAAUUUGCCAUCCAAUGGCUUUCUUACAUUUUCUGAGGACUCCUAAAAGACUAUCCUCUUGAUCACUAUUGAGGGUUGAGGCAACCACUACUAGACAUUUUUCAUCAUCCUCCAAGUAUGCAUACUUCAACUCCACAGGAAGUGGCUUUAAAAUAAGCUUUGGAGGGUCCUCCACAGCAACUCCUUGUGAGUCUUCCUGGUUGAACAGUGGCAAGAUCUCUUCCCGUCUCCUCCAAGGAGACAUAAUGGCUAGCACAUCAGAGGGUUCAGGGAACCCAUCUUCAAGGACUUCCAGGUUUUCAUUCAAGCUCUCCUCUAAACUCUUGUCACAGUGCUCUUCAACCAAAGUGUUGAUCAAGCAUACUUUCUCAAAUCCUUCUUCCUCUUCAGGGUAAAGAUGCCUCUUACAUAAGUGGAAUAUGUUUACUUCCAAAGUCAUGUUUCCAAAUGUGAGCUGCAUCACCCCAUUCCUACAGUUAACGAUGGCAUUUGAGGUGGCUAGAAAAGGCCUCCCUAGGAUGAUUGGCACAUAAUUUUCUUCUUUGACAGAGGAAUCAGUAUCAAGCACCACAAAAUCCACAGGAUAGUAGAAUUUGUCCACUUGAACUAGAACAUCCUCUAUCACACCCCUUGGGAUUUUGACUGACCUAUCAGCUAAAGAGAGGGUCAUGGCUAUAGGCUUUAAUCCUCCAAGUCCCAGUUGUUUAUAAACAGAGUAUGGGAGCAAAUUCACACUUGCUCCCAAAUCUAAUAAAGCUUUUUCCACAUGUGUCCCUCCAAUGUUGACUGAUAUGGUGGGACAUCCCGGGUCUUUAUACUUAACUGGGGACUUACUCUGGAUGAUAGCACUCACUUGCUCAGUGAGGAAUGCAUUCUUUGUCACCUGUAAACCUCUCUUGACUGUGCACAAGUCCUUUAGAAACUUUGCAUAUGUGGGGACUUGCUUGAUCAUAUCAAGUAAAGGUAUAUUCACCUUCACUUGCCUCAGCNNNNNNNNNNNNNNNNNNNNNNNNNNNNNNNNNNNNNNNNNNNNNNNNNNNNNNNNNNNNNNNNNNNNNNNNNNNNNNNNNNNNNNNNNNNNNNNNNNNNNNNNNNNNNNNNNNNNNNNNNNNNNNNNNNNNNNNNNNNNNNNNNNNNNNNNNNNNNNNNNNNNNNNNNNNNNNNNNNNNNNNNNNNNNNNNNNNNNNNNNNNNNNNNNNNNNNNNNNNNNNNNNNNNNNNNNNNNNNNNNNNNNNNNNNNNNNNNNNNNNNNNNNNNNNNNNNNNNNNNNNNNNNNNNNNNNNNNNNNNNNNNNNNNNNNNNNNNNNNNNNNNNNNNNNNNNNNNNNNNNNNNNNNNNNNNNNNNNNNNNNNNNNNNNNNNNNNNNNNNNNNNNNNNNNNNNNNNNNNNNNNNNNNNNNNNNNNNNNNNNNNNNNNNNNNNNNNNNNNNNNNNNNNNNNNNNNNNNNNNNNNNNNNNNNNNNNNNNNNNNNNNNNNNNNNNNNNNNNNNNNNNNNNNNNNNNNNNNNNNNNNNNNNNNNNNNNNNNNNNNNNNNNNNNNNNNNNNNNNNNNNNNNNNNNNNNNNNNNNNNNNNNNNNNNNNNNNNNNNNNNNNNNNNNNNNNNNNNNNNNNNNNNNNNNNNNNNNNNNNNNNNNNNNNNNNNNNNNNNNNNNNNNNNNNNNNNNNNNNNNNNNNNNNNNNNNNNNNNNNNNNNNNNNNNNNNNNNNNNNNNNNNNNNNNNNNNNNNNNNNNNNNNNNNNNNNNNNNNNNNNNNNNNNNNNNNNNNNNNNNNNNNNNNNNNNNNNNNNNNNNNNNNNNNNNNNNNNNNNNNNNNNNNNNNNNNNNNNNNNNNNNNNNNNNNNNNNNNNNNNNNNNNNNNNNNNNNNNNNNNNNNNNNNNNNNNNNNNNNNNNNNNNNNNNNNNNNNNNNNNNNNNNNNNNNNNNNNNNNNNNNNNNNNNNNNNNNNNNNNNNNNNNNNNNNNNNNNNNNNNNNNNNNNNNNNNNNNNNNNNNNNNNNNNNNNNNNNNNNNNNNNNNNNNNNNNNNNNNNNNNNNNNNNNNNNNNNNNNNNNNNNNNNNNNNNNNNNNNNNNNNNNNNNNNNNNNNNNNNNNNNNNNNNNNNNNNNNNNNNNNNNNNNNNNNNNNNNNNNNNNNNNNNNNNNNNNNNNNNNNNNNNNNNNNNNNNNNNNNNNNNNNNNNNNNNNNNNNNNNNNNNNNNNNNNNNNNNNNNNNNNNNNNNNNNNNNNNNNNNNNNNNNNNNNNNNNNNNNNNNNNNNNNNNNNNNNNNNNNNNNNNNNNNNNNNNNNNNNNNNNNNNNNNNNNNNNNNNNNNNNNNNNNNNNNNNNNNNNNNNNNNNNNNNNNNNNNNNNNNNNNNNNNNNNNNNNNNNNNNNNNNNNNNNNNNNNNNNNNNNNNNNNNNNNNNNNNNNNNNNNNNNNNNNNNNNNNNNNNNNNNNNNNNNNNNNNNNNNNNNNNNNNNNNNNNNNNNNNNNNNNNNNNNNNNNNNNNNNNNNNNNNNNNNNNNNNNNNNNNNNNNNNNNNNNNNNNNNNNNNNNNNNNNNNNNNNNNNNNNNNNNNNNNNNNNNNNNAUAUAUGGUUUGAACCGUUGGAUUCUUGACUUUCUGAGCUUCGAAAUGGUAUAUAGAAUGAAGAAAAUGGACUUCGGGAAGUGCUCCAAAAGUGCACUAAAAGACUGCAGCUGUGUCCCCUAUUUUCAUCCCCUGUUUUCUUCUUCUCCAUUGUUUCUCCCUUGUAAACUUUGAACGAUUAAGGCAAAGGAUUAUGAGGCUCCAUAGCUUGAUUUCUUCAUAAAUUUAAGCUUUCAAAAGCUUUGCCCUGAACUAUAAAUAGCUCUCCCUCAUUCUUAAAUUGCUUUGGUGAGCAUAAAGCUAUCAAAAAGCACCAAAACUUAACACAAUUGUUAGAAACGAUUGCAAGGGCUCCUAACAUGCUAAUUGGGUUAAAAGGUAAUAAUUACUACUCAAUGGUGUUUAAAAGAGCUAAUUACAAGCUAUAAAAUAGCAUGUUUUGAGUAGUAAUCAUUCCCCAACUUAGAAUGGACUUUGAUACCCUUGGUACAUCCUUUACAAAAUUUGGUACAUCCUUUAUAAAAUUUGGUACAUCAUUCACAAAUUUUGGUACAUCUUUUAAAAAAAAAAAAAUGGUACAUCCAAUCCUUGAGCUAUCAACACUCCUAUCUUGUUACCCAUGGUCCAUUUAUUCCUUUAGGGAUCUUUGGGAAGUAAUUAGAGGUCAUUCCUUACUCCGAAAUAAACUUUGGAACCCUAGGUACAUCCUUAAGAAAUUUUGAUACAUCCAAUUCUUGGGCUAACGAGACACUUAUCUCCCUUUCUAGGGUCCAUUUAUUACUUUGGAGACCCUUAGGAAGUGAUUGAAGGUCGUUUCCCACCUUAGAGUAGACUUUGGCACCCUUGGUACAUCCUUCACAAAAUUUGGUACAUCCUUAAAAAAAUUCGAUACAUCUAAUUCUUGAGUAAUCGAGACCCCUAUCUUAUUACCCAUGGUCUGUUUAUUUCUUUAAGAACAUUUGGGAAGUGAUUGGAGGUCGUUCCCUACUCUAAAAUGAACUUUGGAACCCUAAGUACAUCCUUAAGAAAAUUUGGUACAUCCAAUCCUCAACCUAUUGGGACAUCUAUCUCCAUUUUCAUGGUCCAUUUGUUAAUUUUGGGGACACUUAGAAGGUAAUUAGAGGUCGUUCUACACCCUGGAAUGAACUUUGGAACCUUAGGUACAUCUUUAAGAAAUUUUUGUAUUUAUAUUGUUAUGUAAUGGUUUGAUGUUGCUGAUUUAAAUAAGGUAGUUGAGUCAUAUUUUAAAAUCAUUCGGGGAAAACAAAUUGUAUUUAUUCAUGAACAGAUGAAAAUGAAUAACAACUGAGGUUAUUAUUACUUUUAAUGGUAUUAUACUAUGAAUCAUUGAUUCGUUCCCAAUUAGUGUCUUAGCUGAUUCAUAUCCUCUCAAUGGUCCCUGAUAGUGGUGUCAUUUGAUUCGUGUCCAGCUGGUGUCCCUUGAUUUUGGUCCUCAGGGAGUAAUCAACAAAAUUUAUAACCUAUUACACCAUGAACUAGGGUAGCAAAGACAAAGCUACUAUAGCAUAGUGGCUCUAGGAUCGUUCACUGGGAUGGGUUUUCACUUCACAAUUGAUAUUAAUUCAAAGCUGAAUUGGUGCCUUUUCAUUUCAAGGUUAGCUUUAAAAUAAAACAUAAUCUUUGGUGGAAAAGGUUUGGUUUUAAGCUAACCAAAAAUAAUAAUAACUGAUUUUAAUUACAAAGAAAAGCGUUCCUUAGAGUUUCAGAUCACUAGGCUCAGGUUCCUUGUACAAAAAGGGAGUUUCGGUCACUUGUUUCUUUUCCUCGUGAUUACUACUCAAAAAGUGCUAUUUGAUAGCUUGUAAUUAACUCUUUUAAACACUUUUGAGUAGUAGUUAUCACCUUUUAACUCAAUUGGCUUGUUAAAGACCCUUGCAAUCAAUUCUAAUAAAAAAUGUGUUAAGUUUUGGUGUUUUGAUAGCUUUUUGAUCACCAAAGCAAUCUGAGAUUGAGGAGAGUUCUUUGGAAUCCAUGCAAGGAGUAUACCCAGACAGGGCGUUCGGAUACAUCAUCGGAUUGCAUCCGGACAACAUUCCACCCGGAUGUCUUUUCAUCCGGAUGGCGCUGCUCCGCCGCCAUUCCAUCCAAAUGUAUCAGCCGCCAUUCCAUCUGGAUGUAUCUCAACCGCGCACUUUCCACCCGGAUGGCUUACAUCCGGGAAUAUGCUUACAUCCAGAAAUCUACUGCGCCGACAUUCCAUUCGGAUGUCUCACAUCCGGCACAUUCCAUCUGAUAUUUUGCAUCCGGCACCUGACGCCGGAUGGGAGAGGAGGCAUUUUAACUUCUCCAGACGGACGUAUCUGGAUCAUCUGAUAGCGUCUACCCGGAUGGGAGAGCAGCCAUUUUGCACAGUGCCGCGGUGUUCUCCUGAAGCUUCCCGAUUUGUGUCACUGACAUUUUGAGAUAUUUUGGGAUAUUUUGAGAUAUUUUGCUUUACAUAUUUGUUGUCUAAAUCCCCAAAAUCUCCUUGUAAUCCACCAAUUAUAGGAUUCCUUAGUUAUUAAGUUUGGAAAAAGAAUAAAUAACCUUUUUAUAUUAUUAUUGUAAUUUUCAUAUAUAUAUCUCUCGGGAGCCUGUUCUCGAGACGAUCGAUCCUUUGUACAGUUUUCAAGGGAAGUAAAAUACAAAGCCUUUGCUCUGCUUUACCUUCUCAUUUUUAAUUGUAUUUUCUUACUAGCUAAACAAGCUCUGAGGAUGUUUCCUUAGAGAAUAAGUGGCUAGACUUUUAGUUCCUUGGAGUUAAGAUUGUCGGGAAAGGUUCCAAGUGCAAGAAUUAGUAGCUUUGUGGUUUCAACCAUUAAUGAAGAGAAAGUGUGACCCGUUAAUGAUUUCUAUGUUUUUAGUUAACUUAAAACGCCUUUAAAUCACCUGGCCCAAUACUUGGUAAGGCAAGUGAUCUCCAUCUGUAGAGAUGCACUAGUUUAUCUCUUGCGAGCCUCUGGGAGGUGGUUUGAAGGUAGGAUUUUCUAGAAUAGCCAACACUUGGUAAGCUUUUGGACUCUACGGAGACAUCCAUUAGUUAUCUCUUGCGAGCUUUUGACGGAUAAUCCAAGGUUAAAGAUCACCUUGAAUGGCAAGUGCUAGGUGAGAGGUAUGAGCCAUUGCAAGGUGCAUCAGUGAGAGAGAUUUAGUGUUUGAACCCAUUAAAGGGAAGCAUCUGUACAGUACCGAUUAGAGAAUUGACUAUAUGUUAAUUCUCUAAUGCGAGGAAAUGAACCAAAUGACCGGAGCUUUGUUUUUGCAUGAGGAACAUCCCCUGUAAACCUAAACCUCCAAGGAAUGUUUUUCUCCAUAAGUAAUUUUCAUUACUUCCUUUACCGUUAGUUUAAACCAAACCUUUUUCAUCCAAAAAUUAUGUUUUCUUUUAAAGCUAACCUUGAAAUGAAAAAGCACCAAUUCACUUUGAAUUGGUAUCAUUUAUGAAUUGAAAACCCUUCCCAAUGAACGAUCAUAGAGCCACUAUUCUAUAGUAGCUUUGUCUUUGCUACCCUAGUUCAUGGUGUAAUAGGUUAUAAAUUUUGUUGAUAACUCCGUCAAUUAAGGAGCACCAACUGGACAUGAAUCAGUUGAUACACCGACUGGGCACGAAUCACCUCGCAUUGGGGAUUUAACAUAUAGUUAUUUCCCGAACCGGUGUGGUACAGAUGCUUCCCCUUAAUGGGUUCAAACACUAAAUCCCUCUCACUGAUGCAUCUUGCAAUGGCUCGUGCCUCUCACCUAGCAUUUGCCAUUCAAGGUGAUCUUUAACCUUGGAUUACCCGUCAAAAGCUCGCAAGAGAUAACUAAUGGAUGUCUCCUUAGAGUCCAAAAGCUUACCAAGUGUUGGUUAUUCUAGAAAAUCCUACCUUCAAACCACCUCCCAAAGGCUCGCAAGAGAUAAACUAGUGCAUCUCAAUGGAUGGAGAUCACUUGCCUUACCAAGUGUUGGCCCAAGUGAUUUAAAGGCAUUUUAAGUUAACUAAAAAGAUAAAAACCAUUAACGGGUCACACUUUCUCUUCAUUAAAAACUAAAACAACAAAACUUACAAUUUAUGCAUGAGGAAACUUACCCGACUUUCUUCACUCCAAGAAACGAAGAGCCUAGCCUCUCAUCCUCUGAGGAAAAAUCCUCAGAUUUUAGUUGGCUAGAAAGAAAAAUAACAAGAAAAAAAAAAUAUGAAGGAAAAACAGAGCAAGUGCUUUGUAAAAUAUAUUUCUUACUAUUACAAAAGGUUGUCUCUAAGAACAAACUCCUGAGAGAUCUUUAUAUGAAAAUUACAAUAAUAAUAUAUACAAGGUUAUUCAUCCUUUCACUACUACAAAAAUAGUUUAUGGUGUCACUAUUUACGGUGUCACUUUUAAAAUAAUGACACCAUAGGGUUUAUAAUUAAUAAAGGUGACACAUCAUAUAAAAAAUAUUCAAUUGAGGUAGUUAGAUGAUAUUAAUUUUAUAUUUAUAGUGUCAUUUUUUGGGAAGUGACAUCAUAUAAAAUAAAUUUUUUUAAGUAUUAUAACUUAAUGAGCCCACUUUUAGAAUUAAUAAUGAUGGAUACUAUAUAAAAAUCCCAUUGUUUCCAUAUCUCACCCACAAUCCAAAAAAUCUCAAUAUAUAAAUCCUAUAUAUAAAAUCAUGAUCUUCUUCAACCUUUUCUCUCACCCAUCCAUAGUCAACACGCUCAAAACCGACAUUCUUCACUUUGUGGACUCCCAGGUAACCCAAAAUCUCUUGGAUCUAUCAUUUUUUUUUUUCUUUUAUUAAUGCCAUUAUAUUAAUUGUUUCAACAUCUUUGUAUUAUGGUUUUUGUGAAUUGUGUNNNNNNNNNNNNNNNNNNNNNNNNNNNNNNNNNNNNNNNNNNNNNNNNNNNNNNNNNNNNNNNNNNNNNNNNNNNNNNNNNNNNNNNNNNNNNNNNNNNNUCAAAUGAAAGUGAUGAAAGAGAGUAAAUAUUUUAAUGCGCAAUUAUAUUUUAAUGUUAUUUUUUUUUUUACAUAAGGGUUUAUUUAUGUUUUCAAUUUUGAAGUUCCCUUUCCAAGUCCAGAAACAAAAGUAGUGUCCAACCUUAAAAUGGGCAUGUGUGGUAUUGACGGGAGAUGAUAAGAUGGAAAUCAUAACCAUAGCCAUGUUCUCUCUAUGUCUUUCUAUCAUCUUCAAUUAAUUCAUGGGCAUAGAUAUUUUAUUUAGUUUUUAUAUUUAGUUUAUUUAGUUUCUAAAAUCCAAUUAGCUAGAUAUUUUAUUUGAUUUUAUUUUUAUAUUUAAGUAGUUGAGUUUUGGAAAGUUUUUAUAUUUUGUUAAUAGAGAUAGAAAUUUUAUAUUUUUUAUUAUUAGCAAUUUCUAUUUUGUUAAAUUGUAAGUAUCUAUCUCAAUAAGAGAUUAUUAAUAUUCAAAUGAAAGUGAUGAAAGUGAGUAAAUAUUUUAAUGCUCAAUUAUAUUUUAAUGUUAUUUUUUUUUUUACAUAAGGGUUUAUUUAUGUUUUCAAUUUUGAAGUUCCCUUUCCAAGUCCAGCAACAAAAGUAGUGUCCAACCUUAAAAUGGGCAUGUGUGGUAUUGACAGGAAAUGAUAAGAUGGAAAUCAUAACCAUAGCCAUGUUCUCUCUGUGUCUUUCUAUCCUCUUCAAUUAAUUCAUGGGCAUAGAUAUUUUAUUUAGUUUUUAUAUUUAGUUUAUUUAUAGUUUAUUUAGUUUCUAAAAUCCAAUUAGCUAGAUAUUUUAUUUGAUUUUGUUUUUAUAUUUAAGUAGUUGAGUUUUGGAAAGUUUUUAUAUUUUGUUAAUAGAAAUAGAUAUGAGGACUUAAAGGGUUUAUAUUUAGGUAGUGCUUGAGCCAAGGAAAAUGAUAGUCCACUAUCUUGACCUUAUGCAUCACAAACCAUGUGAGGACUUAAAGGAUAUCGUAAACAUGUAAGUUCUUCUUAUUAUUUUUCAUAGUAUUAUUUUUAAAUAAAAAAAAUACAUUCACCUCAAACACAUUUUUUUAUUAUUUAUAUAUAUUAAAAUAUAUAACAUUUACCUAUUUUAAAAAUGUACCCAUUGAACUUAUUUACAUAGGGCUCUUCAAAUAUUUGCAAAGAAAACAUUUAAGAGGGAGCCAUCUUAGCAACUAGUGCAGGUGACAUCCAAAAAAUUUUCUUUACACAUUAGCUUAUGCAUUUGCACCAUUUAUAUAUGUGAAUACUAAUGUUAUUUUAUAAUUGAUCGAUUAGUGUCCAAGACAAGAAGGAGGGUUCGAAUGUGGCUACUUUGUUAUGAGAUUCAUUAAAGAGAUAAUUUUUUAUCCUACAAUUAUUGCUUCAAAGGUAUUACUUAUUUAAUGAAUUGUACAUAGUUUUAGGCUUCCAAAUGUUAUGCAUUUUAAUGUUAUUUUCUUAUUUGAUUUCAGUUUGGUAAUAAAAAAAACAUAUUCUCAAGUAGAAUUCGAUGAAAUUAGAGGAGAAUGGGCUACUUUUGUGCUACAAUUAAUCAUGAAUCAUGUUGAUGCAUCAUGAUCACCAUGCAUGGUGAGUCCCUUAGCUACUACAUGAAUUUUUCCAUAGGUAUUGUAUAGUAAUGCUUAUUCUUUGAAUAAUGUUUCUAUUUGAAAAAAAAAAAUUAAUUCUUAGAUUUGUUCAUUUAUGAUAACAUAGAUCCAUGUUUAUUUUCUUCAAUAAAAAUCUCUAAAACUCAUUAAAUUUUGAAAUGCAGGUAUACACUCUUGGGAGGGUGAAAUGGAGAAUAAAAAGAAAGAAAAAGGCAACAAGAUUUUGGGUUUUUAAAUGCAACUCUUAUGUCAUAUGUUGUAGGACAUAAACAUUACUUUAAUUGCAACUGAGAAAUUUAGAUUUUUAGAUGGGACUUCUAUGUCAUUUUAUGGUUAGCCGGUUUUAUGCUUAUGAAAUGGAGGUAUACAUAAAUCUUGGGAUCUUUAACAUUUCUAAAUCAUGUUUUGGUAUGUAUUCACUCUUCUUUUUUAGUUUUGAUGGGUUUGAUAUGUUGGACGUACUAUCCUUUUGUGAACAUUUGAUAUACAAAUAUUAUUAGAUGAUCAAUGUAUUAUGAGUUAUUCCAGAAACAUUACAGAAAAAUGAGUUAAAUAUAAUAUGAUUGUUAUAUUUAUGGACAAAAUAUAAACAGGUUAAUUAUAUUAAUUCAUAAGCAUUACAAAAAUCAACAACUAAAACCAAUCAUAUAUUCCACAAUAAUUUACAAUGAUGUGAUACCAUAACUCAAAGGUGAUGCAUUUAAUGUGACAUCAUAACUCAAAGAUGAUGUAUUUAAUGUGACACCCUAUCAUCACUAGAAAUAUAUGGUGUCACUUCUGAAUGGGUCACCAUUUAUAUACUUUGGUGUCACUUCCAAAUAUGUCACCAAUUGGUACCCUCUAUGGUGUCAGUGGAGAAGGUGACACUAUGUUGUAGUGACACCUUAUGUUUAUGGUGACUCGUUAUAAAUGUCACCAUAUACAUUUUUCCUUGUAGUGUUUUUUCAAACUUAAUAACUAAGGAAUCCUAUAAUUGGUGGGUUACAAGGAGUGUUUGGGGAUUUAGACAUCAAAUAUCUAAAGCAAAAUAUCUCAAAAUGUCGGUCGCAAAUAUCGGGAAGCUUCAGGAGAACACCGCGGCACUGUGCAAAAUGGUUGCGAAACUCUCUGGAUAAGCACUAUCAGAGGAUCCAGAUAUGUUUGUCCAGGGAAAUUGAAAUGCCUUCCUCUCCCAUCCAGCGUUAGGCGCCAGAUGUGAGAUAUCCGGAGAAGGUGCCGGAUGUGAAAUAUCCGGAGAAGGUGGAACGUCACAAGGGAGACUGUCUGCGUGUGCAAGGUGCAGGGACCCCUCCCCCUAAUGACACGGAGCGCGCAUCACUAUCCGGAGCACUCCAUCCAGAUUCCCCAAAUGACACGUGGCACGCUCCCCUAUCCGGACUCCCUUAGGGAGAAGCACACGACACUCGUGAUCAUCACACCCCGGACGAUAGCAUAUCCUAUCCGGAUAUGUUGUCCGGAUCAUUGACUAAAGUGAGCAAGCCUUGCUACAGCCCACGUUCCGCCGCCCUCCGAUGGUGUGUCCGGACGCCCUGUCCGGACAUCUUUUGCAUGAAAGACCCCAUACUCCUUGUAUUUUGGAUUUGCUUAUGGAAAAGUACUUCAAAGCUUAGGUUCUUCAUGUUUCUGAGCUUUGUCCGGACACCCUGGAUUCCAAAGAACUCUCCUCAUUCUCGAAUUUCUUUGGUGAUCAAAAAGCUAUCAAAACACCAAAACUUAACACAAUUUGAUUAGAAUUGAUUGCAAGGGUCCUUAAUAUGUUAAUUGGGUUAAAAGGUGAUAACUACUACUCAAAAGUGUUUAAAAGAGUUAAUUACAAGCUAUGAAAUAACACUUUUUGAGUAGUAAUCAAUCAUUUGAAUAGUUUUCUUCAAAAAUUUUGUCAAUUUCAAAUGGAUUAUAGUUGAAUUGAAAAAGGAAGGAAUAUAGUUGUAGCAAAGAAGGAUUGAAUUUGUGUGGGCAAUAUAGAAGAAAGAGGUUGACCCUUAUAUGAAAAACAGAUUGUUAACCAGUAGGCAUAAUAGUGGCCGACCUUUUCAUGUAGGGGUUGACCCUUUUUAGCUUAUGACCCUUAGUCAUAAUAUUAGUUUUGCUUGAAGUGGUUAGUAGCAAAAAUAAGGGUCAACCCUUUAGUUCAUAGGUAGUCCCAUCAUGUUUUUAAAAUUGUUUUUGUUUUAUGUGGGUAGUAGGCAAAACAAAGGUUGACCCAUUGUUUAAUUGGUAAGCCUUUAAAUAUGGAUGUUAUAACGUUAGAACAUUAAUAGUGAGGAAAAUUAUAGUUAGCUCAUGUAUUCAAAGGUAGAGCCUGAACUUAUAUUACAUAUCAAAUAAGUACCUAAUAAAUAAAUAAAUAAAAGUAAAUGCAUUGCGUGAUGUUUGGUAUAGAUAAUACAUUUCAAUAUUUAGCUCAUUAAUGUCACUCUAUAAAGUGUUAAUGAAGCGGAUUUGGAUUGUUCAUAAUCUAAAUGAGGUAUUAAUAUAUGAUGACUACAUGUAUGAUCGUGACAAUUAUUAUAAGUAGUUAGUUUUGAUAGGGUUAUUUAUAAAUAUAUAUUUAAACAAUUAAAUACCUAAUGGGGUCUAAGUGUGAGAAUAAAAUAAUUUAUGCUUAUUUUGUAAAUAUUGUAAGUAUUUUUGUAAUGAAUAUAUGUAUUAUUGGAAAUAUUUAUGAACAUGCCUAGUUUAUUGCUAUUUCUAUAUGUAUGUAUGUAUGUAUGUAUGUAUUAAAAAGUAAAAUCAAGGAUGUUCAUCAUCUCCUCAUAAGGAUGUAAUUGGGUUCUGAAGUCCAUUUUAGGGUAGGGAACAACCUCCAAUCACUUCUCAAGGAUCUUUAACGGAACAAACAAACCAUGAGUAAUAAGAUAGGGUCCUAGUAGCUCAAGGAUUGGAUGUCGCAAAUUUUGUGAAUAAUGUUCCAAAUUUUGUAAAUAAUAUACCAAAUUUUGUAAAUGAUGUACAAAGUUUGUUUUGAGGUAAGGAACGCCCUCUAAUCACUUCUCGAGGGUCUCCAAAUUAAUAAAUGGAUUAUGGAAAGGGAGAUAAGUGUCUCGUUAGCCCAAGGAUUGGAUGUAUAAAAUUUUCUUAAGGAUGUACCUAGGAUUCCAAAGUCCGUUUUGGAGUACGAAAUGACCUCCAAUCACUUCCCAAAGAUCCCUAAAUGAAUAAAUGAAUCAUGGGUAAUAAGAUAGGGGUCCCGGUAGCUCAAGGAUUCGAUGUACCAAAAUUUGUAAAGGAUGUAACAAGGGUGCCAAAAUCCAUUUUGAGGUGAAGAACGACCUCCUAUCACUUUCUAAGGGUCUUUAAAGGAAUAAAUAGACCAUGGAAAAGGAGGUUGGUGUCCUGUUAGCUCAAGGAUUGGAUGUAACAAAUUUUCUUAAGGAUAUACCUAGGGUUCCAAAGUCCAUUUCGAAGUAAGGAAUAACCUCCAAUCACUUCCCAAAGAUCCCUAAAGGAAUAAACGAACUAUGGGUAAUAAGAUAGGGGUCCCGGUAACUCAAGGAUUGGAUGUACCAAAUUUUUUUAAGGAUGUACCAAAUUCUAUGAAGGAUGUACCAAAUUUUGUAAAAGAUGUACUAAAGAGGCCAAAGUCCAUUCUGAGGUAGGGAACGACCUUUAAUCACUUUUUGAGGUUUUCCAAAGGAAUAUUUUUAAAGUGUCCCAUUAACUCGAAGAUUGGAUGUACCAAAUUUUCUUAAGGAUGUACCUAGGGUUCAAAAGUCUAUUUCGAAGUAGGGAUAAACCUCCAAUCACUUCACAAAGAUCCCUAAAUGAAUAAAUGGAUCAUGGGUAAUAAGAUAGGGGUCUUUGUAGCUCAAAGAUUGGAUGUACCAAAUUUUUUUAAGGUGUACCAAAUUUUGUAAAGGAUGUACCAAAUUUUUUAAAUGAUGUACCUGAAGGGAAAAACACAGAUAUCUCUGUUUCCCAAGUCUAAAUCAGGUUAGGAAUAUGCAUAACUAUCCUAGGCUUUUUUAAAAUCUUAUGUAUAACAAAAAAAUAACAUUUGUAUACUUUAAAAGGAUUCAGAAAGUGCUAACGAAAACUAUACCUCAGAUUCAAAUGUUCUCGAAUCAAAUCCACAUGGUAAAUAUGAAGAUUGAAAUUGCAAAGUCUCGUAAAUCUAAAGUUUUCAAUCUGAUGACUCGACCCUUGAUCUUGGCACACUUUCGGUGGAGAAGAAAAAAAGGGUGGAUGCUAUGGCUCUCAAUCUUUCUGGAUGAUGAGAGACAAAAACUAUGAAAACCCUAACCUCUAGGAGGUAUUUAUAAGGUUCCUAAGUGGGCUUAAGUGACUUAAGUCCACAUGGGAUUGGGUAACUUAAUUUAGCCUAAAAUGGGUUCUAAUUGAUUAAUUAACCCAAUAGGUUCAACUAAUUAAUCAGUAAGCCUAAUCCAGAGACCUUGUUCACUUACCUUUAUGCAACCUUGCAUAGUAACCAAAACAUCCUUAUGCAUAAAAGUGAACUUAGAGCUAAUUCGACCCUCAUAAUUCAUGCUAACAAGGUAUAUGAGCUCAAAAUGGGGAUCAUUAGGACCCAUAGGAAUACUGGCUCCCUCAUAAUCCAAUUCUAAAGUUGAUUCAAAAUCACACUAUAGAGAAUCAAUUGAAAUCCAAUAUCCUAUGUAAAUAACAACGAGACACCAAGUGCUUGAGUCUAUGACCUGCUAUCCAUUGUGUUCAGUCUCCCUAUGAACUAGUGUCCAUAGUCUACCAAGGUGAAAGCUAUCAACCUUUCAAGACUACUUCUACCAUCCUUAAGUUACAAAUCCUUCUAUUGUGUGUUUAAUUGGCAUAUCUUAGCUCUCAAAAGAGCCUAUGUAAAGUUCCACUUAAGAAACUACCAUGGCCAUAGUUUCCAUGAACACACCUCCUUAGGAUCACCCAAGGGGACACACUAUCUCAAUCCCAAGAGAUAUAAUAGUGCCUCUAUUGAGAAUACUUAUUGCUAUCGGUUUCCAUCAAUAAUGAUUUAAUCCAUAGGGAAUAUAUGAUCGACUUACGAUCUCACCCAUAGGUCAAAGUCGUUGCUAACUUUAGCAUAAACUCAAUAUUCUCUCAAGGUUGAGAGAAACACAAUGAAGCAGUUUGGUGAGGUCAUGACUCACCGUAAGUCCUGUCCAAUGUAUAACCAUACACACUAAUGCACUCACCAUGGGAAACCCAUCCCGAUAGCCAAGACUAGCCAUCCUUUCAAUUAGGAGGUGGUGUGCUACAACCUCUAAUGGGUUGCCUAAACCUAUGAAUCGGUUGUAGUGCACCAUGGGAAACCUAUACCAAUAGCCAAGACUAGCCAUCCUUUGAAUUAGGAAGUGGUGCACUACAACCUCUAAUUGGUUGCCUGGACCUAUGAAUUGGUUGUGAACAAGUCAUUUAUUUGCAAAGAACCUAUGACGUAGAUCUUCUAUGCAACUCUAAUGCACCUAAGUCACGUAUAAUGCAAAAUAUGUAAGCAAGAAUGCUCAUAAAGUAUAAUACAUGGAAUAAGGAUAGAUAAAAGUGAAAUUGGAACAUCAUUAAAUAAAUAAUGAAUUCCAAAUUUAUUACAUCAUGUCAUGCUUUAAGGGCACUAUCUUAACAAUAAAAAGGGUGGCAAAAUCCGUUCCGAGAUCGAGAACAACCUCUAAUCACUUUUCAAGGGUCUCCAAAGGAAUAGAUGGACCAUGGAAAGGGAGAUAGGUGUCCCAUCAGCCUAAGGAUUGGAUGUACCAAAUUUUCUUAAGGAUGUACCUAGGGUUCCAAAACCCAUUUCAGAGUAGGGAACAACCUUCAAUCACUUCCCAAAGAUCCCUAAAGGAAUAAUAUACCUUGCCUAAUAAGAUAGGGGUCCCGAUCAAGGAUUGGAUGCAUUAAAUUCUUUUAAGAAUACACCAAUUUUUGUGAAUGGCGUAUAAAAUUUUAUAAAAGAUGUACCAAAUUUUGUAAAUGAUGUACCAAGGAUUCCAAAGUCCAUUCCAAGGUUGGGAACGACCUUCAACCAUUUCCCAAAGGUCUCCGAAUGAAUAAAUGAACCAUGGGAAGGGAGAUAGAUGUCUUAUUAGCCUAAGAAUUAGAUGUACCAAAUUUUCUUAGCGGUGUACCUAGGGUUCCAAAGUUCAUUUCAGAGUAGAAAACGAUCUCUAAUCACUUCCCAAAGAUCCUUAAAAAAAUAACAGACCUUAGGUAAUAAGAUAGGGGUCCCGAUAGCUCAAGGGUUGAAUGUAUCAAAAAAUUUUAAGGAUGUACCAAAUUUUAUGAAAGAUGUACCAAAUAUUGUAAAGGGUGUACCGAAUUUUAUAAAUGAUGUACCAAGGGUGCCAAAGUCUGUUCUGAGGUCAAGAAUGACCUCCAAUCACUUUCUAAGGGUCUCCAAAAGGAAAAUAAUGGACCAUGAGAAGGGAGAUAGGUGUCCCGUUAGCCCAAAGAUUAUAUGUAUCAAAUUUUCUUAAAGAUGUACCAAAUUUUUUUAAGAAUGUGCCUAGGGUUCCAAUGUAUAGUUCGGGAUGGGGAACGACCUCCAAUCAUUUCUUGAGGGCCCCCAAAUGAACAAAUGGACCAUGGGAAAGGAGAUAAGGGUCUCGGUAACCUGAUGAUUAGAUGUACCAAAUUUUCUUAAUGAUGUAACUAAGGUUCCAAUGUACGUUCUGAGGUAGGCAACGACAUCUAAUGACUUCCCAAGAGUUCCUAAGGGAACAAAUGGACCAUGGAAAGGGAGAUAGUCUAGGUAACUUGAGGAUUGAAUGUACCAAAUUUUCUUAAGGAUAUACCUAGGGUUCCAAAGUCUAUUUAGAGGUGGGAAAUGACCUCCAAUCACUUCUCAAUGGUCCCUAAAUGAUCAAAUGGACCAUGGGAAGGGAUAUAGGGGAUCCCAAUAGCUUAAUGAUUGGAUGUUCCAAAUUUUCUUAAGGAUGUAACUAGGGUUCCAAUGUUAGUUCCAGAGUGGGCAACGACCUCCUAUCCUUCUUGAGAGUUCCAAAAUGAACAAAUAAACCACGAAAAAUGAUAUAGGGAUCCUAGUAACCCGAUGAUUAGAUGUACCAAUUUUUCUAAUGGAUGUAAUUAGGGUUCCAAUGUUAGUUUUAGGUGGGGACUAACCUCUAAUCACUUUUUGAGGAUCAGAAUAACAAAUUUUCCUAAAUAUGUAUCUAGGGUUCAAAAGUCCAUUUUGGGGUGAGAAAUAACCUCAAAUCACUUCUUGAUGGCCUUUAAAGGAGCAAAUGGACCUUGGGAAGAGAGAUAGGGGUCUCGGUAGCCUGAUGAUUUGAUGUACCAAAUUUUCUUAAAGAUGUACCGAAUUUAUAUAAAGAUAUAUCUAGGGUUCCAGAGUCUAUUCCGAGGAGGGAAACGACUUGCAAUCACUUCUUAAGGGUCCUCAAAAGAUCAAAUGGAUCAUGAGAAGGGAUAUAAGGGUCCUGGUAGCCCGAAGAUCAGACAUACCAAAUUUUCUUAACGUUAUACCUAGGAUUCCAAACUUUGUUCCAAGAUGGGAAACAACCUCCAAUCCUUUCCUAAAAGUCUCCAAAGGAAUAUAUGGACCAUGAGAAGGAAGAUAGGGGGUUCUACCCUAGGAUUAGAUGUACCUAUUUUGUUAAGGAUGCACGCAGGGUUUCAACGUUUGUUUUGGGAUGGGGGAGGACCUCCAAUCACUUAUCGAUGAUCCUCAAAGGAAUAUAUAAACCAUGAUAAGGGAGAUAGGGAUCCUUGUUCCUUUAGGAAUGGAUGAACCUAUUUUUCUUACGGAUGGAUGUACCUACUUUUUUUAUGAAAUUAAUAUAUAAGGUUAACUAUAAUUUUUUUUUAAUAAAAAUCUAUAUUUUAUUUUAAUUAAAAAUUAAAGAUUUUAAUGAAGCAAAAAAAUUAGAUUCAUGAUCAAGUUAAAACCAUAAGAAAAAAUAUUAAAGCAUCAUCACUUACUGUGAUUUUGAUAUGAUAAAUUUAAAAUAAUAAAAAUAAUAAAACAGUAUUACAAAUAUAUUUUUACUUUUACGUGUGAUAUGAUUUACAAAAUAAAUAAAUCUUUUAUUUAGCAUUAAUAUAAAAAAUCCUAUAUCAUAAACCUGUAAAUAAUAAAAUAUAAAUUUUAAAUUUAAUCCUUGAUUUAUAAAAUAUAUUACUAUAAUUAAUAUUUAAAAUCAUCAAGUAUAUUAUUUGUGGAAUAAUAUUUUCAUUUUUGUCCAUUAUAUAUUUAUGCUUUUAUUUAAUUUGCUAUAUUACCUAUUUAUUAUUUAUUAUCAUUUUAAAGUUAAUAUGUUAAAAAAUAACUAAAAUCAAUAAAUAUGGGAAGAUUAGAGAGUGAAAAAAAAAAUUGAAGAAGUUUUAUGAGAUAAUACAUUAACAUAUUAAAAUAAAUUGAAAAUGAGAGAUAGAAAAAUAGGACAUGCUUGCAAGAAAAAAGAAAAAAGGAUAAAAGAAAAAAAUAAAAUGUAGAAACGCGGCAAGAGGUGAGAUGUGUGAGAGAGUUUAUGUAAGAGAAAAAAAAAAGUGAUUGGUGUACUUGACAACAACAUUUAAUGUGGUAGGUGUACUUGCCCUCAACUUUCGAGGGUAAUUUUGGAACAAAUUCAUAAGCACUAUUGCAGUGCAUGAAUUGGUAAUAUUUUUUUCCAUUUUACAUUAAAAUUGAAAAAGUAAAAACAAAGUUCUAGAAACCAUAUUUUUUUUAUUGGUGAUGUACCAAAGCAUGAUUAUCCCAAUCUUAAAUAACAAAAAAUCAUAAAUUUUGAAUUUUAUUUUUAAUCUAUUUUUAAAAUUUUUUAAAUUCUAAUGUUUAAUUUUUUAAUUUCUAAAUAUUAAAUAAUAUAAAACUCAUGGCAUGAUGAAGCGCAUUAAAUGCAUUGUAGUAGCAUAUGGUAUUUUUGUAGCAAAGAUGACAUAGAUGGAGUUGUGUGGAGUGUUGUUUGGGAAAAAAAAGAUAAAAAAAAAUUAGAAAAAAAAAAUCUCAAACCCUCACCUAGUCAAGCACCCUUGCAACUUUGAAAAGAAAAAAAAAAAACCCAUCUUUAAAAAUGGAGAAAACCACCAUCGCAAACAAUGGCUCACCACAUUUGUACUCGAUGCCAUAUUCUCUUCAACCUUUCAUCAUCUUCACCACCAACCCAUUUACCUUCUUGAAAAGUCAUUUUCCAAUUGCCAGUCAUACCCACCAUUCUCCAUUACACAUUUGUAUCUGAUAAUAAUUGUGAACAAUAGCCAAUUUGAUUAAGCAAAUCACUAAAGAAAGGGAAGGGGUGGAAGGAGAUGAAUUAGGUGUUACAUUUUUUAUUUUUUUUUCAAAAAAAAAAAAACCAAUUAAUAAAAAAAAAUAAUAAAAGAUAUUAAGUAAGACAACAAUUAAGUAAAAGAUAAAGAGAAAAUAUAUGCAAACUCAUUUAUAGUGGUUCAAAAAUCCACCUAUGUCCACUCUUUGUAACCUCCUAAGCAAGUGAGAGUUCCACCAUUAAAGGCCUUCAACUUAAGCCUUCAAGCUUUAUAUUUAGAUUCAUGGGCUCCAAUGGGCACUCACAAUCCCUUCAAGUACUCCACCUAUUUGAAGUCUCUUCACUCAAAAUGAGUAAAUAAGGAAAGUUCUAAUGCUUUCUGUUAGGACAUUGAGUCUUAUUUAUAUGUUGACAAUUUUGUUAUGUUUUAUGUUUGACCAUAAAAGUCUUUUUAGAUAGUGACUUGCUCUCCAUUAAAGAUCAAUGGUUGUUGUUCAUCCAACUAAGAAGUCACAGGUACAUUUAAAAAGGUUUGGCUUGUGGCAUAUAAGGCUUAUUUAAGGUAUAAAGGUUCAAUAUCAUUUUUGGACUUAAAAUGAUUUAAAUUGAUUUUUCAAAAGAAGCAGGGGCUGCUCAAGUGGAAAGGACCACUCAAGCAGUCAGCUUGCUGAAGUGGUCUAAGUCUGUUCAAGCAGUCAUGACAGCCCUGCCGAGUUUAGACACAGAAUUUGGAUGAAUUUCACUGGAACUCUAGUUUAAAAACUUAAGAUACUAAAACUCUUUGGGCUAUAAAAUACCUCCUGAAUAACCCUUUAAGGGUUAGGGAUCGAAAAUUGAAGAGAUCUUAGAGAUUAGAAACCACUCAUUCUUAAAAAGAGGGACUCCUUGAGAGAAAGCUUAAAUUGUUAUAUCAUUCAUGAUUUCUCAUUCAAGGAUUUAAAUCUUUAAAUCAUGGUUUGAAGACCUUAAUCCCUUUGGAGUGGCAAAAUGAUCUACUAGGAAGUAAUAGGAAGCUGCUACAUCGUAAAUAUGGAUCAAGUUGUAGGUGUUGAAGAGUAAGUCUUUAGGGUAAAGUAGCCAAGUAAAUUUGUUUAACUUGAUUUCAAAUAGUGGAUUUAGAUUGGUAAGUCUUAGAUCUUGUGGUUUUUUUUCUCCAUAUUUUAUGGGGGUUUUUCACGUAAAAAUCUUAUGUCUCAUUGUCUAUAUCUUUUAUAUUUGAUAUUAUGUUUGUAGGGUUUUCAUAAAAGGUGAAUAUCUAUAUAUUCCUGCUUAGAUUUUAUUUGAUUAAGUUUGAUUGAUUUGUUGGGAUUGCUAUCAAGGUUGUUAGGGUUGUUAUCUUGGUGGUUAUGGUUGUUAUCCUUAUAACUAAUUAUUAUUAUCUCUAACAUCUCUCAGGAUAUCCUUUGGAUAUUAAUAAUUAAUUUAUUUUAUCCCAAAUAAUUUUUAGAUAUCAAUUAGCCAUAAAAAUCAAGUUUUACCAUUCUAAAUUUGUGUUGAACUCCGUUUUUAAUAUCCAAGAGAACCUUGAAAAUUUCUUAAAGGUAAAAAAAAAAAUGAUAUAAUAUAUAAAUCUUUAUUUAAAUUUUUAAAUCACCCAUUCAUUCCACCUUUGGAUAUUUGAUAUUGGACUUUUAGUUGUUAUUCAAGUGAUAUUAAAGCAAUACCCAUUUUUCAAUUGGUAUGAAAGCAAAAUGAAAAAUCGAUUCUUUAUCAUAUCGAUUAAAAAUCCAAUUUUUAUUGAUUAGAUUGUUUAAAAAUCAAAUUUUUAUUAAUCACAUAGGAUAAAAAUCAAAAUUUUAUUGAUCCUGUAAGUCUAAUAUGGAACAAUAAAAAAAUGGCGCUCCUUUGAAUAGUCCACCCUAUUUUGAUGGGAAUAAUUACUCUUAAUGGAAAACAUGAAUGAUGUUUUUCCUUAAAACGUAAGGUGAAAGGGUGUGGAACUUAUUUGAAUAUGGUUGGGGACCACCAUUAAUCCUUGAUUCUCAAGGAAGAUCAACAGGUGAACUUAAACCCAAAAAAGAAUGAGACAAAGCCGAUAAUAAAUGUAGUGAAGCCAAUGCUAGGGCUUUAUUUAAUAUUUUUAAUGAAGUUUGUCCAUAUAGGUUUUUAAUGAAGCAUGGGAUAUUCUUCAAGUCACUCAUGAAGAUACGUACUCUGUAAAGAUUUCUAAAUUACAAAUGCUUGCUAAUAGGUUUGAAAAUAUUAGGAUGCAUGAAAAUCAAACUUGUUCUUCCUUUUAUUUUAAAUUAAGUGAUAUUGUAAAUUCUUUGUUUAACCUUAGAGAACUUAUUUCUAAUUCUAAGAUAGGAAAAUAUUGAGAUUUCUUCUAGAGAAAUUUAAACUGAAAGUAACUACCAUAGAGGAGAGCAAGGAAAUUGAUUCCAUAAGAGUUGAUGAACUUGUAGGCUCCAUUCAAACAUAUGACAUUGACUCUACCUAGUUCCUAAAAUCCUAAAGACUCUACUUUAAGGCUUUUGAUGAUGUGAAAAAAUAUAUUAAAAUGAAAUAUGAUAUAACUAAGGGUGAAUUGGCCCAUAUGGCCAAAAAGAUUAAAAAGGUCAUGAAAUUCAAUAGAAUGUUCUAUAAGUACCAAGAAUCUAGAAAAGGAAAAAGACCUAAUGAACAAUCAUCCAAUAAGAAAAGAAAAGAUUCAUUCAAAGGUAAGAAAGUUGAAUGCUUUAAUAGUGGAAGUUUAGGACAUUAUGCUUAAGAUUAUCCUAGCCCCAAAGAUGCCAAAAAGUCUAUGCAAGCAACAUGGAGCAAUACUGAUUCUAAAGAGAGUGCUUCCAUAGCUUCUGAAGAUGCAAGGUAUGAUCUCAAUGACUUGUUAGCUUUUACUGCUUUUAUGGAACUAGUGCAUGAUGGUGAUGAUGAUGAUGAGUUUACUAAUGAACAUAGGGCUAAAUUCUUGAGUAAUCUUGUUGUUGAGCAUGAAAGACAAAUUAAGAGUGAUAUGAAAAAUAUGAUAUCCUUGAUGUUCAUAAAAACAUAAUUGAUGUGCUUAAUGUUGAAAAGACUAAUUUGCUUGAGAAAUUUAGGUUCCUUGAAUCUGAACACCAUUCUCUCCUUGAGGGGAAUAAUCUUCUCAUUUAAAAGAUAAAAAAUAACAAGCCUUUUUCAUCUAUGAAUAAAUUUUUUUACUUCGAAACUAAAAUGCUUAAUGAAAUUCUUGAUAAAUGCAAAACCUAUGGUGAUAAAAGAGCGUUGGGGCACAUUAAUAAAGAUGAAACUCCUUUUAGUGGAGAUAUUGUGUUUGUCAAAGGUAAGGAUGAUACCCCUAACUAAGUAGAAUCUCAUAAAAAGACAUCACUAUGCACACACUAAAAGAAAACUGAAUUCUCUUAGUUUAGAUGCUACACUAGGUUUUUAGAAAGGUUUGAAACUCAAAUAAAUAGACUGAUGAAUAACUUUAAUUCCGUUGAAAAAUAAUAUCUUGAAUAGUGGAAAGGUAAUAAAACCAAACAAAAGCCUAGAAGUCAAUCUAGUUUCUCUAAGUCACCACCUAGGACUAAGCGAGUUUGGUUGAGAAAGGAUAGGCCAAAAUGUCAAGUUAUGUUUAAUGCUCUUAAAGCUAAAUCUUCUAGUAAGUGGUACUUGGAUAUUGGGUGCUCUCGGCACAUGACAUGCGACAAAUUCUCUUUUACUUCUCUUGAAAAUUAUGAUGGUAGGGUUGUUACUUUUGGAGAUGGAAGCCUAGCUCAAGUAAAGGGCAAGGGCUAAUAGUGAUCCCUGGUUGUCCUAAACUAAAUGGAAUUAUAGAUGUUGAAAGACUGAAGGCAAACCUCUCAAGCAUUAGUCAAAUGUGCGACAAAAACCAUAAAGUGAAUUUUCACCAAGACUUGUGUGGGGUAGUUAAUAAAAAAAGGAAAGGUAGUCAUCAUAGGGCAUAAGACAGUUGAUAAUUGUUAUGACAUAAAUCCUAACUCUAGAGCACCUAUUUUGUGUAGUAAGGCUAAGCUUGAUUCUAUAGAGCUCUGGCAUAGAAGACUAGGUCAAAUAAACUGUAGGGAUCUUGUGCACUUAGUGAAUAUUGAAAAAGUUAAAGGUAUCCUUAGACUUAGUGGUGAACCCAAACCCAUUUAUGAUGAGUGCAUGAAAGGAAAACAAACUAAGAGUUGACACAAAAAGGUUAAGGAGAUAAGGACCACUAGACCUUUUAAAUCUUCUUCACAUGGAUCUUAUGGGUCGAAUGCGAAUUAAAAGUAGAGGUGGCAAGAUAUAUGUCCUUGUAGUAGUAGAUGAUUUUUCAAGAUACUUUGUGAUUUUUUUAAAGGAGAAAUCAAAGGCCAUAGAACAUUUGAAGUCUUUAUUUAAUAGAAUACAAGUGGAAAUAGGUCAUCCAAUUGCAAGAAUUAGGAGUGAUAAGGGGAGAGAGUUUGACAAUGUUAAAAUUGACUUUUUUAUUUUUAUUCUAAAGGAAUUAAACAUGAAUAUUCAACCCCUAGAACUCCUUAUUUGAAUGAAGUAGUUGAAACAAAGAAUAGAAUGCUACAAGAAAUGACAAGGGUGAAGAUUCACAUCCAUAAUACCCUUGAAAAAAUAUGGGUAUUGCUCUCAAUACCCCUUAAAUAACCAAAAGUCAAAUAGGAAACACCUAGAGGGGGGAGGGGGAGAGGAGGAUGAAUGAGUGAUUUAAAAAAUUAAAUCAAUAUUUGUAAAUUAUAAUCACUUUUACUUAUCCUAAGAUAUUAUAGGGACAACUUGCAUAUUCAAAAAGGAUUUCACCCUAAUAAAAAACUUAUUUUUAUUGUUAAUAUCCAAAGAUCAACAAUAUAUGUUGAAGAAUAUUAGGGAUAAUAAUAACCACAACCAACCUAAAAAGCUCAACAACCAAUUAACAAAUCAAUCCAAUAUAUUCAAUAUCUUCAACUAGAAUAUAUGUAGAAAUAAAUAUAAACUUUUUAGAAUAGCCUUGGAAGAUAUUAGGUUAAAACAGAUUAACCUAUUUUAGGCAAUUUAAACGUAAUAUCAAAUAUAAAGAGAUAUACAAUGAGACAUAAGAUUUUUAUGUGGAAAACCCCUACUAACCAUGUAGAUAAAAAAAAAAAACAUGAGGCCAAGACCUAUUAAUCAAAAUCCACUAUUUGAAAUCAAGUCAGACAAAUUUACUUGACCGUUUUACCCUAAAGACUUACUCCCCAAUACCUAUAACUUGAUUCAUGUCCGCAAUGUAGCAAAUACUUAUUGCUCCCUAGUAAAUCCUUUGGUUCCUCCUAAGGGAUUAUGAUCUUCAACUAACAAUUCAAAAAAUCAUAUCCUUGAAUGAUAGAACAAGAAUGGUGUGACAAUAAGGCUUUUUUUACCAAAGAGUACCUCUAAAGAAUGAAAGGUCUCUAACAAUUAGAUCUCUACGAUCUUUAAUCUCUUAGCCUGAAUCUCUAACCCUUAGAGGGUUACAAAGGAGGAAUUUAUAGGUAAAAACCAUAAGGAUUUCGGUAUUUCAAGUUUCCAAAUUAGAAUUGGAUUGAAAUUCAUUCAAAAUACUUUUCUAAACUUGAAAAGACUGUUAUGAUUGCUUGAGAAAACUUAUACCGCUUGAGCGCUCUAACUGCUUGAAUGGGAUUAAUCACUUUAGUGAUCCUACUUUUUAAAAAACCUUUUAAGCUCAAAAAUGAUACCUAUCCUUUUAUACCUCAAAUGAGCCUUUAUAUGCCACAAUUCAGACUUUUUUAGACAUACCUGUGAUUUCCCAAUUGAAUGAAUAACAACCCUUAAUAUUCAAUAGAGAGCAUCUCACUAUCUAAAAAGACUUCUAUGGCCAAACAUAAAUUGGAAUAAAAUUGCUAAUGUAUAUGUCCUAACAAUCUCCCAUUUUUGAAAUUCUGUGACGAAACAUUGUUACAUAGACCCACCCAUACUCUCAUAAUGGAGUUUACAUAACACACAUUAACACUCAAAAGUAAACUAAAGGAAUACUUUGCAACGCUUUGUAGUACUUGUCUUCCAACCUUAUAACUUGCACACAUACAAAAAACUAUACUAAAAACAAAACAAUAUGCAGUAUAAUAUAUGAUCAAGAAAGCAAAAUAGGAUACUUGAAGAUUUUUCUUGAUGCAUUGUGUAAGCAUGAAAAAAAAAAGAACAAAUUCCUAUAAUGACACCAAGGUACAAAGCAAAGCUCAAGAGGAAUUUGAAUGUGUAAAAAUCAACCAAACAUAAUAAAAACUAGAUAAGACCCAAUAAUUUAACAGUAAAGUGCAAGAGACAUUCACCAACCAAACAUAAGCAAUAAAGGCCCUAAGAAAAAACUUAUAUGCUUGAGAUUAGUUCUAGAAAGAUAGUUGGUUCUAAUAGUAGUAAUUUGCAACAUUCACGUUAGGAAUCUCUCUUAAACUUUAAAGUCAUGUUUCCUAAAGAUGAUUUGGUUUACUUCAAUGCCUCUUGUUUAGUUUCCUCUAAUAUUUCAACUAAUUCCCUUUAAUUAAUAAAUAAAAGAAUUCAAAGAAUUCAAAAACUACCUCUAAAUCAAGGAGUUUCUAUUUUUCACCAUUUUUUUUACUCCUUUUUUUUAGGUGAAUCAAAUAUUCAAUGUUUUCUUUUUAUAUUAAUUUAAGUGAGUUAAAUCCUUAUUUUUGUCAUAAAAAAUGACAAAGCAAUAGAAAUACAAACACAAGAAGUACAUAAAAGAAAAAUACAAAGAUGAACAACAUAUAUAUAUAUAUAUAUAUAUAUAUAUAUAUAUAGAGAGAGAGAGAGAUAAAUAAAAGCUAAUCUUAAUAGAGAAAACACCCAAGAGGGGGGGGGGGUGAAUUGAGUUUUAAAAUAUCUUUUUCAAACACCAUAAAUUCAAGGAAAAAAAAAAGCACAAAUAUAAAGAGAUAGGGUUAGAGGAAGCAAACUCAUAAUUUAUAGUGGUUUGACAGUCCUUGUCUACAUCCACUCUUCUCAAGUUCCUAACUGAGUGAGGGUUCCACUAAACUUGAAGCUUCAACCAAGCUUCCAACACCUUUACACUUGGAUUCCUGUUCAAUGGGCUCUUAUAAAAUCUUUUCAAGUCUUUACACACUUGAAGCUUCUAACACUCAAAUAACAAGUUCAAAUCUCUCAACUUAGCUCAAUAAUGGCUUAAAUACAACUCAAAUUUAGGAUGAAUCACAAUAGUACACUAAAGAAUAUUCAUAUGAAGAUUUAAUGCACCAAGAAAAUAAUGAGAGCUUUUAAUGUAAGAACAAGUAGGUAAACAAAUAAAUGCUUCUCUUACUCAUAAAUGAAGUGGAACUUUCAAUUUAUAGGUUUCUAGCCUCCGGAGCCAAAAUGGAAAAAGGAUAGCCAUGAUUGGUUGAGUUGGGGUUGAUCAGUUCAUUAGUCGUUGGACAUUAAAUGCAUGACAGGUGACCGUUAGGCCUCGACUAAUCCUUGAUCGGACAUCGACCAAGAAGACAUAUCCCUCAAUUGGGAAAGAAAAGCUACUAGAAGAGAUAGAAGGUUUUUUGCAUCUCUUGAUCAAACCUCAAUUGGGAAGGGUUAAUCGAUCAAUCGGUACUCCUAACUAGUUGAGUCAGUUCACCAUUUUUGGCCUGACUCACCUAUAUUUUUUUUGGUCUUUUUGCUUUUAACACUUAGGCAAGAUCUUUAGGUAAAUUAAUAUGUCAAUUUUGAAACAAUUUGUUUAAGGUUCAUUUGAUAAAACUCGGGUUUUGAUGGAAAUGUAACUUUAAUGCAUAAAUCGAGUUUUCAAAGAUACAUGGAAAUAUAUGAAAAUCCUAAGUGCACCCAUGCAUUCGUCUUACACAUGUUUCCUAUGAUUAAAAAGUCUUCCAAUUGUCUUGAUCUUGCAUCCAUUAGUCCUUAUAUGAAUUUCCAAAUUAACACCUGAAAUUCUUUAUAAUUCAAACCAAUUAGCAACUUAACCAUGGUUUGUUAUCAUCAAAAUGCAGUUAAAAGAACCCUUGGGCUAACAUAUAUAUAUAUAUAUAAUGUAAUUCUAGAUACAUAAGAUAAUCAAAGAAUAAAUUUCUAGAUCAAUAAAUAUAUAAAAAGAAAAACUCAAUAACUAAACAUCAGGAGGAGGUGGAGAAGGAAAAGAGCUUGAACUACUCUGAGUAUGGAUCCAUGAGAUGAUGUAAGUUAACUAACCCUGGAUCACAUAGAGCUAAACAUCCUAUAAGUCCAACCUCUAAAGCACUAUAGAUAUGAGAUCCAUUUCUUAAGAAGUUAGGAGUGCGGAAGACGAUGAGCCAUGAAGGGCUCUAGAUAAUCUAACACAUCCUCGACUAGAGUGAGUCCUCAAUGCAACAUCAAGAAUGGUUGCAUCCAACUCUAGAGCUUGAAUCUCAUCCUCCUCGGCAAAUGCCUCCUAAGCAACCUAUUGGUCUAGUGCAACAUCUUGGGAGCCAUCUAGAACUAGAGGAGCCAUGGGACUAUACACGUGACUAUAGUGUUUGGCCUAAGAGCUCUCAUCCAACAAAGCAUGAACAACCUAUACCCUUUGUGCAGUAGCAAUCAUAAAACCAAUAUCCUCCAAUAAUCUAGAGAUAAGGAGUCUGAAAAUGAGUACACCACGACGAAAAUAAGAAGUCUCAAUAAAUGGUGAUGGUAUCGAUGAUCACCUGACCAAUGUCGAAUUAUUGUCCAAAUAGAAUGGCAUGGAUGAGACAAGUAGUCAAGCAAUGAAUUUUGGUACAAUAGGAAGAAGAGUAAAAAGAAUAUGUCAAGAAAGUAGCAAAAAUCCAAACUAGCUUGGAGAAACCAACUAGAGAAAUCGAAAUGAGAAUCGAAAAAAGCUCUUCAAGAGUGAGAGACUGAACCUCUAGAAGAAAAGAAGGAAGACACAUCAAGUCUAGACAUGUUGAAUACACACCUAACUGACAAUGAGAUAAUCUAGAAUGGCUAACCAAAUAUGGUCACUCAAAAGGAGUGAAUAGGAGAAGUGGUAUGCAUGUUUGUAUAGAACAUGUGAACCAAAAGAUGAUAAUAUGAACCAUGUAAGGUAAAUAAGGACUUCCACCCUCUCACUUUGAGAAUGGUAGGAAAAUGACUAUCCUGAAAGGCACAAAGAUCAAUAAAAUGCUCGACCUCAAUGCGACAGCUCUAAAAGCAAGCAUAGAAAUGAUCAUGUGUCUCAUGAGAAAGGAAACACUCUAUAAGGAGAUCAAAAGGGUCAAAAUGGCCUUAAAGAGCAAUGCCCUAAAUUAGCUCAAGUAACCUAGGAGGAGUCACCUCUCGUUAACGUUUGUGACUAGACAUAACUAGAGAAAUACCAAAAAAACACAAAAAAUAAGAAAUAUAUUGAAAAAUCUAAUCCGCUAUAAAUGUCUUAAACAAUGCAAAGAACAAUACUAUGAAGUCGAAGAUACAAAAAAUGAAGAAAAAUGUUUCAUAGCGCUUGAGAAAAUAGAAAAAUGUUUGAAAUGAAAAAUGACACACUAGAUGAGUUUUUAUACUUAGAUGUACCAUUGGAUUAGAUUAGUGCUCAAGUAGGAUGCUCGAUGGAUGUGCCACUAGAUGUAACUAAGAGUGCUUGAAUAGUAAAGACGUUGGAUGUGGCUUGAGUGCUUGAGUGUUAAGGACGUUAAAUGUAGCACUCGAGCGGCUAAAGCCAAAAUAUACAUAUAUAUAGCAAGUGAUAGAAUACUCAACUAACAUAUAGACAAGGAUUGACACCAAUUGAAACAAAUUUUAAUAAUAAAGAGUAGAUAAUUAAGCUCAUAAACUUUUAACAUUAGCUCAAUCAGUAAUAGAUGAAGUAUGUUACUUUAGAUAGUAUAUGCCAAUUCAUCAAGAAUGAAAUUUCAAGAUCAAAGGUCAGAUUUAAUCAUAAUCUCCUAUUCAAAAACCCAAUGCAUAACCAUCAAUGUAUAAAAGAGUCAACAUAGAAACAUAAGUAUUGAUUUUCAAGGAAAUACGACUUAUUGUUUAGUUCAAUAUUUUGAAAUUAAUUACUUCAAAGAGAUCUAAUCACAACUUUGGUCAAAUUAAAGAACACAUCUAGUCAAUUUGAACUAAGGUUGUCAGAUUUUUGUUUUGGCCUCGUUGAUCUACAUACAGUACAACUUGACUCCCUUUUAAUAUGAUAUCAUAUUUCUAUUCUUUUCCUUUUGUUUUUCUAUUUAAAAGUGGAGGCAUUGUACAUCAUGGUCAAUUGAUUUUUCUUUUUCUUUUCAUUCAUGGUUGUCUUUUUUAUCCAUUUUGGGGUGGUUUCCAAAUGUUGCAAGUGAGCAAUAUACAUUUAGGAGCAUGAAUCUUGGACAAGAGUAUAAGAGUUAUGCUUAACCAAGGAUUUAAUAUUUUUUACAAACUCACCUUGAGAAACAAAAAAAUGAUUAUAGUUAGACAAGGUAUGUGGAUAAUACAAUUUGAGCAUGACAACGAAUCCUUUCAAAGCAAUCAAAGUCUACUUUAUGAGUUCAACUUAAAAGGUCUUCCCCUUGAUCAAGUAUAACAUGUAACCAAUAUUGAAUUUUUCACAUACAAAGACAUUUAAUUAUCAGGAAUCAAAUGCAUCAAUAGUGAUUAACAAUUAUCUAUGAUUCUAUCCACAUCAAAUCUUAUAGAUAUAGUAUAUUUUUCUAAAUCACAAACUAGAAACAUUAUGAAUCAUGCUCAUAGCUGUGAAAGGCGCGCCUAGGCUCGGGGUGUGAUUACUACUCAAAAAGUGUUAUUUCAUAGCUUGUAAUUAACUCUUUUAAACACUUUUGAGUAGUAGUUAUUGUCUUUUAACCCAAUUAACAUAUUAAGGACCUUUGCAAGCACUUCUAAUCAAUUUGUGUUAAGUUUUGGUGUUUUGAUAGCUUUUUGAUCACCAAAGCAAUAGGAGAUUGAGGAGAGUUAUUUGGAAUCCAUGGCAAAGCAAUGAAAAGCUCAGAAACAUGAAGAACCAAAGCUUUGAAGUCCUUUGCCAUAAGCAAAUUCGAAAUGCAAGGAGGGAAAGUAAAGAGAAAUCUGCCAUGAAGCAUUUUUUAUGAUAGUCAUGUCAGCCACUUUUGGAGCACUUCCUGGAGUCCAAUUUCACUACAAGGAAAAAGAUAUAUGGUGACAUUUAUAACGAGUCACCAUAAACAUAGGGUGUCACUACAACAUAGCGUCACCUUCUCCACUGACACCAUAGAGGGUACCAAUUGGUGACGUAUUUGAAAGUGACACCAAAGUAGAUAAAUGGUGACCCUUUCGGAAGUGACACCAUAUAUUUCUAAUGAUGAUAGGGUGUCGCAUUAAAUGCAUCAUCUUUGAGUUAUGAUGUCAUAUUAAAUGCAUCACCUUUGAGUAAUGGUGUCAAGUCAUUGUAAAUUAUUGUGGAAGAUAUGAUUGCUUUUAGUUAUAGAUUUUUGUAAUGCUUAUGAAUUAAUAAGUAAGAUUAACUUGUCUAUAUUUUGUCCAUAAAUAUAACAAUCAUAUUAUAUUUAACUCAUUUUUCUGUAAUGUUUCUGGAAUAACUCAUAUACAGAUCAUCUAAUAAUAUUUGUAUAUCAAAUGUUCACGAGAAGAUAGUACAUCCAACAUAUCAAACCCAUCAAAACUAAAAAAAGAAGAGUGAAUACAUACCAAAACAUGAUUUAGAAAUGUUAAAGAUCCCAAGAUUCAUGUAUACCUCCAUUUCAUAAGCAUAAAACCGGCUAACUAUAAAAUGACAUAAAAGUCCCAUCUAAAAAUCUAAAUUUCUCAGUACUAAUUAAAGUAACAUUUAUGUCCUACAACGUAUGACAUAAGAGUUGCAUUUAAAAACCCAAAAUCUUGUUGCCUUCUUCUUUCUUUUUAUUCUCCAUUCCACCAUCCCAAAAGUGUAUACCUGCAUUUCAUAGUUUAAUGAGUUUUAUAGAUUUUUAUUAAAGAAAAUAAACAUGGAUCGAUGUUAUCAUAAAUGAAAAAAUCUAAGAACUAUUUUUUUUAUUUUCUUUUUUUCAAAUAGAAACAUUAUUCAAAUAACCUAUGGAAAAAUUCAUGUAAUAGCUAAAGGACUCACCAUGCAUGGUGAUCAUGAUGCAUCAACAUGAUUCAUGAUUAGUUGUAGCACAAAAGUAGCCCAUUCUCCUCUAAUUUCAUCGAAUUCUACUUGAGAAUAUGUUUUUUUUAUCACCAAACUGAAAUCAAAUAAGCAAAUAAGAUUAAAAUGCAUAACAUUUGGAAGCCUAAAACUAUGUACAAUUCAUUAAAUUUGUAAUACCUUUGAAGCAAUGAUUGUAGGAUAAAAAAUUAUCUCUUUUAUGAAUCUCAUAACAAAGUAGCCACAUUCAAACCCUCCUUCUUGUCUUGGACACUAAUCGAUCAAUUAUAAAAUAACAUUAUAAUCAUACAUAUAAAUGGUGCAAAUGCAUAAGCUAAUGUGUAAAGAAAAUUUUUUGGAUGUCACCUGCACUAGUUGCCAAGAUGGCUCCCUUUUAGAUGUUUUCUUUGCAGAUAUUCGAAGAGCCCUAUAUAAAUAAGUUCAAUGGGUACAUUUGUAAAAUAGGUAAAUGUUAUAUGUUUUAACAUAUAUAUAAAUAAUAAUAAAAAUGUGUUUGAGAUGAAUUUAUUUAUUUAUUUUAAAAAAAAAUAAUACUAUGAAAAAUAAUAGGAAGAACUUACAUGUUUACGAUAUCCUUUAAGUCCUCACAUGGUUUGUGAUGCAAAGGGUUAAGAUAGUGGACUAUCAUUUUCCUUGGCUCAAUCACUACCAAGACCCAAUGAAAGCUAAAACAUUAAAAACAAAAGUAUCAUCUAAUUAGAAAUAUAAAUUAAUCAUAAAACCUCAAAUUAAAGUAUAAUAUUUGUCACUUACUCGGGGUUGUAAGGUAUGAAAACAUAUUUAGCAUCUUGGCACUCCAUUAAGCGUUUUGGCAACAAUUGUGCUCUUUUCUCUGUUUGAGGAGAAAAUAAUCUUCAGAAAACAAGUGAAAAUAAUAUAAAAUAACUAAAAAAUGUUCUUUGAAAACACUACUAUGUUUUCUAUUCUUAAGAACAAAAAAUAUGAAAUAAUUUUUUAUCGUUGAAAGUAUUUUCUAUGUUUUUUGUUUUGAAAAACAGAAAACUGCUCUAAAAAUAAUUCUCAAACAAACCAUAAGUUUUUUUCUAAUUCAUUGCCACCAAAAUAGAUAAGCUUGGAUUGGAUUGCUUUGGCUUAUUUAGAUUGGGGAUAUUCUUUCAUGGUAAAAGUUUAUGCCUCAUUUUUUUCCAUUUCUACUAUGUAGCAAUUAAUAUCUUUUUUUUCUCUCUUAUGCAAGAUUGACCAAACUGGAUUUUGUUGCCAAAACAAGUGACCAUCAUGGCUUUGUGUGUUUAUAAAUACAUAUCUAGUCUGAUCAAUUUCCAAAUACAUUCAUUUAAUUCUGAAGUUCUGGAGAUGUCUCAAUUCAUAGAUUAUUCACUGUCAUUUGGCUCUAAGUGGAAUCGCUCAGGAGACAUUCUUUUUGAAAGAGCCAUUUUGAUUUUUCCAGAGGAAACCCCAAACAGGUGGUACAAGAUUGUCACUCAAAUCCCAAGAAAAUCUCCCAUGGAUAUGCUUGAACACUACAUAAAACUCAUACAAGAUAUCGAUGUGAUCGACUUCGGUAGUAUGGAUCACUACAUUCCAGACCGGUGGGAUUUAGAGGAGGAAGAUCAAGAGGAAGAAGAAGGUAGUACUAGCUCAAAAGUCGAGAAGAAGAAAGGGACUCCAUGGAUUGAAGAAGAGCACGUACUGUUUCUUGAAGGAUUAGUUAAAUAUGGAAAAGGUGACUGGAAAAGCAUCUCUAGAAACUUUGUGAUCACCAGGACGCCAUCCCAGGUUGCAAGCCAUGCUCAGAAGUACUUUGCAAGACAAAGGCCUGGGAAUAUGGGCAAGAAAAGGAAGAGAACCAGCAUUCAUGAUAUCACGACUGAUGAUCUUCCUCCACUAGGUGGUGUAACUCCAUAGCCACUUUUUCAUGCAUUGCAGUAUCAUUACAUGGUUGUAAUGGUUGCAUCCUAUAUGAAUUAGACAUUUUGUCAUCUCAUAAAUUUCUACAAAUGAUCAGUAUUUCAAUUUAAUUUAAUUUACUUUGCUUUGUGUGGAGGUCAUACUCAUACCUUCUUCCAUGAAAAUUGAUUCUGAGAAAAUUUGAAGAAGUUGUCCAUUAUAAGGAAUGUUGUAUUUUUCACCAAACUAAGGCAAGAAAAUGAAAUUAUGUUAAUUAAGAAAAGUAAUAUAUAGUAAAGAAUUUUGUACUGGUGACCAACUUUACAAUAUUACAAUAUACCAAGGCACGUACAUGUUAUCUCUCAUCUCCUUAUACAUAGAUCAUUGUGUCUCAGGAGGCACGUACCAAGGCAUCCAUUGAUUCACAAUUGUUCUCAUCUCCCACACAAUAGGGGCCAAGUUAACUGAACUAUCCUCCACUAGGAAUAUCAUGUAUGGUAGAAUAUUGAUUUAGUGGAGCUUGAGUACUUUGAUUUUGGGGGGGCUAUUUGCUGCCAUGGGUGGUCAGUAUUUGUCCAUGACGGAGACUAUCUAUCCUCAAGUGGUGAGAUGCUUCUACGCCGACAUGUAGUAUGAAUUUGGGUGGGCUAUUGAGACUACUAUGAAGCGGUUAUGUGACCCCACAAAAGUAAAACAUUAUGAAAUACCUAAUAUUCGAAGCUCAUGAAAAACAUCCCCAACCCAUAUUUAUAAAAUGGCUUGCUAGUUUACAAUAAUAGAAAACUGAUUGACGUGCCUAUUCAAUCUGUAAAAGGACAUAAAGAAGUAGCGAGAAUGGCAAGCCCCUGUUAUCCUACACGGUUUUAGAGUUACUUUCUUGUCUAAAAUUGAUUAUACCACAAAUUUCAAAUUUUAGUAAUUUUUUGACAACGGAUUUGAUGUGGGGACCACAAGAUAAAAUGUUCUACCAAAUGAAUUUAUUUUUCUCAUUACUAAAUACUAACAUUAAAUUUUCUUCCAUUUUCUUAGUCUCCAAGCAUCACCAAAACUAAUUGAUAAUGCCUACUUACAAUCAAAUUAUAUUAUUUUCUUCCUCCUCAAUUGAACAACUUAUGUCACUUCUAAAGUCUUAGGUGGAUAGAAAAAUGGAAAAGGUUUUUAUUUCUUUAACUUAUGUUAGAAAGAAAAUUAGAGGGAGAAAAAGAAAAUAUUCCAUUUUAGCUCAGGAUCAAUAUGGGAAUUAUGUUGUACAGGUUUGCUAUAUUUCUUGCAAGCUUUUUCUUCAAUUCCUCAUGUUUCUUUACACAUGGGGUUCUGAUGUUGGUUGGAGAAAUGACUUGGUUUCAUUGGCAUUGUUUACCAAGACAAGAGCUUUCUUGAGAUGAGUGAGAUUCCAUUGUCAAUUUUGUUUACAAUCAUCUAGUCAUAACCAUUGAUAAUCCCCUGAAAACAGGUCUUGCUUGUUUGUUUUUAGUGUUUUUUUUUUGUUUGUUUUUUAUUUAAUAUAAAUUUUCUAGAGUCUCUUGACUCUCUCUGAAUAAUACACCUCAGCGACUAGGUAGAACACUAUCAACAGAAUCUUUUACAACCAUAUUCAUUACGUUCCUAGGACAAUCAAUCUCCUAAACAUUAUCCUCAGUAAAUCUAUGGCUAAAGUGUGCUAUCUUCUCUACUGGCCUGUUCCUCUCCCUUGAGAUAUGACUAAAUUUAGCAUUCAUUCUUGAUUGAGAGAGAUAUAAUGUUGAAACAAUGACACCAUGUGCUGAAACAAUGACACCAUGUGUUGUUGAUAAAUGUCACACACACAAAAAUUCUAGGUCUAAGUUUUUGUGUUUGUGUAGCGCCUAAACACACACUAGACCAGCCUUCCUCCAAACCAUAAGGUACACACAUAGAUUACGGGGCUCUCCCCAACUUGUAACUUACUGAUUUCCAACAGAAUACAAGAGGCGCUCUGUAAAGACUCCUACUAGGUAGUUCACUUGCUUUUUAGAAGGUCAGGCUCUCCUUUUAUAAAGGUUGCACCAAGCAGUCCUAAUCCUACUAGGAGACUAACUUUUGAGUCCUAGUCUGAGUUUGAAUCAAUCUCAACAGAUGACAAAUUUGAGUAGGACUCCAAGUCCUACUGAAUUUAAAACUCUCAUGCCACAUCUCUCUACCUCCUUAUGCAUGAAGAUUUAGUUUCCUAUCCCGAUUAGGAGUCUUCUCAUGUCAAGAGUCCCUUUCUCUUCCUGUAUUAGGUCUCAAUCUCCCACUUUGACUAAAAGUCUCAUGUGAUAGGAGUAUGUCUCAUGCAAUAGGAGUCUUGCUCAUGUGAUGCAUCAGUUCACCAUGCUUCCUAGUAUAGGAGACUACACCUUGCUCAAGCCAUCUCGAUGCCAAGAUGUGUCUACUCAAAUCAUUCUUUUUUUUUUCUCUCUCUCGUUUUUGAGAAGGGAUGAAGAUUAUGUGGCAGUAUAUCUCAAAAAAAAUCUAUACCUAUCGUUCUCACACAAAUACAUAUUAAAAAUCAUUCAUUUUUUCUUGUUUUCCACUUGUUUUUAUGGAGUUGAUCGUGUGUUUGGUUCAGAUUAAAAAAUCAAUUAAUCUACAGGUUUUUUCUUCUAUGCUAGAACUUUAAACCUAAGUUUUUCUUCCCUACAACUCAAAAAAACGCAGUUCAUAAAAACCAUAAUACAAAAAUGUUGAAACAAUCAACAUAAUGACAUUAAUAAAAGAAAAAAAAUGAUAGAUCUAAAAGAUUUUGGCUUACCUGGGAGUCCACAAAGAGAAGAAUGUCGAUUGUGAGCGUGUUGACUAUGGGUGAGAGAAAAGGUAGAAGAAGAUUAUGAUUUUUAUUAUAUAUAGGGUUUGUAUAUUGAGAAUUUUUGGAUUGUGGGUAUCAUGUGGAAACAAUGGGCUUUUUAUAUAUUGGUCCUCAUUAUUAAUUCUAAAAGUGGGCUCAAGUAGGCUCAUUAAGUUAUAAUAUUUAAAAAAAAUUAUUUUAUAUGAUGUUACUUCCUGAAAAAUGACACUACUAAUAUAAAACUAACAUCAUCUAACUACCUCAAUUGAAGAUUUUUAAUAUGAUGUGUCACCUUUAUUAAUUAUAAACCUUAUGGUGUCAUUAUUUUAAAAGUGACACCAUAAAUUAUUUUUGUAGUAGUGUUUAUGCAUGUUAUAUGUCAUUUCGAAGCUCAGGAAGUCAACAAUCCAAUGCUUCAAACAGUGUGAGAUUCGGAGUUGAAAUGAAGGAGUUACAGCCAUUGGAAGCCGAUCACUCCAAGCUGAAGGAAGAAUUUUGCACGGCUGCGAAAUCACCCUUUUGCUGCGAAAUGAUUUCGCAGCCAUUUUGCACAGUGCUGUGGAAUUUCUCCUGAAGUUUCCCGAUAUUUGCGACCGACACUUUUGGAUAUUUUGCUUCAGAUUUUUUAUGUCUAAAUCCCUUUUUUCUCCUUGUAACCCACCAAUUAUAGGAUUCCUUAGUUAUUAAGUUUGGAAAAGGGGUGAAUAACCUCAGAUAUUUUGUUUUGUAAUUUUCUUUAUAUAUAGGUCUCGGGAGCCUGUUCUCGAGAGGAGGACGAGAACCUUUUGUAAUAGUAAGGAAUAUAUUUUACAGAGCACUUGCUCUGCUUUUCAUAUAUAUAUUUUUGUUUUCUCGUUAUUUUUCUUUCUAUCCAAUCAAACUCUGAGGAUUUUUCCUCAGAGGAUGAGAGGCUAGACUCUUCGUCUCUUGGAGUGAAGAAAGCCGGGUAAGUUUCCACAUGCAUAAAUUGGAAGUUUUGUUGUUUUAGUUUUUAAUGAAGAGAAAGUGUGACCCGUUAAUGGUUUUUAUCUUUUUAGUUAACUUAAAACACCUUUAAAUCACCUGGGCCAACACUUGGUAAGGCAAGUGAUCUCCUUCCAUGGAGAUGCACUAGUUUAUCUCUUACGAGCUUUUGGGAGGUGACUUGAAGGUAGGAUUUUCUAGAAUUUCCAACACUUGGUAAGCUUUUGGACUCCAAGGAGACAUCCAUUAGUUAUCUCUUGCGAGCUUUUGAUGGGUAAUCCAAGGUUAAAGAUCACCUUGAAUGGCAAGUGCUAGGUGAGAGGUAUGAGCCAUUGCAAGGUGCAUCAGUGAGAGGGAUUUAGUGUUUGAACCCAUUAAUGGGAAGCAUCUAUACAGCACCGGUUAGAGAAUUAAUGCGAGGAAAAGAAACAAGUGACCAAAACUCUCCUUUUUGUACGAGGAACCUGAGCCUAGUGAUCUGAACUCCAAGAAACACUUUUCUUUGUAAGUAAAAUCAGUUAUUAUUUUUGAUUAGUUUAAAACCAAACCUUUUUCAUUCAAACAUCUUUAUGUUUUCUUUUAAAGCUAACCUUGAAAUGAAAAGGCACCAAUUCAGCUUUGAAUUAAUAUCAUUUGCAAAGUGAAAACCCAUCCCAGUUAACGAUCCUAGAGCCACUAUGCUAUAGUAGCUUUGUCUUUGCUACCCUAGUACAUGGUGUAAUAGGUUAUAAAUUUUGGUGAUUACUCCCUCAAUCAAGGAGCACCAGCUGGACAUGAAUCAGUUGAGACACCAAUUGGGCAUGAAUCAGGGUGGCGCGAUGCCACCCUCCGGCGCCUCACCUGAAGGCAGACGACACCCCUUCAUGAAGGUGUCGCUUAGGCACGCAAGGCGUAACGCAGUCACCUGACUUGCCUCCGACUAGGUACGCGGCGUACGCCCUCCUUAUCCUUCUUCUUCUUCUUCUUCUUCUUCUUUUUCUUCCAUUGGGUUGCAAAGGACUAGGCUGAGCCUUAAUUUUCAUUUUAUUUUAUUUUAUUUUUUAGGUCUGAAACAACUUCGUUUAGGCCCUUUUUAAUUUUAAAGGAACAUGCCAAAAUGAUGUCGUUUUGGAGCCUUUUUUUUUAUAUAGAAAAAAAAGGCCAAAACGACGCUAUUUUGGCAUGUUCCUCCAUUCCAACCCUCUUUUCUAGUCUUUCUCAACCUAAGACCACUCUCAAUCGUGAUGGAGAAGUGAAGAAGAAGAAGAAAAAUAGGGGAAAAUAGGAAAAAAAAUAGAGGGAAAAUAGUCAUGUACCUUCUGGACCUCGGUAUUUUUCUCUUUUCUUCACUUUUUUGUAUUUUGACAUAAAAAUUUACUAAAUAAAAAUAAAUAAACAAAAAACACUCAUAUGCAUAUUUGUUGUUAAUGUGAUAUGCAUUUUUUUUUCAAUUUUUUUUCUUAAUUUAAUUAUAAUUAUCUUACUGUAGAGUAUAUAUAAUUUGUUUGCAAGAUGGAUAAUGAGAGUGGAACUCAAGUGGACUCCAGUACAAGUGGAAGAAGAGAUCCUAGAUGGAAAUAUACUCGUUUGGUUAAUGAAAAAGAUUUGAACACCAACAUAUGCAUUUUUGUGAUAAAGUAACCAAAUGAGGCAUAUAUAGACACAAGCAACAUCUUGUUGGUGGAUAUAGAAAUGCUAAAAAGAGUAGAAAAUGUCUGGAACAUGUUAGAGAAGACAUGGAAGAGUAUAUGAGUUCCAAGAAAAAUAAAAAAUAGCAAAUGAAUAUGGGGAGUGAGAUGUUAAUGAAGAUUUGUUUGGUUUGGAAUAUGAAGAUUUUGGUGAGUAUAUUAAUAGUAGAAUGAAUGUCACCAACAUUUUUAGUGGAGGUAGUAACCGAGGAGGAAGUGAUGGUAGGAUGUUUUCUUCAAAAAAACCAAGACAAAAAGGUCAUAUGGAUCAUUUUUUUCACUCCUAAUGCAGAGAUGGUUGUUCAAAAUCGAAGGAGUGGAAAGAUUAAUCAAACUACCAUCAAUGAUGCCUACAAAAAGGAAACAAGAGAAAGAACUUGUAUUCUUAUCACAAGAUGGAUGUGUGAGGCGAUUAUUCCAUUUAAUGUAGUCACAUAUCCGAGUUUCCAACCAAUGAUUGAGGUUAUUGGCCAUUAUGGUGUGGGUAUGAAAGGACCAACUUUUCAUGAGGUAAGAGUUACUAACCUUAAGAAAGAAUUGGCUCUCACAAAAAAUUUGAUGAAAGAUCAUAUGGUGGAAUGGGGAAAAAAUGGAUGUUCAAUUAUGUCAGAUGGAUAGACCAAUAGGAAAGAGAGAACUUUGGUGAACUUUUUGUUUAAUUUUUCAAAGGGAACCAUGUUCAUGCAAUCCAUUUAUGCUUCUUCAAUGAUUAAGACGGGAGAAAAGAUGUUUGAGUUACUUGACAAAUGGGUAAAACAAGUUGGUGAGGAGAAUGUUAUUCAAGUUAUAACAGAUAAUCACUCAAGUUAUGUGAUGGCAGGUAAUAAAUACUAUUUCUUGAAUUUUUAUUUACUUUUAAAAUUUGAAUUAUUUAUCUUGAGAACUUAUGUAAAUUUAUUAUUUACAAUGUCACAUAGGGAGGUUGUUAGAAUUAAAGCGCCCACAUUUGUAUUGGACACCAUGUGUUGCACAUUGCCUUGACUUGAUGUUGGAAGAUAUUGGAAAGCUACCAAACAUCAAGAGGACAUUGGAGAGGGCUAUAUCACUAAAUGGGUAUAUUUAUAAUCGCUCAGGGCUACUUAACAUGAUGAGGCGGUUUACUGGACAAAGGGAAUUGCUUAGGCUUGCUAAGACUCGGUUUGCAACUGCUUUCAUCACAUUAUCGCGAUUGCAUGAACAAAAAAACAACUUGGGGAAGAUGUUUACAAGCUCAAAUUGAUCAGAUAGUAAAUGGGAAAAAGAGUAGAAAGGGAAAACUAUAGCCAACAUAUUUCUAAUGCCUUCAUUUUGGAACACUAUUGUGUUUUGCUUAAAGGUUUUGGGUCCCCUAGUUCGUGUGCUUCGUUUGGUUGAUGGUGAAAAAAAAGCUCCUAUGGGAUACAUCUAUGAGGCCAUGAAUAGAGUUAAGGAUACAGUUGUGACAAGUUUUAAUGGAAAUGAAGAGAAGUACAAAGAAAUCUUCAACAUCAUUGAUAAGAGGUGGGAGAUUCAGCUUUACCGGCCUUUGCAUGCAGUAGGGUACUUUUUGAACCCGGAAUUCUUCUAUGAUAAACCAGAAAUAGAGUAUAAUGCGGAGAUUAUGAGUGAUUUGUAUAAAUGCAUCUUAAGGCUAACAAGAGACCUUGCUAAGCAAGAAAAAGUUGUGGCCAAAAUGAGUUUGUUCACAAAUGCCCAAGGACUAUUUGGGAAUGAGUUAGCUGUUAGGACAAGAAAGACUAGAGCACUAGGUUAGUUAUUUAGUUUUGUUUAUUUAAAUGACUACAAUUUAUUUUUGCUAAAAUAGGUGAAUUGUUUCACUAAAUUGUUAAUAUCUAUACUACAGCUGAAUGGUGAGCUGCAUAUGGAGCUUCAGCUCCAAAUUUGCAAAGGUUUGCAAUGAAAGUCCUCAACUUAACAUGCAAUGCAUCAGGUUGUGAAUGGAAUUGGAGCAUCUUUAAAAAUGUAAGUGACCAAAAUAAUUACAAGUAAUAGUCUAAUAGAGUCUUGAAUGUAACCUAAAAGCUAAAACUUUAAAAUAUAUUUAUAAGCUUAUGAAUUUUUGCAGAUUCAUAGCAAGAGGAGAAAUAGGUUAGAUCAUCAACGCUUGAAUGAUUUGGUAUACAUUAAGUAUAAUCGAGCCUUAAAGAGAAGAUACAAUGAACGUAACACCAUUGACCCAAUUUCUUUGAAAGAUAUAGAUGAUAGCAAUGAAUGGUUGAUAGGAAGAAUGGAAGAUGAGGAUUCUCAUGGAGGUGCACAAGAUGAUUUUGUAUUUGAUGAUGAUAAUUUGACAUGGGGUGAUGUUGCUAUAGCUACUAGAGCUGAGGAGGCCAGGUUUGAUACUAGAGCUAGAGCUAAAGCUAGACCAAGCUCAAGCAUAAUACCACCAACGAGGAGGAUAGCUUCAAGUUCUAGAACCUUGCCUUCUCAUUCACUAAUAGAUGAAGAUGAGGAUGGAGACAUGGUUGAUUCAGCAUAUGAAGAAGAUGGGGAAGGCUACAAAUAUGGUGAUGGAAAUGAUGAUGAUGAUGAUUUAGUUGAUUUAGAGGAGGAGUGAUGAUUGCUUGUUGUGGACAAAUUUGUUAUUUAAGUGUUUUUUAAUGAUGUUUUUGAAUUGUGGACAAAUUUCAUAUUUUGGACCUUUUGGUUUGGAAACUUUGGAUUUGGAUAUGUAUUGGGCUAUUAGCAAUAUGGAUUUGGAUUUGUUUUUAUGCUUGGAGUUCUUUAUUUUUUAUGUUUUUCGUUGAUUAAAUUGAAGUUUUGGAUGAUAUUUGACGAUUUAUGUGUUUAGGACAAAUAAAUGAUUGUUAAAUUUGAUUAUAUUAUAUUAAAAUAUAUAUGUAAAUUAGGGUGCGCCUCACUUCACAAAAGCCCGCACCUUAGGUGCGCCUUGCGCCUCAGGCUCCAGGACUACAUUGCGCCUCAGGCUCCAGGACUACAUUGCGCCUUAGGCUCCAGGACUACAUUGCGCCUUGGUGUGCCUUGAUCCUUUUAAAACUAUAAUCAUGCUAAUAUAUCAAGUAAAUAAACAAAAAUAAUAUGCCCAAAACAAAAUAAGGCCAAAUGAAACAAGAAGAUAUAAACAGUAAGCUCAACACCUUUGAAGCCUAUACCUAUGAUGAUCAAUCAAUUAAGCAUAUGCCUAAAGAUUUCCUUAGGUACUCAAACUUAAGAGAAUCCAAGGGUUUGGUAAGAAUAUCUGCUAAUUAAAGUUCCAUGAAAGAACAAACCAUAAAGAAACAACAUUUUUUUCAACAAGAUCCUUAAUGAAAUGAUUACGAAAUUCAAUGUGAUUAGUAUGGGAAUGAAGAACAAGAUUCUUUGAGAUAUUUAUAGCACUAGAGUUGUCAUAAUGCAUGUUCAUGGUUCCUUCUUCAAUUCCAUAGUCUUUAAGCAUUUGUUUUAUCCACAGGAGUCGCAUACAACAAAUCCUAACAACAAUAUAUUGAGCUUCAAUAAUAGAUAAAGACAUAAAAUUUUGUUUCUUACUAAGCCAAGCCAUAAGCCAAUGUUCAAUAAAAGAUAUGUUUUUUCUAUUCUCAAAUGUUUCUAGCCCACUCAGCAUGGGAAUAUCCAACAAUCACAAAAGAAGAGUCAUAGGGAUACCAUAAACCAUAAUCAAGAGUUCCAUUUAUAUAACGAAUAUAUAAUUCUUUUAAUAGACAUUAAGUGUGACUGUUUGGGGUUUGCUUGAUAUCUAGCACAAGCUCCAAGACUAAAAGAUAUGUCAGGACGACUCGCAGUGAGGUAAAGUAAGCUUUCUAUUAUAAUUCUAUAAAGCUUUUUCUCAACAUUUUUUCUAGCUGCAUCCUUACUAAGCUUAGUGGUAGUGCUCAUUGGUGUCUUACAGUGUUUAGAAGAUUGUAGAUAGAAUUUUUGAACAACUUUCCUAGCAUACUUGGAUAGAGAAAGAAAGAUUCCAUCUUUUAGUUGCCUAAUCUGCAAUCCUAGGAAAAAACUUAAUUCAUCUACCAUGCUUAUCUUGAAUUCAGUCUUCAUCUCUUUUGCAAAACUAAGGGCAAGGUCAUUAGAGGUAGCUCCAAAAACUAUAUCAUCAACAUAAAUCUGAGCUAUUAACAACUCAUCAUUGGACCUAUUAAUAAACAAGGUUCUAUCAACUCCCUCUCUUUCAAACUUUUUCUCUAAAAGAUAGGUUAUGAUUCUCUCAUACAAUGCCUUAGGAGCUUGCUUUAAUCCAUAAGUAGCUUUCUUUAACCUAUAAACAUAAUUGAGGAAUUUAAGAUCUCAAAUUAUGUUGCUCAACAUAGACUUCUUCACUUUGGCAACUAGUUUUACUUUGCUUCUCACAAUGACCCCAUUUUCAUUUUGUUUGUUCUUGAGUAUCUAUUUUGUACCUAUGACAUGAUUAUCAUUAGGCCUAGGAACUAAGUACCACACAUCAUUCCUAAUGAAUUGAUUCAGUUUUUCCUAGAGUGUGGACAUCCAAGAUUCAUCUUUUAAACCUUUCUACACAUUCUUUGGCUCAAAUUGGGAGGUAUAGCAUACACAACCCAUCUCAUUUAAUCUUGAUUGCCACUUAGUAAUAACAUGUUCAUUCAUAUUACCUAUAACAUUGAGAUUAUGUAGUUUUUAGGUAUUUUGGAUCUAUGUUUAUCCCUUAUUUCUUCAGGAGUGUCAUAAAGAAGUACAAUUUCAUCAUUGUUGGGGUCAAUGCCUUUUUAAGGGUUAUCAUUAGCAUUAUCUUUAGAAGUCACCAAGUCUUUAGGGUUAUCCUUGAUUGAUUCUUAGGUUGAAAUUUGAUUGUCAAUUAUAUUCUGGUCAUACCUAGUAUGAUUUAUAACUACAUUAGAAGAUUCUUGGAUGACUUGUGAAUUUUGAUUAUAAACCCUAUAGGCUUUACUCAUAGUCGAAUAGCCUAGAAAGUACCUAAAUUAGAUUUAGUAUCAAACUUUCCAAGGUUCUCCCAUCCCUAAGAAUGUAGCAUUCACUGCCAAAAUUCCUAAAAUUAUGAAAGUUAGGUUUUCUCCUAAUCUAUAAUUCAUAAGAUGCCUUUUUUGUUCUAGGUCUAAGAAAAAUCCUAUUAGCAUAACAAAUAGUAUUAAUUGCUUCUUCCCAAAAUAGCAUAGAGAUAUUAUACAUGUGAAUCAUCAACCUAGUCAUCUCUUGUAGCACUUUCUUUUUUCUUUCAACUACUCCAUUCUAUUGCGAAGUUCUAGGGGUUGAAAACUUAUGUUUAAUUCCUUUUAACUCACAAAAGAGGUCAACAUCCACAUUGUCAAACUCUCUCCCUCUAUCACUCUUAAUCCUUACAAUUGGAUGACCAAUUUCCACUUAUAUUCUAUUAAAUAAAGACUUUAAAUAUUUUAUAGCCUUAGAUUCCCCCCUAAGAAAACUCACAAAGGAGUAUCUCGACAAAAUCAUCUACAUCCACAAUGACAUAUCUCUUGCCACGUUUACUUUUAGUUCAUAUUGGACCCAUAAGAUCCAUGUGAAGAAGAUCUAAAGGUCUAGUAGUCUUUAUCUUCUUAACAUUUUUGUGUGAACUCUUAAUUUGUUUUCCUUUCAUGCACUCAUCACAAAUGGGUUUAGGUUCACCACUAAGUCUAGGGAUACCUCUAAUUCUUUCAGUAUUCAUUAAGUGCACAAGAUUCCUAUAAUUUAUGUGACCCAGUCUUCUAUGCCAAAGCUUAGUAGGAUCAAGCUUAGCCUUAUUGCACAAAAAAGAUGUUCUAAAGCUAGAAUUUAUGGCAUAAAAAUUAUCAAUUGUCCUAUGCCCUAUGAUGACUAUCUUUUCCUCUUUAUUAAUUACCUUGCAUAAGUCUUGGUGAAAAUUCACUCUAUGGUCUUUGUCGCACAUUUGACUAAUGCUUAAGAGAUUUUCUUUAAGUCCUUCAACAUAAAUUACUUCAUCUAGUUUGAGCCAUCCAGGGAUAACUAUACCACUCCUGCCUUUCACUUUAGUUAGGUUUCCAUCUCCAAAAGUAACAAAUCCUACCAUCAAAGUUUUCUAGAGAAAUGAAAGCGGAUUUGUCUCAUUUCAUGUGUCUAGAGCACCCACUAUCAAGGUAUCAUUUACUAGAAAUUUAUAUUUAAGAGAAUUGAACACAACUUUACAUUCAGACUUAUCAUUUCUCAACCAAACUUGCUUAGUUCUAGGUGGUGACUUCGAGGAACUAGAUUAACUUCUAGGUUUCUGAUUGGUUUUAUUUCUUUUCCCAUCAUUCAAAAUGUUGUUUUUAAGGGAAUUAAAAUCAUUCAUAAGUCUAUUCAUUUGAGUUUCAAACCUUUCUAGAAACCUAGUGUAGCAUCAAGAUUGAGAGUGUCCAGUUUUCUUACAAUGUGUGCAUAGUGAUGUCUUUUUAGGAGAUUCUACUUGGUUAGGGGUAUCAUUCUCACCUUUGAUAAACAUGGUUUAUCCACUAAAGGGAGUUUCAUCUUUAUUGAUAUACCCCAAACAUCUUUGAUCACUAUGGGUGUUGCAUUUAUCAAGUAUUUCAUUAAGCACUUUAGUUUUAGGGUGAAAAUUUUCAUUCACAGAUGAAGAAGGCUUAUUAUUCUUGAUCUAUUGAGUGAGGACAUUAUUCUUCUCAAGGAUAGAAUGAUGCUCAAAUUCAAGAAAUCUAAUUUUCUCAAGUAAAUUAAAUUUUUCAGCACUAAGCACAUCAAUCUUAUUUUUAUUUGCAUCAAGAACUUUAUGAUUUGUCAUAUAACUCUUAAUUAAUCUUUCAUGCUCAAUAAAAAGAUUGUCAAAGAAUUCAACCAUUUGUUUAUCAGUAAACUCAUCAUCAUUAAUAUCACUAUCACUAUCACAAUAAGAAUUAUUCUUAUAUUCUAUAGAUGCAACAAAACUUAACAUGUCAUUGGGAUCGUACCUUGCAUAUUCACAAAUUGUAAAAGCACCGUCUUUAGAAUACGAGUAACUCCAUGUUGCUUAUAUAAACGUUUUAAUAUUUUUGGGGCUAGGACACUCUUAAGAGUAGUGUCCCAUGCCUCCAUACACUACAAGAAAAAGAGUCAUUAUUGACAUAUAUCCUCUUGACUUAAGAUAAUAUAUGUGAAGAUAGUCUAUUUAAAUGAACAAUUAUGACAUAUACAACUUUGUUUAAACCAAUAAUGACAUAUAUAAUAGUUAUUGCAUUUUUCCAUGACUUAUGAUGAUGCAACCAUGACAAAUAAUUUAUAAGUCAAUCUAUAAUUAAUAUGUUCAUAUGUCAAGGUAUCCAAAUGAAAUCAAUAUAUAUAUAUAUAUAUAUAUAUAUAUAUUAUUUGCUAAAUUUUCCUUGGUUUAAUGAUAUGCAAUCUUGACUAAAAAUUUAUUAGUCAAAGUAUAGUUAAUGUUUUCUGCCUAAAUAAAAGUAAUAAUGACAUAUAUGCAUUUGCUAAAUUUUUAUAUGGUUUAUAAUGAUACAACCUUAAUAGAAAUGUAUAAGUUAAUAAAUAUUUAAUAAAUUAAUAUGUUAAGAUUAGAAUAUUUGGUUGCGUCACUUUAACAUGAAUCCUAGCAUGCAUGGUGUCCAACUAGCAUAGUAGAAAUAGCCAGAGUAUAAGGAAACACCAAUUAUGGCACCAAUCAUGUAUACAACUCCAAAAAUCAAGGAUUGUGAUAAAAACAUGUUAGCAAAAGGGGUGACACACUAUUAUCAAAAGAAAAAUUAUUAAUUAAUAUUCAGGAACAUCAUUUGAUCAUGAAAAAUUACGACAACCCUCUUUGUUAUGUCUAUAUCACAAUACAAUAACCAACAAAAGUUAUGAGAUGUCAAAUGGUCUUGAAUUAAACAACAAUGCAGGCAUAAUGCAAACUUCUAGUCCAUAAUCAAAACAAGGCAUCUUUAAGAAUAAAUCCUAAGAAAAUAUUUAAAAAAAAAAAAGAAAUUGAUCACAAAAACACAUAAAAGACUUCUCGUCAAUGUCUAUAUCAACAUACCAAAGUUCAAGCAUUCAAAUAAACAACAUAUUCAAUUCAAAAUAUCCAAAAGUUCAAAAAAGUUUAGAAUUAGGCAAAAAAAAAAAAAAAAACAAUGUAAACUAAAUUUAAAAAAAAAAAAAAAAAACUAAAGGCCUUAUAAAUUCAUAAAAAAAAAUAACACAAGUCAUUUAAGAUGUUUAGAUCAUCCAAAAAUUUAAUUCAAGGGUAGAAAGCAUUCAUAAGAAUUUUUAGAACACUGUAAUUUAUCAAUUGUGCAUAUUCGAUUAUAUGCAAUAGGUGCGACUUUGAAAAAUCAUAUCUUCCUCAAUAAAGCGUAUUUUUUUUAAUAUUUUAUGGGUUAAAAUUCAAUUUUAAGAAAAAUCUAGAAAAAAUAUUCGUUUAAAUUGAAAAGAUUAAAGGUAAUUGAAUUUUACAAAGUUCUCUCAAGUGUAUAAAAGUAGACCUAAACAGAACAUGCUAAAAGAGAUUAUCAUAACUUGACUUUGAGAAAAGCUUUUUGACUCAAAUAACAUUCCAAAUAAGGAACAUUGUACAAUUUUUGGAAUUUUUUUUAAAACUUCAUAAAAUUAUCAAAACAAAUUUUAAAACUAAAGGGUCAAUAGCUAAGUGGAAGUUGGAAGGAAGGAUGUGCUUUUUUAAAAUAAAAGAAAAUCUUUUAUAUAGGGGUUCCAUCAAGUCCCCAUUCAAUAUUCAUAAGUUUAAUCUGUAUAUUUCCAUUAGCUUGAGAGUACAAGUUCAAACCUAUGUGGAUAAAAACAAAAUAUUUGAAAAACCAACAAAGGAGAAUUCAACUUAGAUUGAAAUGAGUUGCAUAAUUUCCAAAGAAAACGUGUUCUUUGCCUAAACCUAGAAUGAAUGUUUUUCUGAUGCUUUUUAUUGCUUUAAGUAUUUUUUGAAAACGACUUUAGAGGAAGUAAAAGAAACCAAGUGAUUUGAUGAUUCCUAAUCAAUAGACAGAAAAUAGGUUUUUUUUUUUUCUUAAAAGAAUUUUAAAAUAAGAGAAGCUCGGCUUGGAUCACCUUUUUUACUACUUUUCAUUUGGGAUCUAUUAGCCAAACUUAUAAUGAAAGAAAAUUCAUUUUUUAGUAAAAGAAGGUUUUGAAGAUAUGGAGUUUUCAAGGACACUAACAUAAAGAACAUGCAUGCAUGUAAGUCAAACCUUAUCAUUGAUAUCCAUCAAGACUAACACUUAAAGAUUUUUUUUUUAAUUUAAAAAAAAAUGAAUUACAAUAAAUUUACGAAACUAACAACAUCCUAAGAAUUUUGUAAAGCAAACUAAAAUCAAUAUGUNNNNNNNNNNNNNNNNNNNNNNNNNNNNNNNNNNNNNNNNNNNNNNNNNNNNNNNNNNNNNNNNNNNNNNNNNNNNNNNNNNNNNNNNNNNNNNNNNNNNUAAAAUCAAUAUGUCAAACUUUAACAUCCCAAGAAUUACCAUGUCCCAAAAAUAAGAAUUUUAAUCCAACAACCUAAACAACUAACAUGCAUUAUGACGAGAGAAUCUAAAAACCUAAGAAUUGCCAUGUCAAAGGUGAAAACUUCAAAUUCAAUAAUACAAUCAAAUACUAAAAAUUAAACAUGAGACAUGCUUACUGACAUUCUGGUGGUGGGCGCUAGGAUGAUGGCUCUUUUGCUGCGUCUUCUUCUCCAAAAAUUCUGAUUGUGGUCCUUGGAAAAAUUCUGAUCGUUGUCCCAUGAAAAAUUCUGAUCAUUGUACUCGAAUCCUUGUCCACCUCUCCAAAAAUUCAGAUCACAGUCCUCGCAAAAAUUAUGAAUGUUGUCCCUGUAAAAAUAAAAAUAAAUUAUGAACAGCCACCACUCUAGAAAUUCUAAUCAUCGUUCUCAAAAAUGGAGAAAGGACCGCCCUCUAUGUGCGAAUUUUUUUUUCCUUCUAGCACUUUGAAUUUCUUCCCCAACACGCUCAAACCUGCUUCUCAACCCCCACCUUGAAAACUCCACCAAAACGUUGAACGACACGAGCCAUCAAGCUAUUAGAAGAAGCAUCAUGGUCAUCGGUGUAGAUGACGGGGUUCGGGUCGGAGCUUUCUUGUUGGAUGGCUUUGAUGGCACGCCACAAGGCCCUCUCACCAUCACCACCAUCAUUGGUAUAUGGAUGGAAGAAUCCGAACCCCCGUCAUCCAUUGCUCCUGCCUUUGAUGAUCGAACGUGAUAUAUAACUCAAAAUUAAGGCUAUUGUACCCGAAAUUAGGCACCAUACCAGUACCUCAUUCGCCAAUGAUCUCUGAUUUUCUUACUUUCAGUGGAUGAAAUGAUCGAAGAUCUUGGAAAGUUGGAAAUGUUCCUCUUAAGUCUCAAUAACCCCCCCAAAUGUCGUGGCUUCCAAAAUUUGAUGUGGAUUAUUUCCUCUCAACUUUCCAGAAUGUGGUUUGGAACUCACGAAAUGGUGUUCGUGUGUCCUUCUAUGGUGCAAAUAGCAAGCAAGCAUCCUCGCGGUCCAAAUGGCAAUGUUGGAUUCAGUAUGGUCACAAGGUGAUGUCCUCUGAUGAAUAAAGGGGGUUUUGGAUGGUGUGGUUUAUCGUAAGGAGACCCUCAAAAUCAAAUCUCCCGUCCUUGCUCCUCAUUUUUUCUCCCAUUUGUACCCCGUUUUUAGCCUUCUUUAUUUAUUUUUUAUUUUUUUUACGUCCCCUCUGCUUCGAAACCCCCCUUGAAAAGUCUCUUAAGCCGUCCGCUUCAUCUCAUUUCCUUCUACUCAGAUCCUCACUUUCCCAUGCAGCAACCCGAUUCUCCAUGGUGCAACCCUAGUCCCCAUGAUGCGGGCCCCCCUCCUCUCAUCUUCUCUUGCUUUCAGUAUAAGUUUUCUCACAUUUUAAAAAUUCUGGUCAAUCCUUAAGGAAUGUGGUAGCAACAUCAAUAUUCUCUAGUAUUUCCAUAUCUUCCCACAAUGCAGCCCGUCCUCUUGCUUUCAAAGUCACCUAAUCCCCAUACAAAAAAAAAAAAAAAAAAGAAUCAAAGAAAACGAGGAGGAAGCAUGCAAGAAUAAUAAAUAAAUAAAUAACUAAAAUCGUGCAAAUUUUAAAAAAAAAAUCAAGAAAAAUUAGCCACAUGCAAGUAUAGCAAAAUAUUAAUUCAUGCAAUCUUAAUAAUAAUAAUAAUAAUAAUAAUAAUAAUAAUAAUAAUAAUAAUAAUAGCAAUAACAAUGAUGAUGAUGAUAAUAGAAACAAUAAUAAAAAAACAAUUCUAAUGAUGAUAAUAAUAAAAAUAAUAACAACAAAAAUAAAUGAUGACUAUAAAAAGGUAAAUAAAAAAUAAAUAAAUAAAUAUAAGUACACAACACAUAUUCAUAAAGAAAAACAUGCAAGCUAUGUAAGUCAUGCAAGCUAUGCAAGUUACGUGAGCCAUGCAAAUGAUGCAAGCUACAUUUGUCAUCUAAAUGACUUAGGGGUGUUAGGGUAAGCCUAAGCGGACUAAGUGCACCUAAACAUGGCAAGUGUUCUUAAUGGGCCUAAAUAUGUCUAAGUGAGCUGUCAGAAAAGUGUACUUAGUAUCCAGAGUGGCUCAAAGAGGUAAGCUAUAUGAGUAGCAAUGGGCCACAAAAAACUACUAUAGAGUUCUAAAAGAGCACUUAAUCAGGGCAUGUGCUAAGAGGAUAAAAUGGAAGGUCUACACCUUGCAAGAUAUUAAGGAUAAUCAAUUUAAUUUAUUUUAGGCAAUUCAAAUAGAAUAUUGAAUAUAAAACUAUAGACAAUGAGGUACAAAUUUUUUACAUGGAAAACCCCCACAAAUUGUAGAGAUAAAAAACCACGAGAUCUAAGACCUACCAAUCUAAAUCCAUUAUUCGAAGUCAAGUUACAUAGAUUUACCUGGACGUUUUACCCUAAAGACUUACUCUACAACACCUACAACUUGAUCCAUGUCCGCGACGCAACAAUUCCCUAUUGCUCCAUAGUAAAUCCUUCGGUUUCUCAAAAGGGAUUACAAUCUUUAACUAACAAUUCAAAGAUUCAAAUCCUUGAAUUAAAGAACAUGAAUGGUGUGUCAAUUAGAUUUUUCUCACAAGAAGUCCCUCCAAAGAAUAGCAGGUCUCUCAACAAUCUUUUAGGAUCUCUAUGAUCUUUCUAAUCUCCGAUUUGUAACCAACAAGGGGUUACAAGAGAUCUAUUUAUAGGCAAAAGCCAUAAGAGUUUUGGUAUCCCAAGUUUUCAAAUUAGAGUUUAAGUUAAAUUCAUUCAAAAUAGGUUUUUAAACUCGAUAGGACUGGCAUGACUGCUUGAGCAAACUUUGACCACUUGAGCUAGCACUUUACUUGAGCAGUCCUUACCUCUUGUAUAGGUUGAUUGCUUGAGUAGGAUUAAUCACUUAAGCCGUCCUUAGUACUUGAGAGAGAUUAACCGCUUGAGUGGCCUCUACUUUUUGAAAAAUAAUUUUUAAAAUCAUUUUAAGUUUAAAAAUGAUACCAAACCUUUUUAUACCUCAAAUAAGCCUUAUAUUCCAUAAGCCAAACCUUUUUAGAUGUACCAAUGACUUUUCGAUUGGAUGAAUAGCAACCCUUGAUCUUCGAUGGAGAGCAUGUCAUUAUCUAAAAAGACUUUUAUGACCAAAAAUUAAUUGGAACAAAAUUGCCGAUAAAUACACAAGACUUAAUGUCUUAACAAUUCAUUCCCCAUCCUUCAAGCCCAUGACUUAUUCAUUUUUCCCUUGUUUUGAUCCCCCCAUGCUUCUUAAUUUUUAAAUAUUUCUUUAGGCAUAUUUGAUCCCUUCCUCUUCCUUGGUUAAAAUUGAUUCUAGUAACUUCUAUUUUUUUUUCCCUCAUUUGAACACGAAAUUAAGCUCAAAAUAUAUGUUAGAUAUGCAACUAAGGUCUUAGCACUUAAUUUGGGUGUGUGGAUCCCUUUAUAUAGUAUAAAUCAUACCAUAUAUAUGUCAUUAGAGUGUAUAUUUUGACCACAAUCAAUAUCCUAUUAUAGGGUUGUGCAUCUUGGUUCAUUAAAGCAUAUGGGGACUAUUCCCCUUAUACCUGGCUAUGAAAGCCUAAGAAUGAUUGACAUUUGCAUCUGGAUGCCUAGUUGGGUGCAUGUAGCACUAACCGUGAGUCCAUACACUUAUCACUUGAGUGAUUCUACCCAAACUUAGUCAUUGUUACUAAUGAAUAAAGAAAAAUCAAUAUUUUAUUAAAAAGAAUUAAAUAUUUUGUUUCUUUUUGUUCAGUUAAAAAUAAAUUAAAAGCUUUUAAAAAAAAUUAAAUUAAAAAGCAUUUUUUUUUUUUGAAAAAAAAAAACACACAAUCAAUCUAAAAUCUAAAAGAAAAUUACUUUCAAUAACAAGCUUUUUAAAAAAAAAAGAAAAAAGAAAAGAAAAAGGCAAACAAACAAACAAACACCACUUUACUUAUUUUUUUUUUUUUAAGAAAUAUUUGGCUAAAAGACUUCAAAUACUUCUCAAAUCAUAAGAAUGACCUUUCUUCUUUAUUCUUUAAAAAAAAAAUGAAUCAUUUUGGAUAAUAUUACAUUUUUUUUUCUUUUUUUUUUCUCAAAAUAACAUUUCUCCCUCAUCCCCCAAUCGUUUCCUUCUCAUUCUUCCAAUGAAUUUUCCAAGUUCUUUCCUAGUGAAUUUGGGGGCGUGGUUCAAAUCGAAGAAAUGAUAAAAAUCGAUCACAACUCUCAUCUUUUUUUCUUAUUCAAGAUCUUUCAUUUGUUUUUUUUUUUUUUUUUUUUGAGUUGGUUUUUGUUGUUUUUUGCAGUCUUCAUCAAGAUCCUGCAUUAUCCUUUAUAUGUGUGUGUGUUUGGUUAUUGUUUUUUGUUAAUGGUUUUUUUGUUGUUGUUUUUUGUAGUUACUUUUUGUUGGAUUUUCGUGUGUGUUUCUUUCUUUCUUUUUUUUUUUUUUUUUUUGAAUGUUCAACUAGGAUUUUGGUUCAGGUUUUUUGGUUGGGAUUUUAUUAGUGGAAUUUUUGUUAGGAUUUUUUGAGGUUGUCCUUUAGUGGUAAUUUUUACUAUUUUUUGUUAAAUUUUUUUUGUAGUUUCAUUUAAACUUCUAAAAUGUGAAGAUGAGAUCACAUAAUCCUUUUAUUUAAUGUUUAAGUCCAUAUAAAUAUUCUAAUUAAGAACUUAAUUAUAAUUAAGUUUUUUUUUGUAGAUAAAAUGUUAAAUUAACUCUAAUUAAGUUUUUUUUAAAAAUAAAACUUAAUAACAACAAAGUUUAGAUCAUUAUAAUCGAGUUCUUUAUAGAUGAAAUGGAAAAAUUGACCGUAGUUAAAUUAUUUGUAAAUGAAUUUAAUUCUAGUUAAGUUUUUUUGUAAAUCAAACUUGACUCUUGUAUUUUUACUUAAUAUAAAUAAACAUCUAAAAUGAAAGCAAGAAUGAGUAAUUUGUAAGAUAAGAUAGUUACGAAAAGAUAAUGAUUUUUAUAACAAACAAAAUGAAGAAGGAUAAAAGUAUCCAAAAAGAGUUAUUUCUCGACAAAAUUAAAGUGUGAGGGGUCAUUUUUACAAUUUGAGAGUUAUUUUGAGUCAUGUGUCCAAAUAACCCCUUUUUUUAAAAAAAAAUUCCAAACCAAUGUUAAUGUCUCACAUGUAAACAUUGAGAAAUUAUUUAAAUUUGUAAUAUAGUUUCAUAUUGUCAAGGCCAAAGGGCUAUAGAUAAAUGAUGGAUUCAGACUUGGAACUUCUUUAUUUAAAAAUAUAUAUAAUUAAUUGAUAAUCAGUCAUGCUAGACUUAUUAUGUUUAUUUAAUUUUUUGUUCCCCUAAAAUAAAUCUCUCGCACUUUGACCCUUGUUAUUUCAUAGUUAUUACUGGUGCUCAAACUCUUGAGCUAGGGUCCAUGAGUGAUGUGAUCUAAUAAUACUCUUCCUAGAGGUGGUGAUUGACCUAUUUGCCUAUAGAACCUAGCACUUGCACUAAAGAGUAUUGAAAGUGAACCUUGGCUAUGCUUCUCCAAAGGUUUAAGUUAGAUCUUAACUGAAUGAAGGUCGACAAGCAUGGAUUACCUACGGCUUGAGAUGAGAGAUGGAGGUUGGGAGAGAGUUGAAAGCUAAUUGAAUUAGAGUGUGUGGGAAGAGACAUAGUUUAUGUUGCUACUCCAAGGUAGGUUGACUAAAGGGUUGAGGUCAACUCUUUCUUCAUGAAGGAACUAUUAGUUGGGUAGGCCUGUGUUUGGCAAUGCUCAAUAGAUUGUUAGGAAUAUAUAUGCCCUUGACAAAGAGUUGACUUCCAUAUUGAGUCAUUGGUGUAAGAGGUCGAGUAAGAAAGAGCAAAAGGAACUAGGCCCUAAAUGCUUAGGUCAAGGCAAGUGAUGCUUUUGAAAAGUUGUUUCCCGAUUACUAUUAUUUAAGAUUUAUGGCCUUGAUUACUAUUAUUCCUUAGUAUUCAAUAGAAAUAAAAUAUUACAAAAUCAAACAACUUAUUACCCAAUAUUAUUAAGCUCUACUUAAUUUUAAAUUCUAUUUAAAAUCAAUUCAAAAAAACAAACAACACCUGAAUCACAAGUGAAAUUUCUCAUUUUAAAAUUGAUUUAAAAACCUUUAAAAAAAUUAUCCCUUUUUUUUUUAUUUGUGUUAUCAAAUUUUAAAAACUAAUAAAAAGUAAAAAUGUAUAACAAGUCUGAUUUUUAAAAUUGUUUGCAAACUUUGGUUAAAAUAAACAUUUAAAAAUAAAUAUGUCACUAAUGACAAAAAACGAUUUUAGGAGGUUUAAGAAUGGGUCCACCGAUCCCACAAAGGGUGGUUGAAGAAAAGCCGACUCUAGAAAAAGCCUCAGCAUUCUAGGAGACUUCCUUCUAAUUUGAUUCAUUGGGUCUAUUCUACGUGUUCUACUACCAAAUUGGAACUAACCUAAUGCCUUUUAGUUUGAUAACAAGACCUUCCAUCCAUUCAUGUCCACAAGCUUCAUUUUUCUUUGUGAUACUUUUAACAUAUAAUAUAUAGAAUAUAAACAAUUAACAUUUAUAAAAAAUUUUACAAGUUUUAUUAUUGAUAAAGAGGAUAGAAAAUAUUUCAUUUUUCUAUGCAAUCACAAGGAAUCGACAUUGUGUUGGUACAUGUGAGAAUGAGAAGAUUUUUAAAAAAUUAGGUAUUUAAAAAUAUAUAUAUAUAACAAUUAAAAGAUUAUUUAUAAAUUUAAAACUCUUCAUGAAGAGCUAAUAAGAAAUUAUCUUUUGAGGAGAAAAGUUGAAUUUAACUAUUCAAUUUUUAAGUUGAAUUACAUUAUAAGCAUUGAAUCAGAUGUGUAAGUUCUUAAGACAAUUAAAAUUGACAUCCCACGUUGUAAGUAUCAACCGACAAACUUAUGGUGUCUGUUUGGUUUCAAAAAUUAUCAAAUUUGGCAUAAUUUUCAUGAAUUUCAUAAAUCUAAAAUCUAAUUUAGAAAUCAAACUUAAAAGAUUCCCUAUUAAUUAAGAAAAAUAGAAAAUCUUACAUUACCUAUACAUCAAAUUCUUUAUUUACUCCAAUCUUAGAGUCUAGAUAGUCAUUAAAAUAACUCUAGGGAUAAUAGAGAGAAGCCUCACAUUUAAAAGAACUUCAUAAAUGAAAGAUCACUCAAAAUAUUUAGGAAAACAAUAUCAUAUCAAUUAAUCAAACUAUCAAACCAUUGAUAUGUUAACUAAUAAGUAAGGACAUAGUUCUGCGUCAGUUAUGAGAAGAUGAAAACCUAUUGCGAAGAAAGACUUCGAUUUUGCAACCUUGGGUAGACUAGACAUAGCAUUGCUGGUACAUGCUGAUGAACUAGCUNNNNNNNNNNNNNNNNNNNNNNNNNNNNNNNNNNUUUCUUGACAAGAUUGAUCCUGGGAUGCAAAUCAUUGCAUUACUAGGUGAUGCUUAUGAGGCCACAUCCUCGUUAUGCUUGCUGGAGACUUUAACAGCAUGCCACCAAGUACACUGUAUCAGUUUCUGGCCUCAUCUGAAAUGGAACAUCAAUCACAACAUAGAGGCCACAGAUACCAGCAGAAUGAAGAUGCAUCCAGAACAAGGCCAUUCAUGCAUACAUGGAGCAAUGAACAAUUAAGGCCCGUCACUGGCAGCACUGGAGUUAUCUCAUAUGGUCCUUGUCAAACUCCUAUUCUUGGCUUCUGUGCAUAGUACCACUGGAAGUUUUCCCACUCCAAGAUCAGAAGGUUGAAAUAUUCUCAAGCAAGGACUUGAUCUCCAGGUUGACCUUGACUAUUGAUACUGCUUCCAUUGGACCUCUUCCUCUCUCGGAUUCAUUCAUCACUCAGAUGGGUACAAAUGACUACUGUUCAAUUCCUCAACAACUCAAAGAUCACAAAUGCAAGGGAUCAUAUGGAACUGGAUGGCCUACAGAAAGAGAUGGUGAAAGAACAGAGAAGGUGGACUCGUUAACAACUGAAGCAGAAAGGCUAAAGACUUCUUUACUUUCACAUACGCAAUCAAAAGAGGAGGCUAAGUAAGUUGCCUCUAGUCUGGGUGGCACAACUUAGAUGGAUGGCAUUGGAGAUAUGCUUGAAGUGAGUUUGAAAGAGGUUAUUUAUGCACAAGCACAACAACAUGAAUUGUAGUUUAAGCCAAAACCAAUCAGAAUGUAUAAUGGUCACCGGAUAUGUGGUUUUGGUAACACCAGCAUAAAAGUGGAUCCUCUAAAUCAACAGGUACGUGUUUGCUCAGCAUGAGAAAAGAUGGUCCUUGACCAUAGAGCAAUUCCAUUUCUGGAUUCCCUUGAGGAAUCUAACUUAUGGGUUUGGGAGUGACAGCAGGCCUAGUUCAUGGAGACUUUCAAAUGACAAUCUUGUAUCUCAUCCCAUUGAGGAUAGAGUGAUUGGUAUUCUUGACUGGGAGUUCAUCUAUAGCUUCAUUGGCAUCGUGUUGGGACCAAAUAUGCAAUCCAGGAGUAUAGCUUUCAGAUGAUAGUUGUUUUAAGUCAGGGCAAUCAGUGCAGUUACACGUUUCAGUAUGGCAAUGCUAGCAGCUAAGCGUAAAAGGGUCAUGGCCUAUGCUCUGGCUUAUCAGUGGCAGGUGGGAUCUAGGUAGCAGGUUGCUCCUUCUGGGCUUGAACCAGAUGAAAGCAAUUGGGAUGUGAUUCGGUUGGAAAGAUAAAAACAAGCGGGAUAACUCCUUCCCCACUAAAUCAGCAAUGUUUCAAGAGACAUCCAAUACAGUUUCUACCAGAUAUUACGCGUAGAGCAAGAAGUGGUUGGGGAUGACACAUCAACCUUGCAAUGUGUUCUUAACUCUGAUAUUGAAAGAACCCAACUUUUGGCAGAAAAAGCCCAUAUAAAAAAGACUAGCUCCACUCAUUUUUAAAGAGGUAACUAGGAGGGUUCACUUGGAGAAUAUCUGGCAAGCAAUACUCAAAGCAACUUGGAGAACCCCAUGGAAAUAAUUAAAGAAACUGGAAAUUUCUGCUUUGAGGUUCCACUGAGCACUGGUCAAUAUACAUGUGCUGUAGUCUACAAGGAAGGUGUGACUAAGUUGAAAGAAGUUGGACGCAACCUUUCCUAGAUAGAGACAAUUAGUUUUCCUGUGUCAAGAAUACUGCUGCCCACAUAUUGAAUUCAACAUUUGCUCCCUGCUGAUAUUUAGUCCUUUUUCUGGUCUCUUUAUUCUGAAGCAAAGAUGGCUUUGCAGAACAUAGGUGCUGGGAAUAGUGAUGAUUCCUUUUACAGGUAUGAGAUGCCCAAAAUGGUUGCCAAAAUAGAGGGUCGGGGAAAUGGUAUUAAUCAGAAAAGUUCAGCUUUUGCUCAAUGAGUUCCUGGACCUGGCAUGUGAGUAUCCUGAGCUGAAAACACUAAGAAGUUGCGACUUGUUGCCUGUCAGUUGGAUGUUUGUGACAUGGAAUCCCAUAAACCGAAUACCCAUGAGACAAGCAUUAAAGAAUUCAGAUGCUUGCCUUCUAGCUUACCAUUCUCUUUCUAGGCCUAUGAAAGAUAGUGGAAAUACACAAGCUGUAGUGGAGGUCUAUCUCAGUGAGAUGGAGGGUGUCCUAAAGAUUUCAUUACUUGUUUUUUCGCAUGGAUUUCUAUAAGUUCAAGGGCUUCAUAUGGAUGAAAAAUGGGACAUGGGAGCAUCAACAGGUGAAUUUUCUCAUGCAGGUUGCAGCUAACCGGUUAAGACUGCUAGAGGUUAAUCACUCAUAUUUCCAGUUCUUUGUUUCACAUGCUGAAGUAGAAGAGAAUACUGGGGAAACAAUCAAACCCGGUGACUAAGGUUUUCUUGAAGUUUCGAAAAUAAAAAAUGGAGCUCAUAAUGAACAAGAGAACACAGUAGUUGAGCUGCAGAAUAAAAAAGUGAAUUGUGAGAAAAUGGAUGAGUCAGUUAUAAUGUUGAGGACUUGAAGCUAGAGAAUGAGUAGCAGCACAGGAAAUCUGAUCUGGAACUGGACCUGACUACUCUACCACAAGCUUCUGUUGAUGAUUCAAGUUGGGAUUCUGAGGAACUAGAGUUGAGCUGGAGUGCCUUGGUUGAUGAGGUAGUGCGCCAAAACCAAGUGAGCAUGGACUCUGAAAUCACUACGGUAAGUUCUUCUCCAGACUACCAGCAAUAUGCAUAGGUCUCCUCAUGCAACCACCAGCGGUGCAGUCUCAGUCCUAUCCCUGGGCCUCACUCCUGUAUGGCUACCUUGGUGCACACUGUCCUCUCCCAAACCAUUUCUGUUGUUUCCUUGUGAUCUUACAUGUUUUAAAUUGGGUUUUCAAAAUCUUUUUCAUUCAAAUAAUCUCAGCUUUAAAAAUUCAUCCUUAGACAUUUUAGGCAUUAAAAUACCGACAUUUAAUAAACACUUGCAACCAUUAUUCUCCUAGCAUGCACCUUCUUAAUUUUCUUUAAUUUUCAACAAUUUUCUUGAUUUUCUCUAUUUUUAAUAAAUAUGAAUAAAUUCCAUAAUUCCAAAAAUAAUGGAAUUCCUUCCAAAUUCCUGUGAUUCCUCUAUUAUCAUUAGAGUUAGAAUUUAUAGGAUUAGUUCAUGCAAAAAUAAAAUUGGGCCUUGUUGGGAGCUCAACAUCCAUGAUAUUUUCCUUUAUAAUAAUCCAAGUGAAAUGCAUGUUAUGUAUUUAUUGACUUUGGUCCGAUUUGUAAAGUGUGUGAGAUUAUUUGCUAUGGUACACUAACCUUGUUUCUUUGAGGCACUUUUCUUGCUGCACAGAUAUGCUCUCAUCUCUACCUUGUCUAUUUAUUUAUUCCUCAUUAUCAUGCAUGAUUUGUUUUAGUCCAUGACUCUUGGUCCUUGGUAUCCACCAAUUAACCAGUCAAUUGCCAUACUUGCUUUAACUUGAUUAAUAGAAACCUAAUUUUAGGGCUUAGAGGAGUGCAAUGACUUAUCACCGUACCUUCCUGAUAGGUAACUUGACCACCGGAUCCUAACUCAGUUUUCACAAACUUGCUUUUCCCUUCUAAGAGUCACAAUUAGGAUUUUAUUUCUUAUUUUGAUUUCCUUUCUUAAAAAUAAUAAAAAAUAACUGGUGACUUCAACUUUUUUUUCCUAAAAAUCAAAAUUUUCACAAAUAAAAAGUGAGUCAUGCUAUCGAGUGAGAAUGCAUGUGAAAAAUGCAAGUCCACGAGAUCCUAUACUAGGGCAUAUUUCCCCACUUUGAGCUUAUCAUAUUCACAUCAUAUUCAAUUGGGGCUUCAUUAGGGACAUGUUUCUAUUCUUGAGACUAUCAAACCUCUUGUCAUUCUAGUCAUCCUUUUGAGAUUUGAUUUGGAGUAUUUCAUUUUAGACAUGGACAAAUUUAUAUUUUGAUUUCUUAGUGCAUUAUCAUUGAGUUGGAGACCUCACGAUUACCAUAGUUUCUUCAAGAGUAUUUAUACCCAAUUAGAUAAGUGAGAAUGUUUAUGCUUUCGAUGUAGUUGACGAGUUUAGUUUCUUCUCAUCGAAAAUUUUUCUUGAGCAAUAUGUUGAUAUCUCAUCAGAGUGUCAAAUUUGAUGUCACCUUAUUGAGAGCAUUUGAUCAGCAUCUUGUUUUUUCUCAGUUGAGCAUCUCAUAUGUCAUGCUGACAAUUAUAGUUCAAGUGUUGGACAAAGUUUUGAUAUGACUCUUAUUGUUAUAUUAAUCAUUAUUUGAUAUUAGGGCAUACCUCCUUACAGUUUUACCUUGGUGGAUGAUUUGUCAUUUUUAACCUUGCACAUUGGGCCAUACCCCUUUCAUUGAGAUUAUACAAUCUUCUGUUGACUUUGUGGCCUCUUGAUUCAUUUGCUAAUUCCUAUGAAUUAUCAUCUUAGGCCUGUUCUCCCUUUCAUUGAGUUCAUUAUCUCAAUUGCACCUUCUCUUAAGUCCUUUAGUUGUUUUGGCUAUAGAUUAUACUCCUUUGUUCCCAUUUAUGUUAGGUGUUCUCAUUUGUAAUCCUCGUACUCACCCUUCUUUCAUUUUGUUCAGGACACACCCCUUUGACAUGCAUGUUUGUGGCAUCCUUUCAUUUUGGUUUCCUUUGUGGCAUUUUUUCCUUUAAGCAUCAUCUGGGGCAUACCCCUUCACAGCCCGAAGUUGUUCAUUAUAUUCCAGUUUAGAGUUUAUCAUCAUUUUAGUUUCAUUUGUGGCAUUCCUUUUAUUUUGAUUUCAUUUGUUGCAUUCUUAUAUUUGAGUAUCAUUUUGGGUAUACACCUUCUUUUCAAUGAGUUGAUCAUCUCUAUCUUUACUCACCUUUAAGUGGUUCAACUUGGAGUCGCAAAUCAUGAUUUCCAUUAAGUAUUCAGAGCCCAUAACUCGAAGCUAUUCAUUUUAUUUCAAUUCAGAGUUUAUUAUAUUUCAGUUUUCAUUUACAUCAUUCCAUCAUUCUAGUUUCGUUUGUAGCAUUCCUUUAAUUUCGAUUUCGUUUAUGGCAUUCCUCUCUUUGAGUAUCAUCUGAGGCAUACCCUAUUUUAUUUAGUGAGUUGAUCAUCCUUAUCUUAGUCACCCUUAGUGGUUUAACUUGGAGUUGUGAAUCAUGAUCUCAUUUAGGCAUUUAGAGCCUAUAGCCUAGAGCUGUUCAUUUUAUCUUAGUUAAAAGUUUAUUAUCUUGUAGUUUUCACUUAUAAUAUUCCUUCAUUCCAGCUUUGUUUAUGACAUUCCUAUAUUUGAGUAUCAUUUGGGGCAUACCCUCUUCUAUUCAGUGAGUUGAUUGUUCCUAUCGUAGUUAAAAUGUAUUUUUAAAUUUUAAAUAAUGUUAUUGGAUGUCACACAUUAUAUUAUACAUGUACUAAUUUAUUUAAUAAAACAACGUCAAAAUUUCUAUUAUUACUUUUUAUACCAUUUAUUUACAUUUUUUUCUCAACAUUUUCAUAAGUUUUAAUCAAUUUUCAUCUCACCAAUAUUUUGUGUCAGAAUAUCCAUCAAUAUUUCCCAAUAUAUCCUUAAAAACCAAUCUAUAUAUAUAUAUAUAUUGGAUAAUAAAAAAAGGUGGCUAAAAAAUAUUAAAAUGUUAAAACUAUUAUGAUUUAAAAAAGUAUGUUCUCUAUAAAUAUUUUAGGAAACUAAAAAAAAUAAUCAUAAAAUUGUUUUGUCAUUGGCUAGAUCAUAUUUAUCAUAUAACUAUGGUAAAAAGAUUUCAUAUUCAUAAGGCAAAAAUUAUUUUUGGAACAAAUUAUGUGUGGUAUUACUAUUGACUAUAAUAACACUAUUUUAGUGGGUAGUAAUUUUUAUAGAAAAAUUGUUUAUGAAAAUUCACUUUUUUUUUUCUUUUUUUACAGGUAAAUUGCUUUUGUUACAAAGUAUAUUAGUUGAGCAUUUGCAAUAGUUUAAAUCCAUCACAAUAAUAUUUUUCUCGACAAGUAUUUGUUGUUGCAAUUAUUGUUGGUAAAUAUUUGAAUAUAAGCGAUAGAAAAUUCAAUUAGUGACGAAAUAGGUGUAUUAGAAAUUUGUGAUAGCCUAAAUUCAUCGCAAAAGUAAAUAUAAAUGGAUUGAUAAUACUUAAUGUUUUGGUAAUGUGUUUAGAGCCUACAGCUCGGAGUUAUUCAUUAUAUCUUAGUUUAGAGUUUAUUAUCAUUUCCAUUUCAUUUAUAGCAUUCCUUUAUUACAAAUUUGUUUAUGGAAUCCUUAUCUUUAAAUAUCAGCUAGGGUAUGCCCCUUUCUUUUCAAUGAGUUGAUCAUCCUUAUCGUGGUCACCCUUAGUGGUUUGACUUGGAGUUGUGGAUUGUGAUCUCCUUUAGGCCUUUAGAGCCCAUAGCUUGGAGUUGUUCAUUAUAUCUUAGUUCAAAGUUUAUUAUCGUUUUCAUUUUGUUUGUGGCAUUCCCUCAUUUUGAUUUCAUUUGUUGCAUUCUUAUCUUUGUGUAUCAUCUGGGGUAUACCCCCUUCAUUGAGAUAGUUAGAUCUUCAUUUUCAAUGAGUUGAUCAUUCUUAUUUUAGUCACAUUUUAGAGGUUUGACUUGGAAUCGUGGAUUGUGAUCUCAAUCCCUUAGGAAAACCCACAGUCGAUAAUAUUCAUUUCAUCCACAGCCUUAAGUUGUUCAUUACAUCAUAACCCUGAGCUAUUAAUUACAUCAACAACCCUGAGUUGUUCAUUACAUCAGAACUCUAAGUUGUUUAUUCCUUCACAAGCUUGAGCCUUACAUUAUUUUGGCUACCCUGAAGUGGUUUGACUUGGAGUUUGCGUAUCGUACUCUUCCUUUCGACUAAUUUUAGAGUGUCCAAAGCCCCCAUCUUUUAAGCGUUGAAAGCCUACAACCUUAAGUUGUUCAUUGCAUCACAACCUGAAGUUGUUCAUCAUUUUUAGUUAUCUUUGAGUGAUUUAACUUGGAGUUAUGCACCACACUCCCCUUUCAGCUAAAUUUUGGGCAUUUGAAGCCCACAUUUUCGAGUUAUUCACUGCAUCACAACCCUGAGCUAUUCAUUACAUCCGCAGCCUUGAGUUGCUCAUUAUGUAUACAUUCAUAAUACCUUGUCAUAUUUUGUAUGAAAAGUUAUUCUUUUACCUAGUUCAGUGAUCUUGAGUUCUAAGCUUACCGCAUCAUGUGUUAGGACAAAAUUUCUAGUCCUUUUUAGUUCUUUGGCAUAGUUCACUUCAUUCCAAUCGUUACUCUUACUUCUACUCAUAUUCCUUACAUUAGUGAUCUCUAUUAAAGAGGGGUAUAUUUGUAGACCCUUCAUUUUAUCCUCCUAACACUUGUGAUACUUUAUGUUUUCCUAAGCUUCUCUCUUACCCUAUGGUUGUCCCUAGGUGACCCAUUAACACUCGUAGAUUUUUUUUUUUCCUAAGCUACCUUUAGGGAACCUUUGUUGAGGGGCUCAUCUAGACCCACAAUGUGACUUUGACAGCUUCUCAAGUAAGAUUUUAGGUUAGACUUCACUUAGAUUUUUUUCUAGGAUAGGGUCACUUAGAUCUUUUUUAUGAUAGGAUCACUUAGACAUGUCCCUAAGCUUAGUUCACUUAGGUUGGUUUUCUUGAGUUUGAUUGCUAGGUUUUAGGUUUAGGUGAGUUUUUGACUUAAUUUCAAUAUUUGAAUGCAUGGGGUGAGUAUCAAUAUUUAGUUAUGUGAGUUCGAUGUGUCGAUUUUCUUAUUAUCUAUUGCAUUAAGAUUAAUAUUUGGAUUUUGAUCGCAUGCGUUUGAUCAUUUUUUUUUUUUUUUUUUUUUAUUUUAGAACAUUUAUGUGAGACUAAUGUUGUGACUUUUAAUUGCUUGAAUUGAUGUUUAAUCUUAAAUAUGCAUACAAUUGACCUUUAAUUUUUAAUUCCAUAAUUUUAAUUUUUAAAAAUUUUCAAUUUCAUGACUUUUACUAAUUUUAAACUUUAUUUUAAUUUUGCAUGAGAUUUGAAUGUAUACAUUGGAGAAGAUCCCUUAGUGUACAUGACUUCCCUCUAAUAGGAUGGAGAUCAAGACACUUUGGAGAUCCUUUUUUAGUUGAAGUGAUACAACCUGUAACCUACGUGUGAACAACAUGGACCCAUUGACCUUCUACAAGAUGCACAAUCUACACAAAAGGAAAUGAGACAUUUAUGCAACACAGAUAAAGGUUUCUUUCCUAAAAGAAGUACAGGCUGCCAUAUGAUAGAUUAGGGCUUUGGACUGUUAAAGAGAAGUGAUGCAUGAUUUUUUAUUUUUUAUUUUCAGAAAGAAACUUACAACACGCAUAGGAUUCAUGGGGCCACUUUCUAAAAAGAAAAGGGAUUCUUUCUUUUGGAUGAGAAUGUAGCAUAAAAGGUGAGGGCCACUUUGGAGAGAAAAAAAAAAAACCACACAGCUUCAUGGAGAGGAGAGGGCAUAGUCUGCCAUUGAAGGAGAGUUGACAACCACGUGUUCCUUGAGGAGGGGAUUCUCUCCACACAACACGCAUUGCAUCCUAAGGAGAGGAGGGUCUUCACACGUUGCCGAUCAGAGAGAAUACACAUGCACAUGGAGGAUCACUUACAACCAUAAAUAAUAGCAACUCAUCCACAGCCCCACACACAGCCGUGCAUAUUGGAGAAGCAGUAAGCUGCCACUUCAAGAUUUACCAUUGGUAGCCCGCACACAUCGUUUGGAGAAGGUAAGUCUUUUUUUUUUUUUUUUUUGUUUCAAUUCUUAAUUUUCAGUUUGUAAGCUAGUUUUCUUUAUAUUUGUUUUUAUUCCAUUAGAUUGAAAGUGGGAAUUAUUAAUCUUAGUUUUGAGUCAUCCUAUAUAGUUUAGGUGUUUUAAGAAUUCUAGUUUACAAGUUUAAUUGACCUCAUCUAAUCAAAUUCAUGUUUUUUUUAAUUUGUUUUAACUUAAUUUGGUUCAUUUUAAGUAGUUUAGGUAUCUUUAUAAUUUUAGCUCAUUAAUAAAAUUGGUCCCAUGUUUGAAAGUUCAUAUUUUUAGUUUGCUUUAAUUUAAUUUGGUUCAUUUUAAUUAGUUUGGGUACUUUUAUAGUUUUAGUUCAUUAAUAAAAUUGAUUCCAUGUUUGAAAGUUAAUGUUUUUAGUUUACUUUGAUUUAAUUUAAUUCAUCUAUUUAGUUUAGACACUUCUAUAAUUUUUGGUUCAUUAAUAAAAUUAAUUCUAUGCCUGAAAGUUCAUGUUUUUAGUUUUCUUUGAAUUAGUUUGGCUCAUUUUAAUUAGUUAAGUACUUUUAUAAUUUUAGUUAUUCUAUGUUUGAAAGUUCAUAUUUUUAGUUUACUUUAAUUUAGUCAAAUUCAUUUUAAUUAGUUUAGGUGUUUCUGUAAUUUUAGUUCCUUAGUUGAAUUGAUCCUAUCUUUUUUUAGUUUUUAUUUUAAAAUCAUUAAUGUUAGUUCUUGAUCAUCCUUAUCUUAAUUUAUUUGCUUUUAAGAUCCUAGUGGUUAGUUCAUUAAUUGAUAUCUUGUUAGUUUGUCUAAUCUAAAAUGCUUUGCUUGUUUCUUUAGUGAUCCUUCAUUUAAUUUGAUUUUUUUAGGCCCUUGGAAACUCAUGAUGAUUGGCAUUUACUCUCACCUAGUUUGGGUUGCUACAAAUUAUCACUUUGUGAUUUUAUUUUCCCUUGUUUUGCUUGGUUUUUUAUUCUUGUGUUUUGUGGUUUAAAAAUGGAACUUUCUCUUUUAAAAAGAAAGUCUUUUCUCAAAAUGUUCUUUAUUUAAAUGGAUUUUAAAAACUCCUUCAAUAAUCCUUAGGGUAAAAAAAAAAAAAAAAUCCUUUUCUUAAAAAGUAUGCAAGCAUGUUUUAAUAGGUUUACACAUUUCUUUUAUUUUCAGUAAAAAUUGUGAUUUUGAGUGGAAUAUGAAUCCAAACUUAUGGUCCCAAAUGCAUGGGAUAAUUCUUGGCUUUGAUGAGUUUGUCAAUACUCAUGCAAGGUUGGGAAUCCAUAGGCUAGAUUUGUGCAUAGCAAAUAAGGAUUUGGUGAAACCCCUUCAUAAAAUUAUUUUUCAAAAACCUUUUAUUGUAAACUUGUUGGAUUUGUUGCGUUUCUAGAAUAAAAUUUCAAUUUGGAUAAUUUAUGAUACUCCUAAAUUUUUUCCUGUGGUUGUAUGAUAUGGUGAACUUCAUGAACUUGAUUUUAGAAGUUUGUUUGAAUCAAAAAUCAUAUUUCAAAUGGAAAUUAUGAAUUAAUCUUUUAGUAGGUUCAUUUUUUGCCCCAUUCUGGAUACCCGGAUUGUUUUUGUAUUUUCAAAUUACUAGGUGACUUUGAAAAAUUAUUUUGAUUUUUUUCCUUCAUUCUAAACUUCUUGAAAUUUAUUUUAUACACAUAAAAUAUUAAAAAAAUGUUUUGUUUAUUAGGAAAAAUAUCUUUCCUUUGUUAUACCCACUAUUAGCAUCUUAGAUCUAAGCAACAAAAGCAAUACCAAUUUUUUAAAAAUUGAUCUUUUAGGGUUAAAGUAUUAACCUUUAGGUUUCAAGGUUCCCAAAUCUUAAAUUCCAAGUGUUGAAAAUGAACUUGAAGUUAUUGGAAGUCUUGUAAACCCAUGAUCUUCCGCCCAAUGACUUAACCUUAUUCUUGGAAAACUACUAGUGAGGACGAAAGAAGGGUAGAGGCUAUGACUCUCUUUCUCUCUGGAUGGUGAGAAGCAAAAGUUAUGGAAACCCUAACCCAUAUGGGCUAUUUAUAGGGAACCUAACUAGCCUUAAAUGACUUGAGCCCAUAUGGUUGGGCUUGGGUAGCUUUAUCUAACCCAAAAUGGGUCUUAAUUGACCGAAUAAGGCCUACUAAUUAAUCAAUUAGCCUAAUCCAAAGACCUUGUUCACUUACCCCUAUUGAUUCGUGCCCAGCUGGUGUACCUUGAUUUCGGUCCUCUGAUGGGAGUAAUCAACAAAAUUUAUAACCUAUUACACCAUGUACUAGGAUAGCCUCAGCUAGCAUAGCAUAGUAGCUCUAGGAUCGUUCACUGGGAAGGGUUUUCAAUUAUGAAUGAUACCAAUUCAGAGUUAAAUUAGUGCCUUUUCAUUUCAAGGUUAGCUUCAAAAGAAAACAUAAACUUUGAUUGAAAAAUGUUUUGUUUCAAGCUAACGAAAAAGAAAGUAAUGGGAAUUACUUAUAAAGAAAAGUGUUUCUUGGAGUUUUAGGAUCACUGGGGUCAGGCUCCUCAUGCAAAAAUAGAGGUUUCGUCACUUUGGUUCUUUUCCUCGCAUUGGAGAAUUAACAUAUAGUUCAUUCUCCAACCGGUGUUGUACAGAUGCAACCCAUUUAUGAAUUUCAGCAUUAAUUCCCUCUCACUGAUGUAUCUCGCAAUGGCUCGUGCCUCUCACCUAGCAUUUGUCAUUCAAGGUGAUCAUUAACCUUGGACUUCCCUUCUCAAGCUCGCAAGAGAUAAAUAAUGGAUGUUUCCUUAGAGUCCAAAAGCUUACCAAGUGUUGGCAAUUCUAGAAAAUCCUACCUUCAAGUCACCUCCCAAAGGCUCGCAAGAGAUAAACUAGUGAAUCUCCACGGACGAAGAUCACUUGCCUUACCAAGUGUUGGCCCAGGUGACUUCAAGGCGUUUUAAGUUAACUAAAAAGAUAAAAACCAUUAACGGGUUACCCUUUCUCUUCAUUAACAGCUGAAACAACAAAACUACCAAUUCUUGCAUUCGGCACCUUACCCAGCUACCUUAGCUCCAAGAGACAAAAAGCCUAGCCACCCAUUCUCUGAGGAAACAUCCUCAGAGCUUGUUUGGCUAGUAAGAAAAAUACAAUCAAAAUGAGAAGGUAAGGCAGAGCAAAACUCUGUAUUUUACUUCCUUUAAAAUUAUACAAAAAGUUGGUGUUCUCUGAGAACAAGCUCCCGACAUAUCUCCCUUAUCAAAAUUACAAGAAUAAUAUAUACAUGGUUAUUCACCCUUUUGUCUUUCUUAACAACUAAGGAAUCCUAUAAUUGGUGGGUUACAAGGAGAAAAUGGGGAUUUAGACAUCAAAUAUUUGAAGCAAAAUAUCUAAAAAUGUUAGUCGCAAAUAUUUGGAAGCACUCAGGAGGAUUUCGCAGACAUACAAGAUGGCUGCGAAAUUUCACAAACGUACAAGAUGGUUGCGAAAUCAUUUCGCAGCCAAAGGCUGAUUUCACAGCCUGCGAAAUUGGCCUUCAGCUUGCUGUGAUAGGCUUCCAAUGGCUCUAACUUCUUCAUUUCAACUCCGAUUCAUGUACCGUUUGAAGCGUUGAAUUGCUGACUUCCCAAGCUUCGAAACAACAUAUAGCAUGCAUCAAAUGGACUCUGGGAAGUGCUUCCAAAGUGUCAAACAGUUGAUGUCCUCUUGCAUUCUACAUGUUGCUUUCAUCCUUGCAUUCUUGAUUAUUUUUUUGCAAAGGACUACAAAGCUCCAAAGCGUGAAUUAUUCAUGUUAAUGAGCUUCCAAUUUCUUUGCCAUGGAUUCCAUAGAACUCUCCUUAAUCUUGGAUUGCUUUGGUGAUCAAAUUACUAUCAAAAGCACCAAAACUUACACAAUUUGAUUAGAAAUGAUUGUAAAGGUCCUUAACAUACCAAUUGAGUUAAAAGGUAAUAACUACUACUCAAAAGUGUUUAAAAGAGUUAAUUACAAGCUAUCAAAUAGCACUUUUUGAGUAGUAAUCACCUAUGCAACCUUGUAUAAUUACCAAAACACCCUUAUGCACAAAAGUGAACCUAAAGCCAAUCUGACCCUCAUAAUCCAUGUCAACCAGGUAUAUGAGCUUAGAGCGGGGAUCACUAGGACCCAUAUGAGUAUUGGCUCCCUCAUAAUCCAAUUUUGAAGUUGAUUCAACAUCCCACUACAAAGAAUCAACCAAACUCCAGUAUCAUAUGUAAAUAACAACGUGACACUAAGUGCUCGGGUCCAUGACCUACUAUCCACUACAUACAGACUCCCUAUGAAUUGGUGUCCGUAAUCUAGUAAGGUAGUGUUAUCACCUAUCAAUAAUACCUCUCAAAUCCUUGAGUUACAAAUCUUACUUAUUAUGUGAUCAACUAACAAACUCUUGCUCCAAGGAACAUAUGUCAAAUUCCACUAAAGGAAUUACUAUGGCCAUAUAUUUCAUGAUCACGUGUCCUUUGGAUCACCCAAGGGAACACACUGUCUCAAUCCUAUGAGAUAUCAUGGUGCCUAUAUUGAGAAUACAUAUUACCAUCAACCUCUAUCAACAAUGACCCAAUUCAUAAGGAUAUAUGACUACUUUAGGGUUUCACCAAAAUGUUAAACCCUUUUGUUUAUUUUGGCACAGACUUGAUAUCCUCUCAUGGUUUAGAGUCCAUGCAGUAUGGUAACUUGGUGAAUUAUGAUAAUUGAUUGCCUUGUGUCAUGAUUCACCGUAAGUCCUAUCCAAUAUGCAUCACAUACACUAGUGCACUCACCAUGGGAAACCCAUCCCGAUGGCUAAGACAAGCCAUCCCUCUAAUUAGGAGGCGGUGCACUACAAUCUCUAUUGGAUUGCCCAAAUCCAUGAACCAACGGUGGAUAAAUUACCUACUUACAAGGAGCCCAUGACUUGUAUAUUCUAUGCAAUUCCUAAUGCACCCAAAUCAUGUACAAUGUAAGAGACAUGAACUAAAUGCUCAAAUCAAUGUCAAUACACCAAAAGGAUAGCAAGGGGAUGGUUAAGUCUAACUUUGUUACAUCAUGUCUUGCUUUUGAGGGCUCAAUCCCAACAAACUCCCAUUAGUCCCAAAAGUAAUAUGGGCACCAUAGAAAAAAAUUUGUUCCAUAUCGCAUCACCUCUAUAUACUAUCUCACAAUAAGGUAACACUUCUUAUUUAUGUGUUUCCUCUUCUAGUGGUACUUCAAUUCUUUAGACCAUGCCAUCAUCCCACUAUUAUCACAUAACAAAAUCUUAGAUGAUAUAGUUAAGGGAACUACCCAUAAGCCAAAAGGCUUUCUUUGUUGCUAUAAAAACAACAAAAACCCACUUAUAGUGUACACAUACCUAGAGGUAGACUUGCGAGAGUCCUUAUCAAACUAAAGUCUAAUUUCCCAAUACGAAAGGAGUACCAACUCAUCGCAAAGACUCAGAAACAUACAAUCCCUUGUUUUCCAAAGAUACUAUAGUAUAUGUUUGACAUCCACCCAAAGCUCUAAUAAGGAAAUGAACUAAUAUCCACUCAUUAUUCAUAAACAAAGAAAAUAUCUAGUCUAGCACAUAGUAUCACAUACUUAAGGCUAUCAAUUGCAGAGGUUUUGGAUAUCACCUUAGUGCAAUCUCUCUCCAUAGAUCUCUAAGGACAUUGAUCCUAAGAAAUACAACUCCAAAAUCAAAGACUAACAAACCAUCUUGGAUUUUUGCAUCAUGUAGUUGACUAAGUGCUCAUUUAUGUAGGUGACAUGGUGCAAUUUUCCUAUUCUUGCAAUCCUGAAUGACCAAAACCCGAAGAAUAUAUUGCAUCUUCCUCUAGAUUUUCAUCUAGAACUGAGUAGACUAUCGGAUCUUGAUUGAUGGCAAUGUCCCUACAUCAUAUCCAAUGAGUAGAUUGUCAUCUACUUGCAAGAUCUUAGAGUAUCACCAUGCUUCCUUAUGUUUUCUUGUACACACAAGGCCAUUUACUAUGAAAAUGUUUGGUUGUUGUAUCUUACAAAUGAGACACACUGCAAUAGAUAGUAGUAAUUUGAUGGAUUUGAGUAUGAUCACUUUUGAAAAGGUUUUCCAUAAUUGAAACAAAGUUUCAAACUAUAACCUUUAGCUAUAGUCUUAGCCAUAUAAAACUCAAGCUUUUCAUCUACUCCUAUAUUCUUUUUGCACACCAAAUUACACCUAUGGGUUUUAUCCAUUUAGGUGCUUCUACAAGAAACCAAACUAUGUUAGAAUACAAAUAUUCUAACUACCUUUCCAUAUCUCCUUACCUUAAGUGAGCACAAACAUUGCUCACUACUUCAUCAUAAUCUAUGGGAUAUAAACCUUCCACUAUGAUGAGCCACUAAUGUACUAAAAAUCAUAGAAAUAGCAUUCCUAUAACCCUUUGGAUCUAUAGUAUCCUAUGCAAUGUGGGACUAUUUUCUAAUAUAUCCUCAAAUCUAUAUCAUUUUUUACCUUAUUCCUUAUCAUAUAGUCUUCAUAAAAAAAUUUGAUGUUUGUGUCAACAUUUUCUGAUGAUCCUGACUAUAAAGGUAAUAACUCAAAAAUCCUAUAAAAUGAUAAACCUCUUAAGAAAAAGAGGUUUUACACAGUCUAUAAAACAUAUCCCCAAAAGAAUCUAAGGAAGAUGAGAAACCUAUCCACGAUCUCACUAUGUCCAUACAAGUUUGAUAUCUUAUUUCCACCUCUCCAUUUUGCAAUAGAGACCUUGGUGCACAUAACUAGGAAAUAAUCUUGUGCUCCAUUGGAAAGAUUCAAAUAAUCUUGUCCUUAAAUUCAAUUAAUGUAUCCAAGGCAUUGGAUCUCCUAAGUGUAUAUUCAAACCUAGAGUAACCAUCACUAAAAGUGAUGAAAUACCCAUACCCUCCCCAUGCAUGGACACUAAAAUUUCCAUACAUGUCAAUAUGCAUGUACUCCAAACAUUCUUAGGCUCUAGCCCUCUUGGUCAUUUUACCAUCUAUAUAGGAUUCAUAGACUAAAAGAUCUUCUAAAAUGAAAGAGUUUAGACUUUAUCAGUUUUUGGAUCUUAUUUAGAUUAAUAUGACCUAGGUCUAGAAACCAAAUGUUUAAUUAGUUCUAGGUUUAAUCCUAAGAUUUGACCAUUCUCAUCCCUUGGAAUAGAAGACAUAUAAAAGAAGAGGAUAUUACCCCCCCACUAACCUGCAUAACUAACCUUGCAUUUGAAGCUAAAGUAAGUAUAAUCCCAUCAUUUAACCUUCUCACUUGUUGAAUAUCUUAUAAGGACUUACAAAAAGUGGGCCUGGAAUCUAUCCACCAUAAAUGGUGAAAUCCACCACUAAAUAUUCACCAACGAGAAAAGUGUACUUUUUGUUUUCCUUUAGGUAAACUAGGCAUUCCUUUUCUAGCUUCCUAGAAGGUCACAAAGGAAUUGCCCUUGAGCUUGUUUUUUUUAUUAUUUCUAUUAAACUUUCCUUAUUUGGUAUUCUUCUUCUUCUUCUUCUUAAAAGAAGAACCUGAAAAAUCGUUGACUUCCAUAUGAACACCCUAUAAUCUUUGAGAAUCCCCUUAGUCAUUCUGAAGGAAAAUGGUAAGGUCUCUAAGAUCAUAUGAAUAUUAGUGUUCAUAAUAGUACUAAGAGUAGCUUGUCAAAGCUAGCCUACCCUUAUCACCAAACACCAUUGCAAACUAGAAAGAGAAUAUCAAAGUCUCUAGUAAUCAACAAAGAUCCAAGUAGUAGACACUUAGUCUUCUAAUCUGUCUAAUACCACCUUGACAUACCACUUUCCUUUUGCUAGGCUAGUUCAAAAGGAAUAGCUAGCUCUACCUAAACUAAGUUCUAUGUAAUUAGUUACUAUAUCCAGAAUAAAAUUAAGUCCAAAUGAUUAGUUAGGCUUAACCCAAAGUGAGAAAGAGAGUGAUUAUAAAUAAAUAACAUGACAUCUGUAACAAAGAAUAUUACUAAACAUAUGACAUAAAUGAGCAUUCAAGGCAAAUGAUAAUUAAUUUAGUAAAAAUGUAGUGCUCUUAAACUAUAUGUCUUUUUGCAAGGUCUCCUAGUAUCAUAAGAAUCAAGCCUAUAUGGGGUAGGUCAUGACCUUCCAAGUAGUUAGAGACCUUCUCAGACUGAUCUCCUUCCCUUAACCAUAAAGGUACCUAAAGGCAAGAUACCUUUUAUUUGGUGCAUAGACUAUGCAAGUGGGACUGCAUGGGACGAUUCUACCACUUCAUAUCCAAUGUCUAGUGUAUAACCAUUGUCCUUGAACUAUCAAUGUUACCAAGUGAAGAACCCCACUGUGGGGGUGGUUGCUCCCCCUUACAAACAUAUCUAGUCUUGUCCAUGUAGAGAGUCCAUAUAUCCUGAUUCUUAGGGCUAACCCACCAUGGGGGUGGUGAUGAACCCAAAUCAAGAUGGACUCAACAAUGGAGUCCAUGGGCUUGCCUAAAGCCCUCUCCCACUUAACAUAUUGAGAUAAAUAAAAACAUUUUAAAACAUUAGUAAUUACCUUAAUGAAUAAAUUAUCUUCUUUGAGAAUUUCCAAAAAUAUUUAUUUCCUAAUUGAAAACCCAAUGUUAUAAGAGAAUGUCCAUAUGAAAAAUUUAAAAUUUCUAUGAGAGUAUUUUAUCCAAAAAAUAAUUUUGAUAAAAUGUCUACUCUCAAAUUUUAAAAUCUAUUUUCAUAAAAAAAUAUUCUUCUUCACACAAUUCCAAUUAAUAAAUAUUGUCUAGAAAAUAGUUUCAAAGAAAUUUAUUUUCAUCAAAUUACUAAAUAUGUUUUUGGUAAUAAUCUUUUAAUGAUAAAUUAUCUCUAAUGAAAAGGUCCAAUAGAUAUUUAUUAUCCAAACUGGAAACUUAGUGUAAUAAGGAAACCUCCAAUUUAUAAAAUCUUGAAAACUUAAGAGCACCUUAUCCAAUUAGAAAAUAUUUAAUUCUUCAAGGAUUCUCAACAUAAAUAAAUAAAUAAGAAAAAUAUUUCAAAUCCUAAAAAAUAAAUUUAGCAAGGAACUUUAUCUCUCAUAUUCAAAAUUCUUCAUAAAUUUAAUUUUCUUAUUCCUACACCUCCCUAAUUUAGUACAUAUUCUUAAAUAUGAAAUCUAAUUUUCAUAAUAAUCUAUUCCAUUAAAAUUAGCAAAAAUAAACUUUUAGUAGUUCCCUGAAUGAUAAAUUUUCCAUCUUGAAAAUUCAAAAAAAAAGUAGUUACUCUCCAAAUUAAGUAUUAGUGUAAUAAGAAAGUUUCCAAAAACUUAAAAAAUAAAAACUAAAGAGCACUCUAUCCAAAAAGGAAACUAUUAUUCUAUAAGAAUUCUUAUCAAAAUAAUUUAGAAUUCUUUAGAAUAAUUUAGAAAAGGAAACUUGUCUCUCUAAUUUAUUUUCACAUGUUUUAUUUUCUUAAUAUGCACUAUUCCAAAAUUAAGUAAAUAACAUACUUUGGAAUCUAAUUUUCAAGAAAAUUUAUAUCCAUUAAAAUUACUAAGAGUUUUAUACAAUUUUCAUAAGAAUCUUUUAAUAAUUCUGGUGAGCUUCUUAAAAUAAAUUAUCUAUCAUGAGAAUUUUCAAAAACUUUAUUUAUUCACUAAGUUGGAAUACUUGUGCUUAUGAGGAAUAUCCAAUUUUAUAAAAAAAAAUUAAAAUAAGAGAAUCUUCCCUUAAUAAAGAAACUCAAGUCCUUGAAGAUCUUAAAAUUAGAAACUUUGAAAAAAAAAAAAAAAAAGAUCUUCUAAGGAUUUUUAGAAAAGGAAACUAGAUUCUCUCACAAGUUUUUAAAAAAAUCUUUCCACAUAAAAAAUUCUUUAAUAGUAGCAUCAUUCCAAUUUUGAAUAAAACUUAAUUUGGAAAUAACCUUCUUAUGAAAAUUUAUUUUCCAUGAGAAAAUCCAAAAUUAGUAACUUUGAAAGCACUUUUCAUCACAUGCAAUAUAACAAUAUGCAUAAAAAAUGAAAUAUUCAAAAAAGAGAUCCCAUGGCCAAGGGAUAAUUUUCACAACUUUCCAAUUGUGAACUAAAGCCAAUGGUCUUCAACUUGACACCAAUAUUUGGCAUUAGAACUCGCCAAAAGAAGAUCUUGUAAAGCUGUCACAAUUCAACAACUUUCAAGCCUAACAAGUGGCCUAAAAAUUAAGCCCAAACAAGCAAAAAAUAAUUGGAUCUGUAUACAAUCCCAUAACAGCAUACCCUAUGCUUAACUUUGCUUCAAACGACCAUAUCUCCCUCAUUUCAACUUCAAAUUGUGAACCAUUUAUGGUGUUAGAUUCCUGACUUUCUAAGCUUUAAAACCAUAUGCACCUUGCCCUAAGAAACUCAUAGGAGACAACCCUGAUUUUGAGCAAAAAAUAGCGUUGUUGUGCAGCCAUGGAUCUCGAAAAAAGAAACUUUUUUUUUUAAUUCAAUCAAAGGAAGGAUUCAACAUUUCUUCCAUAUCCAUUAAAAUCCUUUAAUCUUCAUAGAUGAUGUUCCAAUAAAGAUCCAAUCUUUAUUGACAUCAUUGAGGAAAUAUUCUCUUGUAGCCCUCCAUAGAUAUUAAAAAAUAUUACUUUAUAUCAUAAAAGAAAUCUUAUGGAGCUUACAACCCGAUCUAUAGAAAAGAUUAAAACUUUAUAAGAGAAAAAGAAAACCUAUACUCCUUUAAUGGAUCUUACAACCAAAUCCAUGAAGAAACAAAGAAAAAUAAUAGAUCAUCUCAUUCAAUCAUCACAAGCAAUAAUAAAAAGGAACAUACAUGCACUUCUUGUCCAUGGGAUAAUAUCAAGGCUGCAAAAAAUAUGUUAGUUCACCCUAAAUAAAGAUCUAAGAAUGCUUAUAACAUUGUGCUCUAAUACUAAUUAUUGGCAUCUUAGAUCUAAACAAAAGCAAAAAUUUAAAAAAAUAAAUAAAAUUGAUCUUUUAGGGUUAAAGUACUAACCUUUAGGUUUCAAGGUUCUCAAACCUUAAAUUUCAAGUGUUGAAAUGACCUUGAAGUUGUAGGAAGUCUUGUAAACCCACGAUUUUCUGCCCAAUGACUCAGCCUUAUUCUUAGCACACUUCCAAUGGGGAGAAAAAGAGGGUGAAGGCUCUAGCUCUCUUUCUUUAUGGAUGAUGGAAGACAAAAUUUAUAGAAACCCUAAACCCUAGAGAGUAUUUAUAGGGAUGCUAAUUGGACUUACCCUUGUGCAACCUUGCAUAAUUACCAAACCACCCUUUAUGAACAAAAGUGAACCUAGAAUCAAUAACCCUCAUAAUUUGUGCCAACAAGGUAUAUGAGCUCAAAGAAGGGACCAUUGGGACCCAUAGGAAUACUAGCUCCCUCAUAAUCUAAAAAUGAAGAUGAUUCAACAUCUCACUAUAGAGAAUCAUUUGAACUCCAAUAUCCUAUGUAGAUAACAACGAGACACUAAGUGCUCAAGUCUAUGACCUACUAUCCACUACAUAUGAACUUCUCAUGAAUUGGUGUCUAUAAUCUAACAAGGUAGUUCUAUCGCCUAUCAAUAUUACCUCUCAGAUCCUUGAGUUAUUGAUCCCACUUAGUAUAUGAUCAACUGACAUACUCUAACUCCAAGAAGCAUAUGUCAUUCACAUGUCCUAUGGAUCAUCCAAGGGGACAUACUAUCUCAAUCCCAUGAGAUAUCAUGGUGCCUAUAUUGGGAAUACCUGUUCCCACCAAUCUCCAUCAACAGUGACCUAAUCCAUAGGGAUAUAUGACAACUUUAGGGUCUCACCUAAAAGUCAAAGCCUCUUGAUGAUUUUUUCAUGAGCUCAAUAUUUUCUCAAUGUUGAGAGACAAUGUAGUAUAGUAGGUUUGUGAAUCAUGAAAAUUGAUAGCCUUGCGCCAUGAUUCACCAUAGGUCAUAUCCAAUAUGCAUCACAUACACUAGUGCACUCACUAUGGGAAACCCAUCUUGAUAGCUAAGACAAGUCAUCCCUCCAAUUAGGAGAUGGUGUACUACAAUCUCCAAUGGAUUGCCCAAAUCCAUGAACCACUAUGGACAACUUAUCUACUUACAAGGAACUUAUGACUUGUAUCUUCUGUGCAACUCCUAAGGCACCCAAGUCAUGUUCACUAUGAAAGACAUGGACUGAAUGCUCAAAUCAAUGUCAAUACACCUAAAGGAUAUCAAGGGGAUGGUUAAGUCUAACUUUGUUACAUCAUAUCUUGCUUUUAAGGGCUCAAUCACAAUACCCACUACACUAUCUUAAUGUUGAAUAAAGAGGUUCUUUGAUUGUUUUUAAAAUUGAUUUGUAUACUUUCUUGUCUUGCUAUUAUUAUUUUUUUAAUUAGAUAUUUUGAAUAUAUUGAAUGAUUUUUUGUAUGAUUUUAGAGCACUUUUAGGUUGGUUAAAAAAAAUUUGGUUUAUGCAUGUUAUUAAAUUAUGUCAUAUUCUGAACCCUUUAAUAUAUUUUUGUAAAUUGGAUAAUAAAGGCUUCAUUAUAUUUUUUGGCUAGUUGGAUGAUAAACUAGAUACGUAGAAGAUGUUCCCUAAAAAUUUUUGUAAUUAAAUUCACAUUCUAAAUAUUUUUCAUAGGAUUUACUUGCAUGUUGAAAUUUUUGUAUAAUGUUUUAUUUAUUAUUUAAUAUGGAGUUAAUUGACUAAUCAUCACUUGAUCUUGCCUUUGGUAUUGUAUUGUAGACAUAUGAGGAUGUUAUAUGUUUUUUUUUCUAUGAUGAAAUAAUUCUUCUAGAUAUUUGUUUAGAGUUUUUCAAGUAAAUGUAAUUGUUCUACCCUUUGCUGUGUGCUUUGUCUUAUUCUCUAAUUUUGGUAUUUUUAAGCUAUCUUGUACAUAGUUUAGCCUUAAGAAUGAGGUGUAUGCAUGUCCUAGGUAAUAGUUUAUAUUUCUUUGGAUUCUUAUCAUUUUAUUUAAGCUAUACAUAUACCAUGUGUAUUAAGAUUCACUAUCACAACUAUUUAUUAUUGUAACUGUUCUAACCACCCUUUAGCUUUAUGGAAAUUCCUUGUAGGUUAUUUAUGCAAUCCAAGUACACCCCUUACACUUUUACCCCUUAGGUUUUGUAAAUAUUUAUGUUUUUUGUGUCAACAUCUUCAUAUUUGAUAUUGCUUUGUUAUGCUAUGAUUGGUGUUUGAUUCCUUGAAUGAGAUAAAAUGCAUGUUGUAUGUUGUAUUAUUUGUCAAACUAACUUUGAUGUUUUCAUGAAAGUGCUUUAGUUUGUAGUUUAACAACGCUCAUCUUCCUUUCUUAUAUGAUUGAUUUAUGUGGUUUGAUUGUUUCAAUGUGAAUAGCAUUUUGUUUGGCCUUAGGUACACUUACCUUUGUUAUUUUUUGUAUCCAUGAUUUAUCACUUAAUUGUCAUACUUACCUCAACCUAGUUAGUAGAAACCUAUUUGUAGGGCUUAGAGGGAUGCUACCUUUAUGGUACUUUCCUAAUAGCUAAUCUGGCCUUGAUCUAUACUUAGACUUGGUUUUUCAAAGAUGCAUUUUUUCAAAAUUAAGGAGUCGUUUUUUAGGGUUUUAUUUCUUAUUUUAUUUUCCCUUUUAAAAAUAAAUAAAAAUAAGUGGCAAAUCCAAGUUUAAAAAAUCAAUUUUUCACUAAGAUAAUGAGUCACCUGGUCAAGUGAGGAUGCAUGUGAAAAAUGUAGGUCCACACAUGUCUUUCCCUAAAAAAUGAGUCACCUGAUGACUUUAUUUCUUAUUUUAUUUUCUCUUUUAAAGAUAAACAAAAAUAAGUAUCAAUUCCAACUUCUAAAAACAAAUCAGCUCUUCAUAAUAAAAAUGAGUCUCGUUGUCGAGUGGAGACUCACAUGAAAAAUGUGGGUCCACAAAAUGGUAACUCCACUAGGAAUGCUUAGAGGGUUAAACUUGAACUCGAGUUAAGGGGAAAUGUGACAUUGAAUUAAUAGAUUAGUGGAUACCUUCUCAUUGUUCCUUUGUUGUAUGCUUGCAUAUUUUAGGGCAUAUGAGAGGUUGACUUGAUGAUUAUUUUGUAAAUAUUGCAUGUGCCUUACUGUAUAUUGAUUUUUGUUAUUAUAUGUGUUUAUAUAUCUGCCCAUGUCUAUAUAUAUUUAUUUUUCAUGAUUGUGUGCUGCAUGACUACCUUUCUUCUCCAUAAUUCGUGUUUUUCUUCUUUGUAUAGGAGACAUGUUUAUCCCUCGAACUCCCUAGUCUUGGUCGAUUUUCUUCUUUUGAUAUCGUAUUUUGUGUAUGAGACUUGGUGUCUUGUUUGUUUCCUGACUAAGCUAGCGAUUAGGAGUAAGGUCUAGUUGUGGGCUAUGUUUGGGAGCACCUAGAGUAUUGUCAUGACAUUAUCAACUCCAUGAGAUUGUUAUCGUAAAGUAGGUUACCACAUCAUCGGCCUUACCACAUCAUUUUUACUUUAUCAUUUAGUCACCUCAUUUCUACUAUCACCCCACUUUACCACAUCAUCCUAUCUCACCAUGUCAUCACUUUGCCACAUCCCUGAUGCCUUAACAUCAUCUUAUGUUGCCAUAUCAUCCUUGACACAUUUUUUUAAUCCUAUUAACAUCCUACCUUAUAAUCUCAUUCUUAACGCCAUUCUUAUUUUGCCUCAUCAUCAUACCUUAUCAUUUCAUCCCAUAUUUUUUUUUUCAUAUCAUCAUCCUAUCUUUUGCACCAUUGUGAUGCCUUAGAGAGCAUCACAACAUCAUUGACAUCAUGUUAAUAGAGGUUGAUUACUACUCAAAAAGUGUUAUUUCAUAGCUUGUAAUUAACUCUUUUAAACACUUUUGAGUAGUAGUUAUUGCCUUUUAACCCAAUUAACAUGUUAAGAACCCUUGCAAUCAUUUCUAAUCAAAUUGUGUAAGUUUUGGUGUUUUUGUUAGUAAUUUGAUCACCAAAACAAUCCAAGAAUGAGGGAGAAUUGCAUAUAGUUCAUGGCAAAGCAAUGAAGAGCUCAAAUUCAUGAAGAACCAAGCUUUGGAGCUCCAUAGCCCUUUGCCAAAGUCGUUCAAAGUAUGCAAGGAGAGAAGCAAGGAGAGAGGAAAAACAGAGUGAAGAAAACAGAGGAAAGCUAGCUGCAGUCUUCUUGCGCACUUUUGGAGCACUUCCCGAAGUCCAUUUUCUACAUUCUAUAUACCAUUUCAAAGCUCAGGAAGUCAAGAAUCCAAUGCUUCAAACGGUGUGCUAUUCGGAGUUGAAACGAAUGAGUUACAGCCAUUUCAAGCAGAUCACUCCAAAGUGUUGCGAAAUCAGCCUUUUGUUGCGAGAAUUUCGCAGCCUUUUUGUACAGUGCUAUGGAAUUCCUCCUGAAGCUACCCGAUACAUGCCACAAGCUGGAACGCUGAGAACCUCAAGGUGGAAGCCAAUUUCGCAGCCCUGCGAGUUUAACUUGUUGUUGCGAAAAUAUUUCGCAGCCCUCUUGAGUGUCUGCGAAAUCUCGCAGACACCAUUUUUCACCUGCGAAAUGAUCCUUAAUGCUUCCCGAUGUUUGCCACCGACUCUUUUGGAUAUUUUUCUUCAGAUAUUUUUGUAUAAAUUUCCAUUUUCUCCUUGCAUUCAGCCACUCAUGUAAUUCCUUAGCUAGGAAGUAUCCAAGGAAGGGUAAAUUACCUUCCUAUAUAAACUCUCUUGUAAACACUCUCAGGAGACGCUCGGGGAAGUAUGUAAUAUAUAGAUAUAUCAUAUAUAGAAUCAAGGAACAGAGCACUUGCUCUGUUUUUCAUAUAUAUUCUUGUCUUCUCUUUUAUUUUCAUUUUCUAGCCAACCAUUCUCUGAGGAUUUUUCCACAGAGGAUGAGAGGCUAAGCUUUUUGUCUCUUGAAGUGAGGAAAGUCGGGUAAGUUUCCACAUGCAUAAUUUGGAAGUUUUUUUGUUUUAGUUUUUAAUGAAGAGAAAGUGUGACCCGUUAAUGGUUUUUAUCUUUUUAGUUAACUUAAAACGCCUUUAAAUCACCUGGGCCAACACUUGGUAAGGCAAGUGAUUUCCAACCAUGGAAAUGCACUAGUUUACCCCUUGCGAGCCUUUGGGAGGUGGCUUGAAGGUAGGAUUUUCUAGAAUAGCCAACACUUGGUAAGCUUUUGGACUCCAAGGAGACAUCCAUUAGUUAUCUCUUGCGAGCUUUUGAAGGGAAGUCCAAGGUUAAAUAUCAUCUUGAAUGGUAAGUGCUCGUGAGAGGCAUGAACCAUUGCAAGGUGCAUCAGUGAGAGGGAUUUAGUGUUUGAACCCAUUAAUGGGAAGCAUCUGUACAGCAUCGGUUAGAGAAUUGACUAUAUGUUAAUUCUCUAAUGCGAGGAAAAGAAACAAGUGACCGGAACUCCCUUUUUGUAUGAGGAAUCUGAGCCUAGUGAUCUGAAACUCCAAGAAACACUUUUCUUUGUAAGUAAAAUCAGUUAUUAUUUGUGGUUAGUUUAAAUCUAAACCUUUUUUCAUUUAAACAUCUUUAUGUUUUCUUUUAAAGCUAACCUUGAAAUGAAAAGACACCAAUUCAGCUUUGAAUUAAUAUCAUUUGCAAAGUGAAAACCCAUCCCAGUGAACGAUCCUAGAGCCACUAUGCUAUAGUAGCUUUGUCUUUGCUACCCUAGUAUAUGGUGUAAUAGGUUAUAAAUUUUGUUGAUUUCUCCCUCAAUCAAGGAGCACCAGCUGGACACGAAUCAGCUGAGACACCAAUUGGGCACGAAUCAGAGGUCACCACAUCGUCGCCACUUAGAUUUUAAUCAUUAAAGACUUGUUUAACCCAUAACUAGAUUUAAGAUAUAUGUGUGACUAGUGUGUUUACUUUUCUGCUUUAGUUUAAGAGGUUAUUUGGAUGCACUUAUGCCACACACUACACAGUUUAGAUUGUCUUGUAUGUGUGUUGAGAAAGGUAACAUGCAUUAACUAGUAGAAAACCUUGACCAUUAGGAAACCACCUUAAGAUGUUAAGGAAGUCCAAGUGUAAAGGUAAUGACCACCUUACAUGGAAGUUCCUAGUAUCUUUGGAGGCAUGUAGGAGGUUACGUAUCGAUAAUGAGUACGAUUGUUCCUACUAGGCCUACCUUUUAAAGCUACUUUACCUUGUAGAAUGAGAAUUAGAUCCUUAGACCUAGGAUACCUACCCACACUUAGGUGCAUUUGUGUAUAGGAAUUUUCUGACAACAAUUUUGCAUCAACAUUAGAGUUCCAUUAGCAUAGAUUAGUUGUAUUAUCAUCCUCUUCACUCUUCAUUAGUUGGAUUCGGUUAGUCAAUCUUCUAAGUUAUACAUUCAUCGAUCUUGUAUAGUUUUCUUCCUCUUAGAAUUUUGUCAACCUUAAGAUGUUGUAUAUAGAGAGGAUUUACAUUUUUAAAUGUAUUGUCAAUCUUUUAAGGUGUUGUACAUUAGGUGUAGCAUUCUAGGAUGUGUUUAUUUGACAUUGUUAGACCUAAGUCUAGGGUUUUGUGUUCUGUGGGUCAUUGAUAGGUUCCUUAGGUGAGUCAUGUUAGUUAGAGUUUUGGGGACCUAACUAGUUUCUUCUAGGUGAGAUGGUGAGACGUUUGUCAAAGUUGGUGAGACUAUUUAUUUUUGUUUCAUCAAAGGUCAUCUUGGUUAUCGAGUCUAUGUUAGUCUUGUGGUAUAGUUAAAGUUUGAAUUCAUUGUAGAAUGUUUUGACCUAUUAGUAUUUGUUUCUAUUAUGGAUGUACAUUGAUCAUUAGACUUGACCUUUUUCAUUAAAUAUAUGUUUGUGUCUUAUAGUGCACAUGUUAGACUUUUGAUAUGACGCAUUUUUCACUUGCAUAUCAUGAUCAUUAGGCCUGACCCAUCAUAGAGGAUACUGAGCCCAUUAACCUAGGACUAAAUAAUCAACUUAGGGAGCUUAAGAUUGUGGCUCAUUUGUCUUGUGAUCAGAUUUGUACCUUACCCACUUCCAUUCCCAACUUGACCUUUACAUCCUAUCUUUCUCGAACCUUGUACGACAUUUACCCCUUGACACCAUCACAUGACCUUUACAUCAUUUUUUAUCAUAGCUUAUACAACAUCAUCUAAAUGGACAUUAUUCCAUUCUAUUUAUUUAUUGUAUGUACUUGAGGUUGAUUUUAUGAGAUGAGAAGGAUGACUUAUGAUGAGUAGGAUGGUCGAUUGCAUGAGAUCAUUGACUAUUCUAUGGUUGAGGGGAGCAUAUUGAGGUUAUUAUAGAGCAUCCAGAAUGGGAUAUUUAUGUAUGAUUUCAAAGGAAUGGAAUGCCUACAUUUUGAUGGACACCAAUCUUUAGUGUUGACCAUGCAAGAGUUUAAGAGCAUGAUUUUUGAGGUUAUGAUCAAAGGAGGGGUGGCCAUUAUUUCAUGAGCCUAUUUAUCUAAUCACCUUUAUGUAUAAAGUUACACUUUGCUAGCCAAUUGAGUCAUGUACUUUUAACCUUUUGAUUCAUUAGCCCCCUUACCUCGUUUCUCAUACCUAGGGUUAGGGCCUCUUGGCACAUCUUUGCUUAUAGAUAAGAUCACCUAGGUUAUGGGCUCCUCAGGUGAUUCAUCUUUUGUAUUCAUUAUGUUCGUCUUAAUCAUUUGUAUUCUUUCAUCCAUACCUCUUCUCAAUACUUGUUGUAACCAUUUGAAUCAUUGUUCCUUAUUCUGUCAUUAUGAGUUCAUAUAUGUACAUAAGGGUUAGUCUUCUUGUAUAUAUAUCGAGAUUUGUAUACGUUGCCUUGGGAUCCUUGUACAUGAUUUCUUGGAUUCAUUGGUUUUAUUAUUGUUAAAAAGAAAAAAAAUUAUGAUGUUAAUCUUUGUUAGCGGCUUUUGUGAAAGGUUUGAUAAUUUCAUUAUAUAUAUCCAUCUCAUUUAUACAUCGAGUUAUGAUUGAGUUGUGGGUUUUAUCUCUAGCUAUGACAUUUUGCUUCCCUUGUACUCAAUUACACUUUUUAUUUAGAGUUUUAUUCUCAUUCAUAGUGGUUAUGUUCUUUUUUGCUUGUAUAUCGAGUUGUUAUUCAUUAACAUUGUUUGCUUUACCUCUAGCCAUUGUACUAUUUCUUUGAUUCCUUUGAGCCUAUUCCAGAGUCUCACCUUUGAUUCCUUUGGUAUCUAUGUAGUUUUUAUCUUGGGUUUGUUUUUCUUUCCAUUGAUUUCAUCUUUUCAUUCAUUCAUCAUAUGUAUCAUAGUGUAUUCUUUUCAUUCAUUCAAUUAUCUAUAUCAUAGAGCAUUUGUGAGGUUUACAAUCUUUGAGUUUCUUUAUCUAUUACACUGUAUAUGGAAAAGGCAUGGGGAUUAUAUCAUUAGGAUUAUUGAGCUUAGUUUCCCUUUGUUUCUUUUACCCUAUUACCUUAGACUACAUUACAUCCUGGGUCUUAAGACCACCUUAAGGUCAUGACAUCUUGCAUUAUGCUUGAUAGCUCACAUGUGGGCAACAUUUGAGAUUGGUUGGAGAUCACUUGGAGCAUGAUGGAUAAGAAACUAUGAGAAGGUUUAUACUAGGGCAUCGAUGAUUGAUUUUUGAUAUGAUAGAUUAUACUAAGGCAUAGUCAUUUCAUUCUCUCUUAUGGAGUGAUACAUUCCCAAUUGGUGUCUCAGCUGAUUCAUGUCCAGCUGGUGUCCCUUGAUUUUGGUUCUUAGGGAGUAAUCAACAAAAUUUAUAACCUAUUACACCAUGUACUAGGAUAGCCUUAGCUAGCAUAGCAUAGUGGCUCUAGGGUCGUUCACUGGGAUGGGUUUUCACUUCACAAUUGAUAUUAAUUCAAAGUUGAAUUGGUGCCUUUUCAUUUCAAGGUUAGCUUUAAAAGAAAACAUAAAGAUGUUUGAAUGAAAAAGGUUUGGUUUUAAACUAACCAAAAAUAGUAACUGAUUUUACUCACAAAGAAAAGUGUUUCUUGGAGUUUAGAUCACUAGGCUCAGGUUCCUUAUACAAAAAGGGAGUUUCGGUCACUCGUUUCUUUUCCUCGCAUUAGAGAAUUAACAUAUAGUUAAUUCUCUAACCGGUGUGGUACAGAUGCUUCCUCUUAAUGGGUUCAAACACUAAAUCCCUCUCACUGAUGCAUCUUGCAAUGACUCGUGCCUCUCACCUAGCAUUUGCCAUCCAAGAUGAUCCUUAACCUUGGAUUACCCGUCAAAAGCUCGCAAGAGAUAACUAAUGGAUGUCUCCUUAGAGUCCAAAAGCUUACCAAUUGUUGGCUAUUCUAGAAAAUCCUACCUUCAAACCACCUCCCAAAGGCUCGCAAAAGGUAAACUAGUGCAUCUCAAUGGACGGAGAUCACUUGCCUUACCAAGUGUUGGCCUAGGUGACUUAAAGGCGUUUUAAGUUAACUAAAAAGAUAAAAACCAUUAACGGGUCACACUUUCUCUUCAUUAAAAACUAAAACAACAAAACUUCCAAUUUAUGCAUGAGGAAACUUACCCGGAUUUCUUCACUCCAAGAGACGAAGAGCCUAGCCUCUCAUCCUCUGAGGAAAAAUCCUCAGAGUUUGAUUAGCUAGAAAGAAAAAUAAUGAGAAAACAAAAUAUAUAUGAAAAGCAGAGCAAGUGCUCUGUAAAAUAUAUUUCUUACUCUCGUCGGAUUACAUAAUGAUCGUCUCUCAGAACAGGCUCCCCAUAUCUUUUAUAUAUGGGGUUAUUCACCCUUUGUUCUUACUUAAAGACUAAGGAAUCCUAUGAUAGGUGGGUUACAAGGAGAGUUUGGGGAUUUAGACAUCAAAUAUCUAAAGCGAAAAAUCUCAAAAUGUCAGUCACAAAUAUCGGGAAGCUUCAAGAGAAAUCCGUUGCACUGUGCAAAAUGGCUGCAAAAUUUUUGCAGCAAAAGGACAACAUUUUUGCAGCCCAAGUUGAUUUCGCAGCCGUGAAAAAAUUUCCUUCAGGUUUGAGUGAUAUUCUUGCAAUGGCUGUAACUCCUUCAUUUCAACUCCGAAUCAUACACCAUUUGAAGCAUUGGAUUUUUGACUUCCUGAGCUUCGAAACGACAUAUAGAAUGCAUAAAUUGAACUCUAGGAAGUGCUCCAAAAGUGGCUGACAUGACUGUCAUCAAGAAUGCUUCAUGGCAGAUUUCUCUUUGCUUCCCCUCCUUGCAUUCCGGAUUUGCUUAUGGCAAAGGACUUCAAAGCUUCGGUUCUUCAUGUUUAUGAGCUUUCCAUUGCUUUUCCAUGGAUUCCAAAUAACUCUCCUCAAUAUUGGAUUGCUUUGGUGAUCAAAAAGCUAUCAAAACACCAAAACUUAACACAAUUUGAUUAGAAUUGAUUUCAAGGGUCCUUAAUAUGUUAAUUGGGUUAAAAGGUAAUAACUACUACUCAAAAGUGUUUAAAAGAGUUAAUUACAAGCUAUCAAAUAGCACUUUUUAAGUAGUAAUCACUCCCCCCAACCGACAUAUUGCUAGUCCCUUAGCAAUGAAGGAGAGAAAAAUAAAAAUAUAAAAUACAUAAUUUACAACAUCAUGCUUAAUCAAAAAACAAUUUCCAAGUGGCAUGAUGAUCUAACUCUCACAUGGAAUAUUAAAGAAAUAAAACUCAAACUUCAACAAGAGUUAUCAAAUAACUUGUCUAAUCACAAUUCUUAAAGAGAAGGCAUUAUGCAAAUUUAAGCUUUAAAAGAGUUUCCACUCCCAAAGGGUCAAACCUUACUCUUCCACAAAAAUCUAAGUGUUACUUAUUAGUUUCCGAAUAUAAUAUGUUGAACUAAUCUCUCCCCCCAACCUAGUUCUUUUUCAAAGCUUAGCAAACUGAUUAACCUCCAAUAGGUUAAGAACGCACCUCUUUUCUCACAAUUUUUUUUUCAUUGUAGGAGUACAAGGCUUAAAGGUAUUCUUUUCUAAAUUGUCCAUGUAACGGGGGUCCAUUGAUGACUCCCAACCAAUUAAGGUUUAGGGCAUCAAGUUUUAAGGAUUUUUCAACCACUAACUCCUCAGAUUUUACCCUGGCCUUUUGAGAAUGAAUUUUAAUACCCAAGCACCUACAGUAUGUUAAACUCCACCUAUUCACCCUUGUAACGAGCAUUGAGGUCAGUGACUUCCAACCAAUGAAGGCUUAGGGCACUAGGUUUUAAAGAUUUUCACCAUAUACCCCUUAGACCUUGCUCGGGUUUCAAGGCAAGCAAACAUUUUUUCUUUCUUUCUUUCUUUUUCAAAGGCUCAUUGGCCUUUUAUAAGGUGUCCCAACACUAUUAAAUGAGGUCAAAGGUACCAAGUCUAAAAUUUUCCUAAGUCAAGAGGGAAAUAGUUUUUCAUCUUAUACUCAGAACUUAUUGUGCAUAGUGUGUGAAUAGCUUAAAGUGGAAGAACUAAACUUGAAUUCAAUAGAAGUUUCAACAAUUCAUCAACUAAAGUAAGCAUAAUACAAAAUCUAAGUCAAGUAAAAAGACAAAAAUUCAAUUUCUCCCAUUUUAGUUUGAAAAUUUUUCCUUAAUAACCAUGAAGAGUAGAAUAAAAACUAAAAAAAAAAAAUUUAAAUUAAGCAAAAAGAAACUAAAUUACCAAAAUAACUUAGCAUUAAUAACAAAACUUACUUCCUCAACUCUCCCCCCAACCAAGCUGAACAUUGUCCGAUUGAAAAAUAGGGAGGAAAUGGUACCUCCUGAGUAACAUGGAGUCUGAGUCAUAUAGGAGAAACCACAUGUUUCAAAGAAAACAUAAGAGUUAGUGAGUAGAGGAAAUAGAAAAAUGCCAAGUUUAAACAAAAAAUGAUGUCUAUAUAUGAUGUAUAUAUAUGAUGUAUCAUCAGUAAUACAUCCAAUCCCAUAAUAUAAGACAUCAAAACAUGGAAUUAUCUAUACUAAUAUAAUAUGUAAAGACAAAAAGUAAAGAGAUGAUCAAGUAAUGGUAAGGUCCUAUGGAGUUGAUGCAUCUGUGGUGGCCUCUUGAGUGGAUUGGAUCAGGACUUUGGCCUCUGUUUUAGUAGUCUCCUUAGGUGGCAUAGUCUCCUCAACUGGAGCUCUCAGCUGGAGCCAUGGGCUCUGAUAGUUUUAGGAGGUCAAAAAUGGAGUGAGAGGCUUCGUGUGUGUGAUCUCAGGGUGCAUGGGGCUCUCUCCUUAGAUGCAUGGUUGUGAGGCUCUGUUGGCAUUUUUGCAACUUCCCUUGGCUUUGUAAGGUGUUUUCACAAAUCAUUUCAUAACUUGGAGGCCAUUUCUUAGCCACUUCGAAGCCAAAAGGAAAAAAGAAAAACAUUUUUUUGCAGCCCAUUUCGAAGUUUGGAAAUCAUUUCACAACCAUUUUAAAGUUUGGAAAAUCAUUUUGCAAUCAAAAGACCAUUUUCACAGCAAAUGGAGGAUUUCACAGGGGUAGCUAUGGGGUUGCGAAAACAUUUCGCAGCCAAAUGGGAAUUUCGCAGCCCAUUUUGAUGCCUGGAGCAUUUUCAUAGCCAUUUUGAAGCUUGAAGAUCAUUUUGUAUCCAUUUUGAACCUUGGAGAUCAUUUUGUAGCCAUUUCGAAGUUUGGAAAUCAUUUGGCAACAAAAUGGGAAUUUCGUAGCCCAUUUUUUAAGCUUGAAGCAUUUUCGCAGAGGGGAGUGGAUUUUGCGGAGGAGGGGAAUUUUUGCAGCCCAUUUCGCAGCUGCGAAAUGGGCAUAUGGGUGCUGCGAAGUGGCACUCGUGUGCCAAAGGGUGGUUUCGCAGCUGCGAAACACCCUUCGAAAUGGGGGCACGGCUGCGAAAUCAAAAAAAUUCCCGCUUUGGCUUUGCGCGGUUUGUCUUCAAAUGGCCAUAACUUCUUCAUUUCUAAUCCAAAUCGCACACCGUUUGAAGCACUGGACUCCUGACUUCAUAAGAUUUAAAACAACAUAUGUUAUACAUAAUUUGAGCUCCAGAAAGUGCUCCAAAAACGUGUCCAAUAGUAGCGAAAUGGGGUACGGCUGCAACAUUUCCAUUCAUCUUUGUACAGUCGUCUUCAAACGGCCAUAACUUCUUCCUUUCAACUCCAAAUCGAGCACCGUUUGAAGCUAUGGACUCCUGACUUCCCAAGAUUUGAAAUGACAUAUGGUAUGCAUGAAAUGAACUUCGUUAAGUGAUCAAAAUGUGUCCAAUGGGGGUGCGGCUGUGACAUGUCUGUUCAUGGUGUGCGCGCUGAAGGAUUUUAAGGCAUGGGGAUUUCGUAACCAUUUUGCAGCUGCGAAAUGAGUGUAGGGGGCUGCGAAAUGGCUCUCAUGUGCCAAAGGGUGGUUUCGCAGCUGCGAAACACCCUUCCAAAUGGCGUAUCGACUGCGAAAUGGAGGAUUUCAAGGCGUGGAGGUUUCGCAGCUGCGAAAUGGAUGUACGGGGCUGCGAAACCAUUUCGCAGCAAGGGGGCGAUUUUCGCAGCAGGUCAAUUUUGGCUACGAAAUUUCGCAGGCCAUGCUCUCUCCUUGCUUUUGAGCUCCUCUUGAUUCCCAACUUCCUUCUUUCACCUCUUUUGACAUUUCUCUUGAUUUUGAUCAUCCAAAAACCUAUGUUACAUCAAAACAAAUUAGAAUUAAAGCAUUGAAAUCAAAAUUAAAGCAUUGAAAUCAAAAUUUAAAACAUGAAAUUAAGAUUAAAACAAGUAAACAACAAAACAAAAAGAUAUGGACUAGCUAGUCUUUAAAAAGACUAAGUCCAUCAAAAAAUUUGAUCUUGAUUUAGCUUGCCCGGAUCCCAUAUGAAGUUUGCAUCCCUCACUUGAGACUUGGUUUGUAUGAUUUUCCCAUACAAAGCUUGGGGGAAAGGUGGAGGCAUGUGUUUUUUCAUCAUUUCUUCCUUGAUGACUAUCCUCUAUGGUUCUUCAUCUACAUUAACAUCAUAGCCAUCUUUUUCUAUGCUUUUCCCCUUUUUCUUUUCUUUUUAUUUCCUCCCUCUUUUCUUUCUUUGUUUCACUGUCUUCCUUAUGCUCUAGCUUGCAUGUGGGCAGAUCAACCUCUUAACCACUCCUCAAAGUGAUAACCAUUUUAACUUCCUUCACCAUUGAAGAUUCUCCCUCCUUAGCCUCCAUUUCAUGGAUACCCUUUUGAUUUUGAUGAGGUUGAGAAGGAAAGUUUUCUUUCUCUUGCACUGUGUUGAGGUUGGCAAACCUUGAGAUUGAACAUUGGAGAUUAUCUAUCUUCUGAGAUAGAUCACUUUGCACUCCAUCCAUCUUUUUGUUCAAUGAACUCUCUACACUGUCAAUUCUUUGAGUAAGCUAAGCAUUGAUGGAUUUUUAAGCUUCGAGAAAGUCUCCCACGACCUUGCUAAGAUUCACCAUAGCUUGAUCAAGGUUCAAGGCUUGCGGAAGUGCUUGAACAUGUUGCUUGUACUGAGGUGAUUGUGGUUUCCAAGAGAAAUUUGGAUGGUUCCUCCAAUUGGAAUUGUAGGUGUUGCAAUCACCAAACAUUUCUCUUACCGUUGGAAUGGUAGGACACUCAUCCACCAAGUGCUCAUAAGAUAGACAAAUGGAACAGGGCAUAGGUUUCAAUGGUGUCUGAGAGAUGGCUUGCACUUCUUGCAUCUUCUUCAUUUCUAGCUCUUCCAAUCUCCUUGCCAUAGCUGCAAUCUUUGUCUUCAUGUCUAUGUCGUCAUUCAAAAUAUACAUCUCACCCUUAGCAUUAGGUUGAGACUUCAUUCUCCCCAUAUUUCUAGCAUUUGGUUCAUCCCAUCCUCUUGAAACUUUAGCCACAUAACUCAUGAAGUUCAUGGCUUCCUCUACUAUCUCGUAUUCAAUAUGGCAUGCACAACUAGCAAUUUGUGAAUUAAAAACAGAGAAAACAAAAGAAAAACAAAAGAAAACAAUUCUAAGAAAAAAAAUUAAGGUAAACUAAAAACUAAAUAAAAGGUAUACUCAAAUAUGAACAAAGGAAAAUAGACAAAUAAAAAGAGUUAGUAAAAAGAAAAGAAAAUUCACCAAACUUGUGAUGAAGAUCACAAGUACUCUAGAAAGGUGAUAUCACUGUAAAGUGGCACCAUUCCCGGCAACGGCGCCAUUUGAUACGUUCCCAAUUGGUGUCUCAGCUGAUUCAUGUGCAGCUGGUGUCCCUUGAUUUUGGUCCUCAGGGAGUAAUCAACAAAAUUUAUAACCUAUUACACCAUGUACUAGGAUAGCCUUAGCUAGCAUAGCAUAGUGGCUCUAGGGUCAUUCACUGGGAUGGGUUUUCACUUCACAAUUGAUAUUAAUUCAAAGUUGAAUUGGUGCCUUUUCAUUUCAAGGUUAGCUUUAAAAGAAAACAUAAAGAUGUUUGAAUGAAAAAGGUUUGGUUUUAAACUAACCAAAAAUAGUAACUGAUUUUACUCACAAAGAAAAGUGUUUCUUGGAGUUUAGAUCACUAGGCUCAGGUUCCUUAUACAAAAAGGGAGUUCCGGUCACUUGUUUCUUUUCCUCACAUUAGAGAAUUAACAUAUAGUUAAUUCUAUAACCGGUGUAGUACAGAUGCUUCCCCUUAAUGGGUUCAAACACUAAAUCCCUCUCACUGAUGCAUCUUGCAAUGGCUCGUGCCUCCCAUCUAGCAUUUGCCAUCCAAGAUGAUCCUUAACCUUGGAUUACCCGUCAAAAGCUCGCAAGAGAUAACUAAUGGAUGUCUCCUUAGAGUCCAAAAGCUUACCAAGUGUUGGCUAUUCUAGAAAAUCCUACCUUCAAACCACCUCCCAAAUGCUCGCAAGAGGUAAACUAGUGCAUCUCAAUGGACGGAGAUCACUUGCCUUACCAAGUGUUGGCCCAGGUGAUUUAAAGGCGUUUUAAGUUAACUAAAAAGAUAAAAACCAUUAACGGGUCACACUUUCUUUUCAUUAAAAACUAAAACAACAAAACUUCCAAUUUAUGCAUGAGGAAACUUACCCGGAUUUCUUCACUCCAAGAGACGAAGAGCCUAGCCUCUCAUCCUCUGAGGAAAAAUCCUCAGAGUUUGAUUAGCUAGAAAGAAAAAUAAUGAGAAAACAAAAAUAUAUAUGAAAAGCAAAGCAAGUGCUUUGUAAAAUAUAUUUCUUACUCUCGUCGGAUUACAUGAUGAUCGUCUCUCAUAACAGGCUCCCCAUAUCUUUUAUAUAUGGGGUUAUUCACCCUUUGUUCUUAUUUAAAGACUAAAGAAUACUAUGAUAGGUGGGUUACAAGGAGAGUUUGGGGAUUUAGACAUCAAAUAUCUAAAGCGAAAAAUCUCAAAAUGUCGCUCGCAAAUAUCGGGAAGCUUUAGGAGAAAUUCUGUUGCACUGUGCAAAAUGGCUACGAAAUUUUCGUAGCAAAAGGACAACAUUUUCGUAGCCCAAGGCUGAUUUCGCAGUCGUGCAAAAAUUUCCUUCAGCUUGGAGUGAUCUGCUUGCAAUGGCUGUAAAUCCUUCAUUUCAACUUCGAAUCGUGUACCGUUUGAAGCAUUGGAUUUUUGACUUCCUGAUCUUCGAAAUGGCAUAUAGCAUGCAUAAAUUGGAAUCCAGGAAGUGCUCCAAAAGUGGCUGACAUGACUAUUAUCAAGAAUGCUUCAUGGCAGAUUUCUCUUUGCUUCCCCUCCUUGCAUUCCGGAUUUGCUUAUGGCAAAGGACUUCAAAGCUUCGGUUCUUCAUGCUUCUGAGCUUUCCAUUGCUUUUUCAUGGAUUCCAAAUAACUCUCCUCAAUCUUGGAUUGCUUUGGUGAUCAAAAAGCUAUCAAAACACCAAAACUUAACACAAUUUGUUUAGAAUUGAUUGCAAGGGUCCUUAAUAUGUUAAUUGGGUUAAAAGGUAAUAACUACUACUCAAAAGUGUUUAAAAGAGUUAAUUACAAGCUAUCAAAUAGCACUUUUUGAGUAUUAAUCAUGGAGUAUGAUAGAUCAAGAGUCACUCAUAUUCAUAUCGACAUAUAUCUAUUUUUAAGAUAUAGGAUAAAGUUUGAUUUUGAUUUGACGAUUUACACUGGGGCAAAUCCAUCUCAGGGAGUUUAUAUUUUGACGUAGCCCUCUUAUUGGUGAUUAAUUUUUUAGAUGAUAACUUAUGUUAGGGCAUAGUCACUUCAUUCCUUCUCAUGGAGAAUGAUAGAUCAAGAGCCACUUGGAUUCAUGUCUACAUAUAUUCAUUUUUUAGAUUUGGGAUAGAGUUUGAUUUUGAUUUGACAAUUUACAUUGAGGCAUAGCCACCUUAGAGAGUUUAUACUGGUGUAUAACCCUUUCAUUGAUGAUUGAUUUUGAGAUGAUAACCUAUCAUAAGGCAUAGUCACUUUAUUCCUUCUCAUGGAGCAUGAUGGAUCAGGAGUUGCUUGGAUUCAUAUCGACAUAUAUCCAUUUUUAAGAUCUAUGAUAGAGUUUGAUUUUGAUUUGAUGAUUCAUACUAGGACAUAGCCACUUUAUUCCCUCUCAUAGAGCAUAAUGGACUAGGAGUCACUUGGAUUCAUAUCGACAUAUAUAGAUAUAUAUAUAUAUAUAUAUAUAUAUAUAUAUAUAUAUAUAUAUAUAUAUAUGUAUAGGAUAAAGUUUGAUUUUUAUUUGAUAAUUUAUACUAAAGUAGAGGUCUAUCUUGAUGAGAUUGUGUAUAUUACGACAUAACCAUUCUAGAGAUUACCUUUCACCAAGGUUUGAACAUUUCAGAUGUUACCUUAUAUACUAGGGCAUACUCCUCUUAUCAGUGCUUGAUUUUGGAGAUAAUUAAUUUGUUGGGGCCUUACCCAUUUUGACUUGAUAGAUUCAUGUUGGGACAUAGCUCACUCAGUUGAUGAUUUAUUUUUUUUAUUUUUUUUCUGAAAUAAUAGUUUAUACUAAGCAUAACCACUCUAUUUAACUCCCUACAUUGGGCCAUAACCAUUAUCUUAGAGGUGAUCAUACAUUUUUUUCAAAAGUAAUUUUUAUAAAUAGAGGUGUGGACCCCGUAUUUUUGCUCGAUGUUUUCCCACUCGAUGGCGAAACUGGCUUUUUUAUUUAUUUGGUGAAAAUUUGAUUUUUUUUUUUUAAGGAAAUACUUGGAGUCGCCACUUAUUUUUGUUUUAUUUUUAAAGGGUAAACAAAAUAAGAAAAAAAAACUCUAAAUGUGACUCCUUAUUUGGAAAGGACAGUCUAUGAGAAACCAAAUACAGGUUCGGGGGUCAGGUUACUUAUCGGGAAGGUACGGUAAAGACCAUAGUACCCCUCUAAGUCCCUAAAAAUGGGUUUUUACUUAAUAAGGUAAGGCAGAUGUGGCAAUUGAUGAAGAAGUCAAUGGAUACCGGUGAAAUAAUUAAAUAAUAAAGUGAAUCAUGCAUCAGAAUAAAUGAAGUGGGAAUGAGAUCGUACCUUGGCAGCAAUUAAUAGUGCGCUAUCAUGGAAACAAGGUUAGCUCAAGUAUAAAAUCAUCACAUGCAUAUCAAAUAGUAAGAGAAAGAUCAAGCAAUAUUCAUUAAGCAUAACAACUGACAAUCAAGAGAGAAAACUCAAGUGUAGGGCCCCCACCAAAGCCCAAUUUAUCUUGCAUGAAUUAGUCUCACAAAUUCCAUUAUUUUGGAAUUGUGAAAAAUUCAUUCUUACUUAUUUAAAAAUCAAGAGGAACAGAAAAAUUGUUUUUAAAUCAAAGAAAAAUUUAUGAAGGUGCUUGCCUAAGAGAAAAGGGCAACAAGUUUACUAAAAACAGGAUUUUUGGUGUUCCUGAACCUUAAGGAAAGAUGAAGAGUAGUAGAAUUAAAGAAAUAUUUGAAAACUAGAGUGAAAUCAAAAUUAUUCAAAAAAAUUGAAAGCUCUAAAAUUAUUUGAAAAUUAGCAUUUUGAAAAUUAGAUUUAAAAAUCGGAAUUUUGGGAAUUAAAUUUGAAAGAAAUUGGAAUUUUGAAGAGUUAUUUAAAGAUGGAAUUUUAAAAAUAAAUAAAUAAAUAGAAUAAUAAUAAUAACAAAAAUAAUAAUGAUUAAAUAAAUAAAUAUGAGAAUUGGAAUUUUGGAAAUUGGGAAUUAAGUUUGAAAAUCGGAAUUUUGAAGAAUUAUUUAAAGAUGGAUUUUUUUAAAAAUAAAUAAAUAAAUAGAAUAAUAAUAAUAAUAACAAAAAUAAUAAUGAUUAAAUAAAUAAAUGUGAAAGUUGGAAUUUUAAAAAUGAACAAAUAGAAUAAUGAUAAUAAUGAAAAUAAUAAUCAUUAAAUCAAUAAAUGUGAAAAUUGGGACUUUAGAAAUUAAGAAUUAAAUUUGGAAAUCGACAUUUUGAAGAGUUAUUUAAAGAUGAAAAUUUUAAAGAUCAAACAUGAAGGAUAGGAAUUUCAAAAAAUUAUUUGAAAAUAGAAAUUUGAAAAUUAAAUUUAAGAAAAGAGGAUUUUGAAGAAUCACUUGAGAAUGGAAUUUUAUUUAUUAUUUUUUUUUUAAAUUAGAUUUGAAAGAAAUUGGAGUUUCGAAAAUUUAUUUGAAGGUGACAUUUUAAAAAAAUAUUAAAUUUGGAAUGUUGGAAUUUUUGGAAAAUUUAUUUGAAGAUUAUAUUUCGGAAAAUUAAUUUUUGAAGAUUGGAAUCUAGGAAAAUUAUUUUGAGGAUAGAAUUUCGGAAAAUUAAAUUAAAAAAAAAUGAAAUCUUGGAAAAUUAGAAUUUUGAGAAAUUAUUUUGAAAAGUAAAUUUGAGAAUAGAAUUUCGGAACAUUAAAUUUCGAAAAUUGGAAUUUUAGAAAAUUAUUUUAAUAUCCAAAUGUGAAUAAAUAAUAAAUAAAAAAAUGGGUUGUGGUGAUCCUCGUGUGCAAAUUACACAUGUCCAGUACAGUGGCAAUAAACCCAUUUUCCAUCAGUUGCUCCAUGCACUGCUAGAACCCAUUUUCCAUACCCCUUAUCCACCACCGCCAUCAAAGCCAUUAAAAGUCUCAUAACUAGUGCAGCCAUGCAUGGAGCAUUAAACCCAUUUCCCAUCCAAACAAACAGAUACCAUCGAUCAAACUUUGAGAAUCCUCGCCGGCUUCACCACCGGAUUCUCCUUCGCGAUCAUUGCCCGUCCUGCCGCCUUGUAAUCGAACCUGCACUCAUGCCGAUCGGAGUACCGAUGAUUCGAGCAGAACAUAUUGCCACACCGGUACCGAAAGCCGAUCAGUCCUAGCUUCCUCUUGCAUUUGGAGCACCAGUUCACCUCCCUCCUCAUAUCCUUGUUUCUCAGUUGUGAACAUUUCCUCUUGUAAAUUUUCUGAGUGCUACCUCCAGCCUUAACCUCGUCAUAAAGCUUCUUUUCCCAAGCAUACAACCUUCCCAGUGUUAAUGAAUGGCUUCAGGAUGAAGACCGUGAUGAGCUACGGUGCCCUGUGAUAGCUUGGAUGAGUUUUUUUUUUUUUUUUUUUUGUCGAGUUCCCUACAUGCUCUAACCAUGGUACAAAGCUCGAAGAUUUCAUAUUCAUUUAUCAAUUAUGGAGAGCAACGCAAAUGCCAGAGAAGCAUCUCCAUAGUGCGAAACCUUAAACAUCCAACCCAAAAUGCCACAAGCUGAGAACUCCCAUAAACGAAGACCACCUCUGUAUCUGACCAACCAUGAGCAAACCCAUUUUACCCGAUCUUCACAAAGUUUCCAUCUCUCUCAAAAACAUUUUUGAUAUCAUGACCUCCAUAGCCAGGACACCCAAGAAAGGAAGGGGAAGAAAACAUGGAUGCAGAAACAUAGAGAAUGAAACCCAAGGAGAAUGGAGGAAAGGCAGAUAAUGGGUGAGUAAUCAAACAAGCAACAUUUCAUUGUUUGCCAACGGGCUGGGGUUGGUGAGUGAGCCAAAACAUAUUCUAAGUAAGGAUCAAAACACGGUCGCGAGCAUUUCAUAAAGAACCAAAACAAAAUCGAACUAAUUUCAACAAAACCAAUAAAAAAUGAAACAUGAACAUAUUAUGGCCCAAACUAAACAAUUCAAAGAUCAAUAAAUAAAACUAAAUGCAUGACAUGAUACCCAUACCCAAGCCAAUAGUAGAUGAUGCUCAGAAUAGCAAUAACAAGAAAGGAAAACAAAGAAAACCUAAAGUAAGGCAACCUGUAGUGGCCAUACCUGAGCUCCUUAAGUGAAACUGUGUUCGGCUUCUUUUCCUUCAACUCUCUCUCUGUUCUGCUUCUCUUCCAUUCAUCUCACCCUUUUUUUUUUUUUUUGUAGACUCACCUCUGUCCUAAAAAAAACCGCUCCUCAUCGCAUGCUCCGAUCAUGCUCUACAGCUCCCUCAUUCCCCUCAUCUCUACCUUGUUAGCUCCCGUUCCAUCCAUCAUCUCUUGCUCAGAGAUGUCUCUCUCUAAACCACCACCAUGGCAAGUUGGUGGUGGUUGCCACACGUCCAUGCAGCUCGCCCCCUCUAGAAAGAGGUCCCCUCACUUCAAAAAUGAAAAAAUUUCAACUCCCGGGUCGCGUCCACAUAGGGAUCUACAAGAGGUCUUAAAGAAUUUUUAUUUUUAUUUUUUAAAUAAGAAUAGCAUGAGUAAACCUUUAAAUCGAACUAAAAGACCUUUUUUAAUUAAUUGGUAAACUAAUCUCCUACUAGAUGAAAUCUAGAAUUCUUUCUUAAUAAAGUUGGAAUCCUUGGGAACAAAUUUGUGAAAUUCUUUCUCUAAAUAAAUUAAUAAUAAAGAAUUUUUUUCUAGGUAAAAUAAAAAAAUAUGUUUUUAAUAAAAGUGGGUUAAAUUCCUUCUUAUAAACUUGGAAAUAUCUUUCUUUAAGUUUGUAGAUUUUUUAAAAAAAAAUAAAUAAAUAAAUAAAGAUUGAAUCAAAACAUUUUUUUAAAUAAAUUAGUAAAAUUCACCCCUCUUCUUAAUAAGGUAAGCAAAAAUCAUUUCUUGUACAACAAAUCAAAUCAAAUCUUUUAUAAUAAAUUGAAGCUUUGUGAAUAAAUAAAUUUAAAUUACUAAUUUGAAAUUGUUGUUAAAAUAAAUGAAUUCUUCGAAAAUUUUUGGAAAUUAUAUUAUGAUAUUUGAAAUAAUAAAAUCUUUCUCAGAAAUUAUUUUGUGCAUCUCUCAUGUAUCAUUUCCACAUAUCCUUAUAAUUUGCUUUUGCAUUAUUCUGUGUACUUAUCAUUCUUUUUUUCAGUAUCCAUGAUUAAUUAAUUAAUUAAUUGUCAUAAUUCCCUUUUACGCGCUUACUAAAAACCUUUUUAAGGCUUAAAGGGGUGCUAGCCUAUGGUACCUUCUCAUAUGGUACCUUCCCAAUAGGUAACCUGACUUCUAGAUUCGAACUAGGUUUUUACUGACACGUCUUUUCUUUAAAAAAUGAGUAACAAUAUGGCUUUAUUUUUUUUCUUUUAAAAAUAAACAAAAAUGAGUGACGACUCUAACCUGAAAAAAAAAAUAGUUUUUUAUAAUAAAAACAAGUCUCGCCAUCAAGUGAGACACACAUGAAAAAUGAGAGUUCACAAUUGUAUUUCUUAGACUUAAAAUAUAAUACAAUUACUAAAUCAAUGAAUGUUGUGAGUUUUAAAAUCUUUGAUCAUAAAAGAUACAAAGUAUAAUGGAACAAAUAGAUUUCAAAAGAAAAAAAAUGUUUAAAAUGGAAAAUCUAACAAGAAAGACAAUGAAACAAGGUGAUACGGUAGGAGUGAUUACUACUCAAAAAGUGCAUUUUUAUAAGCUUAAACUUAAUUAUAUUAAGCACUUUUGAGUAGUAGUUAGAUCUUUUAUCCCAAUUGGCAUGUUAAGGACCUAGCAAAUGUUACUAACCAAUUUUUGGUAAGUUUUAGUGUUUUUGGUAGCUUUUUGAUCAUUGAAACAGGCCAAGAUUGAGGGAGAGUUUGGAGCACAUGAAGAAUCUGAGCUUUGGGGCACUUCAAAACCCCUUGCCAAACUUGGAAAGGGGUUGGCAAAGCUAUUAGUAGUAAGAUGGAGGAAAACAGAGCAUUUUGCAAGGCAAAAUCAUUAGUUUUGCAGGGUAUGCCAAAUUUUGGCAGGGUGUGCCAAAGUUUCGCAAGAUGUGCAAAAAAUCACUUUGUGCGCACCGACCUUCGAGAUUUUUCUCCAGAACUGUAAUUUUUCCUUUUUACUCCUUUUGUAAUAGAUAAAUGACAUUAGGGUUUGUUUAGGAACUAUAAAUAGGGGUUGGAAAACCUCUCAAAUCAUAUUAUGUUAUGUUAGAUAUUAUGUUUUAGAUACUUUUGUAAAGACGAGUUUUUCUCUGCCUUUCCUUCUCAUUUUCUCUUCACUUUCUCUCUAGCCAAACACCCUUUGAGGAUGAUUUCUCAGAGGAUGAGUGGCUAAGUUUCACGUUUCUUGGAGUGAUGGAAGCUAGGUAAAGGACCCGGAUGCAAAUGUGGGAGUUUUCCUUGCUUUAAAUGAAGGUAGUUGUGUAUCAUUAAUGGUUUGUAUUUCAAGUUUCAGCUUUAAUCCCUUAGAAUCACCUUGAAUGGCCAAUACUUGGUAAGCUUUUAGGAUUCUAAGGAUGCCAAUUGCUAGAUCCAUGGAUGUCCAUUAGUUAUCAAGUACGAGCCAUUGGAAGGUAGUUCAAGGUGAGGGUCUUUAGUGUUUAAAGCCAUUAAUGGGAAGCAACUACCAUUUUUCAAGAACCCUUUGGAUCAAAACUUAUUUGCUAAAUACAAAUCCGGUUUGGGAGAUAACCAUCCUUUAUGUUAUUGUCCCCAAUGUGAGGAGAAGAUCCGGAAUUUCCCACUUUGCAACAGGAACUUGAUCCUAGUAACCUAUAGCUCCAAGAGACUCUUUUUGUAGUAAUUUCAGUUGUUUAUGUAUGCUUAACUUAAAAUCAACCUUUCCAAUCAAUCUUAUUUUCAUUAAAAACUAAAUUUCCAAAAAAGGAAAUCACCAUUUCUCAUUUCAUUAAUGUUAAGUGUACAAAGAAAACUCAUCCCUGUGGACAAUCCUAGAGCCACUAUACUAUAGUAGCUUUGUCUUUGCUACCCUAGUAUAAGGUGUUGUAGGUUUAAUAAAUGUUUUGAUAAACACCCAACUGGGCAUGAAUCAAGGAGUUAAAUAGAGAAAUAUUUUAUCCAUGAAUUUAUAGUUUAUUUAGUAGAAAAAAUUUCUAAAGAAAUAUUGCAUACAUUAAUGGAUUAAGUAGAUAAAAGGAAUUUAAGCAAUUUGACAUUUAUGCUUUAGUUAGAUAACAUCAAAUAGAAAUUUGAUAUUAUUAGUUUCCAUAUUGAGAUUAGAAAUCUAUUAAAUGGACAUUAAGAUUAUCUUUCUUUGAAUGGCUAUAUAAAUUAAGAGUAUAUGGGGGUAACCUAAAGGAUUUCUGACAAGAACACGAAGUUAGGGAUAUAUACAUUUAGCUAGGUUGGAUUAUAACCAAUCCAAGAAUCAAAUAGGAGUUGAUUGGUUUUAACUAAAGUAUUAUAAAUUUAUUUAUUGACUCAAACUAAUCCAACUUAAUAUUAGUUUGAUUCAAUUUAGUUAACUUAAUUUAGACCAAAAUAUUGAGCCUAUAUAUUUUUUUUCUCUACAUUGACCAUAGAACCAAAAUGAUUGAUUUGUUUUAGAUAAAAAUAGUUUUUUUUACAAAUAAUAAAAUUAAUUUUUUUUUAAAAUAAUGUGUAGGAGCAAACCAGUGGGUUAUUUUCUUAUUGGGAGUAAGUCAAUGAGUAGUAUUAUUGACAUAUUGGGUGCUCAUGACUUGAAAUUAUAUUAUCAUCAUUAUUAAGUUCCACGGUACACGAAUUUUAAAUGUUAGGUCAUGCCUUAUGCCAUAAGCAACUUUUAUUUGUAAUAAAGCGAUGAGAGUUAGGAUCUAGGCCUCCAACACCAAACUGUAGCCUAGCUAAGUUAGCUUUGGAUGGCAUGGUUUCACUCACAAAGUCUCAAGAUUGUCCACAAAACUCCAAAAUCCAAGUAAAUUAUAUUUGUGCCUCCCCUUCUACUGCUUGGGUUUGUUUGCCAAUCCACUUUUAGUAAGUGAUCUAGGUCAAACCUUUCAUAAUCCAAAUACUUAAACUAGUUUGAUCUCUAGUUUCACUACACUACCAAAAUAAAGUAAUUCAAGUAGAAAGAACCAAUGGCACAUACAUGACAAGUUUUGCUAUUGGGGAAGUUUACAAAUAGUCUGUGGAGACCUUUUUCUAGUAUAAUUUGAGACAAAUGCUAAUGGGUUGCCCAUGAACUAUUAUCCAAGGCUAGUUAGGCUUAUCUGUCAAACAAUAGAAAUUCAAGAUUUGGGGGCCAAAUGAAAGUGAUCAAGUUUGAAGUUAAUGGAAUUGCUUAUUAGCUCAAUAUAGAGGCUUAUCUCAAGCACCUUAUCAGUACAAUGCUUCAAGUUGAUUAACUACAUGCAUACACUAAAGACUUCCACAACAAAGGAAAUUUGGCAAGAAUAAUCUAAAGAGCUACUGCAAGAGAGAAUGAUCUUUUGAACAUAUGUAAUUGGUUGUGCAUUAAUUAAGAAGGCUUCUAAAGUUGGAUAAGUUGUUUAUAAUUUUUAAAAGGGAAUUUGCAAACUUCACAGAAUUGAUCUAAGAGAUAUUUACCAAUCAUGAUAAUAAAGUAUUGAGGAAAAACUUUAGCAGCAAACCAAGUUGUAUUUGCUAAGAAUACUUACUACAUAAAUAUUAAGAAAGAAACUAUUUAGUGGUAAAAGACAAGUUGAUAGUUUUAGUUCAUGAAGUUUUCAUUGUCUAAGCUAACAUCAAAAGCUAUAAUAAGAUAAAUCCCAAUAAGGUAAGACAAAAGGCUACACAGAAGGGAGAUCUUGCUCCUUGUUGAAAAUCUCAUUCAAUUGCAAAUCUACCACAUCAAGAAUGCUUCCUCUUCUAUAAUUUUCUCAUACCCAACCACAAUACUAUUAUUAUACUUGUUCUGCAUGCUUUUUUUCUUUUCUUUUUUUUUUUAGCUUUCUAAGUUAUUUUUUCUUUGGCUAUAGCAAUAGUUUCACUAGUGUGUUAAAUUCUCUUAUAGGUAAUUCCUCAAACAUAUAAUGUCCUCAUUGUUGCUAUUAAGUCUUGUAGUAUGAAAUGAAAAAUUAAAUUUCUUGUAUUCAAAAUCAAAUGGAAGCACAUGGAUUAAAAAAGGAAAACACAAGAGAAACAUGAAAUCCAAUUACAAAGAGUAGUAUCAAAUUUUCCAUAUCUAAAAAAUUCAAGUGUUAAGAUUUCUAAGAAUGAAAAAAAAAAAAAAGGUACAUUGAGAGAAGACCUACAUCUACAAAACAUCAAGGUGUGAGGUUAAGAGAGGAAUGAAUUCAAUCCAUACCUGAUAUGAAGACAUGGAUUCGAACACAUUGACUAGAUUUGAAGAAUGCAAUUCAUCCAUGGGAACUUGUGUACUUGAAGAGGGUUGGUUUUGGGAGGUAUUGGAAGAUGAUUGGAGUAUGGUGGUAGUUGUUGAAAGGAUAGAUGGUGGUGGGAAGCCAUAGCUACUAAUGAAGAGGAAGUUAGAUGAAUUGGAGACUCGAUGAAGAAGAUAAUGUGAGCUUGAUAAAAUUUCCUCCAACUUUCCCCUUCUCUUUCUCUCUUAUUUUCCUCACUAAUUUUUAAGGAAAGUAGAAGGGAAAAUAUUACAAUAUUUUCUUUAGCAUUUUCUUUUAUAUUUAUUUCCAUCAUAUUUUUCAUGUCACCUAAACUAAGGAAAAUAUCUUUCCAUAUUAUUUUUUUGGUCCUUUCCCUUGCAUUUCUAAAAAUCAAACACAAUCUUUAUAAAUAAAAAUUAAGAACUAUACCAAGAUUGUAUAUUCUUCCUCUUUAUUCCUGCAUUUCUACAUCUACUACUCUAUUUGACAUCAUAUUUUUACUCUAUUAUUCAAUAAGCAUUCCUCCCUUCAUAUAGAGUUAUCUUCACACCAAUUCAUAAGAUAAGAAAGACGAAUGAACCUUGGGGCAAGGUUGGACAACUAGUGGCAACUAGUCAAGGCUUGAAGUCAACUUUUGCUUGACUUUUUUUGGCAUGGGAAUCUACUUGUGGACCCCUCUUUAGCAUGAAAAUGGCUAGAAUGUGUUAAGCUCUCUUAUUAGAUGAUAUAUGAUGUGUGAACCAUACGCCAAUCAUAGGGUAGGGAAUAUAUGGUAAUUAUGCAAAAAUAAUGAUAACAAAAAAAAAAAAAAUUGGUAUCCAAUUAUAUAAAAAGACAUCUUCCAACAUUUGAUAUAUAUCUGUAAAAAUUAAGCGGAAAAUAUUUUUAAAAAAAAACAUAUUGAACCUAAAAAUAGGGACUUAAUAAUAAAAUAAAGCAAAAAGGUAAAAGUAAAACAAAAUAUUAAAUAUGAAUAUUGUUUAGGUAUUAAAAAUAUUAUUAUUUAGGUUUAAUCAUGGUUUGUUAGAGGAGUUUGUAUAUAUUAUUUUUAUUUUUAUUUUUUAUCCUAUCUCUAUCUCUGCACAAAGUUUGUAAAUUAAAUAUUUAUUUCUGUUAUUUAAAGGAAUUAUUGAAAUGAUUGCAUGAAAGAUUUAUUCCAUAACCUAAAAUAAUGAUAUUGGCAUUAUUUAUUUACAUAUAUAUAUGUGUGUGUGUGUGUGUGUGUGUGUUUACUCGAAUGAUAGGCUGAUUUUUAGCCAUUAUAAUAAUAAUUGUAUUAUUUAUUAUUGAAAUAAAAUGGUUGUUGUCCUCUAAUUUUGAUUUGAAAUAUAGGGGGUAUUUCUAACACUAAGAUGAUGUUUAUUUUUUUAUUGAAUAAAAAAAAUUAAAAUAUUUGAUUUUAUUUUAUUCAACUAAAAUCAACUUGUUGAUAUCAAUCAACAUAACUAAAAUUAACUUAUAAUUAAUAAGUUUAGUUUAGUUAUGUUGGUUGAUAUCUACUGGUUAUUUUUAACUAAAUAGAAAAAAUUAAAUAUUUUAGUUUUUUCUAUUCAAUAAAAAAGCAAACGCAUCUAAAAUUAUAUAAUAAAAAUGCUUUGACUAGAAAUAAAUUUCAUGUGGACCACUAUCAAAUACCAUGCACAAGGAGAAAUAUGAAUCCUCACUAGCUCUUUGAUUUUAAUUCAUUGAAUUUCAUGUUCCCUAAAACAAAAUUAUAUUUCAUGUCAUGUAUUAUGAGUAGACAACCAUUCCUUAUGUUAGAUUUUAGAUAAAGAACAAAUAUUGGAGAUUGAAGUUGUAAGAAAUUAGGAAAUCCUAAUUUUAAAUAUGUAACAAAGUUCUAUAAUCGCUUCAAUCCAUGUUUUAAAAUUUGUAUUUCUUUCUAAUAUUGGAGCAAACAUUUUCUUUCUUUCUUAUAAAUUUAAUCUGGGAAUGAUUUAAAAAUAAAUAAAUAAGAGCCCUUCUAAAUAUUAAAAAGUAACACUUUCUUAUAAAAUUUAAUUAGGUGGAUGGUAAGGUCAAAUUUGGGAUAGCUUCAUAGUUUUUGCUUUAACUAAAAAAUAAAAUCAAAAUUAAAGUAACAAUUUUUAAGGGGAAAUAUUGAUAUUGUAAAAGUUUUAUUAAACAUGAAAGAAUUUCUUAAAUAAACAAAAAUAGAAUUGUAAAAUUCUUAUAAGAAAUAACAUUUUUAUGACUUCUACAUGAAACCUUUUUUUAAAGUUGUAAGUUUUUUCUUAAAAAUAAUUAAAUAGGUAUAAAAACUUUUAUUUAACUCUUAAAAGUCAAUCCAAAUAAAAUAUAUAUAUAUAUAUAUAUAUAUAUAUAUAUAUAUAUAUAUAUAUAUAUAUAUAUAUAUUUGAAAAUCACUUUUAAAAAUCCAAAAAAAAUCACUUAAAAAUAAUUUAUAAACAUUUUAAAAAAAAUUUACAUCUAAAAAACAAAAAAUUAAAAAUAACACUUUCUUAUAAAAUUUAAUUAGGUGGAUGGUAAGGUCAAAUUCGGGAUAGCUUCAUAGUUUUUGCUUUAACUAAAAAAUAAGAUCAAAAUUAAAGUAAUAAUUUUUAAGGGGAAAUAUUGAUAUUGUAAAAGUUUUAUUAAACAUGAAAGAAUUUCUUAAAUAAACAAAAAUAGAAUUGUAAAAUUCUUAUAAGAAAUAACAUUUUUAUGACUUCUACAUGAAACCUUUUUUUAAAGUUGUAGGUUUAAAUAAAAACAAAAUUAAAUACGUAUAAAAACUUUUAUUUAACUCUUAAAAGUCAAUCCAAAUAAAAUUUAUAUAUAUAUAUAUAUAUAUAUAUAUAUAUAUAUAUAUAUUUGAAAAUCACUUUUAAAAAUCCAAAAAAUCACUUAAAAAUAAUUUCUAAACAUUUUUUUUAAAAUUUACAUUUAAAAAACAAAAAAUUAAAAAUGAUUUAUUUUUACUAGUUAUUUAAAUUUAAGAAAGCAGGAAAGGUUUACUCUGAUGUUAAAAAUAAAAAAUAAAAAAAUAAAAAAAAUAAAAAAAAAUUAUGGGUUGAAAAGUAAUUAAAUCACUAAAAAAUAGACUUAGAGUUCUUAUUUUAAUUUGAAAUAAAUAAAUAGAAAAGAACUGAUUUUCUCUCAAUUGUGUAAGACUUCAUAAAAAUAUUCUUAUUUGCAAAAUAUUUUGAGUUUUAAAAGUAAAAAUUAAACAAAUCAUUUCAUGACCUUUUUCACAAGUAUCCAUUUAGAUCAUAGUCUAAUUUUAAAAUAUUUGAAUAAUCCAAUCACUCUAAACUAUAUCAUUUAUAAUUUUUAAAAUUAUUGGAAUAAAAUAUGGAUAAGUAAAAAAUGUCAAAUGAAAGAUAAUUUCAAACUUUUAUCAUGUUGAAAAGAACUGGAAUGGGCAAAAGUUGUCAAAUCAAGACUUCAAUGGAAAAUUCCACCAUUGCAUAUCUCAAAGAUUAUUCAACAACAUUAUCUUUAUAGACUUUUAACAAUCCAUGAAAUUGACAAAUAAUAUAAUAAUCCCAAACACAAUAUUCUAAAACUUUACAUUAUUCUUGUUAUUUUAAUACAAGAGGAAUCCUUAGUCAACAAUUUUUUUGAACAAAAAAUAAAUAAUGAAAUCUACAACUUUACAUUAUUCUACAAUUUUUUUGAACAAAAAAGAUAAAUAAUGAAAUCUUUGGCAUGUUAAUUCUUUGCAACUUCAACAUGGUGGCAUGUUGGAUGGCGGAGGCAACAUUUGAGCUUCUGGGUGUUUACCAUUUUUCACUAUGAACGUAGUUUCCAUGCCCCAAGUCAGAUGGCAUUCUACAUGGCAGUGCAUGAACCACACUCCUGCAACAGAGAAAAUAUACCAACAUUACACCUAAUUUAUUGCAAUAUUAAGAAAAAUUAUUUCCUUGGUAUGCAGGUUGGUAGUUUCAAGGGGUUUUUUUUUUUUUUAAUAGAGGACAUGAGUGCUUGCAACAUACCAGGGUUGGAUGCCUCGAAUCUGAUUGCUACCCAACCAUUCGUAGGAAUAGAGAUGGUAUUCUGAAAAGGAGGAUCCACCAAAUUAUAGCGCAAAGGGUCCCUAUUUUUAUCGAAAUUCCUAAAUCCCCAUCCAACAAGGUAGAAACUGUAUCCAUGGAGAUGCAUGGGGUGGCGUGUCCCUGCAACCAAGUUUGUCCCUUGAAAAACAAUCUCCAUCGUGGAGUUAUACUCUAGCACCCUUACUUCUGUUCCGUUUUUCGGCGUCUAAUACUCUAAUGGAAGAUAAUCAGGUGUAAAAUUGAACACCAGUGGUGGAACGCUAGGAAAUUUAUCUCCAUAUACACCACUGAUGUUAUAAUAGUAAGCUUGUAGUAUGUCAAUCGUAAGGGAUUGGAAGCUUAUGUUGUUUAUACUUCCAGAGAACCGCAUCCCAUUGGGCCCUGCACAUGAAUUAUUGGGGCAUAGGAACAAGUUUACAGAAACAGUGUAAAUCAGUUUAGUGCUCAGGCUCAAUGGGACAUUGGAAGGAUGUUCCGCAACUGCUAAGCUUCGGAGGCCGGCCAUGACCUGAACUGAAGCAUUUGUGUCAUUGUAUGCAGGAAAAUGAGGCAAGGAGGGAGGUGAAGAUGGAGUGUAGUAUCCCCUGUACUGUACAAUAGCUGUGGUGGUUGUGUUAUCAUAAAAAUUUUGAGCUGCCGGGGCAAUGGAAUAAAUUUUAGCCACCAUGUAAUAGUGAUCCGGGCAUUGGUUAGCUUCUAGUAAGACAUCGAAGGUUUGGCCAGGAUAUAUUGUGAUAUAAUCUCGUGUCAAUGGUUUCAUGUAGCUACCAUCUAUUCCAAC